CAAAUUAACAGCUUUGAACAAGAUUUACUGACGGGUUAAAAUGUCUGCAAAAUUAGAUCAUCCGUCUCAGAAACAUUCGAAAGAAAACAUUUGGGUACUGGCAAACCCUAAAACAGGGGACUUAUUUUUAGUGUAUGCUUUGUACACAGUAGCUUAUUCUUGAUCUAUCAUUGACACAAGGAAGUACAGUAAGGAAGAAACUAGGUGCAGAAAUUGAUAGACAAUAGACCAAGAAACUCUAGGUCCUGGAACUGAGAGACCACAGACCACGGUCAGGUAACCUACUAACGUUUGCUAAACUGUCUGAAACUCCACCCCUGCUCACAGCGCCUCUAUGAAAGAAUUGGCGCCCAGAUCCUUCAGAUUUGCCACUAUGAACUAUGAACUACGAAAAACUUCAUUACUUCAUUUCACGCGAAGUUUUGGUCAGGUACUGGAACUUCAAAAGAUCAAGCGACUGCGCUCUGCUGUCCUAAGACCUCUGUCCACUCAGCCGGCCACCAAUCUGGCUUAAUCGCCUUGACCCUCACAUCUUGGUUGUCACUGAUGGUAAGGAUAGCGUUUUCCUUCAGUGCUGCUUCGAGCCGCAACAGACCCAUCCCACGGCUGCCGAGAGCAGUGCUUACCGUACCCACUUUCUUACCAGAGGCAUCGUCCAAGACAUCUGAGCCAGGAGCAACAGCCUGCUCGAGUUCUGAUAACAGAGGUUGCAGAAUCAAUAUCCGGUUGACAUAGACUAGAUUGCAUAAUUUAGCACAGAAUUAAUAUCUUUGUCAUUUUCAUCUACAAACUUCAAGGGUAUCAGGCGCUUCCGGAUGACACCACGGUGGUGUGUGCGUGCGAUCAGCUCCUGACCAAUAUAGCACCCCUUGUCAAAUGAAAUAGCAUUCAGGCCUGCAAGAUUGUACUCGAGUGGAAUUGCUUCACCUGAUACAAGAGAAGAUAGUUUUAGCAAAAGAGGAAAGAACAAGCAUUGUACUAAUGUCUAACAUGGAAAUAUAAGGAAACAUAGUGUAACAGCCAAAAAUGAUAAAAUUAGGAAAGCAAGAAAGGGCAGGAGAAAAGAUGUUAGUUAAGCAUAGACAGAGUUCUCUACCAACUUGCCCAUGUGCUACAAGAGACGAGAGACUAUGCUUCUAAGCAAUAUCCCUAAAGGCACCCUACUGAACGAUUCACUAGCACGAAUCAACCAAACAUUUUGGGCUCCCAGCACUACUAUCUUAACUCUUUAAGACAGAAAUGAAACCGCCUAUACUAUUUACAGUACUGUAGGCUUCUAAGCUCUUCCUUGUAGAUAAUAUAUGCCAUUGUAUAAUAUCCAUCACCACCACAAACCAACCAGAAUGACCUGACAAACCAUGGGUACGCAAUCUAAUUCCUUAAAAUUGCUUCAGUACACACAGAUGUUUUCAUCAAUAGUUCUACUAUUGUUAACAGGGUGUAGCACAGUUCUUCCUGUACCAUUGCAUUGCAUUGCUGGGUACCAGCUUAAAUGGCCAGACUCUUCAACAUAACACUGAACAAAUCAUUCCAGAAUCGACAUUAUGUCCUUAACCAAGGAACAUCAAAUAGCUAUACAAAUCUCAAAGUAUGCCAAUAUUUCAGUGACUUAACAGAUCAACUGGAAAUUAAUCCUACCUUUUGGUAUCUCAGUUGAGCCCUCUGGAACCCCGUUCUCUAUACGCCAAAGCAAAUAAUGGCGUUCAUCUGCUUCUUUGUCAGCCUCAACAAGUGGUGCUGCAGGCAAAAACAAGAGUUACUUACAUGUUCAAAUGACCAUCGGUAGAUAUUGAGCACCAUAUCAAAUGUAAUUUUAGAAAGCACAAAGAACAAAUGACCUACGUAUUGUAUCAGCUGGAAAGAUUCCCCUGUAGCCAAGAAUGUCAAGCCGAGGAUCUUUGAGCCACUGCCAACCAUGACCGUUCCCUUGUGCAGAUGACUCAGCAGCAUGGUCACUACCUUGUCCCCAUCCAAUGGAUUGAGCUUCGGGUUCUUGAGUGGAAGGUCCAGCAUGUGCCACAUCGCUUCCAAAUCCUUGCCAGCACAAAAAACUCCUCGCUUACAUUAUCUAUCUCAAGCUUGCUUCUUAGCCGAUACCUGCAAAAUGGACAAAAAAAUUGCCAGGCCGUAAGAGAUUCAACUGGACCCUGAAUCUUUGGAAAGCUAUAACGGAAGUACUAAACGACAAAAAUAAGCAUCCCAAUUCUCAUAUCCAUACCACAGUCAAGAACAACCCCAAAAAAUGAACUUGCUUUCAAUGUAGUAGUUUUCUGCAAAUGGCACCUUCAAUGUAGUGGUUUUCUACAAUUAACUCAUUAUUUUAUGUUUUGUAACCUAUCGGUUGAAAUAUAUUUCCUCUCCCCCAAUGAAACAGAACUUGAUUUAUGCUAAAUACAUAUGUUGCAUACACAACAUGCCGGUUAAAAUAUUUUCUGAAAAUAUAUGUGAUUGAAAAUAUCUGCCCAUUUCCCCAACAUGGGCCCCGCGUGCACAUGCUUAUACUAAAUACAUAUAUGGUGUAUACAUGGGGGUGUUCAAAUUGUUGGUUUUGAUCUGACGGCUUAAACAGGCCAGUUAGAUCUAUUAGUUUAACAAAAAAAAGGAAAAGAUAACGUUAAUGAAAAGGCCCCACGCACCAACGUACGUGAGGUUUUAUCCCAACUAAGGCGCCCUGAUCGGGGGCACCCAAACCAACUGAUGGUUUAGGUCCCCUGUCGCCAGCGCUACAUAAAAGGGAACGGGAGAGGGUUGGCAGCCUGCGAUCACAAUUCACAUACGGUUUCACUCCCCUCCCAAUAUUCUCUCACCCCAUCCGAUCAGGGGGAGCGCUACAGCGACGGGAAGACCUACUCCAGCCGCCGCUGCCGUCCCCGGGCAGUGCCGGUGGCGUCUUGAGGGCAUCAGGACAUCGAGGAGGACUUCCACCUCGACUACAUCACCCCUACAUCAAGCCUGCACCAAGCAGGCGAUCAUGUCCACUGCCGUGACACGUAAUGAUCCCCUAAACCUUCUCUGUUCAUGUUUUAGGUGAUCUAGAUGCAACCUGUUCCUGCUAAUGGCAUCCCAAAGAUGCAUAAUUAUUCCAACAAUGGUAUCAGUCGCCAAUUCUGAUUGCAUUAGGUCCCUAUAUUAUUGAUCUGUAGAUCAACAUCAAGUUUAGAUCAAGUCAGGAUUAGGGUUUUUUUAUGAUAGAGAUUUAAAGUUUUAGCCUGAUGCUCAUGCUACUGUUUGCUGUUCAUGCCAAUUGCCAUCUGCAAAUAAUUAUGUGAUACCGUUAAUGCUCAUGGUUCUGUCACGGUUGAUAAGAAUCAAUCAUGUUUAAGUACUGGUUUAUUUUUUUUUGCUAAGCACAUUAGAAGGCAGAGGUCUGAACACUGUACAAACAGUGGAAUCCCCACAUCAAGAACCCUAGAAAAAAUUCCCAAUUUCGGUAGAGCCCUAAUUUUUCAAUUAGGCAUGUUUUUUCACCAAUUAAGCCUGAUGAAUACGAUUUUUGGGGAGAAGAGAUGAAAUCCUCACCUAAUGCGCCGCGUACUCGCCUGUUCCCUUCGGGCCCCGCGCAGCGCCCACCGUUGCGCGAGGGCGAAGACGCCGCGAUGCCUCCGUCCUCGGGACGACGUGCGGAACGCAGUUGAGCCGCCGUCGCCUCCGCCCGAAUGGACGCGCCCUUAUCUUCGCCGACGCCGAGCAAGUCGCCGUUGCUCCUCAUGCCGCGGUGGCCGGCGUCCCUCCUCCCUCCUUGAUGUGCCAUCUGCACGGAUGCCAGGGCAACAUUCGACCGGGGAGCGCGCGGGAUUCAUCCUGCUGCACGCUCCUCCGGCGAGCGCAGCCGCCGCGCCGCCAUGGCCGGCACGCCUCGAGCCGCCCUAGUGCCGCCGCUCUCUUCNNNNNNNNNNNNNNNNNNNNNNNNNNNNNNNNNNNNNNNNNNNNNNNNNNNNNNNNNNNNNNNNNNNNNNNNNNNNNNNNNNNNNNNNNNNNNNNNNNNNNNNNNNNNNNNNNNNNNNNNNNNNNNNNNNNNNNNNNNNNNNNNNNNNNNNNNNNNNNNNNNNNNNNNNNNNNNNNNNNNNNNNNNNNNNNNNNNNNNNNNNNNNNNNNNNNNNNNNNNNNNNNNNNNNNNNNNNNNNNNNNNNNNNNNNNNNNNNNNNNNNNNNNNNNNNNNNNNNNNNNNNNNNNNNNNNNNNNNNNNNNNNNNNNNNNNNNNNNNNNNNNNNNNNNNNNNNNNNNNNNNNNNNNNNNNNNNNNNNNNNNNNNNNNNNNNNNNNNNNNNNNNNNNNNNNNNNNNNNNNNNNNNNNNNNNNNNNNNNNNNNNNNNNNNNNNNNNNNNNNNNNNNNNNNNNNNNNNNNNNNNNNNNUUCUGGAUCGGGCGGCUGUUUUGUUCCGAUCGGGAGCGAUACGGACCGUCCGAUUCAAUCGAACGGCUGUAAGCGACGCGCGGCUCCCAGCCGGGCCGUCAGGGGUUUAACGGGCAAUAUCCGGCCGUGGGCUUCAGCCCAGGUUGUUUCAGUCCAGCAAAAAAAAAACGCUACUGGACUGAGCUGCAUUUCGGACAGCCGUGGGGUUCUUGGGCCAAAAUCAGUGUCGCCAUUUUCUGUUUUUCCUGUGCGUUUAAGUUAAAAGUUAUUAUGUUUUUGCACCGUCUAAAACAGAAAAUGCAUAAAAAUAUAAUGAACACAUUAUUAUUCUGGGUAAAAUUGAACCAACGACAUAUUUUAUUCAGGAUUUAUUAUGUGUUUUUGGAUGCUGAACCCUUUUUAGACAUCAAAUAAUGAUAAAAUUUUUUAUGUUGAUGUUUAAAUUGAGAAUGAAAUGACUCUAAUUUUAAUUCGGACCAACGUUGUUUUAUUAUUAUGAGUCAUCCCCUAUGAUAUUUUAAUUCCAUGUUUUUUUUCUGCCCAACGGUGUUUUGACAUGGAGUUGAAAUUAAAUACUUGGCAUGUUUGUUUAUUUACCAAUGUAAAUUUAUAAUCAUGCAAGUUUACUUAUGAACUUUUAUGAUGAUUUCAGCUCCCGCUCCAUUCUGGUCCGACACGAUCGAACCACUUACGGGGAGUAACUUCCCUCGUUGGAAGUCCCAAGUCGAAUUAUGUUUGGGUUGUAAUGAAUUUGACUAUGCCUUGAGGGAAGAAAAACCUAUGGCACCUGUGGCAGGUGUCACAGGGUAUGCAGAACUCAAGAAGGACUAUGAUGUUAAGAUGGAAAAGUGGAACAAGUCCAACCAUAUUGCGCUUCUCAUCAUGAAAGCGACAAUAUCGCCGGACAUUUCUGAAACACUCCCUAAGAAAGACACUGCUAAAGAUUUCCUCACUGAAAUGGAGGAACAAUUUAAAGGCUCCGACAAAGUGUAUGCUCAUGAGCUUUUUGCUAAGCUUCUUCAGAAAUACACUAUUGACAGAAAUGUUAGGCAGCACAUAUUGAGGGUGGUAAAUGUUUUCACCAAGCUUAAGGCUUUGGAGUGUUCUUUAAGUGAAACCCUUCUUGUCAUAAUUAUUCUUGAGUCUCUUCCUGAAGAGUUUGAACAAUUUAAGGUCAACUAUAACUCUCUAAAGGAAAAACGGCCACUCUCUGAGAUGACCGCAAGGAUCGUCCAGGAGGAAGAGAGGAUCAUGAGGCAGAAGAAAGACCAUGUCUUUCAUGUUGGCUCUAACAAGAGAAAGCAUGACGGACAAGGUUUCCCUAAGCAUCAGAAAAGGCAAGUCAAGAAAGAAGGCACUAGGCCAUUCAAUCCUAAGGCAUUCAAGGGUAAAGAAGCCGGUGGUUCUUCUUCUACUCCUAGCAGCUCCACUGCUGAACAAAAUGCUUGUAACUUCUGCAAAGAGGAGGGACACUAUCAAAGGGACUGCCAGGCGUUCUAAAAUGGAUGAACAAAAGAGGUAUUGAUGAAAUUACUUUUGUGGAUGAAUCUCUUUAUGUUGAUUUUUCAAUAAAGUCAUGGUGGAUUGAUUCAGGGGAAACCACUCACGUUGCUAACUCUAUGCAGGGAUUCGAUAUGAUCCAAACCAUAAGAGGAGGAACAAGAAAGCUUAAGGUUGCGAACGGAGUUGAGGCCGAUGUUGAAGCUGUGGGAUCUCUCACGUUGGAGCUACACACUGGCCACACUCUUAGAUUGAAUAAUGUUAUUUAUGUGCCUACCUUAAGUAGGAAUUUGAUUUCAGUUUCUCGUUUAGAUGAUGAUAUGUAUGAGUGCCAUUUUGGCAAGAAACAAUUUGCUUUGAUCAAAUGUAAUAAGAAUGUAGGCAUCGGUGUUAGACGAGGCCAACUAUAUAUAUUAUCUCUUAAUAAUGAUUCAGUUAUGCAUGUGAAUGAUGAAAUUAAUGUUGAGAAGAAAUGGAAAGGAGUUAGUAAUUCUUCGAAAUUGUGGCAUUGUCGUUUUGUCCACAUUUCGAGGGGGAGAAUGGAACGCUUAGUUAAAAAUGAAAUACUCCUCCCAUUAGACUUCUCAGCUGCAGACAAAUGUGUCGACUGCAUUAAAGGAAAAUUCGCAAAAACAAUUAAGAAAGGAGCAGUAAGAGCCACAAGGGUUUUAGAAUUAAUUCACACCGACAUAUGUGGACCCCUUAAUGUUAAGUCUGUAGAUGGUUUUGAUUCAUUCAUUACAUUCACAGAGGACUUUUCCUGCUAUGGGCAUAUUUAUCCCAUACGUGACCGAUCAGAAGCUUUGGAGAAAUUCAAAGUCUAUAAAGCCGAGGUUUAAAAUCAACUGAACGCAAAAAUCAAAGUUGUACGAUCUGAUCGCGGGGGAGAGUACUAUGGUAGGCAUGCUCCUUAUGGGCAGAUUCCUGGACCUUUUGCCAAGUUCUUGUCUGAAAAUGGAAUCAUUGCUCGGUACUCAAUGCCUGGUGAACCAGAACAAAAUGGUGUGGCCGAGCGCCGCAACCGCACCCUUAUGGAUAUGGUGCGAAGCAUGCUUAGUCACUCUUUUACCAGUAAGCCUUUGGAUAGAGGCAUUAAAGACAACUACACACAUACUAAAUCUUGCUCCAACUAAGUCAGCACCGAACACACCUUACGAGAUGUGGGCGGGAAAGAAACCGAGCUUGAAUUACUUACGAGUGUGGGGUUGCCCCGCUGAAGCUAAAAGUUUUCAAUCCACAACUUAAGAAAUUGGAUCCAAAAAUAGUUAGUUGUUUCUUUGUUGGAUACCCUCAUAGGGGAAAGGGAUAUCGGUUUUAUUGUCCAAGUCACACCACCCAGUUUGUGGAGACUAGACAAGCGGUAUUUUUUGAGGAUAAUGAGGUCACAAAUUUAAGGGAGAUCGAUCUUGAGGAGAAGAGGGUUUGUGUACCAUCCCCGACUAUCCAAGAGAUUGUUUUUCCAAUAUGAACAAAUGUGACAUCUGAUGAUCCUGAAUCUCACGGUUCAGUCUCUCAGUCGAAUGGUGAUCCAGAAACUAAUAAUGAGAAUCCAAACACAAAUGAGGAUCUCCGAGAAAAUAUCAGAUGAUUAUAUCACUUUUUUGAUGGAGGACAUGAAUGAUAUGGGGAAGGUGGAGGAUCCAACCUCGUAUAAGGAAGCCAUUAAAAGCGAAAAUUCGUCCAAAUGGUUGGUUGCCAUGGAAGACGAGUUGAAAUCUAUGGGCUCAAACGACGUAUGGGACUUAGUAGAAGUUCCCGAUGGAGCUAAGAAAGUAGGCUGCAAGUGGGUCUACAAAACCAAGUAUGAUUCCAAAGGGAAUGUCGAAGGGUUCAAGGCAAGGCUAGUGGCAAAAGGGUAUACACAGAGAGAAGGUAUUGAUUAUAAGCAAACAUUCUCUCCUGUGUCAACCAAGGAUUCUUUCAGAAUCAUAAUGGCAUUAGUACCUCAUUACGACCUAGAACUACACCAAAUGGAUGUUAAAACGGCAUUUCUAAAUGGUGACUUAAAAGAAGACGUCUACAUGGCUCAGCCAGAAGGCUUUGUUGUGGAAGGAAAGGAACUUUUAGCAUGUCGUCUAAAGAAAUCAAUUUAUGGCUUGAAGCAAGCUUCAAGAGAGUGGUACCUCAAGUUUGAUAAAAUUAUCAAAACUUUUGGUUUCGCCGAAAAUGUUGUGGACAACUGCAUAUACGUUAAGUUUAAAGGCAGUAGGUUCACAUUUUUAAUCCUAUACGUUGAUGACAUAUUGUUGGCAUGUAGCGAUAAGGAUAUGCUGCAUGAGACCAAGAAUUUUCUGUCAUCCAGUUUUGAUAUGAAAGAUCUUGGUGAAGCCUCGUAUGUCCUCGGCAUCGAGAUUCAUCGAGAUAGGUCCAGAGGAACGUUAGGACUAUCUCAAAAGGCAUACUUUGAGAGAGUACUGAAAAAAUUCAAUAUGCAUAAGUGCUCACCCUCACCUGCUCCUAUAGUUAAGGGCGAUAAGUUUGGGACAUUUCAAUGUCCGAGGAACCAAUGUGAAACUGAUCAGAUGAAGUCGGUUCCUUAUGCUUCAGUUGUUGGAAGCAUCAUGUAUGCUCAAGUGUGUACACGCCCAGACUUAUGUUUUGUAACCGGGGUGCUUGGCAAAUACCAAUCAAAUCCAGGACCGGACCACUAGAAGGGCGCAAAGAAAGUCUUGCGUUAUAUGCAAGGAACUAAGGAUUUCAUGCUUACAUAUAAAAGAACUGAUAACCUAGAAAUUGUUGGUUAUUCAGACUCUAAUUUUGCCGGGUGUGUGGAUAGUAUGAGAUCCAUGUCAGGUUAUAUAUUCACACUCGCGGGAGGAGCUAUAUCGUGGAAAAGCUCUAAACAAACGUUAACUGCUGGAUCUACGAUGCAAGCAGAAUUUCUAGCAUGUUAUGAGGCCACCGGGCAGGCUGUAUGGCUAAAGAAUUUUAUACCCGGACUUAAAGUGGUUGACAACAUAUCUAAACCAAUUUUAUUAUACUACGAUAAUGAACCAGCAGUUUUCUAUACGAGUAACAACAGGUCAAGUAAUGCCGCCAGACACAUUAACAUAAAGUAUCGUGUUGUGAAAGAUAGAAUCCAGGAUCAAACAGUUGAUGUUAAACAUAUAAGGAGGAAGCAUAUGCUUGCGGAUCCGCUAACGAAAGGCUUACCACCCAGUAUUUUUCAUGAGCAUGUUGCCGGCAUGGGACUACUGGAGGCCUGAUGAUUCUGGAAUAAGAGGACCAUUAAAAUAAACCACUCCCCAAUUAGCAAAAUGUUUUCCAUUUCGAAAUAGGCGGAUGUACUAUAAGUGUUGAGGUUCUAUGGCGUUUCGAGCUGUUGUAACACCUCACUUUGGUACAUCAUUCCUAUGUAGAAUGGGCGAAUGAAGUUAAGCCUAACGAUCAAGGGGGAGAAUGUUGGUUUUGAUCUGACGGCUUAAACAAGCCAGUUAGAUCUAUUAGUUUAACAAAAAAAGGAAAAGAUAACGUUAAUGAAAAGGCCCCACGCACCAACGUACAUGAGGUUUUAUCCCAACUAAGGUGCCCUGAUCGGGGGCACCCAAACCAACUGAUGGUUUAGGUCCCCUGUCGCCAGCGCUACAUAAAAGGGAACGGGAGAGGGUUGGCAGCCUGCGCGAUCACAAUUCACGUACGGUUUCACUCCCCUCCCGAUAUUCUCUCACCCCAUCCGAUCAGGGGGAGCGCUGCAGCGACGGGAAGACCUACUCCAGCCGCUGCUGCCGUCCCCGGGCAGUGCCGGUGGCGUCCUCAGGGCAUCAGGACAUCGAGGAGGACUUCCACCUCGACUACAUCACCCCUGCAUCAAGCCUGCACCAAGCAGGCGAUCAUGUCCACUGCCGUGACACGUAAUGAUCCCCUAAACCCUUCUCUGUUCAUGUUUUAGGUGAUCUUGAUGCAAUCUGUUCCUGCUAAUGGCAUCCCAAAGAUGCAUAAUUAUUCCAACACAAAUCUCCAUGAAAUUAAUGCUCCAGCCGUCGAGAUCCUUGGAACAGGUGUCCAGUGUCACAAUGCCAAACUGCAUGAAGCAUCCAUGUCAUGGUCGUUGCACCAUAUAUAGAGGUCUUAUUUAUACAAUUGAAGAAAAAUCAUGUGCAUCGUUCUCAAAGAAAGAAGCCAGUUUGUGUAUUUUAGCCAAGCUACGAGUAUAGAUAUCAGUCUUGGUAGGUUCAUAUCAGCAUGCCACACACGUAACAUACGGAACUUCUGCACUUAUUUAGAACUGAAACUGUUUUUGCCAUGCCAAUAAAACCCAUUGGUAUCAUAGGAUUAGGAAGCAUCAGGAUUUGCGAUUAUGCCUACCUAGUUUCAGUUUUCGGUGGUAAAACAUGGAGAAGUCCAUCCUAACCCUCUAAUGAAGGAAUAACAAGAUAACCAAGAACUAAUGAUGCGAGCAGCGCAUGCGGAAGGGCACACAUAAUUAAAGAAGUAUACACGAGUAGCGCUCAACCAGACAAACGGACAUCACUGUGAUCCCCAGCUUGAGGUGUAGUGGUGGGGUUAUUGAUAAAUUUCCCAAAUAUGUGGCCACUCGCCAGGCGAAAGGCGCAAACUUGGAUGUUUGUUUAAGAAAAUUACAAUCUGAAGCUAACGAGUAGCACUAUAGGACGGCAUGUGUCUCUCUGACCUUGGAUGUGCAGCGCUGGCAAAUCAUGUUGAAGUAUUGUUUCGGUGCAGUGCUAUAGAAGCUAAUUAAGCACUAACAAAUCAAUAUAUGAUUAUGAUAAUUGUGAAUGCGACUUUCUGCAUGACUUGUCACAAUAGAGAAUAUCAUAAAUGUUACGACAUUAAAGCAUCUGUUUUGACUAUUCAAGACAAAAAGAACAUUUUGUAAGGGGCAAACUGUAAAUGGGGUAUCUAAUAUGAGUGUGAAUUUUGUGCACCGUGACUUAUACUCGACAAAUCACAUAUACAAGUGAAGGUAUUAAACAUGAAAUUAGACCCAACAACUGAUACAUCAUAUAACACGGUAUCUUUGCUACACUCUAUGAACUACCUCUCUUAAUAAUGGCACCUUCCUGAAAGAUUUGACGCACCAACCCUUUGGGUUUUGCCUCUAUAAAUUCAAAAGAAUUUCAGUACAAUGAAUGUUUUGGACCAAGUUCUCAAAGUUCAAAGGAUCAAACCACAGCCCUCUAUUGUUCUAAGACCUGUGUCCACUCAGCCGACCACCAACCUGGCUUAAUCACCUUCACCAUCACAUCCCUUUCGCUAAUGGCGCAGUAUGAUGAGCUUUGCUUCCAUGCUUCUUCAAGCCCCAACAAACACAUACUGCGACUGCAGAGAAUGGUGACAGUAUAGACCAUUCCGCGAAUGUGGUAGUCAGAACGGGUAAUUGCAUAAUUUUGCACGAAACCGAUGCCUUUUGUCAUUUUCAUCUGCGUACUCUAAGGGCAUUAGACACUUCCCUAUAACACCAAAGUAGUGUGUGCGCACGAAAAUCCCCCGACCAGUAUAGCACCCCGUCUAAAUGAAUAGCAUUCAGGCUCACAUUGGAAUUGCUCCUGCUCUAAUCCAAUCAGAUCUGUUCUGGCACCAUGGUCAAUAGCCAAGUGGCAAGGACUUCUCACCCCACGUGCUUCUAGUUCUAGGUCCCAGUAAGAUCGGGGCCAGAUUAUUCAUUGUAAUUGUGAUGAGUAAAUAGAACUCUUUUGUGGUUGAAUAAAUUCAUUGAAAAAGAAAAAACUCUCUUAAUAACUAUUUUUCUUUUGGCGAGAUUUACUGAAAGCAUCACUGUGUUAUUAAGUGAAGCAAAAAAUGUAUUCCAACUUUGUUAUGUACGUCCUCUUCGUCCAUUCACAUGACUUAUUCAAUGGCCCGACUUGAUAUGGUGAACGUGAAUGCCAUCUUGGAAGGUGAUCAUCUAAGGAACACUGUGAGCUUGAAUUGAAUUAUUAAAACUUCUAUCAGGAAGUUGUACCAUGUGCUCUUUAUGACAAUGUUGAAUAGCUUAAAAGCAUCAAUGUCAUGGUUGUUUCAUCAUACAAUAACCAGACAUUAAUGUAAUGGUGUUCCUAAUUUUCUAAGGGUGGUAGGAGAGAUAAAACAUGCUCAUAUAUACUAGUUUGCAACCUGUGUGGGCUAGGAGUAGAGCUCGGCUGUUGCUAGGUGGAACAUGCUCAUAUAUAGUUUGCGAAGAAGCCAUCAGACCAUCUACAUACCUGCGCGGGCAAGGAGUAGAGCUCAGUCUUUGCUUGUAAUACCAGAAAUGUAAUGUACAUAAGUUCUGCACUUAGUUAGAAUUGGAAUCACACUUGUCAUGCCACCAAAACCUACUGACACUAGUAGAAAACAGGGCAUAUGUUCGGGCCACAUAGGCCCAUUAGUCCCGGUUCAGUCACGAACCGGGACCCAUGCGGGCAUUGGUCCCGGUUCGUCAGGCCAGGGGCCUGCCGGGCCUCGUGGAGGCAUUUGUCCCGGUUCGUCUGGCCCCUUUGGUCCCGGUUGGUGGGACGAACCGGGACCAAUGGCCUCGCUCCUGGCCCACCACCAUUGGUUCCGGUUGGUGACUUGAACCGGGAUCAAAGGUUGCCCUUUAGUCCCGGUUCCAGCCACGAACCGGGACCAAUGAGAUGCCUAUAUAUACCCCUCGCCCCCAAGCAGAGCAGUGGAGUUCUCUGUUUUUUCUGGCCGUUGUGGGGAGGGUUUUGUGGUGCUCUAGCUCACCUGCUAUGCACAUGAGGUGUUUGAUGGAAUGCCCGAGCCACACUACUUAAGCUUUCUCCUCUCCAAACUCGACCUCCAAGCUCCAUUUUCCUCAAUAUUUAUCUAGAUUUAGCGGUCCGUCACGUCACGUCCCUGUCUUCACCGCCGUCGAUCGCCCGUGUCGAUCUCGUCGCCGGCACCACCAUGGUGAGCCUCUUGUUCUUAUCUUCUUUGUGAAUGGAAAAAUUCUUACUUGUAUGUUUAGAUAGAUACUUGUAUAAUUUUCUUACUUUUAUUAUUGCUUCUUAUUAUUUAGUGCGAUGGUUUUGGUAUCCGCCCCCGUCGGCCCUUGUCCUGUCUAUGAUUUGGAUGUGGUAUAUAUUAUCUUUAUAACUAUUUGGUUCAUUUAUUGUUUAUGACAAUUAUGCCGAGCAACGUGACAUAGAUUUUAUUUAUCUAGGAGGUAUGUGAACCGGAAAUUCCAACCGACCCUAUUGUCGAGAGGUUAAAUUUAGUUGAAGAAGAAAACAAUUUCUUGAAGGAAAAAAUAAAAAAAUUGAGGAGUAGAAGAUGUUAUUGGAGUUGCAUGUUGCAGAUGUCGUCGAUGAUCACAAGACCAAGAUGGAUGCAAUGCGCUUGAAGAUUAGAAAGAUUAGAAGAUAUGCCUUUCGUACCGAGCCUUGGUAUCAUUAUGCCAUUGGAUCAAUUGUUACCUUGGUUGCGAUUAUGAUCGCAUUUGUUUCCGCAUUGAAAUGUUUUAGAUAGUUUCAAUGUAUGGUUUAAUUAAUUAGAUGCUCUGGAGAGCUAUAUGUUAUUCAACAAGAACUAUGCAUGUACUUUGGUUUUAACGUGAUGAUGAACUUAUAUUAAUUUGGUCACUUAAUUAUCUAUUCAUGAUGUUCUGUAAUGGUUUUUGACACACAUAAUUAUAUGUAAUGCACGCAGAUGAACCAAGGGAUACCACGCAUGCACGCACUGUCUAGAUGACACCGAAAGUAUAUACUUGGACAAAAGCAGGAAGAAUGUUUACUGGGGCAUCGUCGAUUCCUUUCGACCAACUAUCAGUGUCGAAAGAAAGGCAAGCACUUCAAAGGCGAGGCAGAUCACUGGAAGAAGCCCGCCAUGCAUACGAGUGAUCACAUACUUCCUAUGGUCAAUGAUUUAAAAGUAAUCUUCGGAAAGGGUCCCGGCAGACUAUCUGUUCCGAAAAACACUGAGGGACACGCACCCAUGUGGAAGAAGAAAUCUAUAUUUUGAGAUCUACCCUACUGGAAAGACCUAGAGGUCCACUCUUCAAUCAAAUGUGAUGCACGUGACGAAGAACCUUUUCGUGAACCUACUAGGCUUCUUGGGCGUGUAUGGGAAGACAAAAGAUACACCAGAGGCACUGGAGGACCUGCAACGUUUGCACGAAAAAGACGGCAUGCCUCAAAAGCAGUAUUAAGGUCUUGCCAGCUACGCUCUUAGCAAAGAAGAGAAGGAAAUCUUCUUUGAAUGCCUGAUCAGUAUGAAGGUCCCGUCUGGCUACUCAUUGAAUAUGAAGGGAAUAAUAAAUAUGCCAGAGAAAAAGUUCCAGAACCUAAAGUCUCAUGACCGCCACGUGAUUAUGACGUGACUGCUUCCGGUUGCAUUGAGGGGGCGUCUACCGGAAAACGUUCAAUUAGCCAUUGUGAAGUUAUGUUCAUUCCUCAAUGCAAUCUCUCAGAAGGUGAUCGAUCCAUAAAUCCUAUCAAGGUUAAGAAGUGAUGUGGUGCAAUGUCUUGUUAGUUUCGAGCUGGUGUUCCCACCAUCCUUCUUCAAUAUCAUGACGCACGUCCUAGUUCAUCUAGUCGACGAGAUUGUCGUUUUGGGCCCUGUAUUUCUACACUAUAUGUUCCCCUUUGAGAGGUUCAUGGGAGUCCUAAAGAAGGAAGCAUCUCCAUGGGCCAUCAAAUAAAGGGAGUAAUUGGGUUUUGUGUUGACUUCUACACUAUAUGUACCGUGCUAGGCCAGAAGGAAGCAUCUCCAUGGGCCAUCAAAUAAAGGGAGUAAUUGGGUUUUGUGUUGACUUCAUUCCCGACCUUAAGAAGAUAGGUCUCCCUCAAUCGCAGUAUGAGGAGAGAAUGGAUGGAAAAGGCACGCUAGGAGGGGUCUCAAUAGUAUGUAGGGACGUGCAUUUUGGUCUCAAGCACACUACACGGUUCUAUAGAAUUCUACCUUGGCGACUCCGUAUGUCGAUAAAGACAAGAACGUUCUGCGCUCCAAACACCUGGACCAGUGUGACGACUGAAUUACAUGUGAACACAUCAGGAGUUUUGGUAUUUGGUUCCAAACACAUCUCAGGUGUGACAACACUGUUUCUGAUGACCUAUACUCGUUGGCGAGGGAACCAUCUUCGACUAUAAUGACUUACAAAGGGUACGAGAUAAAUGGGAAUACAUUUUACACGAUCGCCAAAGAUCAAAAGAGCACCAACCAAAACAGUGGUGUUCGAUUUGACGCAGCAAUCAAGAGGGGAAAGGACACAUAUUAUGGUUACAUAGUGGACAUAUGGGAACUUGACUAUGGAUAUGAUAUUAAGGUCCCUUUGUUUAAGUGCAAAUGGGUCAAUCUAUCAGGAGGCGGGGACCAGGUAGACCCACAGUACAGAAUGGCAUCAGUGGAUCUGAACAAUCUGGGGUACACAGACGAGCCAUUCGUCCUAGCCAAUGAUAUGGCGCAGGUUUUCUAUGUGAAGGACAUGUCUACCAAACCGAGAAAAAUAAAAGAUAAGGAAGCGGAUACAUCAUACGAUGAGCCAAAGCGCCAAAUAGUUCUUUCAGCAAAAAGAGACAUCGUGAGAUUGGAGGGCAAGAUAGACGUGUCAGAAGAUUAUGAAAAGUUUCAUCAAAUUCAUCCCUUCAUAGGCAAGGCUGACCAAAGCACCCUGUUAAACGACGAAGAUUAUCCAUGGUUACGGCACAAUAAGCAAAGAACACAAGAAAAGAAAAAGUGAAUACUUUCUAUCAACAACUAUUAUGAUGAUGCCUUUGAUGUAGAAUAUCACUAGAGUUACAUUUGAACAAAUGAAAUUCCUUUGUAACAGAUGAGUUUUCCUCCGAAACCCUGAUACUUCCAAAGAGAUUGUCUGUUUUGUACAUGCACUAGUAGAAAACAGGGCUUUGGUCAAGGCCGGGUUAGCCCAUUAAUCUCGGUUCAGUCAUGAACCGGGACUAAUGUGAGCAUUGGUCCCGGUUCAUGCGGCAAAGGCAUUAGUCCCGGUUCAAAUGGGACCUUUAGUCCCGGUUGGUGCCACGAACCUGUACUAAUGGGUGCGAUGCCCAUUAGUACCGGUUCUUGGCACGAACCGGUACUAAAGGUUAGACCUUCAGUACCGAUUCGGGCCACGAAUGGGUACUAAUGGGUUUGAGGCAUUAGUACCGUUCAUGGCACGAACCGGUACUAAAGGUCUCAUUUUCAAACUGUACCCCCCCUGUGGAUCGCCUUUUCAGUUUUGUAAAAAGCAAAAGAAAAUGAUAAAAACUUCAAGAAUUAAAAUCCUUCGAGAUGUAGUUAUGUUAUUACAUCUACUAGUUAGGAAAAUUUCAAAACUUAAAUUUGGACAUGUUUUGCAAAAAGUGUAGGGAAAAUGUAAAACGGCUAUAACUUUUGCAUACUAUGUCAGAAAAAAUGUAUAAUAUAUCAAAAUGUUCAGCACAAAAAUCCGCAUCUAAUAUUGACAGCCUAUGGCCUGUUUGCAAAUUUUAGAAUCCUCAAAUUCUAAAAGGAAAAAAAGUUAUGCUCAAAUUUUAGUUUUUUUUAAUUUUUUUGUUAAAUCUGGUCAAACUUUGGUCAAACGACUUAUUCAAGAAGUAUUAGUGUUACUAAAUAAUUAUUCAAGAAUAUUAGUGUUACUAAAUAAUUAUUUCAGUUUUUUUGAAUUUUGGUCAAAUCUGGUCAAACUAUGGUCAAACAAUGGUCAAACUACUUAUUCAAGAAAUAUUAGUGUUACUAAAUAAUUAUUUCAAUGUUUUUGAAUUUUGGUCAAAUCUGGUCAAACUGUGGUCAAACUGUGGUCGAACUAUGGUCAAACAAUGGUCAAACUACUUAUUCAAGAAAUAUUAGUGUUACUAAAUAAUUAUUUCAGUGUGUUUGAAUUUUGGUCAAAUCUGGUCCAACUGUGGUCAAACCGUGGUCAAACUGUGGUCAAACUACUUAUUCAAGAAAUAUUAGUGUGACUUCAUGCUCAAGCUAAAUUCCCGAGGGUUAAUAGGAUUGACAUCUUACUAUUGUCAGGAAAACAACAAGUGCAUACUUGGAAACGAGGGAGAAUAGAACUCGGAAGUAAAGCGUGCUCAGGCUGGAGUAGUGAGAUGGGUGACCGUCCGGGAAGUUAGAUGAUUUGGAAUGAUGAGGGGUGAUUAGAGAUUAGAGGUUAAAUUAAGCAGUGAUGAGGGUGAUUAGAGAUUAGAGGUUAAAAAAAUUCAGAAAUUUGAAAAUAAAAAAAUUCAUUUUUUUAAAAAAGUAAAUUUUCAAAAAAAAUCAUAAUCUUUCCUUUAGUACCGGUUGGUGUUACCAACCGGAACUAAAGGUGGACCUCCAGGCAGCGGCCACGUGGACGGCCUUUAGUCCCGGUUCGUGUAAGAACCGGGACUAAUGGGGGAGGCUUUAGUAACGACCCUUUAGUCCCGGUUCCAGAACCGGGACUAAAGGCCCUUAUGAACUGGGACAAUAGGCCCUAUUUGUACUAGUGAUGAAGUGCAUCUAGUUUUUGUCGUAACCCUCUCAACUUUUUAGUACAUGUUAUAUGGGUGAAAUGAUGAUACCAUGGCAACUUUCAACCUUUUCAAUGUUCAUUUGAAAUGAUUUUCAAUUUCAGGGAUCAACCAAAAAGCUUUUAUAAACCUCUGGUAUUAUUGAAACUAGAAUUAUAUAAAAUUUAUGCAACUGGAAUUAUCAAAUUAUUUUCUGUUCAAAACAUUAAAAGCAAAAAGAAUUUUCAUAAAAUNNNNNNNNNNNNNNNNNNNNNNNNNNNNNNNNNNNNNNNNNNNNNNNNNNNNNNNNNNNNNNNNNNNNNNNNNNNNNNNNNNNNNNNNNNNNNNNNNNNNNNNNNNNNNNNNNNNNNNNNNNNNNNNNNNNNNNNNNNNNNNNNNNNNNNNNNNNNNNNNNNNNNNNNNNNNNNNNNNNNNNNNNNNNNNNNNNNNNNNNNNNNNNNNNNNNNNNNNNNNNNNNNNNNNNNNNNNNNNNNNNNNNNNNNNNNNNNNNNNNNNNNNNNNNNNNNNNNNNNNNNNNNNNNNNNNNNNNNNNNNNNNNNNNNNNNNNNNNNNNNNNNNNNNNNNNNNNNNNNNNNNNNNNNNNNNNNNNNNNNNNNNNNNNNNNNNNNNNNNNNNNNNNNNNNNNNNNNNNNNNNNNNNNNNNNNNNNNNNNNNNNNNNNNNNNNNNNNNNNNNNNNNNNNNNNNNNNNNNNNNNNNNNNNNNNNNNNNNNNNNNNNNNNNNNNNNNNNNNNNNNNNNNNNNNNNNNNNNNNNNNNNNNNNNNNNNNNNNNNNNNNNNNNNNNNNNNNNNNNNNNNNNNNNNNNNNNNNNNNNNNNNNNNNNNNNNNNNNNNNNNNNNNNNNNNNNNNNNNNNNNNNNNNNNNNNNNNNNNNNNNNNNNNNNNNNNNNNNNNNNNNNNNNNNNNNNNNNNNNNNNNNNNNNNNNNNNNNNNNNNNNNNNNNNNNNNNNNNNNNNNNNNNNNNNNNNNNNNNNNNNNNNNNNNNNNNNNNNNNNNNNNNNNNNNNNNNNNNNNNNNNNNNNNNNNNNNNNNNNNNNNNNNNNNNNNNNNNNNNNNNNNNNNNNNNNNNNNNNNNNNNNNNNNNNNNNNNNNNNNNNNNNNNNNNNNNNNNNNNNNNNNNNNNNNNNNNNNNNNNNNNNNNNNNNNNNNNNNNNNNNNNNNNNNNNNNNNNNNNNNNNNNNNNNNNNNNNNNNNNNNNNNNNNNNNNNNNNNNNNNNNNNNNNNGGUCUGGCGGCUUUUUUUCAUAUAUGUGAUGAUAUGUUUUUUUUUCAUAUAUGUGAUGACAUGUUCUUUUUUAAAUAUAUGUGAUGAUAUGUUUUUUUCAUAUAUGUGAUGAUAUGUUCUUUUUUUCAUAUGAUGUUUUUUGUGCAUAUGAUGUUUUUUUCAUAUAAUGUUUUUUUCAUAUAUAUAUUAAUUUUUUUAUUUAGGUUGUUAAUUAGUAGAUAUCGAUUUUAGGUUAGUGCAUUUUAGGUUAGUGUAGAUGAAAAUAAGAAGAGGAAGAAGAAGAAGAAAACGGAUAAGAAGAGGAGAGGAGGAAGAGGAGGAGAAAUAAAUAAGAAGAGAAAAAAAAGAAAAAAAUGAGGAGAAGAAGAAAGGAAUAGAAGAGAAAAAGAAAAAAUAGAGUAAUUUCUUUUUUUUCUUCACCUCUAUUCCAUUCUUCUUCUCCACUUUUUUUCUUCUUUUUUUCUUCGAUCUUCUCCUCUCUCUAUUCCUUUCUUCUUCUCCUCUUUUUUUUCUUCUUCUUACUCUUCUUAUUUUUUAUCUGGUAUGUUGUUGUCGAUAUACCACCUCCCCAACAACUUCACAUGAGGGGGGGUUGAUAUACCACCUCCCCGAUAACUUUGACAUGAGGAGGGGGGAGGGGGUCGAAGGUUGAGGGUUCGAGGGUUCUAGGGUUGAGGGUUCUAGGGUCGAGGGUUCGAGGGUCGAGGGUCGUCGAGGUGCCGAGGGUUCGAGGGUCGAGGGUCAUCGAGGGUUCGAGGGUUCGAGGGUCGAGGAUCGCCGAGGGGUCAAGAGGUUGCCUAGUGUCAAAGUAUUGAAGAAAUCCAUGGCUUCAUCAUUAGCCAGAAGUAACCGGGGCAUGAUGGUACGAAGUUCUCCAAAGUUAUUCUGGAACGGAGUCCAGGAUAGGGUAUAUAAGAUAUAAGAUAUAAUAUGGAGAUAAAUAACAGCAUUUAUUAUUGCCUCUAUGGCAUAUCUCCUACACAUGUGCCACCUGCAGAACCGCGUCAAACCCGGUCUGUUGAUGGAGGGGAUGUCCCAUACAGUCACAAGCCUCGGAAAGGCAGUCGCGAGCUCGAGAUCCAGCCUCGAGUCGUACUCACAAUCCCGGAGUCUGCCACCGUCGAAGAACAAGGGUCGCCACCCAAUUUAGUGUGCUACAUGGAGCACCCACCGCUGCGCCAGCCGAUGUCGUCGCCUAUACAACGGCAACCGACUGCGCAGGCGUCAGAGCGGGUUACUAGGUCCCGAAUCCCUUGCUCGCCGCCUCAAGGUCAGCCAUGCUCGACCUACUAUUGUGUGGACGAGCGGGCCGCCGCCAGAUCCGCCGCCCUGGAAUCCAUAGGCCCACCUUGUCCACCCACCAUGAUCAUCCCCCUCACAGGAAGAUGACAAGGAUGGAGGCUGCAUACGCCUCAUGACCAAGGAUGCCGCCCCGGCUACUGCGCCUGGCUAACUCCGCUGAUGCCACCCCAACUGCCCCUAGGAUUUUCCACCGCAUCCCUCCGAUCCCCAGCACCUUCUGCACUGAGGAACGUACGUUAUCGGUAAAAUGAUGUAAUAUAUAUGUUCCCAUUUUGUUUACACACUUAGCCAUUAUGCAUUGGUCAAAUGAUGUAAUAUACACUACAAAAAAAGACACAUUCGUGACAUUUUGGGCUGAACGAUUUUUUUUCCUGUCAUACAUAUGAAACUUCUAUGACGAUAAUUGUGAUAAAAUCCGGUAUCAUCAUAGAUGUGGUGGGCUCCUACUUCUAUGAAAAAAAUCAUGAAAGAAAAUGGGCUUUUUGUCCUGGGCGGGUCGGAUACGCAGCUGCAUGACAUUCUUUGGGCCGUCCAUAACGGAAAAAACCGUGGUAGAAGCGAGGGGGAGGAAAAUUUCGGGGAGUUGCCGGUUACGAUGGGAGGUCGGGGACGGAGCGAUGCGCGUUUCUCUUGUACGUGCGCGCGUGUGUGUGAGGCGUUGGCUCUAACUGAACACGAGCGAGGUGUUGGGCUCUAACUGAACCCGAGCAAUUGCACUGCAGGCUACCCGUUACUGAACCCGAGCGAUCGAUCGAUGGCUGGUAACUGAACACGAUGGAGCGAUUCCUUCGCUACUACUGCUAACAGAAGUCAAUUGAUGUUGCCUCNNNNNNNNNNNNNNNNNNNNNNNNNNNNNNNNNNNNNNNNNNNNNNNNNNNNNNNNNNNNNNNNNNNNNNNNNNNNNNNNNNNNNNNNNNNNNNNNNNNNNNNNNNNNNNNNNNNNNNNNNNNNNNNNNNNNNNNNNNNNNNNNNNNNNNNNNNNNNNNNNNNNNNNNNNNNNNNNNNNNNNNNNNNNNNNNNNNNNNNNNNNNNNNNNNNNNNNNNNNNNNNNNNNNNNNNNNNNNNNNNNNNNNNNNNNNNNNNNNNNNNNNNNNNNNNNNNNNNNNNNNNNNNNNNNNNNNNNNNNNNNNNNNNNNNNNNNNNNNNNNNNNNNNNNNNNNNNNNNNNNNNNNNNNNNNNNNNNNNNNNNNNNNNNNNNNNNNNNNNNNNNNNNNNNNNNNNNNNNNNNNNNNNNNNNNNNNNNNNNNNNNNNNNNNNNNNNNNNNNNNNNNNNNNNNNNNNNNNNNNNNNNNNNNNNNNNNNNNNNNNNNNNNNNNNNNNNNNNNNNNNNNNNNNNNNNNNNNNNNNNNNNNNNNNNNNNNNNNNNNNNNNNNNNNNNNNNNNNNNNNNNNNNNNNNNNNNNNNNNNNNNCCAACACAAGUCCGUUUCAUCCGUUUUGCGGUACGCCACACCCCUCCCGAUCAACAGGACCCCCGUUUCGACCUUAGGAUCUCCAUUUCCUCCGUUUUGUGGUACGCCAGGCCCCUCCCGAUCAACAGGACCCCGUUUCGAACGUGGCCGGUCGAACACAAGGCCGUUUCCUCCGUUGUGCGGUACGCCAGGCCUCGUUUCCAUCGCCUGUUCUGUCAAGCCCUCCUGAUGAACAAGACCAUGCAUUCUGUUCCGACCCAGCCGGUUGGCUCCCCAUGAACACGACGACGAUGCUGUUUUACCGUUCCGACCCAGCCAUGUACGUAUGCGCGAGUAGGCGUUCGAGACCCUGCCCGUAUGUACGUACGUGGCCGUAUUUUCUUUCUUGCACCCUCGCCGAUGUACGUAUGGGUACAUGCUACGUGCGUGCCUCUACUAUCACACGUGCGUGCCUCUACAUCUACGACAUGUGCGCGCCUCUACAUCGACCAAUAUGUACGUACACGUUCACGACUAGAAUGACAAAGCUACGUACGCUUCGACCAGGUCGGUCCCGACUGUCAGGCACUUCCUUGCGUGCGAAGAUGUAGCUGGUGGGUCCCAGCUGUCAGGGGGGAGAAUGGUUUUUUUUGCCUGGACGCACUUACUUGCGUGCGAAGGUGUAGCUGGUGGGUCCCAGCAGUCAGGGGGGAAACAUUUUUUUGCGAAAUAUGGUGGCCCGUCCGGUGGGUCCCCGCUGUCAGGUGGAGGAAUAAAUAUUUUGCGCGUAAUAAGGAGGCACUUCCUUGCUGCGACCGUGGACCCAGCUGUCAGACCGUGGACCGUGGACCCAGCCGGUUGGCUCCCCAUGGAAGCCGUUCCUUGACAACGUUGACCACGCCACGCCGAGAGCACCAGGGACGCAGGGCGGUGGACGAUGGCAAGGCCAAGGAAGGGAACGACGCGGAACCGAGGAAGACGCGGCAAUGGAUGCCCACGCGUAGAGGAGUACGAGGGUUCACUGGUUCGCUGCGGUGUGAGGCUGCCUUCGCCGCAGAAUAACAGGGGGUGUGGGUGAGUAGAGGGAUGGCCUGGCCAGCGGUGGGAGUAGUAGGGGGCGGUGAGGCCUCCGUCGCAUCACAGCCGGCCACGGGAGGCAGGAGCACGAGGCACGACCGGCACUGGUUUGGGCGGCUGGAGCAAGAAGACCAGAGGUUGAAGAAGCACUACGGUCGUUGGAUGGACAUCGUACGGUCAUUGGAGCUAGAAUCGUGCAUAUUGACUAAGUUGACAAAGCCAUCCGUCCCCGUCAACUUAGUAGGCCCACAAGUCAGCCUGCCACUAUACUGGGUCCCAGCUAACAGGGGGAGUAUUAAUUUUUUUGUGCGUAAUAAGGAGGCACUUCCUUGCGUGCGAAGAUAUAGCUGGUGGGUCCGAGUUGUCAGCGACGGUAACGUUUUUUCGCGAAAUACUGAGGCACUUUCGGUGGGUCCCCGAUGUCAGGUAGAGGAAUCAUUAUUUUGCAAGUAGUAAGGAGGCAUUUCCUUGCGUGCGGCCGUGGACCCAGCUGUCGGCCUCUCCACGUACAGUCCACUUCAGAUGCAUGUCGGUCGUUGACCACGUUGACCAGGCCGCGCCGAGAGCACCAGGGCGGUGGACGAUGGCGAGGCCAAGGAAGGGAACGACACGGAGGCAGGGAAGCCUCCACAGUUGUUUCCCACGCGGAGGGGAGUACGACUGAAUGAGGGUUUACUGGUUCGUCUACCAUCACCGGAGAAUAACAGCAGGUGUGGGUGAGUAGAGGGAUGGCUAGGCUAGCGAUGGGAGUACGGUGGGGCGGUGAGGCCUGCGCGGCAGUACAGCCGACCGCGGGGAGGAGGGAGCAGGCAGUCCCGCUGGCGCUUGUUUGAGCGGCUGGAGCAUGAAGAGUAGAUAUUGAAGAAGCACGACGGCCGUUGGAUGGCCAUCCAACAGUCACUGCUUGUGCGUCAACAUUUUUUUAGGAAAGCCUCAAAUCUGUGGAAAAUAGCAUACAGCCCAUCUGCCAUUAUUUCUAAUAAUUUACAGUCCAUUUGCUAAUCCUUAAGAUUUUGUUUGGAGCCCAUAUUAUUUUUGUUAGCAUUACAGCCCAUAUUGUGGCCACAGUUAAAAAUUAUAUGAAAUUUUGCAUAUUUCGGUGCAGUCCGAACUGUUUUUAAUCCCGAAAUUUCGACUCACAUUCAAACUGAUUUUAAAAAUAAAUGUAUAUCAAUAUAAAAUCCAACAAAUUCUCCAUGCAUAAAAAUUAAUGUAAUUUAAAAUCUCGAAAUGAAAAAAAGAUAUUUGAAACUAAUUGCCGGUUUGAUGUGUUUUAAAAAUGUACAACCCAUUUCUCAUUACUGAUAGGACAUUUUCUCGGCCAGCCAAAUGAAGCUCUCCUCGUCUUGAAAGAUUUGCAGCCCAACAGGCCUGACAAAGCGACUUACUUGGCAAAUCACAAAAAAACUCGGUUUUGGCCUUGGACCCAAUUGUCAGCCUCUCCACGUACAGUACUCUUCCGAUGAAAGUCGGUCGUUGACCACAUUGACCAUGCCGCACCGAGAGCACCAAGGCGGUGGACGACGGCGAGGCCUAGGAAGGGGACGACGAGGAGCCGGGGAAGACGCGGCAGUGGAUGCCUACGUGGGAAGGAGUACGAGGGUUCAGUGGUUCGGCUGCGGCGUGAGGCUGCUGUCGCCGCAGAAUAACAGGGGGUGUGGGUGAGUAAAGGGAUACCCUGGGCAAGCGGUGGGAGUAGUAGGCGGAGGUGAGGCCUCCGCGGCAUCACAGCCGACCACGAGAGGCAGGAGCACGCGGCACGACCGGCGCUGCUUUGGGCGGCUGGAGCAAGAAGACGAGAGGUUGAAGAAGCACUAUGGCCGUUGGAUGGACGUCGUAUGGUCACUAGAGCUAGAAUCAUUCAUAUUGACUAAGUUGACAUAGCCCUCCGUCCUCGUCAACUUAGUAGGCCCACAAGUCAGCCACCCACUAUGGCGGGUCCUAGCUAGCAGGGGGUAUUUAUUUUUUGGUGCGUAAUAAGGAGUCACUUCCUUGCGUGUGAAUAUAUAGCUUGUGGGUCCGACCUGUCAGUGGGGGGGGUGUUUUUUCACGAAAUACAGAAGCCCUUCCCACGUACAGUGCAUGUACAGUGCGUAAUAAGGAGGAACUUUCCUUGCAUGCGACCAUGGACCUCGUUGGUCCCAGCCGUUAGGCUCUCCACGUACAGUCCUCUUCCUAUGACUCCCGUAUGUUGACUACGCCGUGUCGUGCGCCUCGAGGCGGUGGACGAAGGCAAGGCCCCAGACUGGAACGACCCGGAGAUGGGGAAGACGCGGCAGUGGAGUCGCAGACGGAGAGGAGUGGGUAACUUUACUGGUUCGGGUGUGGGGUGGGCCUACACUCGGCAGAGAAUAACAGGAGGUGCGGAGUGGAGGGAUGGCCUGGCCAUCGGCGGGGUAGCGUUUCACUAAGGAGCACAAAACAACGCCGCUGGACGCCAAAGACUGGAGCAGGCGGUUCCGGCAGCGCUAGGGGAAGAAGACAAGAGAUUGAAGAAGAAUACCGGCCCUUAGAUGUAAAUCCAACGCCUUCUUAGGCUUUGACCUACUGGCCCACAUGUCAGCCAGUCCAUUUGUCUUUUUAGUCCAUUUUGGUGGGCUGGGUGAAACAAUGAUGUAGCAUCUACGCAGUCCGUUUAAAUCCCAUUUGCAUUUUUCUCAAAAUCCGCGGACUUGGUGGGCUGGGUGAAAAUAUCAUGUUGGGCUAGACGGAGAAAUGUUAUAAAAACAUAAACACAUGAUUGCACGUCAGUAAAAUCUUUGCAAGCUUAUGUACGCAACCACUAGGAGUUAACUUGGCAAGUUAUAUAUAAACAAUUAUUAUUAUUAUUUUGUAAGAACUUUCAACUUAUGAAAUAAAAUAUCAUUUUAAUUUGAUGAGUUAAUAGUACGUGGGGUAUUAUUAUUUUUUAGGCUAGACGUGGGACAGUUGAUUUGGUUCUAGGGGAAAGUACUGGGAGAAAACUCAGUUUACAUCGAAAAAGAAAGUGGGAGAAAAUUCAGAGACCUGAUGGGUCCAUGUGAGGAGAGGAAUAUGUUGGGAGGAAGGAUAUUCAAAGCACGGCAGCCGAGUUAACUAGUUUUUUUUACGGACAAGUGAACUAGUUUACAUACAUUAGCAAAUAGCCACUAAAAAAAGCAAUCAGGUUAAUGGGUUCUUAAAAGAAAUAUUUCGGACAAAACAGAUAAUUACGACACAUAGGCUAAUGCAUGAAACACUCAGAUGAUAAAGGUGCUUAUAAACAGAUAAAGUACAACAUCUAGACCUUCCAGGCAUGCUUGAUCAUGACGCUGCGGCUGUCCAUGUACUCGUCAGUUACGGGAAGCAGACAAGCCCUCAUGUCCAAGAUCUGCCUGUACAUGUCGUAGCAUGCAUAUGCGUCCUUGGCCAUGUAGGUUAUGUAGGCUAGAUUGAGAGGUACCUCCCACGUGUUCAGGUCGUCUUCUUUCAUGUUGGCGUAUCAGGGGUCGAUGAUGCUCUCAGCAAGGUCAACCACGGAGUCCUUCUCCUGCCCGUUGCUGAUGAUGUUGUAUUGCUUCUGUAUGUCGACAAGCUUGUUGCACGAGAUGACCGAAUCAUCGCGUUCUUCCUUCUGUCCACCGUAGCGAAGGUGCAGUCGGUGCUGCCGAUGAAACGGGCGAAUGCUCCAGAACCUGGUGUAGCCAUAGGACUGAGGCAAGGCAGAGCUUCUUCGAGUCUGUAUCGUUGGUGUACAUCACAUUCAACUUGGUGCUAAAGUCCAUAUCCAGCAGGCUCACCCCUCGGAUCACCAUUGGAGUCUCUUUGAGUGAACGAGUGUGUAGGCGGCGGCAGCAGUUCGUUUUUCAGCUCUUGGGGAACUGGAUUCAACAGUAAGCUGAGUGUGUACAGGCGACAACAGUUACUACCCCUCCCUCGUCCGCUGCACGCCCGGCAGAAGAUGCACCCUCGGUGCAUUCAAACGCCUCCAUUAAGAAACCUACUCCGGCCACACGUCGGUUCACGAGCGGGUGUGCAUUGGUACUGUAAUAACAGGAGUUAGUGGUCACUUUACUCUAAUUUAAUUAGCUUUAAUAGAAAUUUAUACUUAAAACAAGCAAUGCAUUGGCUCGUUAUAUCAGUGCCACGGGAUCAACAUGCACAACAAUUAGAAUUAUUAUUCUCAAGACGCACACGAUCAGCACAUUUGUCGCACUUUCACAAAGAUAAUACUGCCAAGUUUGAACUGCUUGUUAUGGUUGCUGUCCACUGCAUCAUCAUGCCGUGUUUCCCAGCUUGCAAGAUUCAGAACCAAUAAAUAAGAUCCAAAUAAUAAGUACAACAAAGAUUCCUACACAUCUCAUUGAUUCCCAGCUUGCAAGAUUCAGAACCAACAAAUAUGGUCCAAAUAAUGAGUACAACAAAGAUGCCUACACAUCUCAUUGAUUCCUAGCUUGCAAGAUUCAGAACCAACCCAUUAGAGCCUUUUGAUAAAUUGAAUAUCGGGAUUAAAUCCAUCUUGGAUAGCCAUGUCAUACAAUCGAAGAACUUGGCGAAUGCUCUUGACCGUCACAAUAUCUGUAGUUGAGUAUUCCCAUUUGCACAACAUGUUUGCACAGCACAAACAAGGAGACAGGAAAGCAUGAUUUCACUUUAAUAGCGGCCUCUUGAACUCAACCUCCAGGUCCACUAGGAUGAGGUCUACCUGGAGUUCCAUGAUUCAAUUCAUGCGCCUUUUCUGUGGUUCACCUGAAAUGAAGCAAAGAUUGCAUCAUUCAGCUAGCAAGAAGUACUUGCUCUUGUGAGCUGGCAGGUUCUUCUUUAGUAGUUGCACUAAAAUUGAGGAACAUUAAGGUUGGCUGUCCGGCUCAUGUAAGGUGCAACUAUAAUUUUCUUAUCCUUUUGUGCAGUUCCACUAAAAUAAAGUGCCAUUGUGGCGACAAUGACGGCUCCAUCUUGCAAAGGCUAAUAAAAUGUUGCACGAGAUUACCUGCAGAACUUGACGGAGAUUUUGGAAACUCCAAUCACCAUUUUGUGCAGUUCCACCAAAAUUGAGAGAUGUUGCCCACGUGACAUUUUACUUGAACAACACAAGACACUCAUUCCAAAAAAAGUGUUUUGUGCAGUUCACCAAAAGGUCACAAUAGCAACAAGGUGAAAUGGAUAUCCCUAUUUGCACAAAAUGAUAGAAAGUAAACAGUUGCUGGUCAAUAAGAAUAUACGAAACAUAUACAAAAUGAAACGAAACAUCUUAAUUAUGUUCAUGGCAAUCAUGCAAGGACAGUAUAAAUUUUAAAACGUCAGCAAUGCUUCAUGUUACCAGAGGCAUUACGAUCAACAAUGAGAUUCCUCAGAUAUGGGAUUACAUUAAUGGUGGCAUUGCUUGUUUACGAGACACAGUAAUUCAACAGCAGCUAAAGAGUUGGUUUAAGGGCAUGGGACCGUGGGGACACCAGGACACUCAGCAGCGUAAAGGAGCAACUUACUUAACAUACUGGGGAAAACAACAGGAGUGCCAUUUGUAACACAGUUUAAUUGCAUCUUAUCACUGGAGGCAUUAGAUUAACAGUAACACUGGUUAGACAUGUCCCUAAAUAACAGUGUGAUCGCUUCAUUUUACAUGCGCCCUUACAGCAAAAGGUUGGUUUACCCGCAAAAAAAACAUCAAAAGGUUGGUAUAAGGACAUGCGAGAGUGGACGCAUCAGCACAAUGUACCUACAAGGAGGCAUAAAGUGGUGAUGCCGAGCUCGUUCACGCUAUGUGAGGGUAGCAAACCUAAUCCUGGAGACCUUUUACUAUGUGAGGACAGCAAAUCUAAUCCUGGAGGCCUUUUACUAUGUGAGGGCAGCAAAUCUAAUCCUGAGACCUUUUACUAUGUGAGGGCAGCAAAUCUAAUCCUGAGACCUUUUACUAUGUGAGGGCAACAAAUCUAAUCCUGAGACCUUUUACUAUGUGAGGGCAGCAAAUCUAAUCCUGGAGACCUUUUACUAUGUGAUGGCAGCAAAUCUAAUCCUGGAGAUACUCUGUUGACUUGUCCACCAGCCGCCACUUUCUAUCCUUUUUUCAACCAAUAAUAGAUCUGUUCCUUAUCCAGUUUGUACUACGUUUUCCCAUUAUUUCCCUAUUCAACCAAGAGACCGGUUGGGUAUCCGGUCUCUACUACUUUAACCAUAUUAUUUCCUCUUUGAAUCAAGUCCUAGAUUCAUGCUACAACUUUCCCCCCUUUCUUCGUUGUUUGAACAAAGCCCUAGAUUCGAAUGCAUGAAAUAGAUUUACCUCUAAUAAUACUAAAAAUUUAGGUGGCUUUGGAAGAGCUGAUGGGAGUAGAAAAAGAUGCACAUGCAGACACGUGGGGAGCUGGGGCAGUACAGCAAGGCCGCUUUCGAAGAACUUAUACCUGAGGGUCGCCGGGAUGUAGGCGGCGGCAGGUCGGAUCUGCGGACAAUACCGCAGGGAGGAAGAAGGGUCGCAGGACCUCCUGAGCCGGCGCUGUGUCGGAGAGAACAUCACAGGCAGAGGAUCGGGCCCCUCCGGCAGCUGUGGGUUUCCUCCCUCCGCGGUGAUGACCACGUGAAUGAUGCACCUUUUAGUCCUCUACGCACAUCGGCCGAAGGGAUCCGGCCGGAUCUGUGACCAGCGGUGAGCAGAGUGAAAAUGUCGCUAGCACUCUCUUGUUUAUAUCUGGAGAGGAUGAGAGAAUGAAGAGAGCAACCCUAGUAAAGCGGGCGCUCAGGCCCCUACGUCCAUAUAUAGUGGAGUGAUUAUCUUUUUUCUCUCCACAACAAGCGUUUCAAUUUGUGUACGUGGCAUUAAAGAAAAGAAACUCUCUAUUUAAGGUGACUACUCUACGACUCCUACUUACUACUACUAAAGUACUACCUCCAUCCUGGUUUAUAGGUCCCUUUUAUAGUUUGUGCCAAAUUUUGACUAAAGAUUUAACUAACAAAAUGUUAAUGCAUGUCAAGAAAAAUUAUCUCAUUGGAUUCGUAUUUGAAAAUAGUUUUGAAAAAUAUAAUGUUUGGUGACAUGCGUGAACAUUUUCUUAGUUUAAUCUAUGGUCAAAAUUUGGCACGAAAUACAAUGGGGACCAAUAAACCCGGACAGAGGUAGUAUUGUUCACCUGUGCUCCCCGCCCCUCCAUUCAUUGAACAACCCCACGGGUGAAUAAACAUAUAGUAAGUACUGCAUUUAUAUAGAACGAACAAGCUCGAACUAUUUUCGUGUAGUUAAAAGUUGAGGGCGGGGCUUUUCCCGGGCAGUACGCGCGGCAGUUUUCGGGUAGGCGGUUUGACAGAGAGGCGGGGAGGGUGAGCGAGUGGGGCUGUGCGAUUUGAUGGCACGUUACUGCUGGAAAGACUUGUGAUAUGACCACUCACUAUAGUCAUGAAUUACUGGCGCUCCGACCGGGGUGAUGCCCCCCUUCCGUUCCGCGUUCUAAUCUGGUGCAUGACACGUCGACCCGGAUGCUGGCUCUCCCACAUGUCGGAGUAUUAAGAAGGAGCAAAGAAUGAUGCCGUAUAUACUAGUACUAUACUACUCCCUCCGUUCCUAAAUAUAAGUCUUUGGAGAGAUUUCACUAUGGACCACAUACGGAGAAAAAUGAGUGAAUCUACACAUAAAAUGCAUUUAUAUACAUCCGUAUGUGGUCCACAGUGAAAUAUCGACGAAGACUUAUAUUUAGGAACGGAGGGAGUACUACUCAGGUCGGAGGAGUGCGAACCACGGCAGCCCAGUGAACCAGCCGUGCGAACCACGGUAGCCCAGUGAACCAGCAGUAGAAAACAAUAAUGUGGUGAUAUGGCCAUAAAAAACAAUGUGCUAUGGUCCACACUGUAGCAUAUAUAGUAACACUCCUCUUUUGUUUGGAUCCCUGAAUUAGAGCUAGUUUGGGUUGAAAUAGCCUCAAAUCAUCGAAACAAGAGGGGUUAGUUUGAGCUAGUUUGCUCUAACCAGCUAAAAAAACUAGCCCAGUGGAGAGGUUCUAACUGGGUUAGUUAUCCUGGCCCCACUAAAAGAGAACUAAAAAAAUCUCACCUGCCCGCACCAGAUCGCUCCCCUAAAAAAAUCUCACCUGCCCGCACCAGACCGCUCCCCCCUCUCGCACGACUCCUCUCUGUUCCCCAUAGGGCCUCCCGCCCAAGCGCCGCUCGCCCUUUGUCUCCUCCGGCCGCCCUCUCCUUCCGGCCUCCGUCACCCUACUCCGGACACCCUCUCCCUCCAACCUUCGAAGGUCGCCCCGCUCCCCCUUCACCAGUCAUUUUUCUCCCUCUGUCGUGCGCGGCGGUGGCGCACAUACCAAGGAGGUCGUGAGAGGGGUGAGUUUGUUCGUUCCUUCUCUGUCUCACGGCCAUAUCAUUGAUCUUGCUUGCUCUAGCGCUAAUUCUGAUUUGGAAAAGUAGAUCAUGAUCAAACUUGCUAUAGAUUUGUGGUGCACACAUGGAAUUGUUUGAUGCUUCUUGAGGAGGUAAUAAAUCUUUCUAGAGGCCCAAAUAUUCAGGUCACCUUUCUAGGUAUUUCAAUUUCAGGCUUGCAUUAUUUGUAGAGGCCCAAAGAUUCACUUCACCUUUCUUGGUAUUUCAAUUUCAGGCUUGCAUUGUUUCUAGAGGGCCAAAGAUUUAGUUCACCUUUCUAGGUAUUUGAGUUUCAGGCUUGCAUUAUUUCUAGAGGCCCAAAGAUUCAGUUCAUCUUUCUAGGUAUUUCAUUUGCAGGCUUGCAUUAUUUUUAGAGGACCAAAGAUUCAAUUCACCUUUCUAGGUAUUUCAGUUUCAGGCUUGCAUUAUUUCUAGAGGCCCAAAGAUUUAGUUCACCUUUCUAGGUAUUUAAGUUUCAGGCUUGCAUUAUUUCUAGAGGCCCAAAGAUUCAGUUCACCUUUCUAGGUAUUUUAGUUUCAGGCUUGCAUUAUUUCUAGAGGACCAAAGAUUCAGUUCACCUUUCUAGGUAUUUUAGUUACAGGCUUGCAUUAUUUAUAGAGGCCCAAAGAUUAUGUUCCCAGUCGGCGGUAAGCGGCCCUGCUACCCAUGCCGGUGUCGACCUCAACUCGCAAAGGCCGGCGUCGGAGGGGUUCCCGGGGCUUGGGCUCUACAGAGCCUUCCUCAAGAGCGACGAUUGCGAGCUCCUCACUCGGUGCGUGAGGGGCUCCAGGCUCCCUCCCUAUCGUGAACAACUUCCAUGAUGAGUUAGAUCAUUCUUUGUUUCAUGAAGUGUUUUUUUAUUUUGUGAAGCUUGAUUGACGACUUGUACCCCACCGACGAUGACGAGUGAAGGAGUUGGCCAUGGAGGAGAGGAGUUAGCCAUGGAGGAGUUGUCCUUGGAUCAAGCAAGCAAGCUGGUGGUGUUUUAUCUUAUCUAGGGUGUCGUUUCAUUAUUGUCGUGUUGGGUUGAACUAUGAACUUUCUAAAUAAGUUGUGAUGGUACUAUGUAUGUCGUGCUUGGGACCCGUUUAUCUAUCUUAGUUGUAAUGUGGUACUAUCUAUCUCAUGCAAUGCUACUACUUAUGCUACUAUAUUGUGAUGUGUUCUAUCUGUUGUUUUUUAUCUAGUUGAUAUUGGUCAGUUGAUAUAUAUCGUGCUUGAUGUUCUAUCUAGUUGAUCUAUGUGUUACUAAUAAAAGGGGGUAGAUUCCACUAUGGACAUGCAAGUGUAUGGGUAACCAAUUUUUUUUGCCAAAAAAACCAUAUCUUGGUGUGCUGCAUGUGUGCAUGCAUGUACCUAGGCCUUAAGUAAUAGGGUCACCCUAGCUAGUAGGUGUAGGGUGCAAAUUUUUGUGCAACAUGGACAUGCAACUAAUACAAAUAAUUAUUGGAUUAACUGAAAUGCCCAAAAGAAAUAUUUUUGUGCUCCUAAAAAUAUUGGUUUGAACCUCUGGCCAUUAUUUUUAGAGCAAAACAUGAACAUUUUCUUGGACCUAUUUCAAGCAAAUUUUAACUUGAUCAUUUCCAAAAAUGAUUUCUGAGGCUUUCACAGAUCCCCAUUUAAUUUGGGGCCCUUUAACUUGGGUUUCAUGGAACCAUAGACAUGCAUAAAAAGAAUCACAAAACAAUAGUGGGAAAGCAACAAAUAUGUAAAGAAAAACAAAAAAGUACAAUACAUACGGCCCAACAUUUAUUCGACAGAAAAAAUUGGCUAAAGAAAAAACAAGUAAAGAAGUAUAUGUUUGUUAAAGGUUUAUUUGCUGAAGCAGCAUUUUAUUUUGAGGGUUUAGUCGAAGCAUUUUUUAUAAACAUGGGUGCCUCUAUGCUAUAAAACUGGGCUGGUGCCCCUCCGCUGGUGGGCUUGUCUCAAUUUGGGCUUGGUUAUUUUCUCACGACCCAACAUCUUUUCGGCAGCAAGAUUUGUUUUUCUGAAUUUGGGGGUUGUGCACUCUGUUAACUGAAGAACAAGAGCAAAGCAUGAACACUGAAUAUUUCUACCUCGAUUCAGUUACAAGAACUUGACAUGGCGCACAUAUCACAUCCUAUGCCCUGACAGACCUAAAUGCCCCCUCUAAUGACGGAUGAAUAGCAAGUAAAACAUAAACAGAGCAAUGACACAACAAUUAAAACCCCCCUGCCAUGAUAUUUGCCUGUUUCUGCAAAUUGAUCAUCUCCAUUUGAUUUUUGUUGAUCUUCUUCAGUUCCUCGGUCAGUUGAGACUCCAAGUGCGGUUCAGCAUGGGUAGCAUUGCGUGCAUAGCUCGCCAUCAGCAUGACUUUGCCUGCCCCUCUGUCCGAGCUCCCAAAAUUCUCCAUCUGGGGCACUGUCGGUGUCAAAACCGGCGGAUCUCGGGUAGGGGGUCCCGAACUGUGCGUCAAGGCGGAUGGUAACAGGAGACAAGGGACACGAUGUUUUUACCCAGGUUCGGGCCCUCUCGAUGGAGGUAAAACCCUACUCCUGCUUGAUUAAUAUUGAUGAUAUGGGUAGUACAAGAGUAGAUCUACCACGAGAUCGGAGUGGCUAAACCCUAGAAUCUAGCCUAUGGUAUGAUUGUUGUGCGUCCUACGGACUAAAACUCUCCGGUUUAUAUAGACACUGGAGAGGGCUAGGGUUACACAGAGUCGGUUACAAUUCGAGGAGAUCUUCAUAUCCUAUCGCCAAGCUUGCCUUCCACGCCAAGGAAAGUCCCAUCCGGACACGGGACGGAGUCUUCAAUCUUGUAUCUUCAUAGUCCGGGAGUCCGGCCAAAGGUCUUAGUCCGGCCAUCCGGACACCUCCUAAUCCAGGACUCCCUCAGUAGCCCGUGAACCAGGCUUCAACGACGGCGAGUUAGGCGUGCAGUUGUCUUCGGCAUUGCAAGGAGGGUUCCUCCUCCGAAUAUUUCAUAGAAGAUGUUGAACACCAGGGUAGUGUCCGGCUCUGCAAAAUAAGUUCCACAUUCCUUCGUAGAGAGAAUAAUAUUUGUAUCAAUCGGAUCUGCUGACGUAUUUCGUGGUGUGAUGUUAUGCCACAGCCAGGCUCUUUAUUCAUUUUAGUGUUCCACCUCAGCGCGUUUAGCAAGGCGGUUUCCUUGGCACGUCUUGUCAAAGCAGAGAUUAUGUCCCCUUAUUCCGGGAUUCUCAUCAAUACGUGCGUGGGUAACCCAACCGCUCCAUUAACCGCGGCACUUGGGAGAUAAGCGAGUUUUAUCAGGCCGGUGGGGGGCUCGUAGUUUUGGCCGCCCAUAUAAGGGGAUAAGGAUCCACCCUUUCCAUUCACGCCCUCUUCCUCCUCUGCUUAUCCGUCCCUGCGUGCUCGAGCUCCAGCGCCCAAGCCCGCACUUACCACCUCAACCUUCUCCAACCAUGUCGGGAGCGGGAGGUAGAUGGAUGGCCCCCUCCGUCACGAAGGGACAAAUCAAAAACCUGAGGAAGGCCGGAUACUUGUCUAACGACAUCGUGCACCGGCUCCCAGAUGCGGGGCAACUCAUCCCCACCCCCAGGCUCCAUGAGAGGGUUGUUUUUCUUCCCCAUUUCCUCCGCGGACUAGGUUUUCCUCUUCACUCGUUCGUCCGGGGGCUCAUGUUCUACUAAGGCCUGGACUUCCACGAUCUGGCCCCGAACUUCAUCCUCAAUAUCUUGGUGUUUAUCAUCGUGUGCGAGGCCUUCUUCCGCAUCCAGCCCCACUUUGGCCUAUGGCUGAAGAUCUUCAGCGUCAAGCCGAAGGUCGUGCAAGGCCGAAAGGCAGAAUGCGGAGGCGCCAUGGUGGGCAAGAUAGCCAUCGUCACCUGGCUCGAGGGUGCCUUCGUGGAAACCAUCAAAGGUUGGCAAUCUGGGUGGUUUUAUAUCACCGAGCCGCGUGACCCUAAAUGGGCAGCGACCCCUGAAUUUCGAUCCGGCAUCCCCACCCGGCUCACAUCUUGGAAAGAGACGGGCCUGUCGUGGGGCAAUCCGGAAGAGGUGACCGAACUCCAAACCUACGUCCGAGACCUAGUGACCAAGAAGGUCAAGCUUGUCAACGUGGUCCAGGUCAUGCUCUUCCGCCGGAUCCUCCCGUGUCAACGACGGGACUUCAAUUUGUGGGAGUUUGACCCGGCCCGGCACCAGACUCUAUCCAGGCUCUUCGAAACGAAGCACGAGGACGCCUGGAAGGUGCUUUUCAAGAGUUCCGAGGUCUCCCCUCCCGUCACCGAGGAUCGCGGGUUCUGCGCCAAACGUCAAGCCUCCGAAGUAAGCUUAUCUUUAGUCCCUUACAGGAUACCCGAAUUUCAUAGUGUGACUUUAUGUAGGAUCUAAACUCCCGUUCCUUUGACAGGAUUGGAAGAGGACAUCCGGACAGUUCGACUGUCCGGCCCCUUUGCCCGAAGGCCUAGUAGACACACAAUUAGCAAAGCUACUGGUUCCGGCACCCCACGUGGUGCUAGAGAAGAAGGCCAAGGAGAAGGCCACGAGGACCCGAAAGAGUUCCCGGCGCCGGUGUCGUCGGAUUUGCCCGACGUCCCCAAUGCACCCUCCGCCUCCGAAGACGAGGAGGAGGAAGAAGAAGAUGCCUCUCCCCCUCCAACGGGGGGAGGAAAGAAGAGAAUGGCCGCCCCAACUGGGGAAGCCGGAGGGUCCAAGAAGGGGAAGUCCCUUCUGCCGGACUACGCCCCCGACACCAAAGACGGCGGGGAGGACUGGCCACCCAGGGUCAAGCCCCUAGCAAAAUCGUAAGUGUCCGGCUACCCGAAUGACUUAUUGCACUCCUUUAUUAUUUGAUAGCUUCUAACACCGAAGCUAAUCAUGCAGUCCGCCCAGAGCUCAGCUUGGCGAUUCGUCGAGCGGAUCUCUGAAUUCGUCCGAUGUGAAUAGCGCUUCACUUCUGACAGCCUCCUCCCCUCUCCCUACAGAAGAUGCUAAGGUGGAGUCCCGUAGGGGACAAAACCAGGAGGAGGUGGUCCUCGAAGCACCACAAGGCGACCUUCCAGACUCCCAGCCCAAAGGGGGUAAAGCCCCGGAGGGAUCUAAGUCCGGCCCCGGGCCGGACACUGCUCCGGAACCAUCAGUGGUUCCAGAGCCCGACAGGCGGCGCCUUCACAAGAAGGGCAAGCCUGCGACGCCGGCGACUUCCGUCCACCCGAGGGCGCCGGACAAUUUGCUAGAGGCGCUUAACGGCGCCUCCAUCGACGAAGAAUACAGUACUGUUAUGAGUGCGGUGAUUCAGAAGGUUCAGUCCGCCAAGAGCGGGCUGACGGAAGCCUGCACAAGCCUGUUAACGGGCUUUGAGGUAUGUGUUCAGAAACAUAUAUAAAAAUGUUACCGCAUAGACAGUAGCCCCUGAUGCUCAGUUUGGUGUUCGAAAAAAAAACCGAACUGAGGAUCUCAAAAGAUAUACGCAGGAGUCUAAAUAGAAAUAUGUCAAUAUGGGAAUGCAUGAUGCGCUGCUGACCUCUGCUGCACUGACUGUGGAGGUCAAUGCCUUGAAGGAAAGCCUCGAGCGGUCCGAGAGCGAGCUCGGCCGUGCCAAGAAGCAGCUCGAGGAUAAAGAGGGUACAUAGUACCUCAUGUAAAUGUAUAUAGAAAUACUUGGUUGCAUAAUAAUAACAGGACCGACGUUAAUGUUGCAGGAGCCACAACCGAGGUGGCGACCCUGAAAGAGGCGGUUUCGAAGGCCGAAAAGAGUGUGGCCUUGGAGCGCACCGAGCGAGAGAAGCAGGAGGCGCGGGUGGCGGAGGUGCGGCAAGAGCUCCAGAGUCUCGUGGAAAAACACGAGAGUUUGGAGCGUGACUCGAAGACUCGAGAGUCUGAGCUUGCUUUGGCUCUUGAGAGUGCCAAGACCGCUAAGGCCGAAGCCUAGAAGGCCCUUCAGGAGAUCGAGGCGAUGAAGAAGAUAGCGGCGGGUAAGGCAUUCUUUAUGCAAAGCAAAAAUAUAAAAGUUAUUUAUCUACUACUUACCCGAAUCCGGAGCUCUCCAGGAGCGUUCACCGACCUGCCCCGUAGUGUGUCUGAUGCCGCCGCAUACUACCGAGCCAAAGAGGGGAGCUCGACGGAGAAAGUGUUCUGGUCUCAGUAUGCUGAGGCCGAACCUCCGGUGCCCCUGAGCGACCAGCUGAAGCAGCUGGUCGAGCUCCACAAGGUGGCCGAACAGGCCAUGAAGGGCCUCAUAGCUUGGCUGUGGCCUGGAGAAGUCAUGCCUGGGAGCUACUUCGGUCUGGUGAGGCGGCUGGUGGACGCGUGUCCGUGGAUUGAGGUCGUCAAGCGCUCCGAUUGUACUGAAGGUGCCGUCGGGCCCUUGCCCGUGCUAAGGUGCACUGGGGCAAGCUAGACACAGAGAAGCUAUUGACGGACGCGCCACCACCGGGCAAGGAGUAUCGGACGCACGAGAUGUAUUAUAAUGGCGUUCUGAAGGGUGCCCGCCGCAUAGCGGAUGAGUGCUCCAAAGAUGUAAUUUUUGAGUGAACUCGCAUUUGUUAUCCUGUACGCUGAAGCUUUGUUCAUAUGCGUUAAGCAACGCUUGUUAAUUUAAAAUAUUACCUUCUGUGCGGCCAUUUAUCAAAUCUGAGAGAUGCAAGUCGUCGGCUUCGACCCCCAUGCCACGAGUGCUGGGGUGUUUGGGAUAAACCUGAGCGCUCUCGUUCCCAUUCUUGGGUCCAUCUAGGGAGGCGUUUAGCACAACGAACCAGGCCGUCGGACUUAUAAUGCUUUAUCACACUCACUUAGCCAUAGAAUUCUAUAAUUUUAAAUUUCGGCGAAGCCCCUAGUAUUCGGAAGACCGAGUUUGGGGCGCUAUCCACGCAUAGGCCGGAUAAGUCCGGUUCCUCGCUCAAAGCGGCAUAAGUCUUUAAGGACUCGAAGAAACCUCGCGAACAGCGACCGGUCUCUCGCACUAUCAUGACAGUCAGUUUUAGCUUUCUCUACUGAGGUGUUAACCCAGCUCAACUGGGGCACAAUCGUAGUAGUUCUCCCAGCGCUACCUUAGCCAACAAUGCGGAACGUAAGGUACCAAAACAUGGGAGCCGGGCAAACCCAACUAUUGACCAAAGACAUGAUUCGGAGUCGAUGCAUAUAGUGCUAUAAGUUCAGGGUGCCGCACUUGUUAGAGUGUUCGGUCUUCUCACACCAUGUUGUGGGGUGUUGUAAGCCCCUGGUGUAUUAUCCGUACCAAAGUGUGCGGUUGCAUAGUGUCGGGACUGAACAUAUUUGCAUAUAAAAAUAAGUACAAUAAUAGGUAAGAGCUAUAUAUUGUUCAUUAAAAAAGGGCUGCUGCGAAAGCAGAACGAUACAAAAAGUGCGGUAAGCAAGAGAUGGGAGUAUUUGACAUAUUGCCCUUCAGGGGCAAGCUGCAGGAUUGUAAGAGAAACAUGUAUUAAACUCGUUAUAGAGACCACCUGGAUUGUUAACGUGGCUUGCUUCGUCCCUGGCUAUUGCAUCGUUGGUUCAGCGAGAGUAUUGCCGGACAGGCCUUCCGAAUAGUUGGGUCCUGAAAGUGUGUGAAAAGGAAAACGGCGAAAUAGGAAGCCCCUUAGUGCGGUUGAGGCGCAUUCUGGGCGCGCCGUUGUCGUGCCCCUCCCUUUAUGCCCAUGGUAUCUCUAAGGUGUAAUUAUGUGCGCUUGGUACCAGUGUCACCGUUUGACGGGGGGCGGGGUUGGGGCCGCACUGCUAUGCUUGCUCGGAACGUGCCAGCCGGAUUUGUUGUAGGUUACUUCGGCCUCGCUUGAUGUUGUUCGGACGUUUGGCACCUGGAUUGGAGAACUACCUUGAGAGGCUACUCUGUACUUCCGCUGCCAGGGCCACCGUGUGCUCCUCCGUUCGGAGAGAGUAUUCGGUGUUUCCGUUUACCGUGAUGACUCCGCGAGGUCCUGGCAUCUUGAGCUUGAGAUAUGCAUAGUGCGGCACCGCAUUGAUUUUGGCAAAUGCGGUUCGCCCGAGCAGGGCGUGAUAGCCGCUCUGGAAUGGGACUAUGUCGAAGAUUAACUCCUCGCUCCGGAAGUUAUCCGGGGAUCCGAAGACCACCUCGAGUGUGACCGAGCCUGUACAGUUGGCUUCUACCCCUGGAAUGACACCUUUGAAGGUUGUAUUUGUGGGUUUAAUCCUUGAAGGAUCAAUGCCCAUUUUUCGCACUGUGUCCUGGUAAAGCAUGUUCAGGCUACUGCCGCCAUCCAUUAGGACUCUGGUAAGGUGGAAUCCGUCGAUAAUUGGGUCUAGGACCAGUGUGGCGAAUCCGCCGUGACGGAUGCUGGUGGGAUGGUCCCGUCGAUCGAAGGUGAUCGGGCAGGAGGACCAUGGGUUGAACUUUGAGGCGACUAGCUCCAGCGUGUAGACGUCCUUGAUAGCACGCUACCGCUCCCUUUUGGGUAUGUGGGUUGCGUAUAUCAUAUUCAUCGUCCGAACUUGCGGGGGAAAUCCCUUCUGUCCUUUGUUAUUAGGCGGCCGGGGCCCCUCCUCGUCAACGCUAUGUAGCCCCUUGUCUCUGGUCUCGGCACUUAACUUGCCUGCCUGCUUGAACACACAACAAUCCAUGUUGGUGUGAUUGGCUGGUUGUUCGGGUGUGCCGUGUAUUUGGCACGAGCGAUCGAGUAUCCGGUCUAAGCUGGAUGGGCCCUGAGGGUUUCUUUUGAAUGGCUUCUUCCGAUGACCCGGUUUAGAGCCUUUGAAUCUGGCAUUGACUGCCGUAUCUUCAGUAUUGUCACCGUUAAUGCGGCGUUUAUGCUUGUUGCGACGUGACCUGCCAUUUUUAUCCUUGGUAUCCGAAUUGCCGGGGCUCUUGGUUAUGUUGUUGCUAUGAGCUAGCCAGGUGUCUUCUCCCGUGCAGAAGCGGGUCAUGAGUGUCGUGAGGGCUGCCAUAGACUUCGGCUUUUCCUGUCCUAGGUGCCGGGCAAGCCAUUCGUCUUGGAUGUUGUGCCUGAAGGCUGCGAGGGCCUCGGCGUCCGGACAAUCGACUAUUUGGUUUUUCUUGGUCAGGAACCGAGUCCAGAAUUGUCUGGCCCAUUCCUCUGGCUGCUGGAUUAUGUGGCUUAGGUCAUCGGCGUCUGGUGGUCGCACGUACGUGCCCUUGAAGUUGUCAAGGAAUGCGGAUUCCAGGUCCUCCCAACAACUAAUUGACUCUGCUGGCAGGCUAUUAAGCCAAUGUCGAGCUGGUCCUUUAAUCUUGAGCGGGAGGUAUUUGAUGGCGUGUAGAUCAUCACCACGGGCCAUGUGGAUGCGAAGGAGAUAAUCCUCGAUCCAUACCACAGGAUCUGUUGUGCCAUCGUAUGAUUCGAUGUUUACGGGCUUGAAGCCCUCGGGGAUUUGAUGAUCCAUUACUUUGUCUGUGAAGCAUAGUGGGUGUGCGGCGCCCCUGUACUGGGCUAUAUCGCGAUGCAGCUCGGACGAGCUUGGUCUGUUGUAUUCGUCCGGGCCAUACUUAUUAUCUCCGGCAUGACGGCUAGCAUCAUGUGAAGCGGGGCACCCAUGCGAUCCGUAGAUCGAUCUUGUUUGCCUUGCCUUAUUCUCCAAGAUGUCUCGCAGGUCUGUUGCGUCUCCCCGUACUCUGUUAUGUUUUGAGCAGUGUCGGGGGGCGGCCUGGGUUGAGGGCCUGAAGGCCUCUCUAUCGCGUCCACGGGGUGGCCUAUCGGGUGCAUCGUACGUUGGUGAUGUAGGUUUAGUUGCUUCCUCCUCAAGUUGGGGUAGCAACCUGCGCUUCGGGUAGCUCUUGGAUGGGCGUUCUAGUUUAUACUCUUCGGCCGCCAGGACUUCGGUCCAUCUGUCGGCUAGCAAGUCUUGGUCAGCUCCAAGCUGCUGCUGUUUCUUCUUGAGGCUGCUUGCCGUGGCUACGAGUCUACGUUUGAAAUGCUCUUGCUCGACGGGAUCCUCUGGCACGACGAAUUCAUCAUCGUCGAGGUUUGCCUCGUCUUCGGAGGGAGGCAUGUAAUUGUCAUCCUCAUCCUCUUUGUCGGCCGCUCUAUCAUGAGGGCUGGCUCCUUCGUCCUCCUGCACUGAAUCCUGCUGGAGGGGGUUGUCUUCGGCACUGUCCGGCGUAUUGUUAUCUCCGGUGCCGGAAUCGCCGUUUUUGCUUUGGCAGGACUUAGAGCGGCGCCGCUGACGUCGGCGCUUGGGUUGCUUCUUGGAGGGGUCAUCCUCCGUUUUCGCCUCGCCAUCCCCCGCUUUAGGGGUGUCCACCAUGUAUAUGUCAUAUGACGAGGUGGCUUUCCAGUUCCCUAUAGGCACUGGUUCUUGAUCGUCUCCUUCAUCGGCGUCCAUGCCGUCGAUGUCUUCCGAGUCGAAGUCGAGCAUGUCGGUUAAAUCGUCGACAGUGGCUACGAAGUGGGUGGUGGGUGGGCUACAAAUUUCUUCGUCGUCCGCAUCCCAACCGUGUUGGCCGUAGUCCGGCCAGGGCUCUCCUGACAAAGAGAGAGACUUUAACGAAUUCAGGAUGUUGCCGAAAGGUGAGUGCUGAAAGACAUCCGCGGCGGUGAACUCCAUGACCGGAGCCCAAUCGGGCUUAAUCGGGAGUGGUGCGGGAUUUACGGAGUCCGGAUCGGAGUCCGGCACCUUGGAGUCACUGGCCUUGCGAGGGACUAGGCUGGUAUCCGGCUCCAUCGCCGUAGAGAUUGCAGUUUCCGGGGCGGCGUCUAACCGUCCGUCCCCGACUGGCGUAGUGGGCUCCGAGUUAAGUGUCGGAGCGGACACCUGGGGGACGCUCUGGGCGUUGUCCGAUGACAGAGCUAAAUCGUGCCCAUCAUGACAGUGCGGCGCGCCCGGUUGUGGCUCGAAUCCGUCGAAGAUCAAGUCCCCGCGGACGUCGGCCGUGUAGUUUAAGCUUCCAAACCUGACAUGAUGGCCAGGGGCGUAGCUUUCGAUCUGCUCCAGAUGGCCGAACGAGUCGGCGCGCAGUGCGAAGCCGCCGACUAUGAAGAUCUGUCCGGUGAGAAAAGUCUCAUCCCGGACCGCAUCGCGAUUGACGAGCGAAGAAGCCAUCGGGCCUAAAGGCGACGACACAGAGGAACUCUCAAUGAAAGCACCAAUGUCGGUGUCAAAACCGGCGGAUCUCGAGUAGGGGGUCCCGAACUGUGCGUCUAGGCGGAUGGUAACAAAAGACAAGGGACACGAUGUUUUUACCCAGGUUCGGGCCCUCUCGAUGGAGGUAAAACCCUACUCCUGCUUGAUUAAUAUUGAUGAUAUGGGUAGUACAAGAGUAGCUCUACCACGAGAUCGGAGUUGCUAAACCCUAGAAUCUAGCCUAUGGUAUGAUUGUUGUGCGUCCUACGGACUAAAACUCUCCGGUUUAUAUAGACAUCGGAGAGGGCUAGGGUUACACAGAGUCGGUUACAAUGGGAGGAGAUCUUCAUAUCGUAUCGCCAAGCUUGGCUUCCACGCCAAGGAAAGUCCCAUCCGGACACGGGACGGAGUCUUCAAUCUUGUAUCUUCAUAGCCCGGCCAUCCGGACACCCCCUAAUCCAGGACUCCCUCAGGCACCCCGCCGAAAUUGAGCUCCCAGGUUGCGGCCCCGCUUGAAUCAACGUAGCCCUCGAACUGAAUCCUCUCAAAUAAUCAUCCAUCCACUCGAAAUGUGUGCAUUUAUUCAGGAUCUGAAAACAACAACAUGAACCCUAAAUUCAAAAUUCGUGGGGAAAAACAAAAUAUAGAGAAAUCAGAGCAAACGGCAGUGAAAGUACGGGCUAAGAACUAAGAUCUAACCUUGCCAUCCCUUCUUGCCAUUGAUUUUCUCAAGAAGUUCACAAAUUCCCGCCCAAGAUUUCCAUUGUCAUCAGUCCUACUGACUCACCGUUUCAAAGGCUCUGGGCGUGGGCAUGACGGGCACCUUGUGAGCGGCACUGGACCAUACUGACGCCAUUUUGAGUGCGUGGCGGAGGAGGUGGACAUCUGGACUAGGUCGUCGGAGAAGGGGAAGAAUGGGGAAAGGGGAAGCAAUGGGCGGCGGCGGGCGGACGGGCACGGGCGAAGGGGAGAAGAGGUGGGUCCCGAUGGCGGGCGGACGGGCACGGGCGAAGAGGUGGGUCCCGCGCCUACUGGACAAGUGAUGGGUCCCGUGCUUACAUGGAUAAGUUGUGGGUCCAGCCCAUAACAGCUAAUGCGGGCAUCAGUUCAGCUUAAGGGCCAUGUCGUGUCUGGGCUAUUUACUAUUUCAAAAGUGUCGCACCAAAGCCAUUCCGUCGAACAACGUCUCACUUCUUCCAAUUCCCACGAAAGAUAUCGCACAUGAGCUAUUCGCCCCAUAUAUAAUAUAUGCCAUUGUAAAAUAUCCUUCACCACCACUAACCAACCAGAAUGACCUGACAAACUGAGUAUGCAAUCUAAUUCCUUAAAUUUGCUUCAGUAGAUGCAGAUGUUCUCAUCAAUAGUUUUACUGUUGUUAACAGGAUGUAGCACAGUUCAUCCUGUACCAUUGAAUAUCAUUGCUGGGUACCAGUUUAGAUGGCCAGACUCUUCAACAUAAACCUGAACGAAUCAUUCCAGAAUCGAAGCCAUGUCCUUAACCAAGGAACAUCAAAUAGCUAUACCAGUCCCAAAGUAUGCCGAUAUUUCAGUGACUUAACAGAUCAACUGGAAAUUAAUCCUACCAUUUGGUAUCUCAGUUGAGCCUUCUGCAACCCCAUUUUGUAUGGUUUUUCAUAGCUGGGGCUACACGAUACCCCUUAUCACAACCUUCCAUUUGUUCCCACGUUUCAUGUGGAUAUGUGCAGCGAGCUGUUGGCGCGAGGCUCUUAAUCCUUAAUCGUCUGCCCCGAAGCCUACCAAUUUUGAAUUUUGGACGGGCCUAGUAGGCCACUGUUCACGACAUGACCCGACGUAUGUGCAGCUACCUCGGUCUUGCCUGCUCGCCGCUUUUUAGCACCAUCGACGCGUGUAUUCCCGUGCGUUCCAUCAGACAACUCAUUUCUCUUUGUUCUCUCUUCUGGUCUACUGUUGCAACCAGUUUCUUUCCUGUAUGCUUGAGACCAAACACUAAUAAAGGUGAUGAAGUAAUGGAGGAAUCACAUUUAAUCAGCAGAAGAAAACAGUGAGAGCUCGUGCAAAUUGCGAAGUAACCGCACCCCAAAAAAACAAAACAAGCAUGUCAAUGGAAGAAAUGGUUAAUAACAAAUACUACCAUGAUGAUUUUCUAAAAUCACAAUAAAGCAUAUAGAUUUUGUAUUAAUCCAAAACAUUUCAAAAAAUCCAGAACAUCUCUUCCUUAAAAUCUGAAAUCAGUAGUACUAGUAUUUAAUAGUAUGGGGUGGUCUUUGAUUCUUCAAUGCACAUGGGACAAAGGAGUGGAGAUAAAAAGAUUAUUCAUGCAAACCUCUCUCUGACUCUCUCACGGGGAGAGCACAGGUUGAAGAAAGAUUCCUGCAUGCAAACCUCUCUCUGACUCCGUCAGACUCUGGUUCUCUUUCGGUCACACUUCUCUCUCGGGACACACAGAAACAACCGCAAGCAAACAAAAUCACUGCACACGCCUGAAAAUAGCUCCUGCUAAUGACGCUGCGCGGUCAGAAUGUGGGCACAUGAUGCUCCCAGUGGCACAGAUCACGACCCGUACAGACGGUAAGGAUAGAAGGUACCCUGGAGCUCGAGCUAGCCUACAACUUUCCGUUUUGUAUAUGCCAAAGCAAAAAAUGGCGUUCAUCUGCUUCUUUGUCAGCCUAAACAAGUGGUGAUGCGGGCAAAACCAAGAGUUAUUUACAUGUUCAAAUGACCAUCCUUUGAUAUUGAGCACCAUAUCAAAUGUAACUUUUAGAAAGCACCAAGAACAAAUGUCUUACGUAUUGUAUCAGCUGGAAAGAUUCCUCUGUAGCCAAGAAUGUCAAGCCGAGGAUCUUUGAGCCACUGCCAACCGUGACCGUUCCCUUGUGCAGAUGACUCAGCAGCAUGGUCACUACCUUGUCCCCAUCCAAUGGAUUGAGCCUCGGGUUCUUGAGUGGAAGGUCCAGCAUGUGCCACAUCGCUUCCAAAUCCUUGCCAGCACAAAAAACUCCUCGCUUACAUUAUCUAUCUCAAGCUUGCUUCUUAGCCGAUACCUGCAAAAUGGACAAAAAAAUUGCCAGGCCGUAAGAGAUUCAACUGGACCCUGAAUCUUUGGAAAGCUAUAACGGAAGUACUAAACGACAAAAAUAAGCAUCCCAAUUCUCAUAUCCAUACCACAGUCAAGAACAACCCCAAAAAAUGAACUUGCUUUCAAUCAAGUAGUUUUCUGCAAAUGGCACCUUCAAUGUAGUGGUUUUCUACAAUUAACUCAUUAUUUUAUGUUUUGUAACCUAUCGGUUGAAAUAUAUUUCGUCUCCCCCAAUGCAACAGAACUUGAUUUAUGCUAAAUACAUAUGUUGCAUACACACCAUGCCGGUUAAAAUAUUUUCUGAAAACAUAUGUGAUUGAAAAUAUCUGCCCAUUUCCCCAACAUGGGCCCCGCGUGCACAUGCUUAUACUAAAUACAUAUAUGAUGUAUACAUGGGGGUGUUCAAAUCUCCAUGAAAUUAAUGCUCCAGCCGUCGAGAUCCUUGGAACAGGUGUCCAGUGUCACAAUGCCAAACUGCAUGAAGCAUCCAUGUCAUGGUUGUUGCACCAUAUAUAGUGAUCUUAUUUAUACAAUUGAAGAAAAAUCAUGUGCAUCGUUCUCAAAGAAAGAAGCCAGUUUGUGUAUUUUAGCCAAGCUACGAGUAUAGAUAUCAGUCUUGGUAGGUUCAUAUCAGCAUGCCACACACGUAACAUACGAAACUUCUGCACUUAUUUAGAACUGAAACUGUUUUUGCCAUGCCAAUAAAACCCAUUGGUAUCAUAGGAUUAGGAAGCAUCAGGAUUUGCGAUUAUGCCUACCUAGUUUCAGUUUUCGGUGGUAAAACAUGGAGAAGUCCAUCCUAACCCUCUAAUGAAGGAAUAACAAGAUAACCAAGCACUAAUGAUGCAAGCAGUGAAUGCGGAAGGGCACACAUAAUUAAAGAAGUAUACACGAGUAGCGCUCAACCAGACAAACGGACAUCACUGUGAUGCCCAGCUUGAGGUGUAGUGGUGGGGUUAUUGAUAAAUUUCCCAAAUAUGUGGCCACUCGCCAUGGCGAAAGGCGCAAACUUGGAUGUUUGUUUAAGAAAAUUACAAUCUGAAGCUAACGAGUAGCACUAUAGGACGGCAUGUGUCUCUCUGACCUUGGAUGUGCAGCGCUGACAAAUCACGUUGAAGUAUUGUUUCGGUGCAGUGCAAUAGAAGCUAAUUAAGCACUAACAAAUCAAUAUAUGAUUAUGGUAAUUGUGAAUGCGACUUUCUGCAUGACUUGUCACAAUAGAGAAUAUCAUAAAUGUUACGACAUUAAAGCAUCUGUUUUGACUAUUCAAGACAAAAAGAACAUUUUGUAAGGGGCAAACUGUAAAUGGGGUAUCUAAUAUGAGUGUGAAUUUUGUGCACCGUGACUUAUACUCCACAAAUCACAUAUACAAGUGAAGGUAUUAAACACGAAAUUAGACCCAACAACUGAUACAUCAUAUAACACGGUAUCUUUGCUACACUCUAUGAACUACCUCUCUUAAUAUUGGCACCUUCCUGAAAGAUUUGACGCACCAACCCUUUGGGUUUUGCCUCUAUAAAUUCAAAAGAAUUUCAGUACAAUGGAUGUUUUGGACCAAGUUCUCAAAGUUCAAAGGAUCAAACCACAGCCCUCUAUUGUUCUAAGACCUGUGUCCACUCAGCCGACCACCAACCUGGCUUAAUCACCUUCACCAUCACAUCCCUUUCGCUAAUGGCGCAGUAUGAUGAGCUUUGCUUCCGUGCUUCUUCAAGCCGCAACAAACAAAUACUGCGACUGCCGAGAAUGGUGACAGUAUGGACCAUUCCGCGAAUGUGGUAGUCAGAACGGGUAAUUGCAUAAUUUUGCACGAAACCGAUGCCUUUUGUCAUUUUCAUCUGCGUACUCUAAGGGCAUUAGACACUUCCCUAUAACACCAAAGUAGUGUGUGCGCACGAAAAUCCCCCGACCAGUAUAGCACCCCGUCUAAAUGAAUAGCAUUCAGGCUCACAUUGGAAUUGCUCCUCUUCUAAUCGAAUCAGAUCUGUUCUGGCACCAUGGUCGGUAGCCAAGUGGCAAGGACUUCUCACCCCACGUGCUUCUAGUUCUAGGUCCCAGUAAGAUCGGGGCCAGAUUAUCCAUUGUAAUUCUGAUGAGUAAAUAUAACUCUUUUGUGGUUGAAUAAAUUCAUUGAAAAAGAAAAAACUCACUUAAUAACUAUUUUUCUUUGGCGAGAUUUACUGAAACUAUCCUUAUAGCCAUACUGUGUUAUUAAGUGAAGCGAAAAAUGUAUUCCAACUUUGUUAUGUACGUCCUCUUCGUCCAUUCACAUGACUUAUUCAAUGGCCCGACUUGAUAUGGUGAACGUGAAUGCCAUCUUGGAAGGUGAUCAUCUAAGGAACACUGUGAGCUUGAAUUGAAUUAUUAAAACUUCUAUCAGGAAGUUGUACCAUGUGCUCUUUAUGACAAUGUUGAAUAGCUCAAAAUCAUCAAUGUCAUGGUUGUUGCAUCAUACAAUAACCAGACAUUAAUGUAAUGGUGUUCCUAAUUUUCUAAGGGUGGGAGGAGAGAUAAAACAUGCUCAUAUAUACUAGUUUGCAACCUGUGUGGGCUAGGAGUAGAGCUCGGCUGUUGCUAGGUGGAAGAUGCUCAUAUAUAGUUUGCGAAGAAGCCAUCAAACCAUCUGCAUACCUGCGCGGGCAAGGAGUAGAGCUCAGUCUUUGCUUGUAAUACCAGAAAUGUAAUGUACAUAAGUUCUGCACUUAGUUAGAAUUGGAAUCGCACUUGUCAUGCCACCAAAACCUACUGACACUAGUAGAAAACGGGGCAUACGUUCGGGCCACAUAGGCCCAUUAGUCCCGGUUCAGUCACGAACCGGGACCCAUGGGGGCAUUGGUCCCAGUUCGUGAGGCUAGGGGCCCGCGGGCCUCGUGGGGGCAUUUGUCCCGGUUCAUCUGGCCCCUUUGGUCCCGGUUGGUGGGACGAACCGAGACCAAUGGGCCUCGCUCCUGGCCCACCACCAUUGGCCCCAGUUGGUGUCUUGAACCGGGACCAAAGGUUGCCCUUUAGUCCCGGUUCCAGCCACGAACCGGGACCAAUGAGAUGCCUAUAUAUACCCCUCGCCCCCGAGCAGAGCAGUGGAGUGCUCUGUUUUUUCUGGCCGUUGAGGGGAGGGUUUUGUGGUGCUCUAGCUCACCUGCUAUGCACAUGAGCUGUUUGAUGGACUGCCCGAGCCACACUACAUAUGCUUUCUCCUCUCCAAACUCGACCUCCAAGCUCCAUUUUCCUCAAUAUUUAUCUAGAUUUAGCGGUCCUUCACGUCCCGUCCCUGUCUUCACCGUCGUCGAUCGCCCGUGUCGAUCUCGUCGCCGGCAACACAAUGGUGAGCCUCUUGUUCUUAUCUUCUUUGUGAAAGGAAAAAUUCUUACUUGUAUGUUUAAAUAGAUACUUGUAUAAUUUUCUUACUUUUAUUAUUGCUUCUUAUUAUUUAGUGCGAUGGUUUUGGUAUCCGCCCUCGUCGGCCCUCGUCCUGUCUAUGAUUUGGAUGUGGUAUAUAUUAUCUUUAUAACUAUUUGGUUCAUUUAUUGUUUAUGACAAUUAUGCCGACCAACGUGACAUAGAUUUUAUUUAUCUAGGAGGUAUGUGAACCGGAAAUUCCAACCGACCCUAUGUCGAGAGGUUAAAUUUAGUUGAAGAAGAAAAUAAUUUCUUGAAGGAAAAAAUAAAAAAAUUGAGGAGGAGAAGGUGAUAUGGGAGUUGCAUGUUGCAGAUGUCGUCAAUGAUCACAAGAUCAAGAUGGAUGCAAUGAGCUUGAAGAUUAGAAUGAUUAGAAGAUAUGCCAUUUGUACCGAGCCAUGGUAUCAUUAUGUCGUUGGAUCAAUUGUUACCUUGGUUGCGAUUAUGAUCGCAUUUGUUUUCGCAUUGAAAUGUUUUACAUAGUUUCAAUGUAUGGUUUAAUUAAUUAGAUGCUCUGGAAAGCUAUAUGUUGUUCAACGAGAACUAUGUAUGUACUUUGGUUUUAAUGUGAUGAUGAACUUAUAUUAAUUUGGUCACUUAAUUAUCUAUUCAUGAUGUUCUGUAAUGGUUUUUUUGACACACUUAAUUAUAUAUAAUGCACGCAGAUGAACCAAGGGAUACCACGCAUGCACGCACUAUUUAGAUGACACCGAAAGUAUAUACUUGGACAAAAGCAGGAAGAAUGUUUACCUGGGGCAUCGUCGAUUCCUUUCGACCAACUAUCAAUGUCGAAAGAAAGGCAAGCACUUUAAAGGCGAGGCAGAUCACUGGAAGAAGCCCGCCAUGCAUACCAGUGAUCACAUACUUGCUAUGGUCAAUGAUUUAAAAGUAAUCUUCGGAAAGGGUCCCGACAGACUAUCUGUUCCAAAAAACGCUGAGGGACACGCACCCAUGUGGAAGAAGAAAUCUAUAUUUUGAGAUCUACCCUACUGGAAAGACCUAGAGGUCCACUCUUCAAUCGAUGUGAUGCACGUGACGAAGAACCUUUGCGUGAACCUGCUAGGCUUCUUGGGCGUGUAUGGGAAGACAAAAGAUACACCAGAAGCACAGGAGGACCUGCAAUGUUUGCACGAAAAAGACGGCAUGCCUCCAAAGCAGUAUUAAGGUCCUCCCAUCUAUGCUCUUACUAAAGAAGAGAAGGAAAUCUUCUUUGAAUGCCUGAUCAGUAUGAAGGUCCCGUCUGGCUACGCAUCGAAUAUGAAGGGAAUAAUAAAUAUGCCAGAGAAAAAGUUCCAGAACCUAAAGUCUCAUGAUCGCCACCUGAUUAUGACGUAACUGCUUCCGGUUGCAUUGAGGGGGCUUCUACCGGGAAACGUUCGAUUAGCCAUUGUGAAGUUAUAUUCAUUCCUCAAUCCAAUCUCUAAGAAGGUGAUCGAUCCAUAAAUCCUAUCAAGGUUAAGAAGUGAUGUGGCGCAAUGUCUUGUUAGUUUCAAGCUGGUGUUCCCACCAUCCUUCUUCAAUAUCAUGACGCACGUCCUAGUUCAUCUAGUCGACGAGAUUGUCGUUUUGGGCCCUGUAUUUCUACACAAUAUGUUCCCCUUUGAGAGGUUCAUGGGAGUCCUCAAGAAAUAUGUCCAUACCGUGCUAGGCUAGAAGGAAGCAUCUCCAUGGGCCAUCAAAUAGUGGAAGUCAUUGGAUUUUGUGUUGACUUCAUUCCUGACCUUAAGAAGAUAGGUCUCCCUCAAUUGCGGUACGAGGAGAGACUGGAUGGAAAAGGCACGCUAGGAGGGGACUCAAUAGUAUGUAGGGACGGGCAUUUUUGGUCUCAAACACACUACACGGUUCUACAAAAUUCUACCUUGGUGACUCCGUAUGUCGAUAAACACAAGAACAUUCUGCGCUCCAAACACCCAGACCAGUGUGACGACUGAAUUACAUGUGAACACAUCAGGAGUUUCGGUAUUUGGUUCCAAACACAUCUCAGGUGUGACAACACUGUUUCUGAUGACCUAUACUCGUUGGCGAGGGAACCAUCUUCGACUAUAAUGACUUACAAAGGGUACGAGAUAAAUGGGAAUACAUUCACGAUCGCCCAAGAUCAAAAGAGCACCAACCAAAACAGUGGUGUUCGAUUUGAUGCAGCAAUCGAGAGGGGAAAGGACGCAUAUUAUGGUUACAUAGUGGACAUAUGGGAACUUGACUAUGGAUAUUAUGUUAAGGUCCCUUUGUUUAAGUGCAAAUGGGUCAAUUUGUCAGGAGGCGGGGUCCAGGUAGACACACAGUACGGAAUGGCAUCAGUGGAUCUGAACAAUCUGGGGUACACAGACGAGCCAUUCGUCCUAGCCAAUGAUGUGGCGCAGGUUUUCUAUGUGAAGGACAUGUCUACCAAACCGAGAAAAUAAAAGAUAAGGAAGCGGAUACAUCAUACGAUGAGCCAAAGUGCCAAAUAGAUCUUUCAGGAAAAAUAGACAUCAUGAGAUUGGAGGGCAAGACAGACGUGUCAGAAGAUUAUGAAAAGUGACGGCGCAAUAAGCAAAGAUCAUCAAAUUCAUCCCUUCAUAGUCAAGGCUGACCCAAGCACCCUGUUAAACAAUGAAGAUUACCCAUGGUUACGACGCAAUAAGCAAAGAACACAAGAGAAGAAAAGGUGAAUACUUUCUAUCAACAACUAUUAUGAUGAUGCCUUUGAUGUAGAAUAUCACUAGAGUUACAUUUGAACAAAUAAAUUCCUUUGUAACAGAUGAGUUUUCCUCCGAAACCCUGAUACUUCCAAAGAGAUUGUCUAUUUUGUACAUGCACUAGUAGAAAACAGGGCUUUGGUCCAGGCCGGGUUAGCCCAUUAGUCUCGGUUCAGUCAUGAACCAGGACUAAUGUGAGCAUUGGUCCCAGUUCAUGCGGCAAAGGCAUUAGUCCCGGUUCAAAUGGGACCUUUAGUCCCGGUUGGUGCCACGAACCGGUACUAAUGGGUGUGAUGCCCAUUAGUACCGGUUCGUGGCACGAACCGGUAUUAAAGGUUAGAACUUUAGUACCGGUUCGGGCCACGAACCGGUACUAAUGGGUUUGAGGCAUUAGUACCGGUUCGUGGCACGAACCGGUACUAAAGGUCCCAUUUUCAAACUGUACCCCCCCCCCUGUGGAUCGCCUUUUCAGUUUUGUAAAAAGCAAAAGAAAAUGAUCAAAACAUCAAAAAUUAAAAUCCUUCGAGAUGUAGUUAUGUUACUACAUCUAUUAGUUAGGAAAAUUUAAAAACUUAAAUUUGGACAUGUUUUGCAAAAAGUGUAGGGAAAAUGUAAAACGGCUAUAACUUUUGCAUACUAUGUCAGAAAAAAAUGUAUAAUAUAUCAAAAUAUUCAGCACAAAAAUCCGCAUCUAAUUUUGACUGCCUACGGCCUGUUUGCAAAUUUUAGAAUUCUCAAAUUCUAAAAGGAGAAAAAGUUAUGCUCAAAUUUCUGUUUUUUUUAUUUUUUUAAAUUUUUUUGUUAAAUCUGGUCAAACUUUGGUCAAACGACUUAUUCAAGAAGUAUUAGUGUUACUAAAUAAUUAUUCAAGAAUAUUAGUGUUACUAAAUAAUUAUUUCAGUUUUUUUGAAUUUUGGUCAAAUCUGGUCAAACUGUGGUCAAACAAUGGUCAAACUACUUAUUCAAGAAAUAUUAGUGUUACUAAAUAAUUAUUUCAGUGUUUUUGAAUUUUGGUCAAAUAUGGUCAAACUGUGGUCAAACUGUGGUCAAACUAUGGUCAAACUAUGGUCAAACUACUUAUUCAAGAAAUAUUAGUGUUACUAAAUAAUUAUUUUAGUGUUUUAGAAUUUUGGUCAAAUCUGGUCAAACUAUGGUCAAACUGUGGUCAAACUAUGGUCAAACUACUUAUUCAAGAAAUAUAAGUGUGACUUCAUGCUGAAGCUAAAUUCAUGAGGGUUAAUAGGAUUGACAUCUUACUAUUGUCAAGAAAACAACAAGUGCAGACUUGGAAACGAGGGAGAAUAGAACCCGGAAGUUAAGCGUGCUCAGGCUGGAGUAGUGAGAUGGGUGACCGUCCGGGAAGUUAGAUGAUUUGGAAUGAUGAGGGGUGAUUAGAGAUUAGAGGUUAAAUUGAGCAGUGAUGAGGGUGAUUAGAGAUUAGAGGUUAAAAUAAUUUAGAAAUUUUCAAAAAAGAAAAUUUUCAAAAAAAAUCAUAAUAUUUCCUUUAGUACCUGUUGGUGUUACCAACCGGGACUAAAGGUGGACCUCCAGGCAGCGGCCACGUGGACGGCCUUUAGUGCCGGUUCGUGUAAGAACCGGGACUAAAGGGGGAGGCUUUAGUAACGACCCUUUAGUCCCGGUUCCAAAACUGGGACUAAAGUCCCUUAUGAACCGGGACAAUAGGCCCUAUUUGUACUAGUGAUGAAGUGCAUCCAGUUUUUGUCGUAACCCUCUCAACUUUUUAGUACAUGCUAUAUGGGUGAAAUGAUGAUACCAUGCCAACUCUCAACCUUUUCACUGUUCAUUUGAAAUGAUUUUCAAUUUCAGGGAUCAACCAAAAAGCUUUUAUAACCUCUGGUAUUAUUGAAACUAAAAUUAUAUAAAAUUUAUGCAACUAAAAUUAUCAAAUUAUUUUAUGUUCAAAACAUUAAAAGCAAAAAGAAUUUUCAUAAAAUAAAUAAAAAGCAAAAAAUAAAAGAAAANNNNNNNNNNNNNNNNNNNNNNNNNNNNNNNNNNNNNNNNNNNNNNNNNNNNNNNNNNNNNNNNNNNNNNNNNNNNNNNNNNNNNNNNNNNNNNNNNNNNNNNNNNNNNNNNNNNNNNNNNNNNNNNNNNNNNNNNNNNNNNNNNNNNNNNNNNNNNNNNNNNNNNNNNNNNNNNNNNNNNNNNNNNNNNNNNNNNNNNNNNNNNNNNNNNNNNNNNNNNNNNNNNNNNNNNNNNNNNNNNNNNNNNNNNNNNNNNNNNNNNNNNNNNNNNNNNNNNNNNNNNNNNNNNNNNNNNNNNNNNNNNNNNNNNNNNNNNNNNNNNNNNNNNNNNNNNNNNNNNNNNNNNNNNNNNNNNNNNNNNNNNUAAUAAAGUAAAAUAAAUAAAUUUUAGUAAAAUAAAUAAAAAUUGCAACAGUAACUAGAAAAAAAAAUAAAGCAAAAAUAAAGUGCCACCUACUAGGCCACCACGGCCUGAAUACGAUAGAAACCCAAUCAUGGGCUAGGAUUCAGGCCCGCAGCAGGCCCAGUAGGCCCACAUGCAAACAAAUGACAGGUUAGGCCCGAAAGCCUACAGUUGAGAGGAUCUCGAGAGGGUGGGCACAGCAGCGCUUAUAAACCACUCUCGAGCUCUGUCAACUAGCGAGGUGGGACUAAACUUUUGACGGGGGCACAGCAGCACAAGGCCUGUGGUCCUGGUUGGUGGCACCAACUGGGACUAAAGGGGGGCAUUGGUCCCGGUUGGUACCACGAACCGGUACUAAUGCACCCCUUUAUUCCCGGUUGGUGCCACCAACCGGGACCAAAGGCAUCUGUUUCGCGCCCUUUGGGCUGCUGAAAAGAGACCUUUGGUCCUGGUCGGUGGCACCAACCGGGACUAAAGGGGGUCAUUGGUCCCGGUUGGUGCCACGAACCGGGACCAAUGGCUAUGCUAUAUAAGAAAACACUUAGCACUUUUUCGUUUUCAUCUCUGCAUUUGCCCGACGACGACGGCAGGUUGCCCGAUCGCCCCGUCAACGCCGUCGUCGCCCCCGUCGCAGCCUGCGCCCCACGCCGCCCCGACGUCGUCGCUGCGCGCCACCCUGAUGUCGUCGCCGCCCCGCGCCGCCCCGACCCACCGCUGCCCCGACGUCGUCACCGCACCGCCCCACGGUCCGGCGGCUUUUUUUUCAUAUAUGUGAUGAUAUCUUGUUUUUUCAUAUAUGUGAUGACAUGUUGUUUUUUUCAUAUAUGUGAUGAUAUGUUAUUUUUUUCAUAUAUGUGAUGAUAUGUUGUUUUUUUCAUAUGAUGUUUUUUUUGUGCAUAUGAUUUUUUUUCAUAUAAUGUUUUUUUUCAUAUAUGUAUUAAUUUUUUAUUUAGGUUGUUAAUUAGUACAUAUUGAUUUUAGGUUAGUGCAUUUUAGGUUAGUGUGGAGGAAAAUAAGAAGAGGAAGAAGGAGAAGAAAAAGGAUAAGAAGAGGAGAGGAAGAAGAGGAGGAGAAAUAAAGAAGAAGAGAGAAAAAAGAAAAAAAAGAGGAGAAGAAGAAAGGAAUAGAAGAGAAAAAGAAAAAAAUAGUGUAAUUUCUAUUUUUUUUCUUCACCUCUAUUCCUUUCUUCUUCUCCACUUUUUUUUCUUCUUUUUUUUUCUUCGAUCUUCUCUUCUCUCUAUUCCUUUCUUCUACUCCUCUUUUUUUCUUCUUCUUACUCUUCUUAUUUUUUAUCUGGUGUGUCGUUGUCGAUAUACCACCUCCCCAAUAACUUCACAUGAGGGGGGUCGAUAUACCCCCUCACCGAUAACUUUGACAUGAGGAGGGGGAGGGGGUCGAGGGUUGAGGGUUCGAGGGUUCUAGGGUCGAGGGUUCUAGGGUCGAGGGUUCGAGGGUCGAGUGUCGUCGAGGUGCCGAGGGUUCGAGGGUCGAGGGUCAUCGAGGGGUCGAGGGUUCGAGGGUCGAGGAUCGCCGAGGGGUCAAGAGGUUGCCUAGUUUCAAAGUAUUGAAGAAAUCCAUGGCUUCAUCAUUAGCUGGAAGUAACCGGGGCAUGAUGGUACGAAGUUCUCCAAAGUUAUUCUGGAACGGAGUCCCGGAUAGGAUAUAUAAGAUAUAAGAUAUGAUAUGGAGAUAAAUAAUAGCAUUUAUUAUUGCCUCUAGGGCAUAUCUCCUACACAUGUGCCACCUGCAGAGCCGCAUCAAACCCGGUCUGUUGAUGGAGGGGAUGUCCCAUAUAGUCACAAGCCUCGGAAAGGCAGUCGCGAGCUCGAGAUCCAGCCUCGAGUCGUACUCACAAUCCCGGAGUCUGCCACUAUCAAAGAAGAAGGGCCGCCACCCAAUUUCGUGUGCUACAUGGAUCACCCACCACUGCGCCAGCCGAUGUCGUCGCCUAUACAACGGCAACCGACGGCGCGGCCAUCAAAGCAGGGCACUAGGUCCCGAAUCCCUUGCUCGCCGCCUCAAGGUCAGCCAUGCUCGACCUACUAUCGUGUGGACGAGCGGGCCGCCGCCAGAUCCGCCGCCCCGGAAUCCACAAGCCCGCCUUGUCCACCCGCCAUGAUCAUCCCCCUUACGGGAAGAUGACCAGGAUGGAGGCUGCAUACUCCUCAUGACCAAGGAUGCCGCCCCGGCUACUGCGCCUGGCUAACUCUGCUGACGCCACCCCAACUGCCCCUAGGAUUUUUCGCCGCAUCCAUUCGAUCCCCAGCACCUUCUGCACUAAGGAACGUACGUUAUCGGUCAAAGGAUCUAAUAUAUAUGUUCCCAUUUUGUGUACACACUUAGCCAUUAUGCAUUGGUCAAAUGAUGUAAUAUACACUACAAAAAAAAGACACAUCCGUGACAUUUUGGGCCGAACGAAUUUUUUUCUGUCAUACAUAUGACACUUCUAUGACGAUAGUUGUGACAAAAAAUGGGCUUUUCGUAGAUGUGGUGGGCUCCUACUUCUAUGACAAAAAAUUAGGACAAAAAAUGGGCUUUUCGUCUUGGGUGGGACGGAGACGCAGCUGCAUGACAUUCUUUGGGCCGUCCAUGACGGAAAAAACCAUGGUAGAAGCGAGGGGGAGGAAAAUUUUGGGGAGUUGCCGGUUACGGUGGGAGGUCGGGGGCGGAGCAAUGCGCGUUUCUCUCGUACGUACGCGCGUGUGUGCGAGGCGUUGGCUCUAACUGAACCUGAGCGAGGCAUUGGGCUCUAACUGAACCCGAGCGAUUGCACUGCAGGCUACGCGUUACUGAACCCGAGCGAUCGAUCGAUGGCUGUUAACUGAACACGAUGGAGCGAUUCCUUCGCUACUGCUGCUAACUGAAGCCGAUCGCUGCUGCCUCUNNNNNNNNNNNNNNNNNNNNNNNNNNNNNNNNNNNNNNNNNNNNNNNNNNNNNNNNNNNNNNNNNNNNNNNNNNNNNNNNNNNNNNNNNNNNNNNNNNNNNNNNNNNNNNNNNNNNNNNNNNNNNNNNNNNNNNNNNNNNNNNNNNNNNNNNNNNNNNNNNNNNNNNNNNNNNNNNNNNNNNNNNNNNNNNNNNNNNNNNNNNNNNNNNNNNNNNNNNNNNNNNNNNNNNNNNNNNNNNNNNNNNNNNNNNNNNNNNNNNNNNNNNNNNNNNNNNNNNNNNNNNNNNNNNNNNNNNNNNNNNNNNNNNNNNNNNNNNNNNNNNNNNNNCAGUGAGCGGUGGCGUUGCCUCUGGAUGAACAGGAACCCGUGGUGUGGAGGGCUGGAUGAACAGUAGACGGUGGAGGGGUGGCCGUGGAGGGGUGGUUGAACAGGACCCCGUGGUGUGGUGGGCUGGAUGAACAGUAGACGAUGGAGGGGUGCCCGUGGAGGGGUGGUUGAAUAGUAGCCGGUGGAGUAGCGUGCAGUGGAGGCUGGAUGAACAGGAUCCCGUGGAGGCUAGAGGAGGUCGACGGUGCAGAUGAACAGUAUCCCGUGGAGUCCCGUUUUGCGGUACGCCACACCCCUCCCGAUGAACAGGACCCCCGUUUCGAUUGUAACGCUCCAACACAAGUCUGUUUCGUCCGUUUUGCGGUACGCCACACCGCUCCCGAUCAACAGGACUCCCGUUUCGACCGUAGCGCUCCAACACAAGGCCGUUUCGUUCAUUUUGCGUUACGCCACACCCCUCCCGAUCAACAGGACCCCCGUUUCGACCGUAGGAGGUCCGUUUCAUCCGUUUUGCGGUACGCCAGGCCCCUCCCGAUCAACUGGACCCCAUUUCGAACGUGGCCGGUCGAACACAAGGCCGUUUCCUCCGUUGUUCGGUACGGCAUGCCUCGUUUUCAUCGCCUGUUCCUUCCAAGCCCUCCCGAUGAACACGACCACGCAUUCCGUUCCGACCCAACCGGUUGGCUCCCCAUGAACACGACGACGACGCUGUUUCUCCGUUCCGACCCACCCAUGUACAUAUGCGCGAGUAGGCGUUCGAGACCCUGCCCGUAUGUACGUAUGUGACCGUAUUUUCUUUCUUGCACCCUCGUCGAUGUACGUACAUGUACAUGCUACGUGCGCGCCUCUACUAUGACACGUGCGCGCCUCUACAUCUACGACAUGUGCGCGCCUCUACAUCGACCAGUAUGUACGUACACAGAAUGACAACGCUACGUACGCUUCGACCAGGUGGGUCCCGAGUGUCAGGCACUUCCUUGCGUGCGAAGAUGUAGAUGGUGGGUCCCAACGGUCAGGGGGGCGAAUCGUUUUUUACUCAGACGCACUUCCUUGCGCGCGAAGGUGUAGCUAGUGGAUCCCAACAGUCAGGGGGAAACAUUUUUUUCGCGAAAUAUGGUGGCCCGUCCGGUGGGUCCCCACUGUCAGGUGGAGGAAUAAUUAUUUUGCGCGUAAUAAGGAGGCACUUCCUUGCUGCGGCCGUGGACCUAGCUGCCAGCCUCUCCACGUACAGUCCAUGUCCGAUGGAAGCCGUUCCUUGACCACGUUGACCACGCCGUGGCGAGAGCACCAGGGCCGCAGGGCGGUGGACGACGACGAUGCCUAGGAAGGGGACGACGCGGAGCCGGGGAAGACGCGGCAGUGGAUGCCCACGCGUAGAGUAGUACGAGGGUUCACUGGUUCGCUGCGGUGUGAGGCUGCCGUCGCCGCAGAAUAACAGGCGGUGUGGGUGAGUAGAGGGAUGACCUGGCCAGCGGUGGGAGUAGUAGGGGGCGGUGAGGCCUCUGCCGCAUCGCAGCCGGCCGCGGGAGGCAGGAGCACGAGGCACGACCGACGCUGGUUUGGGCGGCUGGAGCAAGAACACAAGAGGUUGAAGAAGCACUACGGUCGUUGGAUGGACAUCGUACGGUCACUGGAGCUAGAAUCGUGCAUAUUGACUAAGUUGACAAAGGCCUCCGUCCCCGUCAACUUAGUAGGCCCACAAGUCAUCCUGCCACUAUACUGGGUCCCAGCUAACAGGGGGAGUAUUCAUUUUUUUGUGCGUAAUAAGGAGGCACUUCCUUGCAUGCGAAGAUAUAGCUGGUGGGUCCGAGCUGUCAGCAGCGGUAACAUUUUUUUUGCGAAAUACUGAGACCCUUUCGGUGGGUCCCCGAUGUUAGGUGGAGGAAUCAUUAUUUUGCACAUAAUAAGGAGGCAUUUCCUUGUGUGCGGCCGUGGACCCAACUGUCGGCCUCUCGACGUACAGUCCACUUUAGAUGCAUGUCGGUCGUUGACCACGUUGACCAGGCCGUGCCGAGAGCACCAGGGUGGUGGACGACGGUGAGGCCUAGGAAGGGAACGACACAGAGGCAGGGAAGACUCCGCAGUUGUUUCCCACGCGGAGGGGAGUACGACUGAACGAGGGUUUACUGGUUCGUUUGCCGUCGCCGGAGAAUAACAGCAGGUGUGGGUGAGUAGAGGGAUGGCUAGGCCAGCGAUGGGAGUACGGUGGGGCGGUGAGGCCUGCGCGGCAGCACAGCCGGCCGCGGGGAGGAGGGAGCGGGCAGUCACGCCGGCGCUUGUUUGAGUGGCUGGAGGAGGAAGAGCAGAGAUUGAAGAAGCACGACGGCCGUUGGAUGGCCAUCCAACAGUCACUGCUUGUGCGUCAACCUUUUUUUUGGAAAGCCUCAAAUCUGUGGAAAAUAACAUACAACCCAUCUACCAUUAUUUCUAAUAAUUUCAGCACAUUUGCUAAUUUUUAAGGUUUUGUUUGGAGCCCAUAUUCUUUUUGUUAGCAUUACAGUCCAUAUUGUGGCCCCGGUUAAAAAAUCUAUCUAUCUAUCUAUCUAUUAUCUAUAUAUUAUAUACAUAAAACAGAAGUCAAACAAGCCAUCACGUUCAUCCACGUAGGUUAAAAAUAUAUUAUCCAUUGAUUUACAUUACGAUGGUUGAGAUUAAAAGAUCGAAAAGGUUACGUAGAAUAAAGUUAUGUACAGAUUUUUAACAUCCAACACGUAACAAGCAUAAACAUGGAAAAAAAUUCUAUGAGACCAGGUCUCACGGAUUAGCAGGUGAGACACAUCCUGAUGGAUGACACAUGUCAUUCACAAAUCACAAAGCAUCCACCCCACCCCCACCUGAAAUCAGGGGGGAGAGAUUAGAUGCUUUGUGAUUUGUGAAUGCCACAUGUCAUCCAUCAGGGUGGGUCUCACCUGAUUUAUAUGAGACCUGGUCUCGUAUAAUUUUUUCCCAUAAACAUCACGAAUUUAAAAAAGCAGCAAAACAAGUCCCUUUCAAGGAUUCAAUCGGUCCUUUAAAAAUCCAAACGGUAGUACAUGGAAAGUCCGAAUAGAAUAGGCCACAAAAAAGGAAGGUGUUUCCAUCGUAAUGUAAGGAAGAGAGAGAAGAGAUUCCAUUAUUGUGACGGUGCAUAAUAGGUACAGGUGAUGGAAAGGUUAAAAUUAUCCCGAUAAUAUAUUUUAUAUAUUUGGAAACAAAUAUCAAAUAGUAAUCACAUCGCGGUUAUAAUCGGUGAACCCUAAAUAUUCGCGAAUCCUAAAUCGUCUUGGCUCGGCCUUGGCUCCAUCGAAGCGCAUCGACGACAUCUGAACCGGUGGUGCUGCCGGCAUCGGCAUCACGGCGAAAGCUGGGACUGGGAAGAACCUCAUCAGACAAGAUGCCGCUAAGCCGACAGGAGAAACGAGGACCCCCAAGGUAAUGAUGUGGAAGAAGGCCAUCAUCCUCACCGAGAACUGCCAGAUCUCCGGCGAGGCCGAUGAACCUGACGCACCAGUGUGCCACAGGCUGACAUCGGCGCCAUUACCUAUCAUCUCCCAAUGGAGCGCACCUCUCUGUGGGUUCCUUCAGCCUUAACGCCGAUGCCGGCGCUUCCUUCAACCUUAAAGCCAACGCCGGCGCAAUUAAACCAGCGUGCCAUCGUCAAAACAGAGAAGCUCCUGCCAUAGCACCGCCGUCAGCGAUGAAAUCGCGGGUGCCACCAAAUCGGACAGCAAUCACUUCCACAAAUCCACAAGCACGUCCGGGCCGAGAGCAGCGUGAUGAUGAUAGAGAAAGAUGAAGAAGAGGAUGGGACUCAUGGGAGUAAGCGCGGUUGCAGGAGGCAACGGGUGAGUGAGGGGCCAUCCGCCCUGCACCUGCUGCAUAGCGAACUGCCGGUUCGGCCGCGCCGGCGAUGGACCGCAGCUAGUGCCAGUGGAUGCGCCAGUGCAUGAUGGAGGUAGUACGUGGCAUACGAGAACCGCGAGGAGUUGAGUACCAGCUGCAGCGGCUCGGCUGAACUGGGAGCAGCUCUGGGCCAGCAAGGAUCAUACGCACCGAGAUGGAAAGCAUCAGAAGCGACGACGACAUGUGCAGUGCCACCCUCUCCGAUGACAUCGCAGGAGCACUUCUGGAGCAUCACAAGGAGCAAAGGAGCCAUUGUGUAGUAUCGCAGCGCAAGCGACGUGAUUAAUUUUCUACGAGUCAGGUUGCAUUGGUCGCAUUGGUCUUUCCUUCUACGUAUUUACUGCAAAAAUGCCAAAAAGGUGGAUGAGCUCCUAGGUAACACUGCAACAAUAAUAUAUCUUCAUAUGUGAUAACUAUUGGAAAAUUUUAUUCCCGUUUUGCUUCUGUGUGCGUGUAAAUUUUCAUGAAAAUUGACGAGAUUUGUACAACGUUUUUGAAUAAGUUUUUAUGAUUACAAAUCAAUCUAUUAAAAAAUCAAUCAUAAAAAAUAUAUUAUUUUAUGCAAAUUUACACAUGCUUGACACAUGAAUAUGUGCACCUUCAGACAAUCCAUUUGGUAGUAUCAGCUAUUUUUGUGAAUUGAUAUAAGAACAUUUUACUUCUCUAGUUAGCUUCUACAUAGAGACUCAUAAUCGAGUAAUAAAUAUAUAUGUUUGACACAGGCGGCUGAACGAUUUGGACGUGAUAGUAGGAGAGCAACCGCCCAAGAAACUUGAUGAAAAACUUGAUGUAUAAGAAGGGGGGCAUAUCCAACAAAAGUAUAAAGUCAGGUUGCAUUGGUCGCAUUGGUCUUUCCUUCUACAUAUUUAGUGCAAAAAUGCCAAAAAGGUGGAUGAGCUCCCAGGUAACACUGCAACAAUAAUAUAUCUUCAUAUGUGAUAACUAUUGGAAAAUUUUAGUCCCGUUUUGCUUCUGUGUGCGUGUAAAUUUCCACGAAAAUUGACGAGAUUUGUACAACGUUUUUGAAUAAGUUUUUAUGAUUACAAAUCAAUCUACAGAAGUCAAACAAGCCAUCACGUUCAUCCACAUAGGUUAAAAAUAUAUUAUCCAUUGAUUUACAUUACGAUGGUUGAGAUUAAAAGAUCGAAAAGGGUACGUAGAAUAAUGUUAUGUACAGAUUUUUAACAUCCAUCACGUAACAAGCAUAAACAUCACGGAUUUAAAAAAGCAGCAAAACAAGUCCCUUUCAAGGAUUCAAUCGGUCCUUUAAAAUCCAAACGGUAGCACAUGGAAAGUCCGAAUAGAAUAGGCCACAAAAAAGGAAGGUGUUUCCAUCGUAAUGUAAGGAAGAGAGAGAAGAGAUUCCAUUAUUGUGACGGUGCAUAAUAGGUACAGGUGAUGGAAAGGUUAAAAUUAUCCCGAUAAUAUAUUUUAUAUAUUUGGAAACAAAUAUCGAAUAGUAAUCACAUCGCGGUUAUAAUCGGUGAACCCUAAAUAUACGUGAAUCCUAAAUCGUCUUGGCUCGGCCUUGGCUCCAUCGAAGCGCAUCGACGACAUCUGAACCGGUGGUGCUGCCGGCAUCGGCAUCACGGCGAAAGCUGGGACUGGGAAGAACCUCAUCAGACGAGAUGCCGCUAAGCCGACAGGAGAAACGAGGACCCCCAAGGUAAUGAUGUGGAAGAAGGCCAUCAUCCUCACCGAGAACUGCCAGAUCUCCGGCGAGGCCGAUGAACCUGACGCACCAGUGUGCGACAGGCUGACAUCGACGCCAUUACCUAUCAUCUCCCAAUGGAGCGCACCUCUCUGUGGGUUCCUUCAGCCUUAACUCCGAUGCCGGCGCUUCCUUCAACCUUAAAGCCAACGCUGGCGCAAUUAAACCAGCGUGCCAUCGUCAAAACAGAGAAGCUCCUGCCAUAGCACCGCCGUCAGCGAUGAAAUCGCGGGUGCCACCAAAUCGGACAGCAAUCACUUCCACAAAUCCACAAGCACGUCCGGGCCGAGAGCAGCGUGAUGAUGAUAGAGAAAGAUGAAGAAGAGGAUGGGACUCAUGGGAGUAAGCGCGGUUGCAGGAGGCAACGUGUGAGUGAGGGGCCAUCCGCCCUGCAGCUGCUGCAUAGCGAACUGCCGGUUCGGCCGCGCCGGCGAUGAACCGCAGCUUGUGCCAGUGGAUGCGCCAGUGCAUGAUGGAGGUAGUACGUGGCAUACGAGAACCGCGAGGAGUUGAGUACCAGCUGCAGCGGCUCGGCUGAACUGGGGGCAGCUCUGGGCCAGCAAGGAUCAUACGCACCGAGAUGGAAAGCAUCAGCAGCGACGACGACAUGUGCAGUGCCACCCUCUCCGAUGACAUCGCAGGAGCACUUCUGGAGCAUCACAAGGAGCAAAGGAGCCAUUGUGUAGUAUCGCGGCGCAAGCGACGUGAUUAAUUUUCUACGAGUCAGGUUGCAUUGGUCGCAUUGGUCUUUCCUUCUACGUAUUUAGUGCAAAAAUGCCAAAAAGGUGGAUGAGCUCCUAGGUAACACUGCAACAAUAAUAUAUCUUCAUAUGUGAUAACUAUUGGAAAAUUUUAGUCCCGUUUUGCUUCUGUGUGCGUGUAAAUUUUCAUGAAAAUUGACGAGAUUUGUACAACGUUUUUGAAUAAGUUUUUAUGAUUACAAAUCAAUCUAUUAAAAAAUCAAUCAUAAAAAAUAUAUUAUUUUAUGCAAAUUUACACAUGCUUGACACAUGAAUAUGUGCACCUUCAGACAAUCCAUUUGGUAGUAUCAGCUAUUUUUGUGAAUUGAUAUAAGAACAUUUUACUUCUCUAGUUAGCUUCUACAUAGAGACUCAUAAUCGAGUAAUAAAUAUAUAUGUUUGACACAGGCGGCUGAACGAUUUGGACGUGAUAGUAGGAGAGCAACCGCCCAAGAAACUUGAUGAAAAACUUGAUGUAUAAGAAGGGGGGCAUAUCCAACAAAAGUAUAAAGUCAGGUUGCAUUGGUCGCAUUGGUCUUUCCUUCUACAUAUUUAGUGCAAAAAUGCCAAAAAGGUGGAUGAGCUCCCAGGUAACACUGCAACAAUAAUAUAUCUUCAUAUGUGAUAACUAUUGGAAAAUUUUAGUCCCGUUUUGCUUCUGUGUGCGUGUAAAUUUCCAUGAAAAUUGACGAGAUUUGUACAACGUUUUUGAAUAAGUUUUUAUGAUUACAAAUCAAUCUACAGAAGUCAAACAAGCCAUCACGUUCAUCCACAUAGUUUAAAAUAUAUUAUCCAUUGAUUUACAUUACGAUGGUUGAGAUUAAAAGAUCGAAAAGGUUACGUAGAAUAAUGUUAUGUACAGAUUUUUAACAUCCAACACGUAACAAGCAUAAACAUCACGGAUUUAAAAAAGCAGCAAAACAAGUCCCUUUCAAGGAUUCAAUCGGUCCUUUAAAAAUCCAAACGGUAGUAAAUGGAAAGUCCGAAUAGAAUAGGCCACAAAAAAGGAAGGUGUUUCCAUCGUAAUGUAAGGAAGAGAGAGAAGAGAUUCCAUUAUUGUGACGGUGCAUAAUAGGUACAGGUGAUGGAAAGGUUAAAAUUAUCCCGAUAAUAUAUUUUAUAUAUUUGGAAACAAAUAUCAAAUAGUAAUCACAUCGCGGUUAUAAUCGGUGAACCCUAAAUAUACGUGAAUCCUCAAUCGUCUUGGCUCGGCCUUGGCUCCAUCGAAGCGCAUCAACGACAUCUGAACCGGUGGUGCUGCCGGCAUCGGCAUCACGGCGAAAGCUGGGACUGGGAAGAACCUCAUCAGACAAGAUGCCGCUAAGCCGACAGGAGAAACGAGGACCCCCAAGGUAAUGAUGUGGAAGAAGGCCAUCAUCCUCACCGAGAACUGCCAGAUCUCCGGCGAGGCCGAUGAACCUGACGCACCAGUGUGCCACAGGCUGACAUCGGCGCCAUUACCUAUCAUCUCCCAAUGGAGCGCACCUCUCUGUGGGUUCCUUCAGCCUUAACGCCGAUGCCGGCGCUUCCUUCAACCUUAAAGCCAACGCCGGCGCAAUUAAACCAGCGUGCCAUCGUCAAAACAGAGAAGCUCCUGCCAUAGCACCGCUGUCAGCGAUGAAAUCGCGGGUGCCACCAAAUCGGACAGCAAUCACUUCCACAAAUCCACAAGCACGUCUGGGCCUAGAGCAGCGUGAUGAUGAUAGAGAAAGAUGAAGAAGAGGAUGGGACUCAUGGGAGUAAGCGCGGUUGCAGGAGGCAACGGGUGAGUGAGGGGCCAUCCGCCCUGCAGCUGCUGCAUAGCGAACUGCCGGUUCGGCCGCGCCGGCGAUGAACCGCAGCUAGUGCCAGUGGAUGCGCCAGUGCAUGAUGGAGGUAGUACGUGGCAUACGAGAACCGCGAGUAGCUGAGUACCAGCUGCAGCGGCUCGGCUGAACUGGGAGCAGCUCUGGGCCAGCAAGGAUCAUACGCACCGAGAUGGAAAGCAUCAGCAGCGACGACGACAUGUGCAGUGCCACCCUCUCCGAUGACAUCGCAGGAGCACUUCUGGAGCAUCACAAGGAGCAAAGGAGCCAUUGUGUAGUAUCGCAGCGCAAGCGACGUGAUUAAUUUUCUACGAGUCAGGUUGCAUUGGUCGCAUUGGUCUUUCCUUCUACGUAUUUAGUGCAAAAAUGCCAAAAAGGUGGAUGAGCUCCUAGGUAACACUGCAACAAUAAUAUAUCUUCAUAUGUGAUAACUAUUGGAAAAUUUUAGUCCCGUUUUGCUUCUGUGUGCGUGUAAAUUUCCAUGAAAAUUGACGAGAUUUGUACAACGUUUUUGAAUAAGUUUUUAUGAUUAAAAAUCAAUCUAUUAAAAAAUCAAUCAUAAAAAAUAUAUUAUUUUAUGCAAAUUUACACAUGCUUGACACAUGAAUAUGUGCACCUUCAGACAAUCCAUUUGGUAGUAUCAGCUAUUUUUGUGAAUUGAUAUAAGAACAUUUUACUUCUCUAGUUAGCUUCUACAUAGAGACUCAUAAUCGAGUAAUAAAUAUAUAUGUUUGACACAGGCGGCUGAACGAUUUGGACGUGAUAGUAGGAGAGCAACCGCCCAAGAAACUUGAUGAAAAACUUGAUGUAUAAGAAGGGGGGCAUAUCCAACAAAAGUAUAAAGUCAGGUUGCAUUGGUCGCAUUGGUCUUUCCUUCUACAUAUUUAGUGCAAAAAUGCCAAAAAGGUGGAUGAGCUCCCAGGUAACACUGCAACAAUAAUAUAUCUUCAUAUGUGAUAACUAUUGGAAAAUUUUAGUCCCGUUUUGCUUCUGUGUGCGUGUAAAUUUCCACGAAAAUUGACGAGAUUUGUACAACGUUUUUGAAUAAGUUUUUAUGAUUACAAAUCAAUCUACAGAAGUCAAACAAGCCAUCACGUUCAUCCACAUAGGUUAAAAAUAUAUUAUCCAUUGAUUUACAUUACGAUGGUUGAGAUUAAAAGAUCGAAAAGGGUACGUAGAAUAAUGUUAUGUACAGAUUUUUAACAUCCAUCACGUAACAAGCAUAAACAUCACGGAUUUAAAAAAGCAGCAAAACAAGUCCCUUUCAAGGAUUCAAUCGGUCCUUUAAAAUCCAAACGGUAGCACAUGGAAAGUCCGAAUAGAAUAGGCCACAAAAAAGGAAGGUGUUUCCAUCGUAAUGUAAGGAAGAGAGAGAAGAGAUUCCAUUAUUGUGACGGUGCAUAAUAGGUACAGGUGAUGGAAAGGUUAAAAUUAUCCCGAUAAUAUAUUUUAUAUAUUUGGAAACAAAUAUCGAAUAGUAAUCACAUCGCGGUUAUAAUCGGUGAACCCUAAAUAUACGUGAAUCCUAAAUCGUCUUGGCUCGGCCUUGGCUCCAUCGAAGCGCAUCGACGACAUCUGAACCGGUGGUGCUGCCGGCAUCGGCAUCACGGCGAAAGCUGGGACUGGGAAGAACCUCAUCAGACGAGAUGCCGCUAAGCCGACAGGAGAAACGAGGACCCCCAAGGUAAUGAUGUGGAAGAAGGCCAUCAUCCUCACCGAGAACUGCCAGAUCUCCGGCGAGGCCGAUGAACCUGACGCACCAGUGUGCGACAGGCUGACAUCGACGCCAUUACCUAUCAUCUCCCAAUGGAGCGCACCUCUCUGUGGGUUCCUUCAGCCUUAACUCCGAUGCCGGCGCUUCCUUCAACCUUAAAGCCAACGCUGGCGCAAUUAAACCAGCGUGCCAUCGUCAAAACAGAGAAGCUCCUGCCAUAGCACCGCCGUCAGCGAUGAAAUCGCGGGUGCCACCAAAUCGGACAGCAAUCACUUCCACAAAUCCACAAGCACGUCCGGGCCGAGAGCAGCGUGAUGAUGAUAGAGAAAGAUGAAGAAGAGGAUGGGACUCAUGGGAGUAAGCGCGGUUGCAGGAGGCAACGUGUGAGUGAGGGGCCAUCCGCCCUGCAGCUGCUGCAUAGCGAACUGCCGGUUCGGCCGCGCCGGCGAUGAACCGCAGCUUGUGCCAGUGGAUGCGCCAGUGCAUGAUGGAGGUAGUACGUGGCAUACGAGAACCGCGAGGAGUUGAGUACCAGCUGCAGCGGCUCGGCUGAACUGGGGGCAGCUCUGGGCCAGCAAGGAUCAUACGCACCGAGAUGGAAAGCAUCAGCAGCGACGACGACAUGUGCAGUGCCACCCUCUCCGAUGACAUCGCAGGAGCACUUCUGGAGCAUCACAAGGAGCAAAGGAGCCAUUGUGUAGUAUCGCGGCGCAAGCGACGUGAUUAAUUUUCUACGAGUCAGGUUGCAUUGGUCGCAUUGGUCUUUCCUUCUACGUAUUUAGUGCAAAAAUGCCAAAAAGGUGGAUGAGCUCCUAGGUAACACUGCAACAAUAAUAUAUCUUCAUAUGUGAUAACUAUUGGAAAAUUUUAGUCCCGUUUUGCUUCUGUGUGCGUGUAAAUUUUCAUGAAAAUUGACGAGAUUUGUACAACGUUUUUGAAUAAGUUUUUAUGAUUACAAAUCAAUCUAUUAAAAAAUCAAUCAUAAAAAAUAUAUUAUUUUAUGCAAAUUUACACAUGCUUGACACAUGAAUAUGUGCACCUUCAGACAAUCCAUUUGGUAGUAUCAGCUAUUUUUGUGAAUUGAUAUAAGAACAUUUUACUUCUCUAGUUAGCUUCUACAUAGAGACUCAUAAUCGAGUAAUAAAUAUAUAUGUUUGACACAGGCGGCUGAACGAUUUGGACGUGAUAGUAGGAGAGCAACCGCCCAAGAAACUUGAUGAAAAACUUGAUGUAUAAGAAGGGGGGCAUAUCCAACAAAAGUAUAAAGUCAGGUUGCAUUGGUCGCAUUGGUCUUUCCUUCUACAUAUUUAGUGCAAAAAUGCCAAAAAGGUGGAUGAGCUCCCAGGUAACACUGCAACAAUAAUAUAUCUUCAUAUGUGAUAACUAUUGGAAAAUUUUAGUCCCGUUUUGCUUCUGUGUGCGUGUAAAUUUCCACGAAAAUUGACGAGAUUUGUACAAUGUUUUUGAAUAAGUUUUUAUGAUUACAAAUCAAUCUACAGAAGUCAAACAAGCCAUCACGUUCAUCCACAUAGGUUAAAAAUAUAUUAUCCAUUGAUUUACAUUAUGAUGGUUGAGAUUAAAAGAUCGAAAAGGUUACGUAGAAUAAUGUUAUGUACAGAUUUUUAACAUCCAUCACGUAACAAGCAUAAACAUCACGGAUUUAAAAAAGCAGCAAAACAAGUCCCUUUCAAGGAUUCAAUCGGUCCUUUAAAAUCCAAACGGUAGCACAUGGAAAGUCCGAAUAGAAUAGGCCACAAAAAAGGAAGGUGUUUCCAUCGUAAUGUAAGGAAGAGAGAGAAGAGAUUCCAUUAUUGUGACGGUGCAUAAUAGGUACAGGUGAUGGAAAGGUUAAAAUUAUCCUGAUAAUAUAUUUUAUAUAUUUGGAAACAAAUAUCGAAUAGUAAUCACAUCGCGGUUAUAAUCGGUGAACCCUAAAUAUACGUGAAUCCUAAAUCGUCUUGGCUCGGCCUUGGCUCCAUCGAAGCGCAUCGACGACAUCUGAACCGGUGGUGCUGCCGGCAUCGGCAUCACGGCGAAAGCUGGGACUGGGAAGAACCUCAUCAGACGAGAUGCCGCUAAGCCGACAGGAGAAACGAGGACCCCCAAGGUAAUGAUGUGGAAGAAGGCCAUCAUCCUCACCGAGAACUGCCAGAUCUCCGGCGAGGCCGAUGAACCUGACGCACCAGUGUGCGACAGGCUGACAUCGGGGCCAUUACCUAUCAUCUCCCAAUGGAGCGCACCUCUCUGUGGGUUCCUUCAGCCUUAACUCCGAUGCCGGCGCUUCCUUCAACCUUAAAGCCAACGCUGGCGCAAUUAAACCAGCGUGCCAUCGUCAAAACAGAGAAGCUCCUGCCAUAGCACCGCCGUCAGCGAUGAAAUCGCGGGUGCCACCAAAUCGGACAGCAAUCACUUCCACAAAUCCACAAGCACGUCCGGGCCGAGAGCAGCGUGAUGAUGAUAGAGAAAGAUGAAGAAGAGGAUGGGACUCAUGGGAGUAAGCGCGGUUGCAGGAGGCAACGGGUGAGUGAGGGGCCAUCCGCCCUGCAGCUGCUGCAUAGCGAACUGCCGGUUCGGCCGCGCCGGCGAUGAACCGCAGCUUGUGCCAGUGGAUGCGCCAGUGCAUGAUGGAGGUAGUACGUGGCAUACGAGAACCGCGAGGAGUUGAGUACCAGCUGCAGCGGCUCGGCUGAACUGGGAGCAGCUCUGGGCCAGCAAGGAUCAUACGCACCGAGAUGGAAAGCAUCAGCAGCGACGACGACAUGUGCAGUGCCACCCUCUCCGAUGACAUCGCAGGAGCACUUCUGGAGCAUCACAAGGAGCAAAGGAGCCAUUGUGUAGUAUCGCGGCGCAAGCGACGUGAUUAAUUUUCUACGAGUCAGGUUGUAUUGGUCGCAUUGGUCUUUCCUUCUACGUAUUUAGUGCAAAAAUGCCAAAAAGGUGGAUGAGCUCCUAGGUAACACUGCAACAAUAAUAUAUCUUCAUAUGUGAUAACUAUUGGAAAAUUUUAGUCCCGUUUUGCUUCUGUGUGCGUGUAAAUUUUCAUGAAAAUUGACGAGAUUUGUACAACGUUUUUGAAUAAGUUUUUAUGAUUACAAAUCAAUCUAUUAAAAAAUCAAUCAUAAAAAAUAUAUUAUUUUAUGCAAAUUUACACAUGCUUGACACAUGAAUAUGUGCACCUUCAGACAAUCCAUUUGGUAGUAUCAGCUAUUUUUGUGAAUUGAUAUAAGAACAUUUUACUUCUCUAGUUAGCUUCUACAUAGAGACUCAUAAUCGAGUAAUAAAUAUAUAUGUUUGACACAGGCGGCUGAACGAUUUGGACGUGAUAGUAGGAGAGCAACCGCCCAAGAAACUUGAUGAAAAACUUGAUGUAUAAGAAGGGGGGCAUAUCCAACAAAAGUAUAAAGUCAGGUUGCAUUGGUCGCAUUGGUCUUUCCUUCUACAUAUUUAGUGCAAAAAUGCCAAAAAGGUGGAUGAGCUCCCAGGUAACACUGCAACAAUAAUAUAUCUUCAUAUGUGAUAACUAUUGGAAAAUUUUAGUCCCGUUUUGCUUCUGUGUGCGUGUAAAUUUCCACGAAAAUUGACGAGAUUUGUACAACGUUUUUGAAUAAGUUUUUAUGAUUACAAAUCAAUCUACAGAAGUCAAACAAGCCAUCACGUUCAUCCACAUAGGUUAAAAAUAUAUUAUCCAUUGAUUUACAUUACGAUGGUUGAGAUUAAAAGAUCGAAAAGGUUACGUAGAAUAAUGUUAUGUACAGAUUUUUAACAUCCAUCACGUAACAAGCAUAAACAUCACGGAUUUAAAAAAGCAGCAAAACAAGUCCCUUUCAAGGAUUCAAUCGGUCCUUUAAAAUCCAAACGGUAGCACAUGGAAAGUCCGAAUAGAAUAGGCCACAAAAAAGGAAGGUGUUUCCAUCGUAAUGUAAGGAAGAGAGAGAAGAGAUUCCAUUAUUGUGACGGUGCAUAAUAGGUACAGGUGAUGGAAAGGUUAAAAUUAUCCCGAUAAUAUAUUUUAUAUAUUUGGAAACAAAUAUCAAAUAGUAAUCACAUCGCGGUUAUAAUCGGUGAACCCUAAAUAUACGUGAAUCCUCAAUCGUCUUGGCUCGGCCUUGGCUCCAUCGAAGCGCAUCAACGACAUCUGAACCGGUGGUGCUGCCGGCAUCGGCAUCACGGCGAAAGCUGGGACUGGGAAGAACCUCAUCAGACAAGAUGCCGCUAAGCCGACAGGAGAAACGAGGACCCCCAAGGUAAUGAUGUGGAAGAAGGCCAUCACCCUCACCGAGAACUGCCAGAUCUCCGGCGAGGCCGAUGAACCUGACGCACCAGUGUGCCACAGGCUGACAUCGGCGCCAUUACCUAUCAUCUCCCAAUGGAGCGCACCUCUCUGUGGGUUCCUUCAGCCUUAACGCCGAUGCCGGCGCUUCCUUCAACCUUAAAGCCAACGCCGGCGCAAUUAAACCAGCGUGCCAUCGUCAAAACAGAGAAGCUCCUGCCAUAGCACCGCUGUCAGCGAUGAAAUCGCGGGUGCCACCAAAUCGGACAGCAAUCACUUCCACAAAUCCACAAGCACGUCUGGGCCUAGAGCAGCGUGAUGAUGAUAGAGAAAGAUGAAGAAGAGGAUGGGACUCAUGGGAGUAAGCGCGGUUGCAGGAGGCAACGGGUGAGUGAGGGGCCAUCCGCCCUGCAGCUGCUGCAUAGCGAACUGCCGGUUCGGCCGCGCCGGCGAUGAACCGCAGCUAGUGCCAGUGGAUGCGCCAGUGCAUGAUGGAGGUAGUACGUGGCAUACGAGAACCGCGAGGAGCUGAGUACCAGCUGCAGCGGCUCGGCUGAACUGGGAGCAGCUCUGGGCCAGCAAGGAUCUUACGCACCGAGAUGGAAAGCAUCAGCAGCGACGACGACAUGUGCAGUGCCACCCUCUCCGAUGACAUCGCAGGAGCACUUCUGGAGCAUCACAAGGAGCAAAGGAGCCAUUGUGUAGUAUCGCAGCGCAAGCGACGUGAUUAAUUUUCUACGAGUCAGGUUGCAUUGGUCGCAUUGGUCUUUCCUUCUAGGUAUUUAGUGCAAAAAUGCCAAAAAGGUGGAUGAGCUCCUAGGUAACACUGCAACAAUAAUAUAUCUUCAUAUGUGAUAACUAUUGGAAAAUUUUAGUCCCGUUUUGCUUCUGUGUGCGUGUAAAUUUCCAUGAAAAUUGACGAGAUUUGUACAACGUUUUUGAAUAAGUUUUUAUGAUUAAAAAUCAAUCUAUUAAAAAAUCAAUCAUAAAAAAUAUAUUAUUUUAUGCAAAUUUACACAUGCUUGACACAUGAAUAUGUGCACCUUCAGACAAUCCAUUUGGUAGUAUCAGCUAUUUUUGUGAAUUGAUAUAAGAACAUUUUACUUCUCUAGUUAGCUUCUACAUAGAGACUCAUAAUCGAGUAAUAAAUAUAUAUGUUUGACACAGGCGGCUGAACGAUUUGGACGUGAUAGUAGGAGAGCAACCGCCCAAGAAACUCGAUGAAAAACUUGAUGUAUAAGAAGGGGGGCAUAUCCAACAAAAGUAUAAAGUCAGGUUGCAUUGGUCGCAUUGGUCUUUCCUUCUACAUAUUUAGUGCAAAAAUGCCAAAAAGGUGGAUGAGCUCCCAGGUAACACUGCAACAAUAAUAUAUCUUCAUAUGUGAUAACUAUUGGAAAAUUUUAGUCCCGUUUUGCUUCUGUGUGCGUGUAAAUUUCCACGAAAAUUGACGAGAUUUGUACAACGUUUUUGAAUAAGUUUUUAUGAUUACAAAUCAAUUUACAGAAGUCAAACAAGCCAUCACGUUCAUCCACAUAGGUUAAAAAUAUAUUAUCCAUUGAUUUACAUUACGAUGGUUGAGAUUAAAAGAUCGAAAAGGUUACGUAGAAUAAUGUUAUGUACAGAUUUUUAACAUCCAUCACGUAACAAGCAUAAACAUCACGGAUUUAAAAAAGCAGCAAAACAAGUCCCUUUCAAGGAUUCAAUCGGUCCUUUAAAAUCCAAAUGGUAGCACAUGGAAUGUCCGAAUAGAAUAGGCCACAAAAAAGGAAGGUGUUUCCAUCGUAAUGUAAGGAAGAGAGAGAAGAGAUUCCAUUAUUGUGACGGUGCAUAAUAGGUACAGGUGAUGGAAAGGUUAAAAUUAUCCCGAUAAUAUAUUUUAUAUAUUUGGAAACAAAUAUCGAAUAGUAAUCACAUCGCGGUUAUAAUCGGUGAACCCUAAAUAUACGUGAAUCCUAAAUCGUCUUGGCUCGGCCUUGGCUCCAUCGAAGCGCAUCGACGACAUCUGAACCGGUGGUGCUGCCGGCAUCGGCAUCACGGCGAAAGCUGGGACUGGGAAGAACCUCAUCAGACGAGAUGCCGCUAAGCCGACAGGAGAAACGAGGACCCCCAAGGUAAUGAUGUGGAAGAAGGCCAUCAUCCUCACCGAGAACUGCCAGAUCUCCGGCGAGGCCGAUGAACCUGACGCACCAGUGUGCGACAGGCUGACAUCGGCGCCAUUACCUAUCAUCUCCCAAUGGAGCGCACCUCUCUGUGGGUUCCUUCAGCCUUAACUCCGAUGCCGGCGCUUCCUUCAACCUUAAAGCCAACGCUGGCGCAAUUAAACCAGCGUGCCAUCGUCAAAACUGAGAAGGUCCUGCCAUAGCACCGCCGUCAGCGAUGAAAUCGCGGGUGCCACCAAAUCGGACAGCAAUCACUUCCACAAAUCCACAAGCACGUCUGGGCCGAGAGCAGCGUGAUGAUGAUAGAGAAAGAUGAAGAAGAGGAUGGGACUCAUGGGAGUAAGCGCGGUUUCAGGAGGCAACGGGUGAGUGAGGGGCCAUCCGCCCUGCAGCUGCUGCAUAGCGAACUGCCGGUUCGGCCGCGCCGGCGAUGAACCGCAGCUUGUGCCAGUGGAUGCGCCAGUGCAUGAUGGAGGUAGUACGUGGCAUACGAGAACCGCGAGGAGUUGAGUACCAGCUGCAGCGGCUCGGCUGAACUGGGAGCAGCUCUGGGCCAGCAAGGAUCAUACGCACCGAGAUGGAAAGCAUCAGCAGCGACGACGACAUGUGCAGUGCCACCCUCUCCGAUGACAUCGCAGGAGCACUUCUGGAGCAUCACAAGGAGCAAAGGAGCCAUUGUGUAGUAUCGCGGCGCAAGCGACGUGAUUAAUUUUCUACGAGUCAGGUUGCAUUGGUCUUUCCUUCUACGUAUUUAGUGCAAAAAUGCCAAAAAGGUGGAUGAGCUCCUAGGUAACACUGCAACAAUAAUAUAUCUUCAUAUGUGAUAACUAUUGGAAAAUUUUAGUCCCGUUUUGCUUCUGUGUGCGUGUAAAUUUUCAUGAAAAUUGACGAGAUUUGUACAACGUUUUUGAAUAAGUUUUUAUGAUUACAAAUGAAUCUAUUAAAAAAUCAAUCAUAAAAAAUAUAUUAUUUUAUGCAAAUUUACACAUGCUUGACACAUGAAUAUGUGCACCUUCAGACAAUCCAUUUGGUAGUAUCAGCUAUUUUUGUGAAUUGAUAUAAGAACAUUUUACUUCUCUAGUUAGCUUCUACAUAGAGACUCAUAAUCGAGUAAUAAAUAUAUAUGUUUGACACAGGCGGCUGAACGAUUUGGACGUGAUAGUAGGAGAGCAACCGCCCAAGAAACUUGAUGAAAAACUUGAUGUAUAAGAAGGGGGGCAUAUCCAACAAAAGUAUAAAGUCAGGUUGCAUUGGUCGCAUUGGUCUUUCCUUCUACAUAUUUAGUGCAAAAAUGCCAAAAAGGUGGAUGAGCUCCCAGGUAACAUUGCAACAAUAAUAUAUCUUCAUAUGUGAUAACUAUUGGAAAAUUUUAGUCCCGUUUUGCUUCUGUGUGCGUGUAAAUUUCCACGAAAAUUGACGAGAUUUGUACAACGUUUUUGAAUAAGUUUUUAUGAUUACAAAUCAAUCUACAGAAGUCAAACAAGCCAUCACGUUCAUCCACAUAGGUUAAAAAUAUAUUAUCCAUUGAUUUACAUUACGAUGGUUGAGAUUAAAAGAUCGAAAAGGUUACGUAGAAUAAUGUUAUGUACAGAUUUUUAACAUCCAACACGUAACAAGCAUAAACAUCACGGAUUUAAAAAAGCAGCAAAACAAGUCCCUUUCAAGGAUUCAAUCGGUCCUUUAAAAAUCCAAACGGUAGUACAUGGAAAGUCCGAAUAGAAUAGGCCACAAAAAAGGAAGGUGUUUCCAUCGUAAUGUAAGGAAGAGAGAGAAGAGAUUCCAUUAUUGUGACGGUGCAUAAUAGGUACAGGUGAUGGAAAGGUUAAAAUUAUCCCGAUAAUAUAUUUUAUAUAUUUGGAAACAAAUAUCGAAUAGUAAUCACAUCGCGGUUAUAAUCGGUGAACCCUAAAUAUACGUGAAUCCUAAAUCGUCUUGGCUCGGCCUUGGCUCCAUCGAAGCGCAUCAACGACAUCUGAACCGGUGGUGCUGCCGGCAUCGGCAUCACGGCGAAAGCUGGGACUGGGAAGAACCUCAUCAGACAAGAUGCCGCUAAGCCGACAGGAGAAACGAGGACCCCCAAGGUAAUGAUGUGGAAGAAGGCCAUCAUCCUCACCGAGAACUGCCAGAUCUCCGGCGAGGCCGAUGAACCUGACGCACCAGUGUGCCACAGGCUGACAUCAGCGCCAUUACCUAUCAUCUCCCAAUGGAGCGCACCUCUCUGUGGGUUCCUUCAGCCUUAACGCCGAUGCCGGCGCUUCCUUCAACCUUAAAGCCAACGCCGGCGCAAUUAAACCAGCGUGCCAUCGUCAAAACAGAGAAGCUCCUGCCAUAGCACCGCUGUCAGCGAUGAAAUCGCGGGUGCCACCAAAUCGGACAGCAAUCACUUCCACAAAUCCACAAGCAUGUCCGGGCCUAGAGCAGCGUGAUGAUGAUAGAGAAAGAUGAAGAAGAGGAUGGGACUCAUGGGAGUAAGCGCGGUUGCAGGAGGCAACGGGUGAGUGAGGGGCCAUCCGCCCUGCAGCUGCUGCAUAGCGAACUGCCGGUUCGGCCGCGCCGGCGAUGAACCGCAGCUAGUGCCAGUGGAUGCGCCAGUGCAUGAUGGAGGUAGUACGUGGCAUACGAGAACCGCGAGGAGCUGAGUACCAGCUGCAGCGGCUCGGCUGAACUGGGAGCAGCUCUGGGCCAGCAAGGAUCAUACGCACCGAGAUGGAAAGCAUCAGCAGCGACGACGACAUGUGCAGUGCCACCCUCUCCGAUGACAUCGCAGGAGCACUUCUGGAGCAUCACAAGGAGCAAAGGAGCCAUUGUGUAGUAUCGCAGCGCAAGCGACGUGAUUAAUUUUCUACGAGUCAGGUUGCAUUGGUCGCAUUGGUCUUUCCUUCUAGGUAUUUAGUGCAAAAAUGCCAAAAAGGUGGAUGAGCUCCUAGGUAACACUGCAACAAUAAUAUAUCUUCAUAUGUGAUAACUAUUGGAAAAUUUUAGUCCCGUUUUGCUUCUGUGUGCGUGUAAAUUUCCAUGAAAAUUGACGAGAUUUGUACAACGUUUUUGAAUAAGUUUUUAUGAUUACAAAUCAAUCUAUUAAAAAAUCAAUCAUAAAAAAUAUAUUAUUUUAUGCAAAUUUACACAUGCUUGACACAUGAAUAUGUGCACCUUCAGACAAUCCAUUUGGUAGUAUCAGCUAUUUUUGUGAAUUGAUAUAAGAACAUUUUACUUCUCUAGUUAGCUUCUACAUAGAGACUCAUAAUCGAGUAAUAAAUAUAUAUGUUUGACACAGGCGGCUGAACGAUUUGGACGUGAUAGUAGGAGAGCAACUGCCCAAGAAACUUGAUGAAAAACUUGAUGUAUAAGAAGGGGGGCAUAUCCAACAAAAGUAUAAAGUCAGGUUGCAUUGGUCGCAUUGGUCUUUCCUUCUACAUAUUUAGUGCAAAAAUGCCAAAAAGGUGGAUGAGCUCCCAGGUAACACUGCAACAAUAAUAUAUCUUCAUAUGUGAUAACUAUUGGAAAAUUUUAGUCCCGUUUUGCUUCUGUGUGCGUGUAAAUUUCCACGAAAAUUGACGAGAUUUGUACAACGUUUUUGAAUAAGUUUUUAUGAUUACAAAUGAAUCUACAGAAGUCAAACAAGCCAUCACGUUCAUCCACAUAGGUUAAAAAUAUAUUAUCCAUUGAUUUACAUUACGAUGGUUGAGAUUAAAAGAUCGAAAAGGUUACGUAGAAUAAUGUUAUGUACAGAUUUUUAACAUCCAUCACGUAACAAGCAUAAACAUCACGGAUUUAAAAAAGCAGCAAAACAAGUCCCUUUCAAGGAUUCAAUCGGUCCUUUAAAAAUCCAAACGGUAGCACAUGGAAAGUCCGAAUAGAAUAGGCCACAAAAAAGGAAGGUGUUUCCAUCGUAAUGUAAGGAAGAGAGAGAAGAGAUUCCAUUAUUGUGACGGUGCAUAAUAGGUACAGGUGAUGGAAAGGUUAAAAUUAUCCCGAUAAUAUAUUUUAUAUAUUUGGAAACAAAUAUCGAAUAGUAAUCACAUCGCGGUUAUAAUCGGUGAACCCUAAAUAUACGUGAAUCCUAAAUCGUCUUGGCUUGGCCUUGGCUCCAUCGAAGCGCAUCGACGACAUCUGAACCGGUGGUGCUGCCGGCAUCGGCAUCACGGCGAAAGCUGGGACUGGGAAGAACCUCAUCAGACGAGAUGCCGCUAAGCCGACAGGAGAAACGAGGACCCCCAAGGUAAUGAUGUGGAAGAAGGCCAUCAUCCUCACCGAGAACUGCCAGAUCUCCGGCGAGGCCGAUGAACCUGACGCACCAGUGUGCGACAGGCUGACAUCGGCGCCAUUACCUAUCAUCUCCCAAUGGAGCGCACCUCUCUGUGGGUUCCUUCAGCCUUAACUCCGAUGCCGGCGCUUCCUUCAACCUUAAAGCCAACGCCGGCGCAAUUAAACCAGCGUGCCAUCGUCAAAACAGAGAAGCUCCUGCCAUAGCACCGCCGUCAGCGAUGAAAUCGCGGGUGCCACCAAAUCGGACAGCAAUCACUUCCACAAAUCCACAAGCACGUCCGGGCCGAGAGCAGCGUGAUGAUGAUAGAGAAAGAUGAAGAAGAGGAUGGGACUCAUGGGAGUAAGCGCGGUUGCAGGAGGCAACGGGUGAGUGAGGGGCCAUCCGCCCUGCAGCUGCUGCAUAGCGAACUGCCGGUUCGGCCGCGCCGGCGAUGAACCGCAGCUUGUGCCAGUGGAUGCGCCAGUGCAUGAUGGAGGUAGUACGUGGCAUACGAGAACCGCGAGGAGUUGAGUACCAGCUGCAGCGGCUCGGCUGAACUGGGAGCAGCUCUGGGCCAGCAAGGAUCAUACGCACCGAGAUGGAAAGCAUCAGCAGCGACGACGACAUGUGCAGUGCCACCCUCUCCGAUGACAUCGCAGGAGCACUUCUGGAGCAUCACAAGGAGCAAAGGAGCCAUUGUGUAGUAUCGCAGCGCAAGCGACGUGAUUAAUUUUCUACGAGUCAGGUUGCAUUGGUCGCAUUGGUCUUUCCUUCUACGUAUUUAGUGCAAAAAUGCCAAAAAGGUGGAUGAGCUCCUAGGUAACACUGCAACAAUAAUAUAUCUUCAUAUGUGAUAACUAUUGGAAAAUUUUAGUCCCGUUUUGCUUCUGUGUGCGUGUAAAUUUUCAUGAAAAUUGACGAGAUUUGUACAACGUUUUUGAAUAAGUUUUUAUGAUUACAAAUGAAUCUAUUAAAAAAUCAAUCAUAAAAAAUAUAUUAUUUUAUGCAAAUUUACACAUGCUUGACACAUGAAUAUGUGCACCUUCAGACAAUCCAUUUGGUAGUAUCAGCUAUUUUUGUGAAUUGAUAUAAGAACAUUUUACUUCUCUAGUUAGCUUCUACAUAGAGACUCAUAAUCGAGUAAUAAAUAUAUAUGUUUGACACAGGCGGCUGAACGAUUUGGACGUGAUAGUAGGAGAGCAACCGCCCAAGAAACUUGAUGAAAAACUUGAUGUAUAAGAAGGGGGGCAUAUCCAACAAAAGUAUAAAGUCAGGUUGCAUUGGUCGCAUUGGUCUUUCCUUCUACAUAUUUAGUGCAAAAAUGCCAAAAAGGUGGAUGAGCUCCCAGGUAACACUGCAACAAUAAUAUAUCUUCAUAUGUGAUAACUAUUGGAAAAUUUUAGUCCCGUUUUGCUUCUGUGUGCGUGUAAAUUUCCACGAAAAUUGACGAGAUUUGUACAACGUUUUUGAAUAAGUUUUUAUGAUUACAAAUCAAUCUACAGAAGUCAAACAAGCCAUCACGUUCAUCCACAUAGGUUAAAAAUAUAUUAUCCAUUGAUUUACAUUACGAUGGUUGAGAUUAAAAGAUCGAAAAGGUCACGUAGAAUAAUGUUAUGUACAGAUUUUUAACAUCCAUCACGUAACAAGCAUAAACAUCACGGAUUUAAAAAAGCAGCAAAACAAGUCCCUUUCAAGGAUUCAAUCGGUCCUUUAAAAAUCCAAACGGUAGCACAUGGAAAGUCCGAAUAGAAUAGGCCACAAAAAAGGAAGGUGUUUCCAUCGUAAUGUAAGGAAGAGAGAGAAGAGAUUCCAUUAUUGUGACGGUGCAUAAUAGGUACAGGUGAUGGAAAGGUUAAAAUUAUCCCGAUAAUAUAUUUUAUAUAUUUGGAAACAAAUAUCGAAUAGUAAUCACAUCGCGGUUAUAAUCGGUGAACCCUAAAUAUACGUGAAUCCUAAAUCGUCUUGGCUCGGCCUUGGCUCCAUCGAAGCGCAUCGACGACAUCUGAACCGGUGGUGCUGCCGGCAUCGGCAUCACGACGAAAGCUGGGACUGGGAAGAACCUCAUCAGACAAGAUGCCGCUAAGCCGACAGGAGAAACGAGGACCCCCAAGGUAAUGAUGUGGAAGAAGGCCAUCAUCCUCACCGAGAACUGCCAGAUCUCCGGCGAGGCCGAUGAACCUGACGCACCAGUGUGCGACAGGCUGACAUCGGCGCCAUUACCUAUCAUCUCCCAAUGGAGCGCACCUCUCUGUGGGUUCCUUCAGCCUUAACGCCGAUGCCGGCGCUUCCUUCAACCUUAAAGCCAACGCCGGCGCAAUUAAACCAGCGUGCCAUUGUCAAAACAGAGAAGCUCCUGCCAUAGCACCGCCGUCAGCGAUGAAAUCGCGGGUGCCACCAAAUCGGACAGCAAUCACUUCCACAAAUCCACAAGCACGUCCGGGCCGAGAGCAGCGUGAUGAUGAUAGAGAAAGAUGAAGAAGAGGAUGGGACUCAUGGGAGUAAGCGCGGUUGCAGGAGGCAACGGGUGAGUGAGGGGCCAUCCGCCCUGCAGCUGCUGCAUAGCGAACUGCCGGUUCGGCCGCGCCGGCGAUGAACCGCAGCUUGUGCCAGUGGAUGCGCCAGUGCAUGAUGGAGGUAGUACGUGGCAUACGAGAACCGCGAGGAGCUGAGUACCAGCUGCAGCGGCUCGGCUGAACUGGGAGCAGCUCUGGGCCAGCAAGGAUCAUACGCACCGAGAUGGAAAGCAUCAGCAGCGACGACGACAUGUGCAGUGCCACCCUCUCCGAUGACAUCGCAGGAGCACUUCUGGAGCAUCACAAGGAGCAAAGGAGCCAUUGUGUAGUAUCGCAGCGCAAGCGACGUGAUUAAUUUUCUACGAGUCAGGUUGCAUUGGUCGCAUUGGUCUUUCCUUCUAGGUAUUUAGUGCAAAAAUGCCAAAAAGGUGGAUGAGCUCCUAGGUAACACUGCAACAAUAAUAUAUCUUCAUAUGUGAUAACUAUUGGAAAAUUUUAGUCCCGUUUUGCUUCUGUGUGCGUGUAAAUUUCCAUGAAAAUUGACGAGAUUUGUACAACGUUUUUGAAUAAGUUUUUAUGAUUACAAAUCAAUCUAUUAAAAAAUCAAUCAUAAAAAAUAUAUUAUUUUAUGCAAAUUUACACAUGCUUGACACAUGAAUAUGUGCACCUUCAGACAAUCCAUUUGGUAGUAUCAGCUAUUUUUGUGAAUUGAUAUAAGAACAUUUUACUUCUCUAGUUAGCUUCUACAUAGAGACUCAUAAUCGAGUAAUAAAUAUAUAUGUUUGACACAGGCGGCUGAACGAUUUGGACGUGAUAGUAGGAGAGCAACCGCCCAACAAACUUGAUGAAAAACUUGAUGUAUAAGAAGGGGGGCAUAUCCAACAAAAGUAUAAAGUCAGGUUGCAUUGGUCGCAUUGGUCUUUCCUUCUACAUAUUUAGUGCAAAAAUGCCAAAAAGGUGGAUGAGCUCCCAGGUAACACUGCAACAAUAAUAUAUCUUCAUAUGUGAUAACUAUUGGAAAAUUUUAGUCCCGUUUUGCUUCUGUGUGCGUGUAAAUUUCCACGAAAAUUGACGAGAUUUGUACAACAUUUUUGAAUAAGUUUUUAUGAUUACAAAUGAAUCUACAGAAGUCAAACAAGCCAUCACGUUCAUCCACAUAGGUUAAAAAUAUAUUAUCCAUUGAUUUACAUUACGAUGGUUGAGAUUAAAAGAUCGAAAAGGUUACGUAGAAUAAUGUUAUGUACAGAUUUUUAACAUCCAACACGUAACAAGCAUAAACAUCACGGAUUUAAAAAAGCAGCAAAACAAGUCCCUUUCAAGGAUUCAAUCGGUCCUUUAAAAAUCCAAAUGGUAGUACAUGGAAAGUCCGAAUAGAAUAGGCCACAAAAAAGGAAGGUGUUUCCAUCGUAAUGUAAGGAAGAGAGAGAAGAGAUUCCAUUAUUGUGACGGUGCAUAAUAGGUACAGGUGAUGGAAAGGUUAAAAUUAUCCCGAUAAUAUAUUUUAUAUAUUUGGAAACAAAUAUCGAAUAGUAAUCACAUCGCGGUUAUAAUCGGUGAACCCUAAAUAUACGUGAAUCCUAAAUCGUCUUGGCUCGGCCUUGGCUCCAUCGAAGCGCAUCAACGACAUCUGAACCGGUGGUGCUGCCGGCAUCGGCAUCACGGCGAAAGCUGGGACUGGGAAGAACCUCAUCAGACAAGAUGCCGCUAAGCCGACAGAAGAAACAAGGACCCCCAAGGUAAUGAUGUGGAAGAAGGCCAUCAUCCUCACCGAGAACUGCCAGAUCUCCGGCGAGGCCGAUGAACCUGACGCACCAGUGUGCCACAGGCUGACAUCGGCGCCAUUACCUAUCAUCUCCCAAUGGAGCGCACCUCUCUGUGGGUUCCUUCAGCCUUAACGCCGAUGCCGGCGCUUCCUUCAACCUUAAAGCCAACGCCGGUGCAAUUAAACCAGCGUGCCAUCGUCAAAACAGAGAAGCUCCUGCCAUAGCACCGCUGUCAGCGAUGAAAUCGCGGGUGCCACCAAAUCGGACAGCAAUCACUUCCACAAAUCCACAAGCACGUCCGGGCCGAGAGCAGCGUGAUGAUGAUAGAGAAAGAUGAAGAAGAGGAUGGGACUCAUGGGAGUAAGCGCGGUUGCAGGAGGCAACGGGUGAGUGAGGGGCCAUCCGCCCUGCAGCUGCUGCAUAGCGAACUGCCGGUUCGGCCGCGCCGGCGAUGAACCGCAGCUUGUGCCAGUGGAUGCGCCAGUGCAUGAUGGAGGUAGUACGUGGCAUACGAGAACCGCGAGGAGCUGAGUACCAGCUGCAGCGGCUCGGCUGAACUGGGAGCAGCUCUGGGCCAGCAAGGAUCAUACGCACCGAGAUGGAAAGCAUCAGCAGCGACGACGACAUGUGCAGUGCCACCCUCUCCGAUGACAUCGCAGGAGCACUUCUGGAGCAUCACAAGGAGCAAAGGAGCCAUUGUGUAGUAUCGCAGCGCAAGCGACGUGAUUAAUUUUCUACGAGUCAGGUUGCAUUGGUCGCAUUGGUCUUUCCUUCUAGGUAUUUAGUGCAAAAAUGCCAAAAAGGUGGAUGAGCUCCCAGGUAACACUGCAACAAUAAUAUAUCUUCAUAUGUGAUAACUAUUGGAAAAUUUUAGUCCCGUUUUGCUUCUAUGUGCGUGUAAAUUUCAUGAAAAUUGACGAGAUUUGUACAACGUUUUUGAAUAAGUUUUUAUGAUUACAAAUCAAUCUAUUAAAAAAUCAAUCAUAAAAAAUAUAUUAUUUUAUGCAAAUUUACACAUGCUUGACACAUGAAUAUGUGCACCUUCAGACAAUCCAUUUGGUAGUAUCAGCUAUUUUUGUGAAUUGAUAUAAGAACAUUUUACUUCUCUAGUUAGCUUCUACAAAGAGACUCAUAAUCGAGUAAUAAAUAUAUAUGUUUGACACAGGCGGCUGAACGAUUUGGACGUGAUAGUAGGAGAGCAACCGCCCAAGAAACUUGAUGAAAAACUUGAUGUAUAAGAAGGGGGGCAUAUCCAACAAAAGUAUAAAGUCAGGUUGCAUUGGUCGCAUUGGUCUUUCCUUCUACAUAUUUAGUGCAAAAAUGCCAAAAAGGUGGAUGAGCUCCCAGGUAACACUCCAACAUUAAUAUAUCUUCAUAUGUGAUAACUAUUGGAAAAUUUUAGUCCCGUUUUGCUUCUGUGUGCGUGUAAAUUUCCAUGAAAAUUGACGAGAUUUGUACAACGUUUUUGAAUAAGUUUUUAUGAUUACAAAUCAAUCUACAGAAGUCAAACAAGCCAUCACGUUCAUCCACAUAGGUUAAAAAUAUAUUAUCCAUUGAUUUACAUUACGACGGUUGAGAUUAAAAGAUCGAAAAGGUUACGUAGAAUAAUGUUAUGUACAGAUUUUUAACAUCCAACACGUAACAAGCAUAAACAUCACGGAUUUAAAAAAGCAGCAAAACAAGUCCCUUUCAAGGAUUCAAUCGGUCCUUCAAAAAUCCAAACGGUAGUACAUGGAAAGUCCGAAUAGAAUAGGCCACAAAAAAGGAAGGUGUUUACAUCGUAAUGUAAGGAAGAGAGAGAAGAGAUUCCAUUAUUGUGACGGUCCAUAAUAGGUACAGGUGAUGGAAAGGUUAAAAUUAUCCUGAUAAUAUAUUUUAUAUAUUUGGAAACAAAUAUCGAAUAGUAAUCACAUCGCGGUUAUAAUCGGUGAACCCUAAUUAUACGUGAAUCCUAAAUCGUCUUGGCUCGGCCUUGGCUCCAUCGAAGCGCAUCGACGACAUCUGAACCGGUGGUGCUGCCGGCAUCGGCAUCACGGCGAAAGCUGGGACUGGGAAGAACCUCAUCAGACAAGAUGCCGCUAAGCCGACAGGAGAAACGAGGACACCCAAGGUAAUGAUGUGGAAGAAGGCCAUCAUCCUCACCGAGAACUGCCAGAUCUCCGGCGAGGCCGAUGAACCUGACGCACCAGUGUGCGACAGGCUGACAUCGGCGCCAUUACCUAUCAUCUCCCAAUGGAGCGCACCUCUCUGUGGGUUCCUUCAGCCUUAACGCCGAUGCCGGCGCUUCCUUCAACCUUGAAGCCAACACCGGCGCAAUUAAACCAGCGUGCCAUCGUCAAAACAGAGAAGCUCCUGCCAUAGCACCGCCGUCAGCGAUGAAAUCGCGGGUGCCACCAAAUCGGACAGCAAUCACUUCCACAAAUCCACAAGCACGUCCGGGCCGAGAGCAGCGUGAUGAUGAUAGAGAAAGAUGAAGAAGAGGAUGGGAGUCAUGGGAGUAAGCGCGGUUGCAGGAGGCAACGGGUGAGUGAGGGGCCAUCCGCCCUGGAGCUGCUGCAUAGCGAACCGCCGGUUCGGCCGCGCCGGCGAUGAACCGCAGCUUGUGCCAGUGGAUGCGCCAGUGCAUGAUGGAGGUAGUACGUGGCAUACGAGAACCGCGAGGAGCUGAGUACCAGCUGCAGCGGCUCGGCUGAACUGGGAGCAGCUCUGGGCCAGCAAGGAUCAUACGCACCGAGAUGGAAAGCAUCAGCAGCGACGACGACAUGUGCAGUGCCACCCUCUCCGAUGACAUCGCAGGAGCACUUCUGGAGCAUCACAAGGAGCAAAGGAGCCAUUGUGUAGUAUCGCAGCGCAAGCGACGUGAUUAAUUUUCUACGAGUCAGGUUGCAUUGGUCACAUUGGUCUUUCCUUCUACGUAUUUAGUGCAAAAAUGCCAAAAAGGUGGAUGAGCUCCCAGGUAACACUGCAACAAUAAUAUAUCUUCAUAUGUGAUAACUAUUGGAAAAUUUUAGUCCCGUUUUGCUUCUAUGUGCGUGUAAAUUUCAUGAAAAUUGACGAGAUUUGUACAACGUUUUUGAAUAAGUUUUUAUGAUUACAAAUCAAUCUAUUAAAAAAUCAAUCAUAAAAAAUAUAUUAUUUUAUGCAAAUUUACACAUGCUUGACACAUGAAUAUGUGCACCUUCAGACAAUCCAUUUGGUAGUAUCAGCUAUUUUUGUGAAUUGAUAUAAGAACAUUUUACUUCUCUAGUUAGCUUCUACAUAGAGACUCAUAAUCGAGUAAUAAAUAUAUAUGUUUGACACAGGCGGCUGAACGAUUUGGACGUGAUAGUAGGAGAGCAACCGCCCAAGAAACUUGAUGAAAAACUUGAUGUAUAAGAAGGGGGGCAUAUCCAACAAAAGUAUAAAGUCAGGUUGCAUUGGUCGCAUUGGUCUUUCCUUCUACAUAUUUAGUGCAAAAAUGCCAAAAAGGUGGAUGAGCUCCCAGGUAACACUGCAACAUUAAUAUAUCUUCAUAUGUGAUAACUAUUGGAAAAUUUUAGUCCCGUUUUGCUUCUGUGUGCGUGUAAAUUUCCAUGAAAAUUGACGAGAUUUGUACAACGUUUCUGAAUAAGUUUUUAUGAUUACAAAUCAAUCUACAAAAGUCAAACAAGCCAUCACGUUCAUCCACAUAGGUUAAAAAUAUAUUAUCCAUUGAUUUACAUUACGACGGUUGAGAUUAAAAGAUCGAAAAGGUUACGUAGAAUAAUGUUAUGUACAGAUUUUUAACAUCCAACACGUAACAAGCAUAAACAUCACGGAUUUAAAAAAGCAGCAAAACAAGUCCCUUUCAAGGAUUCAAUCGGUCCUUCAAAAAUCCAAACGGUAGUACAUGGAAAGUCCGAAUAGAAUAGGCCACAAAAAAGGAAGGUGUUUACAUCGUAAUGUAAGGAAGAGAGAGAAGAGAUUCCAUUAUUGUGACGGUCCAUAAUAGGUACAGGUGAUGGAAAGGUUAAAAUUAUCCUGAUAAUAUAUUUUAUAUAUUUGGAAACAAAUAUCGAAUAGUAAUCACAUCGCGGUUAUAAUCGGUGAACCCUAAUUAUACGUGAAUCCUAAAUCGUCUUGGCUCGGCCUUGGCUCCAUCGAAGCGCAUCGACGACAUCUGAACCGGUGGUGCUGCCGGCAUCGGCAUCACGGCGAAAGCUGGGACUGGGAAGAACCUCAUCAGACAAGAUGCCGCUAAGCCGACAGGAGAAACGAGGACACCCAAGGUAAUGAUGUGGAAGAAGGCCAUCAUCCUCACCGAGAACUGCCAGAUCUCCGGCGAGGCCGAUGAACCUGACGCACCAGUGUGCGACAGGCUGACAUCGGCGCCAUUACCUAUCAUCUCCCAAUGGAGCGCACCUCUCUGUGGGUUCCUUCAGCCUUAACGCCGAUGCCGGCGCUUCCUUCAACCUUGAAGCCAACGCCGGCGCAAUUAAACCAGCGUGCCAUCGUCAAAACAGAGAAGCUCCUGCCAUAGCACCGCCGUCAGCGAUGAAAUCGCGGGUGCCACCAAAUCGGACAGCAAUCACUUCCACAAAUCCACAAGCACGUCCGGGCCGAGAGCAGCGUGAUGAUGAUAGAGAAAGAUGAAGAAGAGGAUGGGAGUCAUGGGAGUAAGCGCGGUUGCAGGAGGCAACGGGUGAGUGAGGGGCCAUCCGCCCUAGAGCUGCUGCAUAGCGAACCGCCGGUUCGGCUGCGCCGGCGAUGAACCACAGCUUGUGCCAGUGGAUGCGCCAGUGUAUGAUGGAGGUAGUACGUGGCAUACGAGAACCGCGAGGAGCUGAGUACCAGCUGCAGCGGCUCGGCUGAACUGGGAGCAGCUCUGGGCCAGCAAGGAUCAUACGCACCGAGAUGGAAAGCAUCAGCAGCGACGACGACAUGUGCAGUGCCACCCUCUCCGAUGACAUCGCAGGAGCACUUCUGGAGCAUCACAAGGAGCAAAGGAGCCAUUGUGUAGUAUCGCAGCGCAAGCGACGUGAUUAAUUUUCUACGAGUCAGGUUGCAUUGGUCGCAUUGGUCUUUCCUUCUACGUAUUUAGUGCAAAAAUGCCAAAAAGGUGGAUGAGCUCCCAGGUAACACUGCAACAAUAAUAUAUCUUCAUAUGUGAUAACUAUUGGAAAAUUUUAGUCCCGUUUUGCUUCUAUGUGCGUGUAAAUUUCAUGAAAAUUGACGAGAUUUGUACAACGUUUUUGAAUAAGUUUUUAUGAUUACAAAUCAAUCUAUUAAAAAAUCAAUCAUAAAAAAUAUAUUAUUUUAUGCAAAUUUACACAUGCUUGACACAUGAAUAUGUGCACCUUCAGACAAUCCAUUUGGUAGUAUCAGCUAUUUUUGUGAAUUGAUAUAAGAACAUUUUACUUCUCUAGUUAGCUUCUACAUAGAGACUCAUAAUCGAGUAAUAAAUAUAUAUGUUUGACACAGGCGGCUGAACGAUUUGGACGUGAUAGUAGGAGAGCAACCGCCCAAGAAACUUGAUGAAAAACUUGAUGUAUAAGAAGGGGGGCAUAUCCAACAAAAGUAUAAAGUCAGGUUGCAUUGGUCGCAUUGGUCUUUCCUUCUACAUAUUUAGUGCAAAAAUGCCAAAAAGGUGGAUGAGCUCCCAGGUAACACUGCAACAUUAAUAUAUCUUCAUAUGUGAUAACUAUUGGAAAAUUUUAGUCCCGUUUUGCUUCUGUGUGCGUGUAAAUUUCCAUGAAAAUUGACGAGAUUUGUACAACGUUUCUGAAUAAGUUUUUAUGAUUACAAAUCAAUCUACAAAAGUCAAACAAGCCAUCACGUUCAUCCACAUAGGUUAAAAAUAUAUUAUCCAUUGAUUUACAUUACGACGGUUGAGAUUAAAAGAUCGAAAAGGUUACGUAGAAUAAUGUUAUGUACAGAUUUUUAACAUCCAACACGUAACAAGCAUAAACAUCACGGAUUUAAAAAAGCAGCAAAACAAGUCCCUUUCAAGGAUUCAAUCGGUCCUUCAAAAAUCCAAACGGUAGUACAUGGAAAGUCCGAAUAGAAUAGGCCACAAAAAAGGAAGGUGUUUACAUCGUAAUGUAAGGAAGAGAGAGAAGAGAUUCCAUUAUUGUGACGGUCCAUAAUAGGUACAGGUGAUGGAAAGGUUAAAAUUAUCCUGAUAAUAUAUUUUAUAUAUUUGGAAACAAAUAUCGAAUAGUAAUCACAUCGCGGUUAUAAUCGGUGAACCCUAAUUAUACGUGAAUCCUAAAUCGUCUUGGCUCGGCCUUGGCUCCAUCGAAGCGCAUCGACGACAUCUGAACCGGUGGUGCUGCCGGCAUCGGCAUCACGGCGAAAGCUGGGACUGGGAAGAACCUCAUCAGACAAGAUGCCGCUAAGCCGACAGGAGAAACGAGGACCCCCAAGGUAAUGAUGUGGAAGAAGGCCAUCAUCCUCACCGAGAACUGCCAGAUCUCCGGCGAGGCCGAUGAACCUGACGCACCAGUGUGCGACAGGCUGACAUCGGCGCCAUUACCUAUCAUCUCCCAAUGGAGCGCACCUCUCUGUGGGUUCCUUCAGCCUUAACGCCGAUGCCGGCGCUUCCUUCAACCUUGAAGCCAACGCCGGCGCAAUUAAACCAGCGUGCCAUCGUCAAAACAGAGAAGCUCCUGCCAUAGCACCGCCGUCAGCGAUGAAAUCGCGGGUGCCACCAAAUCGGACAGCAAUCACUUCCACAAAUCCACAAGCACGUCCGGGCCGAGAGCAGCGUGAUGAUGAUAGAGAAAGAUGAAGAAGAGGAUGGGACUCAUGGGAGUAAGCGCGGUUGCAGGAGGCAACGGGUGAGUGAGGGGCCAUCCGCCCUGCAGCUGCUGCAUAGCGAACUGCCGGUUCGGCCGCGCCGGCGAUGAACCGCAGCUUGUGCCAGUGGAUGCGCCAGUGCAUGAUGGAGGUAGUACGUGGCAUACGAGAACCGCGAGGAGCUGAGUACCAGCUGCAGCGGCUCGGCUGAACUGGGAGCAGCUCUGGGCCAGCAAGGAUCAUACGCACCGAGAUGGAAAGCAUCAGCAGCGACGACGACAUGUGCAGUGCCACCCUCUCCGAUGACAUCGCAGGAGCACUUCUGGAGCAUCACAAGGAGCAAAGGAGCCAUUGUGUAGUAUCGCAGCGCAAGCGACGUGAUUAAUUUUCUAUGAGUCAGGUUGCAUUGGUCGCAUUGGUCUUUCCUUCUACGUAUUUAGUGCAAAAAUGCCAAAAAGGUGGAUGAGCUCCCAGGUAACACUGCAACAAUAAUAUAUCUUCAUAUGUGAUAACUAUUGGAAAAUUUUAGUCCCGUUUUGCUUCUGUGUGCGUGUAAAUUUCAUGAAAAUUGACGAGAUUUGUACAACGUUUUUGAAUAAGUUUUUAUGAUUACAAAUCAAUCUAUUAAAAAAUCAAUCAUAAAAAAUAUAUUAUUUUAUGCAUAUUUACACAUGCUUGACACAUGAAUAUGUGCACCUUCAGACAAUCCAUUUGGUAGUAUCAGCUAUUUUUGUGAAUUGAUAUAAGAACAUUUUACUUCUCUAGUUAGCUUCUACAUAGAGACUCAUAAUCGAGUAAUAAAUAUAUAUGUUUGACACAGGCGGCUGAACGAUUUGGACGUGAUAGUAGGAGAGCAACCGCCCAAGAAACUUGAUGAAAAACUUGAUGUAUAAGAAGGGGGGCAUAUCCAACAAAAGUAUAAAGUCAGGUUGCAUUGGUCGCAUUGGUCUUUCCUUCUACAUAUUUAGUGCAAAAAUGCCAAAAAGGUGGAUGAGCUCCCAGGUAACACUGCAACAAUAAUAUAUCUUCAUAUGUGAUAACUAUUGGAAAAUUUUAGUCCCGUUUUGCUUCUGUGUGCGUGUAAAUUUCCACGAAAAUUGACGAGAUUUGUACAACGUUUUUGAAUAAGUUUUUAUGAUUACAAAUCAAUCUACAGAAGUCAAACAAGCCAUCACGUUCAUCCACAUAGGUUAAAAAUAUAUUAUCCAUUGAUUUACAUUACGAUGGUUGAGAUUAAAAGAUCGAAAAGGUUACGUAGAAUAAUGUUAUGUACAGAUUUUUAACAUCCAUCACGUAACAAGCAUAAACAUCACGGAUUUAAAAAAGCAGCAAAACAAGUCCCUUUCAAGGAUUCAAUCGGUCCUUUAAAAAUCCAAACGGUAGCACAUGGAAAGUCCGAAUAGAAUAGGCCACAAAAAAGGAAGGUGUUUCCAUCGUAAUGUAAGGAAGAGAGAGAAGAGAUUCCAUUAUUGUGACGGUGCAUAAUAGGUACAGGUGAUGGAAAGGUUAAAAUUAUCCCGAUAAUAUAUUUUAUAUAUUUGGAAACAAAUAUCGAAUAGUAAUCAAAUUGCGGUUAUAAUCGGUGAACCCUAAAUAUACGUGAAUCCUAAAUCGUCUUGGCUCGGCCUUGGCUCCAUCGAAGCGCAUCGACGACAUCUGAACCGGUGGUGCUGCCGGCAUCGGCAUCACGGCGAAAGCUGGGACUGGGAAGAACCUCAUCAGACGAGAUGCCGCUAAGCCGACAGGAGAAACGAGGACCCCCAAGGUAAUGAUGUGGAAGAAGGCCAUCAUCCUCACCGAGAACUGCCAGAUCUCCGGCGAGGCCGAUGAACCUGACGCACCAGUGUGCGACAGGCUGACAUCGGCGCCAUUACCUAUCAUCUCCCAAUGGAGCGCACCUCUCUGUGGGUUCCUUCAGCCUUAACGCCGAUGCCGGCGCUUCCUUCAACCUUGAAGCCAACGCCGGCGCAAUUAAACCAGCGUGCCAUCGUCAAAACAGAGAAGCUCCUGCCAUAGCACCGCCGUCAGCGAUGAAAUCGCGGGUGCCACCAAAUCGGACAGCAAUCACUUCCACAAAUCCACAAGCACGUCCGGGCCGAGAGCAGCGUGAUGAUGAUAGAGAAAGAUGAAGAAGAGGAUGGGACUCAUGGGAGUAAGCGCGGUUGCAGGAGGCAACGGGUGAGUGAGGGGCCAUCCGCCCUGCAGCUGCUGCAUAGCGAACCGCCGGUUCGGCCGCGCCGGCGAUGAACCACAGCUUGUGCCAGUGGAUGCGCCAGUGCAUGAUGGAGGUAGUACGUGGCAUACGAGAACCGCGAGGAGCUGAGUACCAGCUGCAGCGGCUCGGCUGAACUGGGAGCAGCUCUGGGCCAGCAAGGAUCAUACGCACCGAGAUGGAAAGCAUCAGCAGCGACGACGACAUGUGCAGUGCCACCCUCUCCGAUGACAUCGCAGGAGCACUUCUGGAGCAUCACAAGGAGCAAAGGAGCCAUUGUGUAGUAUCGCAGCGCAAGCGACGUGAUUAAUUUUCUACGAGUCAGGUUGCAUUGGUCGCAUUGGUCUUUCCUUCUACGUAUUUAGUGCAAAAAUGCCAAAAAGGUGGAUGAGCUCCCAGGUAACACUGCAACAAUAAUAUAUCUUCAUAUGUGAUAACUAUUGGAAAAUUUUAGUCCCGUUUUGCUUCUAUGUGCGUGUAAAUUUCAUGAAAAUUGACGAGAUUUGUACAACGUUUUUGAAUAAGUUUUUAUGAUUACAAAUCAAUCUAUUAAAAAAUCAAUCAUAAAAAAUAUAUUAUUUUAUGCAUAUUUACACAUGCUUGACACAUGAAUAUGUGCACCUUCAGACAAUCCAUUUGGUAGUAUCAGCUAUUUUUGUGAAUUGAUAUAAGAACAUUUUACUUCUCUAGUUAGCUUCUACAUAGAGACUCAUAAUCGAGUAAUAAAUAUAUAUGUUUGACACAGGCGGCUGAACGAUUUGGACGUGAUAGUAGGAGAGCAACCGCCCAAGAAACUUGAUGAAAAACUUGAUGUAUAAGAAGGGGGGCAUAUCCAACAAAAGUAUAAAGUCAGGUUGCAUUGGUCGCAUUGGUCUUUCCUUCUACAUAUUUAGUGCAAAAAUGCCAAAAAGGUGGAUGAGCUCCCAGGUAACACUGCAACAAUAAUAUAUCUUCAUAUGUGAUAACUAUUGGAAAAUUUUAGUCCCGUUUUGCUUCUGUGUGCGUGUAAAUUUCCACGAAAAUUGACGAGAUUUGUACAACGUUUUUGAAUAAGUUUUUAUGAUUACAAAUCAAUCUACAGAAGUCAAACAAGCCAUCACGUUCAUCCACAUAGGUUAAAAAUAUAUUAUCCAUUGAUUUACAUUACGAUGGUUGAGAUUAAAAGAUCGAAAAGGUUACGUAGAAUAAUGUUAUGUACAGAUUUUUAACAUCCAUCACGUAACAAGCAUAAACAUCACGGAUUUAAAAAAGCAGCAAAACAAGUCCCUUUCAAGGAUUCAAUCGGUCCUUUAAAAAUCCAAACGGUAGCACAUGGAAAGUCCGAAUAGAAUAGGCCACAAAAAAGGAAGGUGUUUCCAUCGUAAUGUAAGGAAGAGAGAGAAGAGAUUCCAUUAUUGUGACGGUGCAUAAUAGGUACAGGUGAUGGAAAGGUUAAAAUUAUCCCGAUAAUAUAUUUUAUAUAUUUGGAAACAAAUAUCGAAUAGUAAUCACAUCGCGGUUAUAAUCGGUGAACCCUAAAUAUACGUGAAUCCUAAAUCGUCUUGGCUCGGCCUUGGCUCCAUCGAAGCGCAUCGACGACAUCUGAACCGGUGGUGCUGCCGGCAUCGGCAUCACGACGAAAGCUGGGACUGGGAAGAACCUCAUCAGACAAGAUGCCGCUAAGCCGACAGGAGAAACGAGGACCCCCAAGGUAAUGAUGUGGAAGAAGGCCAUCAUCCUCACCGAGAACUGCCAGAUCUCCGGCGAGGCCGAUGAACCUGACGCACCAGUGUGCGACAGGCUGACAUCGGCGCCAUUACCUAUCAUCUCCCAAUGGAGCGCACCUCUCUGUGGGUUCCUUCAGCCUUAACGCCGAUGCCGGCGCUUCCUUCAACCUUAAAGCCAACGCCGGCGCAAUUAAACCAGCGUGCCAUUGUCAAAACAGAGAAGCUCCUGCCAUAGCACCGCCGUCAGCGAUGAAAUCGCGGGUGCCACCAAAUCGGACAGCAAUCACUUCCACAAAUCCACAAGCACGUCCGGGCCGAGAGCAGCGUGAUGAUGAUAGAGAAAGAUGAAGAAGAGGAUGGGACUCAUGGGAGUAAGCGCGGUUGCAGGAGGCAACGGGUGAGUGAGGGGCCAUCCGCCCUGCAGCUGCUGCAUAGCGAACUGCCGGUUCGGCCGCGCCGGCGAUGAACCGCAGCUUGUGCCAGUGGAUGCGCCAGUGCAUGAUGGAGGUAGUACGUGGCAUACGAGAACCGCGAGGAGCUGAGUACCAGCUGCAGCGGCUCGGCUGAACUGGGAGCAGCUCUGGGCCAGCAAGGAUCAUACGCACCGAGAUGGAAAGCAUCAGCAGCGACGACGACAUGUGCAGUGCCACCCUCUCCGAUGACAUCGCAGGAGCACUUCUGGAGCAUCACAAGGAGCAAAGGAGCCAUUGUGUAGUAUCGCAGCGCAAGCGACGUGAUUAAUUUUCUAUGAGUCAGGUUGCAUUGGUCGCAUUGGUCUUUCCUUCUACGUAUUUAGUGCAAAAAUGCCAAAAAGGUGGAUGAGCUCCCAGGUAACACUGCAACAAUAAUAUAUCUUCAUAUGUGAUAACUAUUGGAAAAUUUUAGUCCCGUUUUGCUUCUGUGUGCGUGUAAAUUUCAUGAAAAUUGACGAGAUUUGUACAACGUUUUUGAAUAAGUUUUUAUGAUUACAAAUCAAUCUAUUAAAAAAUCAAUCAUAAAAAAUAUAUUAUUUUAUGCAUAUUUACACAUGCUUGACACAUGAAUAUGUGCACCUUCAGACAAUCCAUUUGGUAGUAUCAGCUAUUUUUGUGAAUUGAUAUAAGAAAAUUUUACUUCUCUAGUUAGCUUCUACAUAGAGACUCAUAAUCGAGUAAUAAAUAUAUAUGUUUGACACAGGCGGCUGAACGAUUUGGACGUGAUAGUAGGAGAGCAACCGCCCAAGAAACUUGAUGAAAAACUUGAUGUAUAAGAAGGGGGGCAUAUCCAACAAAAGUAUAAAGUCAGGUUGCAUUGGUCGCAUUGGUCUUUCCUUCUACAUAUUUAGUGCAAAAAUGCCAAAAAGGUGGAUGAGCUCCCAGGUAACACUGCAACAAUAAUAUAUCUUCAUAUGUGAUAACUAUUGGAAAAUUUUAGUCCCGUUUUGCUUCUGUGUGCGUGUAAAUUUCCAUGAAAAUUGACGAGAUUUGUACAACGUUUUUGAAUAAGUUUUUAUGAUUACAAAUCAAUCUACAGAAGUCAAACAAGCCAUCACGUUCAUCCACAUAGGUUAAAAAUAUAUUAUCCAUUGAUUUACAUUACGACGGUUGAGAUUAAAAGAUCGAAAAGGUUACGUAGAAUAAUGUUAUGUACAGAUUUUUAACAUCCAACACGUAACAAGCAUAAACAUCACGGAUUUAAAAAAAGCAGCAAAACAAGUCCCUUUCAAGGAUUCAAUCGGUCCUUCAAAAAUCCAAACGGUAGUACAUGGAAAGUCCGAAUAGAAUAGGCCACAAAAAAGGAAGGUGUUUCCAUCGUAAUAUAAGGAAGAGAGAGAAGAGAUUCCAUUAUUGUGACGGUCCAUAAUAGGUACAGGUGAUGGAAAGGUUAAAAUUAUCCCGAUAAUAUAUUUUAUAUAUUUGGAAACAAAUAUCGAAUAGUAAUCACAUCGCGGUUAUAAUCGGUGAACCCUAAUUAUACGUGAAUCCUAAAUCGUCUUGGCUCGGCCUUGGCUCCAUCGAAGCGCAUCGACGACAUCUGAACCGGUGGUGCUGCCGGCAUCGGCAUCACGUCGAAAGCUGGGACUGGGAAGAACCUCAUCAGACAAGAUGCCGCUAAGCCGACAGGAGAAACGAGGACCCCCAAGGUAAUCAUGUGGAAGAAGGCCAUCAUCCUCACCGAGAACUGCCAGAUCUCCGGCGAGGCCGAUGAACCUGACGCACCAGUGUGCGACAGGCUGACAUCGGCGCCAUUACCUAUCAUCUCCCAAUGGAGCGCACCUCUCUGUGGGUUCCUUCAGCCUUAACGCCGAUGCCGGCGCUUCCUUCAACCUUGAAGCCAACGCCGGCGCAAUUAAACCAGUGUGCCAUCGUCAAAACAGAGAAGCUCCUGCCAUAGCACCGCCGUCAGCGAUGAAAUCGCGGGUGCCACCAACUCGGACAGCAAUCACUUCCACAAAUCCACAAGCACGUCCGGGCCGAGAGCAGCGUGAUGAUGAUAGAGAAAGAUGAAGAAGAGGAUGGGACUCAUGGGAGUAAGCGCGGUUGCAGGAGGCAACGGGUGAGUGAGGGGCCAUCCGCCCUGGAGCCGCUGCAUAGCGAACCGCCGGUUCGGCCGCGCCGGCGAUGAACCGCAGCUUGUGCCAGUGGAUGCGCCAGUGCAUGAUGGAGGUAGUACGUGGCAUACGAGAACCGCGAGGAGCUGAGUACCAGCUGCAGCGGCUCGGCUGAACUGGGAGCAGCUCUGGGCCAGCAAGGAUCAUACGCACCGAGAUGGAAAGCAUCAGCAGCGACGACGACAUGUGCAGUGCCACCCUCUCCGAUGACAUCGCAGGAGCACUUCUGGAGCAUCACAAGGAGCAAAGGAGCCAUUGUGUAGUAUCGCAGCGCAAGCGACGUGAUUAAUUUUCUACGAGUCAGGUUGCAUUGGUCGCAUUGGUCUUUCCUUCUACGUAUUUAGUGCAAAAAUGCCAAAAAGGUGGAUGAGCUCCCAGGUAACACUGCAACAAUAAUAUAUCUUCAUAUGUGAUAACUAUUGGAAAAUUUUAGUCCCGUUUUGCUUCUGUGUGCGUGUAAAUUUCAUGAAAAUUGACGAGAUUUGUACAACGUUUUUGAAUAAGUUUUUAUGAUUACAAAUCAAUCUAUUAAAAAAUCAAUCAUAAAAAAUAUAUUAUUUUAUGCAAAUUUACACAUGCUUGACACAUGAAUAUGUGCACCUUCAGACAAUCCAUUUGGUAGUAUCAGCUAUUUUUGUGAAUUGAUAUAAGAACAUUUUACUUCUCUAGUUAGCUUCUACAUAGAGACUCAUAAUCGAGUAAUAAAUAUGUAUGUUUGACACAGGCGGCUGAACGAUUUGGACGUGAUAGUAGGAGAGCAACCGCCCAAGAAACUUGAUGAAAAACUUGAUGUAUAAGAAGGGGGGCAUAUCCAACAAAAGUAUAAAGUCAGGUUGCAUUGGUCGCAUUGGUCUUUCCUUCUACAUAUUUAGUGCAAAAAUGCCAAAAAGGUGGAUGAGCUCCCAGGUAACACUGCAACAAUAAUAUAUCUUCAUAUGUGAUAACUAUUGGAAAAUUUUAGUCCCGUUUUGCUUCUGUGUGCGUGUAAAUUUCCACGAAAAUUGACGAGAUUUGUACAACGUUUUUGAAUAAGUUUUUAUGAUUACAAAUCAAUCUAUUAAAAAAUCAAUCAUAAAAAAUAUAUUUUUUUAUGCAAAUUUAUACAUGCUUGACACAUGAAUAUGUGCACCUUCAGACAAUGCAUUUGGUAGUAUCAGCUAUUUUUGUAAAUUGAUAUAAGAACAUUUUACUUCUCUAGAUAGCUUCUACAUAGAGACUCAUAAUCGAGUAAUAAAUAUAUAUGUUUGACACAGGCGGCUGAACGAUUUGUACGUGAUAGUAGGAGAGCAACCGCCCAAGAUGUAUAAGAAGGGUGGCAUAUCCAACAAAAGUAUAAAGUGAUGAUGCAUUUGCAAAUUAUAUAUAUGUAUAUAUAUGUAUAUAUGUAUAUAUGUAUAUAUGUAUAUAUGUAUAUAUGUAUAUAUACAUAUAUACAUAUAUAUAUAUAUGUAUAUAUGUAUAUAUAUAUAUACGGGCGAGCGUUAAAACACUCGAUUCAUAACCUCUCCUCCAGUUAAUUCUAUUAAUUAGUGGAUCCAGUCUUUACUUCCUUAAAUCUCUGUCGCAAUAAAUUAAAUAUGUGCGGCCCAGCAUUGCCUUCCAUAAAUCUCUCUGCCCCCUGAUUUCAAUGGGGUGGGGCCAGGUGCGUCCCUUAAUUUUUCUGUCAUAAGGAUUUGCUUAAAAGGAAGUUUNNNNNNNNNNNNNNNNNNNNNNNNNNNNNNNNNNNNNNNNNNNNNNNNNNNNNNNNNNNNNNNNNNNNNNNNNNNNNNNNNNNNNNNNNNNNNNNNNNNNNNNNNNNNNNNNNNNNNNNNNNNNNNNNNNNNNNNNNNNNNNNNNNNNNNNNNNNNNNNNNNNNNNNNNNNNNNNNNNNNNNNNNNNNNNNNNNNNNNNNNNNNNNNNNNNNNNNNNNNNNNNNNNNNNNNNNNNNNNNNNNNNNNNNNNNNNNNNNNNNNNNNNNNNNNNNNNNNNNNNNNNNNNNNNNNNNNNNNNNNNNNNNNNNNNNNNNNNNNNNNNNNNNNNNNNNNNNNNNNNNNNNNNNNNNNNNNNNNNNNNNNNNNNNNNNNNNNNNNNNNNNNNNNNNNNNNNNNNNNNNNNNNNNNNNNNNNNNNNNNNNNNNNNNNNNNNNNNNNNNNNNNNNNNNNNNNNNNNNNNNNNNNNNNNNNNNNNNNNNNNNNNNNNNNNNNNNNNNNNNNNNNNNNNNNNNNNNNNNNNNNNNNNNNNNNNNNAUUAUUCGUUUUGUAACCUCAAUGAUAUAGUGGGGAACUCCAUGUCGAUCACUAUCAGUCUACGUAACUCAUAAUCACACUUAAAUGACAUAGGAGUUGGGGUUUGAUGAAUCAAGCAAAAUAAGUUUGUAAAAUCGGGUCUGAUGAACUAAUGAAGGUGAAUGUUUUUUUUUCAUAAACAGUUAAAAGCAGGUGUCCUCAGUCGACGACUACAUUCAUAGUGGGGAUUGCCGAUGAAACAUGCCACAUAAGGCGAAUAUCAUAACUUCAUGGCUAUAGAGGCUUGAAGAAGAGCAAUGAAGUGAAAAAAGUUGUACAUUUAUAUUUAAAUGAUUUAACUACGUACAUUAAUAACUAUAAAUAAGCCCUCCCUGAGAAAACAAUAAUAUGUUUUUUUACUAUCAAAUUUCAUUAAAAUGUUUGCAAUUCUAAUAACGUAUUCUAAAACCCAUGAUUGUUGAACCAAUUUUAGUGCCAGGUAAUAAUUAAAAUUGAUGAUUUACUAUGUUGGUUUGACCAAACAAAAAAGAAAACACUCAAAUGUCAACAAAUGGUUGUCUAAAAUGCAUAAAUGAUAUAUAAUAAAUUUCUAGCCGCGCAAAUGCGCGGGUUGCCCCACUAGUUAUACAAAAUUUUGCAUAUUUCGGUGCGGUCCGAACUGUUUUUAAUCUCGAAAUUUCGACUCACAUUCAAACUGAUUUUAAAAAUAAAUGUAUAUCAAUAUAAAAUCCAACAAAUUCUCCACGCAUAAAAAUUAAUGUAAUUUAAAAUCUCGAAAUGAAAAAAAGAUAUUUGAAACUAAUUGCCGGUUUGAUGUGUUUUAAAAAUGUACAACCCAUUUCUCAUUACUGAUAGGCCAUUUUCUCGGUCAGCCGAAUGAAGCUCUCCUCGUCUUGAAAGAUUGUUAGCCCAACAGGCCUGACAAAACGACUUACUUGGCAAAUCACAAAAAAACUGGGAUGUGGCCUUGGACCCAGCUGUCCGCCUCUCCACGUACAGUACUCUUCCGAUGGAAGUCGGUCGGUUACCACAUUGACCACGCCGCGCUGAGAGCACCAAGGCGGUGGACGACGGUGAGGCCUAGGAAGGGGACGACAAGGUGCCGGGGAAGACGCGGCAGUGCAUGCCCACGCGGUCGAGGUGCACAUUCUUCGUCGCGACCUCCGGCACCUGCAGGGCCACCAAGGCUUGAAAGAGUUUGUCACCAUCUAGGCCGAUGAGGGUGGCAGGCAAUGAGGAGCCUGGGCGCGUGGGCUGGAGCAGUACGGCAAGGUCGUCCGCACGCUUCUUGACGGCGGUGAACUUGCGGAUGGAGUUGACCAUCAUGUCGUCCAUGCGAGAGGCGAAGCCGGCGUCGGCGAGGGCUACGAUGCCUGCGGUCGCCAGCACCGUCUGGAAACGCUGCACGGUGCGGGGCCGCAGGCCGGCGCCUUGGAUGAUUUGGCACAGCCGACUGCGGCUCGCGUCCAUCGCCUCCAUAGGUGCUUGUGGCUUCUGGUCACUUGGUCUUGGAUUGGAGUGAGCAGUGUUGCGCAGAGACUUGGGAGUAGAUGGAUUGGAGAGGUGGGGCGCCUUUAUUAUAUGAGAGUGCAAACUCUGUUGCAUUCACAUCGUGUUGGCUCUAGUCUGCUUCUCCAAUUAAUUCCCUCUGCAUGUAAUUGAGGAUGCAUCAUUGACCGUUCAACGUCUCGGAAACUGCUACCCUAUUCCUCCUUGGCAUUCUAGCACCUAUGGACCCGUCGACGACGAGGUGUCUAUGGUGACUUCGUAAAUUUCAAGAUGAUACUUAGUGUCGUGCGUGUGUGCGUUCAUAGGGGUGAGUGUAUGCGUGUGUAUAUGAGCGCUUGCGUCUGUACUGUGUCAAAAAAAACAACGUAAAUGCGUGUCAAAAAGAGACUAGUCAGUAUACUCAAUAUUCUGCACCUCGGAGAGGAAAACGAUAGAACUAUUACGUAUUUAUUUACGGUGCAGAUUCACUCAUUUUGCUCCAUAUGUACUCCGUCUCGGUGUAGUCUAGUCACUUGUUGAAAUCUCUAGAAGGGCAAAUACUCCUUUCUGGUUUACAGGGCUAUACUAGCAAGUAGUUGUACGUACUAAUACAAUAGUGGGCUCACAUAGCAAUUUUGUCUCAUGCAAGAGCCUGGCUAUAUGCGUGCUCCAAUGUUCGCAACUACAACGUUUAGUUUGCGCUUGGCUCUUCGCCUCUUCGAGAAGACGAACAAUGAUGUUACUACUACUGCUUCUACAGUGUCGAAUCUACUGCUGCAUGUCCGUCCACCGAGAGCGGGACGGAUAGCUUGUUGUAAAAGUACUACUAAGCAAAAGCCUAUCCUCAUUUGCGAGAAACAGCGCGCAUGGGCGAGGGAGAAGGUGUGUAGUAAAAUCAAGCUUCUCCUCGUUCUACGAGUUGACGCGACACAUCAUAGCACUGGCCCCACAUGCUUGCCUCUAAACUUGGCUGAAAGACCCGAAGUGUACAAUAUAUUUGCUGCAACCUCUAACAUUUACCCAACACAAAUUAAAAUAUAUGUGGUCGUAUGCAUCAUUCUGAUGCAGAGGUCGGGGAGUCCCCCCUUUUCGAAAAAAAACAAAUUAAAUAUAUAUAUUCCUGUCUUGACCAGAUGAGCGUGCAAACUACAAUCACCAGGGUGACAGGUAGGGCUAGAAGACUAUUUUAAUUUAAAAAAAACUUCGUGACGGCCACAUAGCUUGGAGCCGACCCCAACAAUUUUAAGCUUACAGGCACGGUACACGCUAUCUAGACUACUCUACACAUGAAACUGCCACGCGAGCGUCCGGGCUGCGCUUGGCUCUUCGCCUCUUCGGGAAGUCGAAAAAUGAUGGUGUACUACUGCACUUGAGGAGUACUAUAGUACGCUUCUGGCCAUCUGACACCGAUUGAACUGCUACAUGUCCACCGCGUGCGGGAGGGAGAGCGUGUAGCGAAAGCUUCUCCUAGUCUUGCCAGCCACCACGCUCAUGGGUGAGGGAAGGACGCUCCUUUCUUUGCAUGUAUGACAGGUGGGCCCGACAGGUGUGUGGCCAACCUGUCAUACAGCCAAAGGCAGGUGCAGUUAAGUCCACGAGGGAGAGGAUAAUCAAACUUCUCGUUGAUGUACGAGUUGAUGCGACACAUCAAAGCACUGCACUCGAUAUAUUUCAAUAAUUUAGGGUUACCGAUGCAUUAAUUACAACGCAUGCAUGCAUGCCGUGACUCUCCUUUUGAUACUUGCAUGUGUUGAUUUAAUGCACCUUGAAGUAGUACUCCCUCCGAUUCCUUUUACUUUGCGUACAACUUUUUCUUGUUUUUCUCGGAUUAGUCUAUGCGUCCGCGUUGGUUUCCAUCUGUGCCCCCGCUCGAUUAGUUAUGCCCCCAUUAAUCGCGCCAGUUUCCAAUUCAGAAAAUGGCUACAGGCAAAUGCGUGCAGCGUCCGAUGCGGCUUGACCGCCUGGGGAAGCCAACUCAAGCGAAAAGGAAGGAGGACCAGCCAACCAUUGCAUGCGCACUUACUGUCGAUAUUUAUGCAGCUUACUCAUGCGCAGGGGCAAAUUUGUCCAAAAAACUCAAACUACUGUCUUCCUUGGUAUGCAGGAGGAUAGUUAUGCACAGAGAAUAAAAUAUGUGACGGUAAAUCUUUGUAAUGCCCCGACCCAAGCGAGAGAUGGUUGUGCACGAGGAGGGCGAGAUCAUGCAGACGGAACAGGAACUGUGAGGGAUCUCACUAAGGUCUCAAUGGACCUCACCGUGCUCCACUACCCCUUGUGCCUCCUCCCCUUGACGCCUCCAGUGUAUGAGGUUCGAAUACACCUCGUCCAUUCGGCUGAUUCAGCAAGGUGCAGGUUUCUUUAUUGAUGUGUUGUUCGAUUGAUUUCUGCAGUGCAAGGGAGGGCACCUGGCCUGCGCGGACUGCCGCGUCGAGCGCCCCGUGAACCAGCGGCAGUGCCAUAAGUGCGAGCGCGGCGGUGUCUUCGACGUGUGGAACACGGCGGUGGACGCCGUCGUUUCGUCGCUGAGGGUGGAGUGCCCACACGAAGGCUGUAGGCUCUACGUCACUUACCACAAGCUCGCCGAUCACCAGAGCGUGUGUCCACUCGCGCCCUGCAAAUGCCCCGUGCCCGUCUACGGCUACGAAGGCCCAUCGUCGGCGCUCUACCACCACAUCAGCAACGCGCAUCCCAUGCCCGUGCACAGGAUCCAGUACGGCAAGGUGCUCGAGCUGCAAGUGCCACUGUCGGAGCCACGACUCUUGCUGUUCGCGAAGGAGGACCGCCAAGCGUUUUUCUUGCUCGGUGACGUGCUCGACAUCGGCGCGCCUAUCGCCGUGUCGAUCGUCUGCAUCAGAGCGGGGGCGUCCCCACUGCCGCACUACUAGGCCAAGCUGUGGGCGAACGGCUCGCCGGGGGAGCCCAAAGGCACGACCGACGCCGUCGAGGUGGAAAUGGAGGUGACAAGCAACAAGGAUCCCGACGACAUCGACGUGCAGGAGCUGACCUUCUUGACAGUUCCACCCAAGCUGCCGGCCGGGGCUAAGCUUGUGUCCCUCCACAUUUAGAUUGACAAGCUCAUGUCCUAAAUGUUUCGACAGUGCCUUAUGUUUAUCUUAGUAAUAUGCUAAUAUAGGGAUUACCUUGGUCUACUUUAGCUUAAGAAAUGGUGGGUUUUGGUGGCGAUGCAGCAAUUACUUCGACAUCAACUCAGUAAUUUCCAACAGUCGAACGGAUAUUUUGUGUCUGUUGGAUAUAAAGUUCCUUUGGGUAAGAAGUACUACUUGUCAUCAAAAUGGAUAAAAGAAGAUGUAUGUAGACGUAUUUUAGUUCUAGAUACGUCCCUUUUUCUACAUUUUGAUGACAAGCACUCCCUCCGUUCAACAAUUCCAUUUGUCAAAAUAUAGAUGUAUCUAGACAUGUUUUAGUAUUUAGGUACAUCCAUGAUAGAGCCAACCGGAUGGUUGAGAACACUAAAAUUCGUAGUUACAGAUGCGUGUGUGACUCCCAGAUGCAGAGGACGGGGGUCAUCAUCCUCCUUUUCGAGAAAAAACAGAUGCGUGUGUGAGAGUUUGAGUGUGUGCGUGCACGUCUUCUCUUCCUGUAUAACGUACUACUAAACUCAGAGUACAAGUUUUUGUGGGUGGCACGAUGGUGCGUGCGAGAAGUCUCGAGAGAUAGGUUUAAUGCGUCUGAAAAAAGGACUAUCCUAGAGCUCGCCAUGCGGGUAUUUAUCAAUUUUGAGCUUGCGUCUCGUCACAUUCCAAAUUACUCCACGCUAUAUUGUAGACCUGUUCACACCGAUCACAACCUAAACGGUUUCCCACUUAGGAGCGUAUUAGUACCACGCUAUAUUGAAUUCCAAACCUGUUCACACCGAUCACAACCUAAACGGUUUACCACUUAGGAGCGUAUUAGUACUUGGUUAUAAAUACUAGUAUGCCAAGAUGACUGCACAUUCCUCCUCAACUCGUCAUCCACAAAAACAAACAAGUCAUUCAGCAUCCUUCCCUUGCGUCUACCAUGGCCAGCGUGAGUUCUUGGUCGAGAGAUUGCCAGCAGGGAGAGGCGAGCAUGUAAGCAGAAGCACGAGAGAUGUCCCGCCUUGCUGCGAGAGCAGCCGACAUGUCCCACCGCGCUGAAGUAGCAGCACAAAGGCCCCGCCGCGCCGCUGAAGCAGCACGGAGGUCCCGCCGUGCCGCCGAAGCAGCACGGAGGUCCCGCCGCGCGGUCGAUGCAACAAACUGGUCCGGCCGCGCCGCGGAAGCAGCAGAGAUGUCUCGUCGCGCCACGAAUGCAGCAGAGAUGUCUCGCCGCGCCGCAGCGGCCUGGGAAAAUUUCUCGCAGGCAGGCAACGACUGUUACAAGCGCAUGCAUGCGAUCGUCCAUAGCCAGAUGGAUCAGAUCUCCGGCUUGGCGAGGUUGCAGGACGACGUGAAAGCCUCGUUUGAACAGGCUACCAGCGUCAUCCGGCAACUAAGGGAGGGCAAUGAGAGGCUCUAGGCCGAGCGUGACCUGCUAAGGGAGAAGAUCGUCCGAAGUGCAGACCAGCAGGAGGUGACUAGUGCCUUGUUGAAGAGGACCGGCGUCAUUGUCAAGAAACUUAUGGACGAGAAUGACAUGCUCCGCAACGAGCGCCAAAGGCUGGUGGAGGAAUCUGUGGAUGUUCUCAAGCAGCGUCUUGAGGACACGAAAGAGCUCAUCGCCGCUAGCCGCGGAGACUAGUUCCAGCGUCCUGCAACAAUGCAUCAAGAAAGUACAUAUCAGCGAGCCAGAUCCUUGUCUUCCUUCUUCUUUUGCCCUUGUGUAUUUCGGGUGUAGCCGCAUGUGGCUUUUUUAAUUAUCUUUCUAGUUAUGUAAGACAAUUAAUCGUCCUUAUCUUUCUGUGGAAGAUCAAUGUUGCAAGGCUGGAAUGAAGAAAACUCUUGUUGUGGCGACCCUGGUGUUGCUAUUCUUCUAGUUGCUGCUGGGCUUCCUUUAGUUUCCUGGUUUAUUUUGAUGUAACAAUCGGUUUAGGAUGUGGAUUGUGUCGUCGGUUGUGAAAUGUUGGGUUCUAGCGCAGAUGUUUGGCCUUUGUUGGCCUCUUGGGAUGUUGCGAUUUCAAUCUGGUACUCCCUCCGUCUCAUAAUGUAAGACAUUUUUUGACACAAUACUUGUGUCAAAAUGCGUCUUAUAUUAUGGGACGGAGGGAGUAGCUUUUAGUCCUUUGUGUUAGGCUGGAGUUGUGCUGAACUUUUGUGAAUUGUGGUGGUUUUCAGUAAGGAAAACCGGAAGGGGCAAGCCCUUCUUUGAUCAAAAAAAAUCGUCCUUAUAUAUUCAUCAGUCUUGCUAUAAGUCGCAGUAGAUGCUAUAUAGGUCCGUCGGAUCUUACAUCAAGAUCCGUGCUGUCACAUUUUCUUUUUCUCUCUUAAAUCUCAGUCGAGUGAGACAUAGCCACGACAUUGAACAGAGGCUCGGGCGCCAUCAAUGGAGACCUUGGGAGAGAGGUGGACGGCAGAUGGAGGUCAAAGGGCUCUCCUCCAGAUAAGCACGCGCAGGGGUCUGAUCGCACGCCUCUCGUACUCAAAUAGCUACCCUGCACGGCGCCUCCUAGCUAAUAAAAAAUGGGGGCGCGUGGCGGCACGUAAAUGGUACUAUUAAGUACAAUGCCCAUGGUUUCAAUAAUACUUGUGUUUCCGAUUGUAACGUGACAACACUUGUUCCAAAAUGAUUGUUAAUGUGUGCGCCUUCGCAAAUCAGACUGCAAAUUUACCACAACAUGUUGGUGCCAUGUCAUGGCACCAAGCCAAGUUUCAUUAUUUUCAUGCGUGUUUUGGAUUUACAGGAAUUAAAAAACUAAGUUUCUCAAUGUUUCCAACCCAGCGACGACGCCCAGAAUUUUGAAUUUCAUUCACAUUUCUUGCAUGGAACCUAGAAAUUUACCCGAGGACACACAUGUGAUUUUUCAACCAACUUUGGUGCACUGGAACAUGUGCUUGUAUUUCAAAUUUGAAUUAUGCACACAAAGGUGACACGUUCCCUCCCAGAACCAUGAGCCUUCUUGAGAGAAGCUCCGAUUUGCAAGAAGCUUAUACCAAAAUUUGUUCCUAUUCGGCCAAUUUUUUUUACCACGGCAUGGUACUACCAUGACAUGACACCAUGCCAAGUUUCAUGAUUUCAAAACCAAGUUUCUCAAUGUUCUUGACCGUGCCACGAUGCCCAGAUGUUUGAAUCUUAUUCUCAUUUUUUGCAUGGGAGUAGAAAUUCACCCAAGGACACAAAUGUGAUUUUCAACCAACUUUGGUGCACAGGAGCACGUGCUUGUAGUUCAAAUUUGAAUUAUGCACAUUAAAUGACAAAAAACUCAAUUAAUGCGUGAAUAAGGCCAAGCAAAGCCGGAAUAAUUCCAAAAUUUAACAGGGCACUCAUGUAGUUCUAUGUUGCCUUUGUAAAUAAACUCAAGGGGGAGAACGUAUAUCGUUUCGCACUCAAAGGUGACACGUUCCCUCUCAGAACCACGAGCCUUCUUGAGAGAAGCUUCGGUUUGCUAGAAGCUUAUACCAAAAUCUGUUCCUAUUCGGCCAUUUUUUACCACAAUAUGGUAGUGCCAUGACAUGACAUCCAUGCCAAGUUUCAUGAUUUUCAGACGUGUUUUGGAUUUACAAGAAUUUUAAAACCAAGUUGCUCAAUGUUCUCGGCCGAGCCAUGAUGCCCAGAUGUUUUAAUUUUAUUCUCAUUUCUUGCAUGGGACCUAGAAAUUCACCCGAGGACACAAAUGUGAUUUUUCAACCAACUUUGGUGCACGAGAGCAUGUGCUUGUAGUUCAAAUUUGACUUAUGGACAUUAAAUGACCAGAAACUCAAUUAAUGUAUAAAAAACGACAAAUGAACCCUGAAUAAUUCCAAAAUUUAACAUGGCACUAAUGUAGUUCUAUGUUGCCUUUGUUAAGAAACUCAAGAGCAGGGGGGGUGGCACGUUCCCUCUCAGAACCACGAUCUUCCAAAUUGGCCCAAUUUUUUUACCACAACAUGUUAGUGCCAUGACAUGACACCAUGCCAAGUUUCAUUACAUGAAUUUAAAAUCUAAGUUUCUUGAUGUUCUCGUCAUAGUCAUGACACCAAGAUGUUUGAAUUUCAUUCUCAUUUCUUCCAUGGGACCUAGAAAUUCAACCAAGGACACACAUGUGAUUUUUCAACCCACUUUGGUGCACCGGAGCAUGUGCAUGCAAUUCAUAUUUAGAUUAUGCAUAUUAAAAGUCCAGAAACUCAAUUAAUGUAUAAAAAGGCCAAAUGAACCCGAAAUAAUUCCAAAAUUUAACAAGGCACUCAUAUAGUUCUAUGUUGCCUCUGUAAAUAAAAUUAGGGGGGAGGCAGCGUAUAUCGUUUCACACACAAAGGUGACACGUUCCCUCUCGGAACCACGAGGCUUGUUGAGAGAAUCUCCGGUUUGCAAGAGGCUUAUACCAAAACUUGUCCCAUUUCAGCCAAAAAUUAUACGUAUGAAAAUAGGGUUUAGAUUAUCCCGAACAUCUCGCUACCUAGACGAAUAAUGUACUAUGAUUUGAAUUCAACAAAAAAUGGAUACAGAUAUUUGAAUUGGAGAGCGUAUGGUACAUGUAGUUAAUAGCGAAAUAUGAUUACUGCUAUAUGCAUGUCUUGUUGUUAUCAAGAUAAUAUUUAAAUUAUUAUAUAACUUGACAACAAUCGUAUUCAAAUAAGGAAAUUUGAUUCAAAUUUAGUCCAUAUGGUAGACGACAAUAUAUAUGUUCACAUGGUGGAGUAAAAUGUUCAUAUCUGAUGGAAAAUCAAAAUGUAUGACUACAUCAAUUAUAAACCACAAGGUCACCUAAUGAUAUAUUUGAAUUCAACAUAACGUGGAUUCAAAAAUUAAAAUUCGAGAUCAUGGCAUAUGUAAUCAUAUAAAAAGAGACAUUACUCUUUCUUUGGUGGGAAUUGAUUUCUUUUUUGUUGUUGUUGAGGGAAGUGCGAAUCGAUUUGGUACUGUGCAGGGUAAUCAUGUUCUCCCGAUUUUUUUUACAUUUUUCUUGUAGUUUUUUCAGUGGCAUCUAUAGCAAUAUAGUAAAAGGGGACGUGACUCUCUUGUGUCUUGUAUGAUUGUUUUACACAUUAAGUUUGUUCUGCCAAACAAGGAAUCCACACCUUGUUAUCCCGAAAUUUUCAAGCUCGAGUAUCUUUUGUCUCACCUGCUUUGAAACUCCCGCUUCUUCAACCCGCGCCGCGCCUUGUUAUCCCGAAAUUUGAACGCGCGCGAGAACUCCCUCCUCAUCCGAAAUCGCUCCCGCAGCCCACACAUGCGAAAUCCCCCUUCUACCCCUCAGCCGGAAAUGAAGCUCCACGUCGCGGUUUUAAAACCGGUGGGGGCACGCUGGUAACUUACCCUACAUUUCGGACAAGCGCGUCCCUAAGCUUGCCUCCCCCCUCCCCCUUCCCCCCCUCCCCCCCAUUCGUACACCGANNNNNNNNNNNNNNNNNNNNNNNNNNNNNNNNNNNNNNNNNNNNNNNNNNNNNNNNNNNNNNNNNNNNNNNNNNNNNNNNNNNNNNNNNNNNNNNNNNNNNNNNNNNNNNNNNNNNNNNNNNNNNNNNNNNNNNNNNNNNNNNNNNNNNNNNNNNNNNNNNNNNNNNNNNNNNNNNNNNNNNNNNNNNNNNNNNNNNNAGCCGGAGACUCUUCCCCGACUACAUCGUCCACCACAAUAGCUCGCCGUCCCUCAUCCACCGCACCGGAUGAGGAUCCGUUGUCGAUCUCGUCGUUCUGCCAGAUCAGCCGCCCCGUCCUCCACCUCCAAGGAGCUGCCCCGACGUUCGCCUCGUCUAUUGCGCCACCUAAAUCCCCACAGUGUCGUCUUGACCUGGCCCACCGGAACCGCAGCACCCUCACCAAUUCCUCCGAUGAAGCAGAGGCCAACUCGGCGCCACCAAGGAGGUUCUGCACUCACUGCUGCAGUUUAUCUUUUAUUCGAUCCCACGGGUCUGCCAGUGCUCGAUAUCGAGCAGACAUGGCGUCUCCAUCAACGACGCCGUCGCCGGCCACAUCAUCCACGGCGUCUCUCCCCCAUGUCAUUGCUUCCUCGGCGGCGACUUCCACAAUGACACUAGAUGCAGAUGCUCCGGCUCUCACUCGAGCUGCGGCUCUGUUCUUGCUGUCGGUCGCUGAGGGAGUCCUAGAUUAGGGGGUGUCCGGAUAGCCGAACUAUCACUGUUGGCCGGACUCCUGGACUGUGAAGAUACAAGAUUGAAGACUUCGUCCCGUGUCCGGAUGGGACUUUCCUUGGCGUGGAAGGCAAGCUUGGCGAUACGGAUAUGUAGAUCUCCUACCAUUGUAACUGACUCUAUGUAACCCUAACCCUCUCCGGUGUCUAUAUAAACUGGAGGGUUUUAGUCCGUAGGACGAACAACAAUCAUACCAUAGGCUAGCUUCUAGGGUUUAGCCUCUUUGAUCUCUUGGUAGAUCUACUCUUGUACUACCCAUAUCAUCAAUAUUAAUCAAGCAAGAGUAGGGUUUUACCUCCAUCGAGAGGGCCCGAACUUGGUUAAAAACAUGGUGUCCGUUGUCUCCUGUUACCAUCCGCCUAGACGCACAGUUCGGGACCCCCUACCCGAGAUCUGCCGGUUUUGACACCAACAUUGGUGCUUUCAUUGAGAGUUCCUCUGUGUCGUCACCUAUAGGCCCGAUGGCUCCUUUGAUCAUCAACAACGACGCAGUCCAGGGUGAGACUUUUCUCCUCGGACAGAUCUUCGUAUUCGGCGGCUUUGCACUGCGGGCCAAUUUACUUGGCCAUCUGGAGCAGAUCGAAAGCUACGCCCCUGGCCAUCAGUUCAAAUUUGGGAGUUUGAACUACACGGCUGACAUCCGCGGAGACUUGAUCUUCGACGGAUUCGAGCCACAGCCAUGUGCGCCGCACUGUCUCAACGGGUAUGAUCUAGCUCUGUCGCCGAACAGUGCCCUGGAGGCCGCACCAGCAUCCGCUUCGACCCUUAGCUCGGAGCCGACUUCGCCGAUCGAGGACGAGUGGCUGGACACCACCUCGGGGGCUAUGAUCUCUACGGCGAUUGAGCCGAACACCAUCCUUGUCCCUUCCAAAGCCCGUGACUCCGAGGUGCCGGACUCCUCUCCGGACUCCGAACCUCCCGCGCCCCUGCCAAUCAAAUCGGAUUGGGCGCCGGUUAUGGAGUUCACUGUCGCGGACAUCUUUCAGCACUCUCCCUUUGGCGACAUCCUGAAUUCACUAAAGUCUCUCUCUUUAUCAGGAUAGCCAUGGCCGGACUAUGGUCAGGAAGGUUGGGAUGCGGACGACGAAGAAAUUCAACGCCCACCCACCACCCACUUUGUAGCCAGUGUCGAUGAUUUAACCGACAUACUCGACUUCGACUCCGAAGACAUCGACGGUAUGGACGACGAUGCAGGAGACAACCAAGAAGCAGCGCCUACAGGGCACUGGAAGGCCACCUCAUCAUAUGACAUAUACAUGGUGGACAUCCCAAAAGAUGGGAAUGGAAAUGGAACAGCGGAGGAUGACCUCUCCAAGAAACAGCCCAAGCGCCAGCGUCAGCGGCGCCGCUCUAAAUCCCGCCAUAGCAAAAACGGUGAUUCCGGCACGGGAGAUAAUAACACCCCGGACAGUGCCGAAGACAACCCCCUCCAGCAGGAUUCAGCAAGCAGCCUCAAGAAAAAGCAGCAGCAGCUUAGAGCUGACCAAGAAUUGCUAGCUGACAGAUGGACCGAAGUCCUUGCAGCCAAAGAGUACAAACUCGAUCGCCCCUCCAAGAGCUACCCAACACGCAGGCCGCUACCCCAAUUAGAGGAGGAAGCACCCAAACCUACAUCACCAGCGCUAGGCCCUCCACUAAAGCCGCACCCCAGCGUCGCUCGAAAAGUACAAAGCCACGGGUAAAUGCGCAAGACUUGCGAGACAUAUGGGAGGACAAGGCAAGGCAAAUAAGAUCGAUCGAUGGAUCGCGUGGGGGCCCCAUGACACGUGAUGACAACUGUCACGCCAGAUACAGCAAUUCCGGCUGGGCCAAACAUAGUAGACAAAGCUCAUUUGAGCUGCGUCGUGAUAUAGCUGAAUACAGAGGCGCCGCACAACCACUAUGCUUCACAGACGAAGUAAUGGAUCAUCAAAUCCCCGAGGGUUUCAAACCCGUAAACAUUGAAUCAUACGACGUCACAACAGAUCUUGCGGUUUGGAUCGAGGACUAUCUCCUUCACAUCCACAUGGCCCGCGGCGAUGAUCUACACGCCAUUAAAUACCUCCCACUCAAGCUUAAAGGACCAGCUCGACAUUGGCUCAACAACUUGCCAGCAGAAUCAAUUGGUUGUUGGGAAGACCUGGAAGCCGCAUUCCUUGAUAACUUCCAGGGCACAUAUGUGCGACCACCAGACGCCGAUGACCUAAGCCACAUAAUUCAGCAGCCAGAUGAAUCGGCCAGACAAUUCUGGACACGGUUCUUAACCAAGAAAAAUCAAAUCGUUGACUGUCCGGAUGCAGAGGCCCUUGUAGCCUUCAAACAUAACAUCCGCGAUGAGUGGCUUGCCCGGCACCUAGGACAGGAAAAGCCGAAAUCCAUGGGAGCCCUCACAUCACUCAUGACCCGCUUCUGCGCGGAAGAGGACAGCUGGCUAGCUCGCAGUAACAACCUGACCAAAAACCCUGGUAGUUUGGAUACCAAGGAAGCAAUGGCAGGUCGCAUCGCAACAAGCACAAGCGCCGCAUUAACGACAAUAAUGCUGAAAAUACGGCAGUCAAUGCCGGAUUCAGAGGCUCCAAACCCGGUCAGCGGAAAAAGCCGUUCAAAGGAAAUACUCAAGGCCCAUCCAAUUUGGACUGAGUACUCAAUCGCUCGUGCCAGAUACAUGGCACCCCCAAAAAACCAGCCAACCACACCAACAGGGAUUGUUGGGUGUUCAAGCAGGCAGGCACGUUAAAUGCCGAAAACAAUGACAAGGGGUUGUAUGGCGAUGACGAGGAGGAGCCCCGGCCGCCGAACAAUAGAGGACAAAAGGGCUUUCCCCCACAAGUGCGGACAGUGAACAUGAUAUAUGCAACCCACAUACCCAAAAGGGAGCGGGAGCGUGCACUAAGGGACAUAUACGCGAUGGAGCCAGUUGACCCAAAGUUCAACCCGUGGUCCUCUUGCCCGAUCACUUUUGACCAAAGGGACCACCCCACUAGUAUCCGCCACGGCGGAUUCGCCGCAUUGGUUCUUGACCCAAUCAUUGACGGAUUUCACCUCACUAUUGUCCUGAUGGACAGCGGCAGCAGCCUGAACCUACUUUACCAGGAUGCAGUGCGCAAAAUGGGCAUAGACCCCUCAAGGAUUAAACCCACAAAAACGACCUUUAAAGGCGUCAUACCAGGUGUAGAGGCCAACUGUACAGGCUCAGUUACACUCGAAGCGGUCUUCGGAUCCCCGGAUAACUUCCGAAGCAAGGAAUUAAUCUUCGACAUAGUCCCGUUCUGCAGCAGCUAUCACGCACUGCUCGGACGAACCGCAUUUGCAAAGUUCAAUGCGGUGCCGCACUACGCAUACCUCAAGCUCAAGAUGCCAGGCCCUCGUGGAGUAAUCACGGUUAAUGGAAACACCGAACGCUCUCUCCGAACGGAGGAGCAUACGGCGGCCCUCGUGGCGGAAGUGCAAAGCAGCCUCUUAAGGCAAUUCUUGAGUCCGACUACUAAAUGUCCGGACACCAUCAAGCGCGCUCGGAGUAACCUACAACAAGACCGCCUGGCACGUUCCAAGCACGCGUAGCAAUGCGGCCCCAACCCCAGCCCUCGCGAAAUCGCAAAACCAGUACCACGCGUACAUAACUAUGCUCUGGAGAUACCAUGGGCAUAGGGGGAGGGGUACGACCACGGCAUACCCAGAGUGCGGCUCAACCGCACAAGGGGCUCCCAAUUGUGUCCAUCUUUUUUUCUUAUUACGAGGACUCCAUUUUCCAGAAGCCCUGUCCGGCAGUAGAAUCGCCGAACUCACGAUGCAACAGCCAGGGAAGCAGAAAAGCUACGUCGAGUGUCCAGGUGGUCUCUAUUACGAGCAGUAUACCUGUUUUACAUACCAUCCCGCAGCCUACCCCUGGAGGGGGACAUGUUAAAUAGUCCCAUCCCUUGCUUAUCGUACUAUUUGUAUCGUUCUACUUUCAUUGCAGUAUCUUUUGAAUAAACAAUACAUAGCUUCUGCUUAUUAUUGCAUUCCUUUUUUUCCUAUAAAAUGUUCAUCUAUGACAUGUUCCACCCGUACAACUUGGUACAGUCAAUACACCAGGGGCUUAAGUACACCAAAACAUGGUGUGAUAAGUCCGAACACUUUCACAAGUGCAGCACCCCGAACUUAUAACAUUAUAUGCAUCGGCUCCGAAUCAUGUCUUGGGUCAAUAGUUGGGUUUGCCCGGUUCCCAUGUUUUGGUAACUUACGUUCCGUUAUAUCGGCUAAGGUAGCGCUGGGAGAACCACUGCGAUUGUGCCCCGGUUGAGCUGGGUUGAGCACCUAAGUGGAGAAAGCUAAAACUGACUGUCAUGAUUGGGCGAGAGCCGGUCGCUGUUCGAGAGGUUUUUCGGGUCCCUAAAGACUCAUGCCACUUAGAGCGAGGAGUCGGCAUUGUCCGGCCAAGGCAUGGAUAGCGCCCCGAACUCGGUCUUCUGAAUACCAGUGGCUUUGACGAAAUUUAAAAUUAUAGAAUUCUAUGGCUAAGUGAGAGUGUUCAAGCAUUAUAGUCCGUUUGCCUCGUUCGUCGUGUUGAACGCCUCCCUCGAAGGACCCAAGAAUGGGAACAAGAGCGCUCAAGUUUAUCCCAAACACCCCAGCACUUGUGGCAUGGGGGCUGAAGCCAAUGAUUCGCCAUCUCUCAAAUUUGAUAAACGGUCGCACAGAAGGUAAUAUUUUAAAUUAAACAAGCGUUGCUUAGCACAUAUGUACAAAGUUUUCAGCGUACAGGAUAACAAAUGCGAGUCUACUCAAAAAUUACAUCUUUGGAGCAUUCACCCGCUAUAAGGUGGGCACCCUUCAGGACGCCCUCAUAGUACAUCUCGGGCUUGCGAUACUCGUUGCCCGGUGGUGGCGCGUCUGUCACAAGCUUCUCGGUGUCCAUCUUGCCCCAGUGCACUUUAGCAUGGGCAAGGGCCCGACGGGCACCUUCAAUGCAGACGGAGCACUUGAUGACUUCAAUCCAUGGACAUGCGUCCACCAGCCGCCGCACCAGACCGAAGUAGCUCCCAGGCAUGGCUUAUUUAGGCCACAACCAAACUAUGAGGCCCUUCAUGGCCUGUUCGGCCACCUUGUGGAGCUCGACCAGCUGCUUCAGCUGGUCGCUUAGGGGCACCGGAUGUCCGGCCUCAGCAUAUUGAGACGAGAACAACUUUUCCGUCGAGCUCCCCUCCUCGGCUCGGUAGAACGCGGCAGCAUCGGACACACUACGGGGCAGAUCUGCGAACGCUCCUGGAGAGCUCCAGUUUCGGGUAAGUAACAGAUAAUUCACUUUUACAUGCUUGCUUUGCAUAUAGAAUGCCUUACCCGCCGCUAUCUUUUUUAUCGCCUCAAUCUCCUGGAGGGCCUUCCGGGCUUCGGCCUUAGCGGCUUUGGCACUCUCAAGAGCCAAGGCGAGCUCGGACUCUCGAGUCUUCGAGUCACGCUCCAAACUCUCGUGUUUUUCCACGAGAGCCUGGAGCUCUUGCCGCACCUCCGCCACCCACGCCUCCUGCUUCUCUCGCUCGGUGUGCUCCAUGGUCGCACUAUUUUCGGCCUUGGACACCGCUUCCUUUAGGGUCGCCACCUCAUUUGUGGCACCUGCAAUACUUACGUUAUUCCUGUCAUUUUUUGCAACCAAAAUCCUUUCUGUAAGGUAUUACUUUAAUAAGGUAUUACUUACCUUCCUUGUCCUCGAGCUGCUUCUUGGCAAGGCCGAGCUCGUUCUCGAACCGCUCGAGGCUCUCCUUCAAUGCAUUGACCUCCGGAGUAAGUGCGGUAGAGGUCAGCAGCGCGGCCUUCAUUCCCAUAUUGACAUAUUUAUGUUAGACUCCUGCGUAUAUCUUUUUAGAUCCUCAACUCGGCUUUUCUUUCCGAACACCGAACUAAGCAUCAGGGGCUACUGUCUAUGCGGUAAUAUUCUUACAUAUCUUAAAAACUUACCUCAAAGCCUGUUAGAAGGCGGGUACAGGCUUUAGUCAGCCCGCUCUUGGCGGACUGAACUUUCUGUAUCACCGCACUCAUGAUAAUGCGGUGCUCCUCGUUGAUGGAGGCGCUGUUAAGCGCCUCCAGCAAGCUAUCCGGUGCCUCCGGUUGGACGGAGGCCAACGGCAUCGCAGUCUUGCCCUUCUUACGAAGGGGCCGCCUGCCGGACUUCGGAACCACUGUAGGUUCCGGUACGGAGUCCGGCACAGGGCCGGACUUAGAGCCCUCUGGGGUUUUGCCCCCUUUGCACCCGGAGUCCGGGAGGUCGCCUUGUGGCGCCUCCAGGACCACCUCCUCCUGGUUGGUCCCCUUUAGGGACUCCACCGCGGCGGCGUCUGCGUCACGAGUGGAGGAGGCGGUCGGAAGUGAAGUGCUAUUCACAUCCGACGAAUCCAGGGAGCCGCUCGACGAAGCGGGGAGCUCGUCCUUGGGCGGGCUACCUGGUUGUAUUCGGCGUUAGAAGACACUAUGGACAAAUGAAAAAUCAUGAGUUAUUCUGGAAUCCAGACACUUACGAUCUCGCCAGGGGCUUGGCCCUCGAGGGCCACUCCUCUUCACCCUCGUCGGCGUUGGUGGAAAAGUCCGGAGGAAGGGUCCUUCCUUUCUUGGACCCUCCGCCCCCCCAGCUGGGGCGGCCUUCCUUUUCUUCUCUCCCCCCGCUGGGGGAGAGGCCUCUUUUUCCUCCUCCUCGUCUUCACGGGAGGAAUCCGCCUCAGAAUCGUCGGAUGAUGAGUCCGACAACACCUGGCACCGGGCACUCCUUCAAGUUCCCGUGGCCUUCUUCUUGGCCUUCUUCUCCGGCACCACGUGAGGUGCCGGAACUAGUAGCCCCGUCAAGCGGGCGUCCGCUGGGUCUUCUAGCAAAGGAGCCGGAUAGUUAACCUGCCCGGACGUCUUCAGCCAGUCCUGUCAAAGGUCUAUGAAAAACUAUGAAAAACAAGAGUCCCAUAAAGGGUAGAAUAGCUUACCUCGCUGGCCUGACACCGCGAGCUGAAUCCGCGAUCUUCGGUAGCGGAUGCGGGGGCCUCGGCACCCUUAAACAACACCUUCCAAGCAUCUUCGUAUGUAGUGUCGAAGAGCUUGCGCAAGGUUUGGUGCUGUGCCGGAUCAAACUCCCACAAUUUGAAGGCCCGCUGUUGGCAUGGGAGGAUCCGGCGGAUGAGCAUGACCUAGACUACAUUGACAAGCUUGAGAUUCUUGUUCACCAGUUUUUGAACGCAGGUUUGAAGUCUGGUCAGCUCUUCUGAAUCUCCCCACAUUAGGCCCGUCUCUUUCUAGGAGGUGAGCCGUGUGGGGAAACCAGAUCGGAAUUCGGGGGCCGCCGCCCAUUUGGGGUCGCGUUGCUCGGUGAUGUAGAAGCACCCCGAUUGCCACCCCUUUAUUGUCUCCACGAAGGAGCCCUCGAGCCAUAGGACGUUGGCAAUCCUGCCCACCAUGGCGCCUCCACACUCCACUUGGCGGCCGCCCACUACCUUCGGCUUGACAUUAAAAGUCUUCAGCCAUAAGCCGAAGUGGGGCUGGAUGUAGAGGAAGGCCUCGCACACGACGAUGAAUGCCAAGAUGUUGAGGAUGAAGUUCGGGGCCAGAUCGUGUAAAUCUAGGCCAUAGUAGAACUAUCACCAUUGACCGGACUCCUGGACUGUGAAGAUACAGGAUUGAAGACUUCGUCCCGUGUCCGGAUGGGACUUUCCUUGGCGUGGAAGGCAAGCUUGGCGAUACGGAUAUGUAGAUCUCCUACCAUUGUAACCAACUCUGUGUAACCCUAACCCUCUCCGGUGUCUAUAUAAACUGGAGGGUUUUAGUCCGUAGGACGAACAACAAUCAUACCAUAGGCUAGCUUCUAGGGUUUAGCCUCUUGGAUCUCGUGGUAGAUCUACUCUUGUACUACCCAUAUCAUCAAUAUUAAUCAAGCAGGAGUAGGGUUUUACCUCCAUCGAGAGGGCCCGAACCUGGGUAAAAACAUCGUGUCCCUUGUCUCCUGUUACCAUCCGCCUAGACGCACAGUUUGGGACCCCCUACCCAAGAUCCGCCGGUUUUGACACUGACAGUCGCGCUGCUGCACUACUCGCGGUGCUACUGCAUGAUUUGCUCUCUGCUAGUGCAUUCCCUGCUCUAGUGUCUGCUGAUUUAGAUCACUGCUUCUCUACUACUACUGCUUGAACGCCCUAAACAUCUAUUGCAAUGCUCUAUUACUAGUUCAAUCAAUUUCGACAGUAAAAUUCAGUUUCAACUAUGAAGUUCAUUUUCUUCAGUUAAGUUCAGAGUGAACAGUACUUACAGCAUCUGUCGGAGCAGCCGUGGCGCGGCUGAUGCGUUUUACAUAUAGCACUUUUUGGUAAUGUAUUUUACAUCAUCUAUUGCAGAUGAUAUUAGGGUCCCACUUCAGAUUAAAGUUGUCUGUCUUGUCAUGCUUCAGCCUCGUCGCCGUACACCUCAGCGGAGCUGCUCCAACGACAGAACCGUCCAUCACAGCGGAGCAGUACCCUCGACGCCAUUUCCAGAGGCCUCAGAUCUUCUUCCCCGCCUCCGACAGUCACACCAGCAUCAUCACCAUCCUCCACGUCCAACCCAAUGAUGCUGAGGUCCACAAGGCUAUGCCAAAGAGGUUGUACACUCAUCGCAUCACUUUGUUUCUCCAUUCCUCUGUUCUUCCAAUUCAUGUGAGCCAAACACCCAGGUUGACUGAAAUCCUAUGUUUCCAAAUGCUCAGUUUUGCACAUGCAUUCCUGCAUUUCCAGAUUGAAUUCCAGAGGAAGAUAACUGUUCAGAUGGAGAUUCAGAAGGAGCCGACCAUGCCUGUCUACCACCUGAGGUGUUUGUUCUAACCUGGCAUGCUGAUGUUGGUCAUAUCAUGCAUAUGGCGCCUUGCAUUGCUUACAUUAUACAUCUUAUAUGUCAUCAGCUUAGUUUAGAUUUUCUUUGUGUGAAUGUCACCUGUUUGGUUUCUAUAUCAUACUCCCACCAUUCCUAAAUAUUUGUCUUUUUAGAGAUAUCAACAAGUGAUUACAUACGGCACAAAAUGAGUGAAUCUACACUCUAAAAUAUGUCUACAUACAUCCAUAUGUGGUAGUCCAUUUGAAAUCUCUAAAAAGACAAAUAUUUAGGAACGGAGGGAGUAUAUGGGAAUUAUGCAAUGCCAUCUUCCUUAGCCAGGCAUCAUAUACGUGAAUCAUGCAAUGCCAUCCUGUUUAGCCAGUUAUUGUAUAUGUGAAUUGUAUCGUGCCAUAUUUUUUUCCAUAAUGUGUUCCAUUUGUCAGCAAUGUUUAUACAUUCAUCUACUCUUCCUAUGCAUCAGCCAUUUGAGUCGGUCAUGGGAAAAUCUGGAGUGAAAACAAGGUCUUCUGAGCAGUCAGUGCUACCUGUCGAUGCAGAUUUCUUGCUGGUUACAGAUAGCUCCUCAGAGGAGGAUUCAGAGAGAGAUGAGCGGUUGUAUUCCCCCCCCCCCCGAGGUGCAUGCUCUAAGUUGGCUGGGUUAUAUUGCUCAUAUCAUGCAUAUGGUGUCUUGCAUUUCCAUGCCAUCUGCUUAGAUUAGACAUGCUUUGUGUGAAGGCCUCCUAUUUGCUUUCUAUAUCAGAUAUGUGAAUUAUGCAAUGCCAUGUUUUUCAGCUAGUUAUCAUAUAUGUGAAUUAUGCACCGCCAUGGAGCCAGGCAUCAUAUAUGUGAAUUAUCUCAUGCCAUCUUUUUUUUUCAUUACGUAUUCCAUUUGUCGAUAAUAUGUGUAUAUUGAACUACUCUUCAUGUGUAUCAGCCAUUUGAGUCGGUUAUGGAAUAAUCUGGAGCGAAAACAAGGUCUUCAGAGCAGGCAAUGGUACUUGUUGAAGAAUAUAUCUCGAUGGUUACAGGGAGCUCCUCAGAGGAGGAUUCAGAGACAGAUGACCAGUCCUAUAUCCCACCUAAGGUGUAUGCUCUAAGUUGCAAUGUUUAUAUUUCUCAUAUGAUGCAUAUGGUGUCUUGCAUUGCUUAGUUUAGACAUCAUAUGCACAAUAUUGAAUUCUCUCUGUUUAGUUUAGAGAUCAUACAUGCGAGUGCCAGCUGCUUAGUAUAUGAAUCAAUUAUGUCAAUUAUAUCAUGCCAUUUUGUAUACUAAGACAACAUGUAUGUGAAUUAUUUCAUCGCAACCUAUUUUAGAAAGACAUCAUAUAGUUUUGUCAUGUUAUCCUGUUUAGGUACUCAUCAUAUGUUGAAUUAUGCCAUUAUAUCCUGUUAAGUUAUCCAUCAUAUAUCUGAAACUGUGUCAUGCUAUCCUAUUUAGUUAGGCAUCAUAUAUGUGAAAUUGUAUCAUGCUGUCCUGUUUGGUUAGACAACAUAUAUGUGAAUUACCACAUAUGUCUAUCAUACAAUGUCUGUACGUGCAAUUUCAUUUCUUGUUUAUCAGCCAUUUGAAUUGUAGGGGGUGAUGGCAGUAUCUAAGGGAGCAAAAACCCGUUCUUCACAAAAGACAGUGCUACCCGUCGAUGCAGAUAGAACCAUGGUUGUACUGGCCCACAAACUAGCCCCACCACACAUAAUCGAGACUCUUCCAGAUUCCACACUUGCACCGGUGGGUAGAGAACCAGCUACAACCCAUCUAACCACAACCCCAGCGGAUAGUAACUCACUUAUAGUUGACAAAGCACCAUGUCCACCACAGAGUACCCCCACACGAGCAGUUUGUAAAGCUACUGCAGUGCCCAAAGCACGAAGACCACCACAGCUAACCCAAACUCCACGUUUAGAGCAGAAGAGCAACUGUUUUCUGGUCAGAUUCCGUAGCUAUGGUCCAUACUCCUUUGCUGUUGCAUCACUGUAUUUACUCAUACCAACUACUUUUGAAUUUGAAGGAUCCAAUUGAAACUCCAAUGGCGCAACAGGUAUGUUUUAAACAUAUUUCUUUAACUGGAUUGUUGUUCUAACUUCUUGCUCUAUGUUGAUUUCAGUUUAAGUUGUAUAAAAAGUUAUGUUCUCAUGUGAUGCACAUUACAAGUGCUGCCAAUGUUGUGUAGUUUCUCACACUUAUAUUCUGUCUAUGCUGCUGUGUCUUAAAAAUAUAUGAGUUGAACUGUGUCUCUAUAUUGAUUAGGGAACAUAAACUAGAAUGAUAUGGACAAUACAGUGACAAUAGUACAUAGAUAUAUGUUUGCUUCAUGCUAUUAUCCUGUCCACCUUACUACUAAACCGGUUUACCAAAAUGAGUUUGGUAUACUACAAGCUAAACCUGUGAUGUGUCUGCUGUUUCUCUUGUAGUAUGCAAACAGAAUAUUGGAGAAGAGCACCGCACUAUGAAAUAGUAGAGAAAGUAAUGCAGAUAAGGUUCAAGAUAGUGAGACAACCCUGUUGGUCUCCAAGAAAGGUGAUAAAAAUGAUCUUGUAGACAGUGAGAAAACCCCACAGUCCUGCGUUGAUGUAGUGUUCGAGUUACUGGCCAGUACUGCUGGCACAAGCUCUUCGAACUCGCUGCCUGAAUCACUUCGGCUUCUUCAGUCUCAGCUGUGAUGCGGCAAGAAGCCGAAGGACUGAGGAUGUCCCUGCAUAAUUCAGAUGCGUACUUUCAUGUGCAACAACAAGCGCUGGAGUAUUUAAGCGCCAAACAAGAGAAAGUUAAUAAGCCUGCUAAGCAUCUUGCCAGCAUUAUGGGUACCCAGGAUAUUGUUUCUUGAACUCUUCUAACUGGUUUCAGUUCUGUACUUGUUUUGUUGCGGUGUUUAUAUGCUGCUAUGUUCCCUAUAUUUGCACUGGUGGUGAACUUUGAUGCCCAGUGGAUGUAAUAUGUGUAAUAGCCGUGAUAGCCUAGCAUAAGUUGCUUGCUUAUUUAUUUCCAUGUUGUCUUGCUUAUUGUUUGCUUGUUUAUUUGCUUGUGUAAUAGACGUGACAAUACAGUGACCAUAGGAGAUGGGGUCGGGGAAUAUAGGCUCAGCUACCUGCAAACAAGCCAGAUCACAUAGAAGCGAGACGGAGGAUUCUGAAGAGGUACCCGUCAAAGGUGCGGCCAUGGUCCAUGUCACGGGUGAGCCGAUGCUACCGCCGAAACCACUAGAGGCACUAUCAGGGAAUCUCAGGAGACUGCACGACCAUGUGCUGUCGACUGAGAAAAGCCUACUAGCCUUGAAGGAUCCAGGAUAUCCGAUAUACACAGCUCGUGUGCCUGAGGAGAAGUGCUACGUGAACACACGACCUGCAGAGGUGUUCAUCCUGCGGUUUGACCAUAUCUUCGAGAUGUUUCGGACAAGGCGGCUCGAUUUUACAAUCGUCCGCCUUUUUGCGCUACAUAUCAGCUCCGUCAUGAAGAGAGAAGAAGUCUCGCAUAUCUGUGUUGUGGAUCCGUACUACAUGCACGAGUCCUUCUUGAGUCUGGGCGAGUCUGAGCGUGAAACUGCUAGGGAGUACCUCCAAAACAUCAUGGUACAGAAUAAGGACCAGGAAAUUGUCCUCCUGCCUUUUCAUCUAAAGUAAAUCAUUUCCGAACAACCCUUUCGUACAUUUCAAUCAUUCCUUCUCGCUCAUAUGGAGAAUAAUUUGAGGUGUCUUUUUCCCUGCAGCAACGAGCGCACCGUCCUUAUCGUUAUUUACCCACGAGUCUCCCACUCCGUGCAUUUAGACCCUACCAGAAACUACGAGAAGAAGGGCUACAUCCAGAUAAUGAAUAUUCUAGAUGAUGCUCUCCAAGGCUUCAGUAUUAGGGGUGGCCACGUGCAGAUCAAGAAACAAAGGAACAAGAAGAUGGGUUUCGCGCAUAAAACUAACUACUGCUGCAUCCAUGUCCCAAAACCAAGCAAGAAAGAUGGAUUCUACAUCCUCCAUCUCAUGAUUGAGUUCAGCACGGAUCACCAAACGCUUCGCAUGACAAACAGAAACUAUGAUCAUAUCCACAAGUGGGUAGAAUCUCAUGGAGAAGUGGAUUAUAAACUUAGAGAUGACUUCUUUUGCAUCCAAAGGAACAUUGCGACGAUCAUCAUGAAAGAAGUCAUCGAUGAGAAGAGGAUGUUCCACCCCGGCCCUAUAUCGUGAGCUGAUGUCCGAACUCGUAUAGGCAUGCAACGUCAUGACCUCACGCUGUUCAAGAAGCUAGGGCCCAUCCUCAAUGGUAUGGAAGGAUGGAACUUCUAGUGAUUUACGAUGCCGAUGAUGAUGAUAUGUGUCGGUUGAACUUGUAUACUUUCUGUAGCGAUGAAACUUUGUGAUGUCCACGGUCCCUGCCAAAAUUGUGUAACACUACUUUGUUAGUUUGGGUAUGAUGACCUGCGUACCUCUAGUUAAUUAGUUUGUAUACUGUGUGUUGCAUCCAGUUGCUAACCCUUUCUUUUUCGUGUUGGUCUAGUAUAAUUUUCUGCAUAUAAUUGUACAUUCUCUUAAUGAAGAUGCAUAUCAGUAAUAGGCACCUAGGUUCUUGAUGGUGAGGUGGCAGUGCUAUGUCGUGUACAAAAGGAACAUUCUGGGGGUGUACAACGAGUGGCUUGAGUGUCAGGCACAAGUGAAUGGGGUCUCGGGCGCCAGCCAUAAAGGCUUUAAAAGCAGACAAGAAGCAGAAGCUAGUUACUUGAGGUUCACACUAGUGCGAGAGAGAACUCGUAACCGGUGCCUUAUGUACUGCAUAGUUCCGCUCUCACUCAUAGUGAUAGAUCUUCUCACGUAUAUCAUUGUUUAGAUGGAUGGCAAUGUAGUUGCAAGUAUUCGAGACAUGUAUCACUAUUUUCGAAAUGAUGACGAGAUUCCACUUCCUAUUGGAUGAUGAUUAUGAUGAUGACCACCUUGUAUCGCUAUGUAUAUGCUAUGAUUACAUUUUUAUGUCUAUGAUAUGCUAGAAAUUAUUAUAUAACACCCAAAACGAAAUUCAAUACCACAAAAUGUGGAGCAGAAAAAAUAAAUAAAAACUAAUAAAAGUAGUGCGGGGUAUGGCAUUAGCAGCAGCAAGCUCUUAGCAGUAGCACUCUUUUCAUAAGGGCACUGCAGCUAUUAUUAGCAGCGCAUAUUUCACACAAACGUUGCUGCUAUCCCUAGUUAGAACUAGCGCUGGCCAGACCGCGCUACUGAUAAGCAUUAGUUGCAGCACCGUAUCAGUAGCGCGGCUACCCGCGCUACUGAUAAGCAUAUAACCUGCGCUACUGCUAGGCAUUUCCCUAGUAGUGUUCUCCACCAUAAGUUUGAAAGAACUUCACUACAAUGGAUAUCUUGGACCAGAUUUUCAAAGUUCGAAGGGUCAACCCUCUUCCCUAUGUUGUCCUAAGACCCGCGUCCACUCAACUAACCGCCACCCUGGCUUAAUCGCCUUCACCAUCACAUCCAUUCCGCUGAUGGCGUGGUAUGAUGGGCUUUGCUCCAUGCUUCUUCAAGCCGCAACAAGCUCAUCUUGCAAGAGCUCAUAAAGGUGACAGUCUGGCAGAUAGAAAGGUCAAUUGUGUAACCUAGCAUAGAUGCCUUUGUCGUUUUCAAUUGCGUACUCUAAGUUCAUUAGACACUUCCAUAGGACAUCAAAGUGUUGCUCCACACAACAAGCUCCUGACUAAAAUAGCACCCCUUCAAGAUGAAUAGUAUUUAGGCUCACAUGAGAAUUUCUCCUGCUCAAAUCAAAUUUGGAUGUAUUCUGCUACCAUGGUCGACAGCCUAGUGGCAAGGACUUCUCACCCCACGUGCUUUUAGGUCCAGUAAGAGCGGUGCUACAAUACCCGUUGUAAUUGUGAUUAGUAAUAAGUCUUUUGCAGUUGAAUAAACAUAAAAAGAAAAUAAUGUUGUAAUAAUUGUUUUAUUUGGCGGGAUGUAAUGAAACUAUACUUAUAUGCCACAGUUAUUAGGUGGAGUAUAAAGUGUAUUUUGCCUCACAUAGGUCCUCUUAGUCCAUAAAUUUUACAUGGUUAAUUCGGUGCCAUGGCUUGAUAUGAUGAGCGCAAAGGCUAUCUCAUAGUCAUCUAAAGAAUUACAUUGUCAGCUUAAAAUGACUUAUCAGAACUUCUAUGAGAAAGUUGUAAACAUGUGCUCUUUUAUGACAAUGUUGAAUAGCGAAAAAGCAUCAAUAUCAUGGUUGUUACACCAUACAUUAUCGAAACCUUAAUGUAAUGGUGUUCCUAAUUAUUCUAGGGUGAGAAGAGAGGUAGAACAUGCUCAUAUAUAGUUUGCAGCCUAUGCGGGAGAGGAGUAGAGCUCGGUGUUCCUAUGUGGAACAUGCUCAUAUAUAGCUUGCGAAGAAGCCAUCAUGCCAUUUCUAUACGUACUAUUAAAGGGGAUAGAUAUUCUUGGUUUGGUUUAGUCCUUUUCGUUUUAUUUGAGCGCAUGCUAAUGUCUUGUGUACGAUUCUCUCUACACACACUAGCCAUCUGGGCCAGGUACGUAUACAUUGAUGGGCCUUCUAUGGGCUUCUAUAGAGACUGCGAAAAAUAAUUGGGUCAAAAUAAACCAACAUUGUGGAAAUUGAACAGAGGACCUACUGUCCGGCUCUUCAACGUAACAACCAAUUGGCAAUGCAUCUUUCACAUUUACUAAUCCCAACUCGCUUUUUUACAAUGAUUCCAAUCAGUAAAUAUUUGAGUGUCCCCAGGAAUCAACCAACAAAUAGUUAAAACAAAGAAGAGCAAACCUCUUGUUUAGGGCGAGCUAAUUAAAGAAAGGAUUGUGGGCUUAAAUAGAAUAUUUAAAUGUAUGUGACUAAUUAAAUAAAUGAUUAUGGGUAAACUGCUGGAAUAACUAAAAGAAAAAUUGUGGGCUUAAUAAAUAGAAUAUAUUCAAAUUGAUGGGGUUAAUCAAAGGAAAGAUUUGAGGUAAAAAGUAGGAUAGUUAAAAGGAUGGAUCCGUAGGCUUCGAUGUGGUGGGGCUACUAAAUUAGAAAAGGAAGGAUUUGCCUUUAAAAAAACCGAAGGAUUUGAAUCUCGACAAAUGGGUGAGGACAUUAUGGUAAUUAGUAGAAUGAUUAUACUUAAAUGGAAUUAGUGAGAGAUUAUGCCCGGCUGAGAAAAAUAUGAACGUGGCAAAUUGCAUCCUAUUUUUUAUGUUCAUUUUCUAGAUGGAUAUUGCGUUGCAACAUGUUCUUCGUAGUGAAUAUAGUGCUAUGGGACAUUAUGUUUGCACAAAAUAUCAAUUUUCCCUAUUGCAACACACAGCAUAUGUGCUAGUGCAUACCUAUGUUUGGAAGGAAUAGAGCUACACUUGUAAUGUACACAAGUUCUAUAUGUAGUAAGAAUUGGAAUCACACUUACAAUGCCACUAAAAUCCACUGACAUCCUAGGACUAGGAAGCAUCGGGAUUUGUGAUUAUGUGUACCUAGAUUUUUACACACGAGGUAACAAUAUAGGACGUGGCUAGCCAGCAAACGGCUGCUGGCUAGCGUUCGCGGGCAUAUCACCAAAAACGGUAGUUACCCUGCCCUGUCGGUACACGUGCCCCCUCCACAAGUGCUCGUGUGGUCCUCGUGUACACAGCCUGCCCCUGUUCACUCUCUCCCAACACAACCUGCCACAAAAUCACUGAAAAAAUCCGUUCAGCAAUGGCGCCGUAAAGAGAUUGCUGGGUUAUCGGUGGUUUUUCUUCAGGAUUUAAAUGAAAUUUCAAAGAACAAAGCAUCAGUGGCUCAGUUGGACACAUCUAGCUGCAACUUUACAGGUGAUCAUAGGAGUUGAUAAUGGUAAGCAACUCGGGUGUGUAACUAAGCAACUUUUGCAUGCAUCAGCGGCAACUUAGGAUGCAAUUGGGAAAAACAAAAACAAAGAGAGUUGCAUGUACAUAUAAAAAGAAGAGGGCAAAUGUGCACCAACAAAAAAUGGUUUGGACAGGCAACUCUAUGGACACUUCUGUACAACUUAUGCAUCAAUCAUGUGCAACUUAGAUGCUCCCCAGUUUACAAAAAAGAAAGAAAAAGAGGUCCAGUACUGCGCGCGCCUUUGGGGUCACUAGUAGAAAACAGGGCAUUUGUCCCGGUUGGUGAGGGCCUUUUGUCCCGGUUCUUGAACUGGGACUAAAGGGUCAUUACUAAUGCCUCCCCCUUUAGUCCCGGUUCUAACACGAACCGAGACAGAUGGGCCUCCACGUGGCCGGUGCGCCGAGCCCAGGUAGGAGGGACUUUGGUCCCGGUUGGUGGCACCAACCGGGACCAAAAGGCAUCCACGCGUCAUCAUUUCAGUGGCUGGGGUUUAUNNNNNNNNNNNNNNNNNNNNNNNNNNNNNNNNNNNNNNNNNNNNNNNNNNNNNNNNNNNNNNNNNNNNNNNNNNNNNNNNNNNNNNNNNNNNNNNNNNNNNNNNNNNNNNNNNNNNNNNNNNNNNNNNNNNNNNNNNNNNNNNNNNNNNNNNNNNNNNNNNNNNNNNNNNNNNGGGUUUCAUAUAUUGCGUUAGCUAGCUAAUUAAUAGAGAGAAGUGUCCUCUCUUAUGUCCGUGCUUGGUCGACGCUAUGUACUAUACGUAGAGAGGCCCUCGACACGCUAGCUAGUAAGAAAAUGAAGGGAACCAUUAAGUACAGAAGUUCGUCAUGCAUACCGAGAGAAGUGAUCGAUCAACCUCUCCUUCUCCGAGAGAUUGGUCGAACAAAAAUUUUCUUAUUAUCUAUCCGACGCUACUGGCUACAUACAUAUACAAUAUGUAAGAUCUCUUACAAUCCGCUAGCAAUUGAAAUCAACUUCCACAUGGUAUUCUACGGCUUUAUUGAUGACGUGGUCAAGAAAGAAUCCCGCCAAUCCCUCUUGAAUUGCUUUCAUGCGAUCUUGUUCUAGGAGUUCAUUCCGCAUUUGCCACGUCUAAUUUGAAGAAGGGGGUUAAUUAAUACAUAUAUAUGAAUGAAACUCAACAGAAAUGAUGGUGUAAUAAAAUGAAAUUGUGAAUAUUAUUGCUUACGCACUUCAUAUUGUCUUUUAGAGUAGCCCCGCUUAUUUUUCAAAGUCGUGUUGUAGAUGAACUCGCACACAUAGUAUCCACAAAAAUUAUUCCCUUGUUCCUGCCACAAGCACUUUAUGAGAAAUAGAGGUCAAUCAAACUGAUAAUAAAGCAUUAUAAAUGGCAUUGAUGGAAGUAUAACUAUAGAAUCAACGGGAGGUGCGCGCAACUAGCUAGCCAGUAGUACUUACUUUCGGGUAUGUAUAUCGCAGCUCCUUCGGCAGUCCCGGAGGUUCUGCGGUAAACUAUUUCCAAACCCUGCAAGACAAAGAAAAUAAUUAUUAUUACUUGAGAUAUCAGGAAAUCAACAAAAAGUUGCCGAUAUGGUGUGAUAAUGAUCGAUUGAACUUACUUGUUGAGCAUUUUAGUCAGGUCCGCAUAGGUUUCGGGAUCUUUUCGUCUCGAGUCCAAGACGGUUACAUAAAGGCUUAAGUGGAAGCUGCGCACGGAUGCAUAACUCAUCAAUUACAUUACUAUAACUUCGCUCGAGUAAUAAGGGAAACCGAAUAUGCACAUGACAGUAACACUCACUCGAAGUUGUAAGGAAAGAGUAUGGUAUCUUUGUUUUGAUUUCUGAUCAACGAUUGUCGCAAGUUGGCCUCGGCCUCUUCUGCAUGCUUUUUAACUUGAAUUUCAUCUAUGUUUUUUGUGUUAAUGAACCCAAUAUCAUAUAUUUCUUGUUUUCUGCACUCGAGAUCUUCAAUCUGCAUAAUAUAGUGAGGAUAAUUAAUUGUAAAUGCAUGCAAUGAAAGAGCUGAACUAUAUAUAUAGAGAGACUUAAUGACAAAAAUAAUACUUACAGACAGUAGCAAAAGACCGUUAAUUUAUCGAGGGCCUUUUGAUUGAAGAACUCAAAGAACUCCUCAAAUGGAACAGGCAACAGAUCAGUUCCAAUGAGGUCGUGCUCCUCUUUAAUGCUCAGAUACAAAGUAUUCGUCCCCCCAGACUCUCUGCAGGUUUUCAUGUACCAAUUAUGGAAUCUUCGCAUCAUCGUUGUUAGAGAUUUUUCAUCUUUGACGAGAGGCUUCCCGUACUUGUAUCUGUGUUCGUCCACCUCCAUGAAAUCAGGAAGUUGAUCGUCAGGCAGGUAAUCUGCAAGAUUGCCAUAACCGGCCACUGUCCCAAAGCAUUAGCGAUGAUGUUGUCGCUAGACACAUUGAGCGGGGGGCACGAUUGAUUUGCUUGUUCGCCGAGCUGGGCAAUUUUUUUUGGAGCUGCUCAUUCUUUUGACCUUUGAUGUCUGACAGUACUUCCCGACCGCUCCGCUUCGAGAUAUAUCUGUUCAGUAAUGCGCUCAUAGUUGGUUCUCUGCGAAGACUUUGGUGGUUUCCUCAGGGCAUCGAUAGUGCGCUUUGUUUUCACCGGAUCUACCUUCUCCUUCGGAGGUGGAUGUCUCUUUGAUUUCAACCCUUCAAAGAAGUCGUCCACUUCGGCCCGCAAGAUCUUCGUGUUUUCCUCCUUGGUCCUCUCGUACGGUAACUUCUCUAGAGGCUUGAGAGAAGGACUGUAUCUGUAUUGCCUCCCGCCUCUGCUGGCUGUACUGCUAGACGCUGGAGCAGACGGAGUAGGUGCGGCGUCUGUCUUCUUUCGUGCUUGCUUACGAGGCGGAGGAGAAGGACUACGAUGCGCUGGAGCAGCCGUGGCGACGGCGGGUCUCUUCCGCCCUUGCUGGCGAGGCGGAGAAGGAGGAGGCUGCUGGCUGCUCGGGCACGCCGGCGCAGGCGGGGAAGGAGGCGGAGUGCUGCCACGCGCCGGAGAAGGAGACUGAGUGCCCUGAUCGUCACUCGCCGGAGAAGGAGGCGGUGGAGGAGGAGGAGUGCCCUGACUCGCCGGAGGAGGAGGAGGAGGCGUCCAGUUUGGAAGCUUGAUGAACUCCUUCCGCCAUAGGCAUGGAGUCUUCAGAGCAGAACCCAGCCGAGUCUCCCCUUCACCAGUAGGGUGGUCAAGCUGGAGGUCCUCAAAUCCCUCCGUUAUUUCAUCCACCGUCACCCUAGCAUAUCCUUCUGGAAUCGGACAACAGUGAAAAGUUGCACCGGGUUCAGAAGGUCGAACUUGGCCGAUAGCCGCCUUGACUUUGAAGUUCUGCCAUUGCGUCAUAAGGUGGCAAUUUUGAGACUCCGUGAUAAAAUCUAUGGGGUAGCUAGCAGGAGCCGUCAAGACAUGCUCUGCCUAAAGCAGCUCGGUGGAAGCCACGCUGCUUCUCCGCUGAGAUGGCGGGGUAGCUUCGGGGGAAGCUUCGGUAGGUCGUUUGCUGCGAUCUGAUUCUCGUUCCUCUAGCCCUUGUACCCUUUCAUGCAGCGCCUGCAGUUGGCUCUGCUCCAGUUUCUUCCUCCUCUCCUGGGUUUUGUAACCCCCUGCGUUCGGAAAACCAAACUUCCACAGAAUGGAGCCUGGCGUGCCUCGUUUCCGUCCAGGGUGCUCAGGAUUCCCGAGGGCCAUUGUGAGCUCGUCCUUCUCCCUGUCUGGAACGAACGUCCCUUGCUGUGCUGCAUCAAUAUAGUGCUGAAGCCUGUUGACUGGUAUUUUCAGUUGCUCGUCCAUCCAACGGCACUUCCCUGAUACAGGGUCCAAGGUUCCGCCAGCCCCGAAGAACCAAGUCCGGCAACGGUCUGGCCAGUUCAUUGUCUCUGGUUCGAUCCCUUUAUCAAGCAGAUCAUUCUCAGCCUUGGACCACUUAGGCCGGGCUUUGUGGUAGCCACCUGACCCCGUGCGAUGGUGAAACUUCUUCUUCGCAGCAUUUUGCUUGUAUGUCGCCGACAUCUUCUUACUCUUUUCCGAUGUCUUGUGGGCCACAAAUGCGGGCCAGUGAUCUCUAAUCUUCUCAUAUUUGCCGAUGAAUUCUGGUGUCUCUUCUUUGUCAACAAACUUGUUCAGCUCUUUCCUCCACCUCCUGAAUAGGUCUGCCAUCUUCUUAAGAGCACAAGACUUGAUUAAUUGCUCUUUAACUGGCUUCUCCGGAUCCUCCUCUGGUGGUAGGGUGAAAUUUGCCUUUAGCUCAGUCAAAAGAUCAUCUUUUUGCAUAUCAUUGACACAUGACACCUCAGGGUCUUCCUCCUUAGGCUUAUACCAUUGGUGGAUGCUGAUCGGGAUCUUGUCCCUAACAAGAACCCCGCACUGAGUAGCAAAUGCGUUCUUUGUCUAGAUGGGUUCAAUCGGUUCGCCGUCGCGCGCGAUUGCUGUGAUCUCAAACUUUUCAUCCGAGCUCAACUUUUUCUUCGGGUCUCGUCUCCUUACCGAAGUUGUGCUCGAUCCGGAGGGCUAGAAAAAAGAAGAAAGAUGAGAGUUAAUUAAUAUGUGCACAUAUACCAAAACAAUGAAUGCAUCAAUUAACUAGUCAGCACAGGCUUAACUAAUAUAUAUAUACCUGGUCGGACUUUGUUCAGUCACCGGAGCAGUCAGCACAGUCUCCUUGUACCUCCAUUGGGUCACCGGAGCCAUCAUGAACAUAUCCCUCUUCUUGUACCGGCAUUAAUGGGCCGGAGCCAUCAUGAACAUAGCCCUCUUCUUCACCCAGUCCUUCCUGACCAUCGGUGUCGUUGAGAAAUGCUGCAACGACAUCACUUCCUUGUGCGAUUAUCUCCCCCAACAUCGCUUCUGUUGCUUCGUCUCGGGAGUGCUCCAUUGUUUCUGCAAAUAUUUACAACAUGUCAAUUAUUAUUCAAACAUGGUACAGAUGGAUAUAUAUUAGUGGCAAAUGUAGAACUAGCUAGCUAAUCACAAUAAGGAAUCAUGUUAGUGGCCUCGACGCUGCUUCUCUAGGGUUUGGGGUGGCCUAGACAAUGGUUCGAGGGUUUGAGGUGGCCUCAACACAACGCUUCAAGGGUUUGGGGUGGCCUUGAUGACAACGCUCUUUUAAAUUGGUAAAUUUGGCUGGCCUCGAGAGAGUUUGUCGGGUAGGGGCGCGGCGGGAGGGGCUAGGAGACCAACAUCGUUUUUUCUCUAGGGUUUGGGUGUCCUCGAGAGUUUUGGUCGAGCGAGAGGGCCGAGGGGGGUGCUGUCGUGGUAUAAGUUAUCACGGUCGAGAGGGGGCAUAUAUAUCGACCGCCCCUCAUGUCAAAGUUAUCCGGGAGGGGGUUAUAUCGACAACGACGCAGCAUACAUAUACAUGGGAAAAUAAUAUUAUUGGGGAGGGGGUAGAUUGACCCCUCUCCUCGUGUUGAAGUUAUCGGGAGGGGUAUAUGGACGACGACAGACCCGAUAAAACAUAAGAAAACAAAGAAGAAAUAAAAAGAGGAGAAGAAAGAAAGGAAUAGAGGAGAAGAUCGAAGAAAAAAAAGAAGAAGAAAAAAGAGGAGAAGAAGAAAGGAAUAGAGGAGAAGAAGAAAAAAUAGAAGGUAUUGCUUGUUUAUUUCUUCUUCUACUUUUUUCUUCUUCUUAUUUAUUUCUCCUCUUCUUCCUCUUCUUAUUUCCUUUUUCCUCUCAUUCUUUUUCUUCUUCUUCCUUCUUAAAAAUACAUGAAGUAGUAUUGCUUGUUUUUUUUAAAAUAAUGUUCCAAUAGAAAUUUUAGAAAAAAAGUAAAGGUUUUGCCUAAUUCAUUGUUCAUAUGAAUAUACAAACAUUUGCAUAUUUACAAUAAUUAAUAUCACCAAAAAAAUCUAUAAACAGAAAAAAUAGUAUUUUUUCUAAAAAUCUAUCUUUUGCAUAUAUACAUGAACAUAUAUAUACAUAGAGAACAUAUAUACAUACAUAUAUACAUUUUUAUAAAAAUGCAAAAAACAAAAAAUCUAAAAAAAGGACAUAUAAAUAGAUAUACACACAUACAUAUACUCAUACAUAUAAAUAUAAUCAAGAAUAAAACAUCUAUAUAUGCAGGGCAGGGGCGGCGGGGCGGCGUGCGGCGCCAGCGCAGGGCANNNNNNNNNNNNNNNNNNNNNNNNNNNNNNNNNNNNNNNNNNNNNNNNNNNNNNNNNNNNNNNNNNNNNNNNNNNNNNNNNNNNNNNNNNNNNNNNNNNNNNNNNNNNNNNNNNNNNNNNNNNNNNNNNNNNNNNNNNNNNNNNNNNNNNNNNNNNNNNNNNNNNNNNNNNNNNNNNNNNNNNNNNNNNNNNNNNNNNNNNNNNNNNNNNNNNNNNNNNNNNNNNNNNNNNNNNNNNNNNNNNNNNNNNNNNNNNNNNNNNNNNNNNNNNNNNNNNNNNNNNNNNNNNNNNNNNNNNNNNNNNNNNNNNNNNNNNNNNNNNNNNNNNNNNNNNNNNNNNNNNNNNNNNNNNNNNNNNNNNNNNNNNNNNNNNNNNNNNNNNNNNNNNNNNNNNNNNNNNNNNNNNNNNNNNNNNNNNNNNNNNNNNNNNNNNNNNNNNNNNNNNNNNNNNNNNNNNNNNNNNNNNNNNNNNNNNNNNNNNNNNNNNNNNNNNNNNNNNNNNNNNNNNCGCGGCGACCGCGCAGGACAGGGGCGCAGGGGCGCGGGUCGGGAGGGGCGCGGAAGCAGGCUGUGCUCACUGGGGGCAGCAGCGACGGCGAAGGCGAGCAGCCUGACGGCGUCGGUGGCGGCGGCGACGGCGAAGGCGAGCAGCCUGGCGGAGUCGGUGGCACCGGCGACAGCGAAGGCGAGCAGCCUGACGGCGUCGGUGGCGGUGGCGAUGGCAAGGUGGAGCAGGGGCGUCUGGCGGCGACGGCGACGAGGAGGAGCAGGAGGCGUCGGGGGAGAAGUGGGUGAUUUGAUCGAAACUGCGAAGUGCUGCUUAUAUAGCAAAGCCUUUAGUCCCGGUUGGUGGCACCAACCGGGACUAAUGCACCCUUUAGUCCCGGUUGGUGCCACCAACCAGGACCAAAGGCCUCUUUUCAGCAGCCCAAAGGGCGGGAAGCGGCGGCCUUUGGUGCCGGUUGGUGGCACGAACCGGGACUAAAGGGGGGGGCAUUGGUCCCGGUUGGUGCCAAGAACCAGGACCAAAGGGUGGCAUUGGUCCCGGUUCGUGCCACCAACCGGGACCAAUGGCCUUGCACAGCGGCGUGGUGGUGGGAGUUUAGUCCCACCUCGCUAGUUGAGAGCGUCGACCACCUGCUUAUAAGCACUGCUACCUCCUCUCUCUCGAACUCCUCUGAACUGCAGGCCUAUGGGCCUAAUCUGGCACUACUUUGCCUGUGGGCCUGCUGGGCCUUCUCCGGGCUUGAAUCCUGGCCCAUGGUAGGGUUUCUAGUCGUAUUCAGGUCGUGGGGGCCCAGUAGGAGGCACUUUUUUGUUUUUUGUUUUCUUUAGUUAUUGUUGCUAUUUUUAUUUUUUUUCUAGUUUUUUUGUUUUGUUUUUUGUAUUAUUUAUUUUCUUUUGUUUUUUUCUUUAUUUUUUUAAUUCUUUUUGCUUUUAGUUUUAGAAAAAUUAUAAACUUUCUGUUAGUGCCAUUAGUUUUCAAAUUUGAAUACACUUUUUUUUUGUUUUUUGUUUUCUUUCUGGCUUUAUUUAUUUUAUUUUGUUUCUACUUACNNNNNNNNNNNNNNNNNNNNNNNNNNNNNNNNNNNNNNNNNNNNNNNNNNNNNNNNNNNNNNNNNNNNNNNNNNNNNNNNNNNNNNNNNNNNNNNNNNNNNNNNNNNNNNNNNNNNNNNNNNNNNNNNNNNNNNNNNNNNNNNNNNNNNNNNNNNNNNNNNNNNNNNNNNNNNNNNNNNNNNNNNNNNNNNNNNNNNNNNNNNNNNNNNNNNNNNNNNNNNNNNNNNNNNNNNNNNNNNNNNNNNNNNNNNNNNNNNNNNNNNNNNNNNNNNNNNNNNNNNNNNNNNNNNNNNNNNNNNNNNNNNNNNNNNNNNNNNNNNNNNNNNNNNNNNNNNNNNNNNNNNNNNNNNNNNNNNNNNNNNNNNNNNNNNNNNNNNNNNNNNNNNNNNNNNNNNNNNNNNNNNNNNNNNNNNNNNNNNNNNNNNNNNNNNNNNNNNNNNNNNNNNNNNNNNNNNNNNNNNNNNNNNNNNNNNNNNNNNNNNNNNNNNNNNNNNNGACAAGGUAUAAACUUUCUGUUAGUGCCAUUAGUUUUCAAAUUUGAAAACACUUUUUUUGUUUUUUUGUUUUCUUUGUUGCUUUAUUUAUUUUAUUUUGUUUCUACUUACAACAAAAUACUUAUUGUUGCUAUUUUUAUUUUGUUUCCAGUUUUCUUGUUUUAUUUUCUGCAUUAUUUAUUUUCUUUUGUUUUUUGCUUUAUUUUUAAUUCUUUUUGCUUUUAGGUCAGCAAAAUUAUAAACUUUCUGUUAGUGCCAUUAGUUUUCAAAUUUGAAUAAUUAAAAUUUGAAUUAUUUGAAAUUUGUGUGAAUCACAAGUUUGUGAUUAACUUUACUAAAAAAAUGAACAUAGAUGCGCCUAUAGAGAAAACUCAACCUAAAUUCAUAAUAAAUUUCUAUGAAUUUCAGAGAAAUUCACUAUGAAUUUAGGUCAAAUUCCCUAUAUAGGGGCAUCUAUUUUCACUUUGAGAGGAGCUCAACAAGGCAGAGAGGGACGAUCUUAUAAACCGAUCUAAGCACCCUUCGGUUGGCGAGGUGGGACUAAACUCAGAGCGCAACGAGGACUAACCGGGAUUAAUGGUAUUACGAGGGCCGAACCAAUAGACAUUAAAGCAUUUCAAAUGAACUCUGAAAAAGUUGAAAGUUGGCAUGGUAUCAUAAUUUCACCCACAUAGUAUGUGCAUGUACAAAACGGACAAUGGUAUCAUACUCGUCUGUUACAAAUUUGGCAUGAUAUCAUCAUAAUAGUUGCGGGAGAAAGUUUUCACUUUUUCUUUGCUUGUCUCAUUUGCUUAUUGCGCCGUAACCAUGGAUAAUCUUCAUCGUUUAUCAGGAUGCUUGGGUCAGCCUUGACUUUGAAGGGAGGAAUUUCAUGAAACUUUUCAUAAUCUUCAGACAUGUCUGUCUUGCCCUCCACUCCUAUGAUGUCCCUUUUUCCUGAAAGAACUAUGUGGCGCUUUGGCUCAUCGUAUGAUGUAUUCGCUUCCUUAUCUUUUCUUUUUCUCGUUCUGGUAGACAUGUCCUUAACAUAGAUAACCUGUGCCACAUGAUUGGCUAGGCCGAACGUUCGUCAGUGUACCCAAGAUUUUUCAGAUCCACAGUUGUCAUUCCAUACUGUGGGUCUACCUGUACCCCGCCUCCUGACAGAUUGACCCAUUUGCACUUAAACGAAGGGACCUUAAAAUCAUGUCCGUAGUCAAGUUCCCAUAUGUCCACUAUGUAACCAUAAUAUGUGUCCUUUCCCCUCUCAGUUGUUGCAUCAAAGCGGACACCGCUGUUUUGGUUGGUGCUCUUUUGAUCUUGGUAAAUCGUGUAAAAUAUAUUCCCAUUUAUCUCGUAUCCUUUCCAAAUCAUAACAGUCAAAGAUGGUGCCCUGGACAACAAGUACAGCUCAUCACAAAUAGUGUUGUCACCUCUGGGACGUGUUUCCAACCAACUGCUGAAAGUCCUGAUGUGUUCACAUGUAAUCCAGUCGUCGCACUGCUCCGGGAGUUUGGAGCGCAGACUGUUCUUGUGUUCAUCUACAUACGGGGUCACGAAGGUAGAGUUCUGUAUAACUGCGUAGUGUGCUUGAGUCCAAGAAUAUCCGUCCCUGCAUAUUAUUGAGUCCCUUCCAAGCAUGACUUUUCCAGUCAGUCUCCCUUCAUACCGUGAUGUAGGGAGACCUAUCUUCUUAAGGCCAGGAAUGAAGUCAACACAAAACUCGAUGACAUCCUCUGUUUGAUGGCCCACGGAGAUGCUUCCUUCUGGCCUAGAGUGGUUACAGACAUAUUUCUUUAGGACUCCCAUGAACCACUCAAAGGGGAACAUAUUUUGUAGAAAUACGGGCCCAGAAUGACAAUCUCGUCGACUAGAUGAACUAGGACGUGCGUCAUGAUAUUGAAGAAGGAUGGUGGGAACACCAGAUCGAAACUGACAAGACAUUGCGCCACAUCACUCCUUUGCCUUGGUAUGAUUUCUGGAUCGAUCACCUUCUGGGAGAUUCAUUGAGGAAUGCACAUAGCUUCACAAUGGCUAAUCGGACGUUUUCUGGUAGAAGCCCCCUCAAUGCAACCGAAAGCAGUUGCGUCAUAAUCAUGUGGCAGUCAUGAGACUUUUUCUCUGGCAUAUUUAUUAUUCCCUUUAUAUUCGACGAGAAGCCAGUCGAGACCUUCAUACUGAGCAGGCAUUCAAAGAAGAUUUCUUUCUCUUCUUUCGUAAGAGCGUAGCUGGCAGGACCUUCAUACUGCUUCGGAGGCAUGCUGUCUUUUUCGUGCAAAGGUUGCAGGUCCUCCCGUGCCUCAGGUGUAUCUUUUGUCUUUCCAUACACGCCCAGGAAGCCUAGCAGGUUCACGCAAAGGUUCUUUGUCACGUGCAUCACGUCGAUUGAAGAGCGGACCUCUAGGUCUUUCUAGUAGGGUAGGUCCCAAAAUAUAGAUUUCUUCUUCCACAUGGGUGCGUGUCCCUCAGCGUCAUUCGGAACAGCUAGUGCGCCGGGACCCUUUCCAAAGAUUACGUGUAAAUCACUGACCAUAGCAAGUACAUGAUCACCGGUACGCAUGGCGGGCUUCUUCCGGUUAUCUGCUUCGCCUUUGAAAUGCUUGCCUUUCUGUCGACAUUGAUGGUUGGUCGAAAGAAAUCGACGAUGGCCCAGGUACAGAUUCUUCCUGCAGCUUCCCAGGUAUAUACUAUCGGUGUCAAGCAAACAGUGCGUGCAUGCAUGGAAUCACUUGUUUGUCUGUCCUGAAAGGUUAUGAAGAGCGGGCCAAUCGUUGAUGGUCACGAACAGCAACGCCUUUAGGUCAAAUUCCUCCUGUUUGUGCUCAUCCCACGUACGUACACCGUUUCCAUUCCACAGCUGUAAAAGUUCUUCAACUAAUGGCCUUAGGUACACAUCAAUGUCGUUGCCGGGUUGCUUAGGGCCUUAGAUGAGAACUGGCAUCAUAAUGAACUUCCACUUCAUGCACAUCCAAAGGAGGAUGGUUAUACAUACAUAGAGUCACGGGCCAGGUGCUGUGAUUGCUUCUCUACUCCCCGAAAGGAUUAAUGCCAUCCACGCUUAAAGGAAACCAUACGUUCCUUGGGUCACUUGCAAAUUCAUCCCAGUACUUUCUCUCGAUUUUUCUCCACUGCGACCCGUCAGCGGGUGCUCUCAACUUCCCGUCUUUCUUACGGUCCUCACUGUGCCAUCGCAUCAACUUGGCAUGCUCUCCGUUUCUGAACAAACGUUUCAACCCUGGUAUUAUAGGAGCAUACCACAUCACCUUCGCAGGAACCCUCUUCCUGGGGGGCUCGCCGUCAACAUCACCAGGGUCAUCUCGUCUGAUCUUAUACCGUAAUGCACCGCAUACCGGGCAUGUGUUCAGAUCCUUGUACGCACCGCAGUAGAGGAUGCAGUCAUUAGGGCAUGCAUGUAUCUUCUGCACCUCCAAUCCUAGAGGGCACACGACCUUUUUUGUUGCGUAUGUACUGUCGGGCAAUUCGUUAUCCUUUGGAAUCUUCUUCUUCAAUAUUUUUAGUAGCUUCUCAAAUCCUUUGUCAGGCACAGCAUUCUCUGCCUUCCACUGCAGCAAUUCCAGUACGGUACCGAGCUUUGUGUUGCCAUCUUCGCAAUUGAGGUACAACCCUUUUUUGUGAUCCUCUAACAUGCGAUCGAACUUCAGCUUCUCCUUUUGACUUUCGCAUUGCGUCCUUGCAUCGACAAUGAACCGGCGGAGAUCCUCAUCAUCGGGCACAUCGUCUGGUUCCUCUUGAUCUUCAGCAGCUUCGCCAGUUGCAGCAUCAUCGGGCACAUCGUCUGGUUCCUCUUGAUCUUCAGUAGCAUGACUGUAUUCAGGGGGCACAUAGUUGUCAUCGUACUCUUCUUCUUCGCCGUCUUCCAUCGUAACGCCUAUUUCUCCGUGCCUCGUCCAAACAUUAUAGUGUGGCAUGAAACCCUUGUAAAGCAGGUGGGUGUGAAGGAUUUUCCGGUCAGAGUAAGACUUCGUAUUCCCACAUAUAGGGCAUGGACAACACAUAAAACCAUUCCGCUUGUUUGCCUCAGUCGCUUCGAGAAACUUAUGCACGCCCUUAAUGUACGCGGAGGUGUGUCUGUCACCGUACAUCCAUUUCCGGUUCAUCUGCGUGCAUUAUAUAUAAUUAAGUGUGUCAAAAACCAUUACAGAACAUCAUGAAUAGAUAAUUAAGUGACCAAAUUAAUAGAAGUUCAUCAUCACAUUAAAACCAAAGUACAUACAUAGUUCUCAUCUAACAACAUAAAGCUCUGCGAAGCAUCUAAAUUAAUUAAACCAUACAUUCAAACUAUGUAAAACAUUUCAAUGCAAAAAUAAAUGCGAUCAUAAUCGCAACCAAGGUAACAACUGAUCCAACGGCAUAAUGAUACCAAGCUUCGGUAUGAAUGGCAUAUUUUGUAAUCUUUCUAAUCUUCAAGCGCAUUGCAUCCAUCUUGAUCUUGUGAUCAUCGACGACAUCCGCAACAUGCAACUCCAAUAUCAUCUUCUCCUCCUCAAUUUUUCUUAUUUUUUCCUUCAAGAAAUUGUUUUCUUCUUCAACUAAAUUUAACCUCUCGACAAUAGGGUCGGUGGGAAUUUCCGGUUCAACAACCUCAUAGAUAAAUAAAAUCUAUGUCACGUUGGUCGGCAUAAUUGUCAUAAACAAUAAAUGAACCAAUAGUUAUGAAAAGAUAAUAUAUACCACAUCCGAAUCAUAGACAGGACGAGGGCCGACGGGGACGGAUACCAAAACCAUCGCACUAUAUAAGAUGCAAUAAUAAAAGUAAGAAAAUAAUACAAGUAUCUAUCUAAACAUACAAGUAUGAAUAUUUUUCCUUUCAGAAAGAAGAUAAGAACAAGAGGCUCACCAUGGUGGUGCCGGCGAUGAGAUCGGCGCGGGUGAUCUAUGGCGGUGAAGACGGGGACGGGGCGUGACGGACCGCUAAACCUAGAAAAAUAUUGAGGAAAAUGGAGCUUGGAGGUCGAGCUUGGAGAGGAGAAAGCUUAAGUAGUGUGGCUCGGGCAUUCCAUCGAACACCUUGUGUGCAUAGGAGGUGAGCUAGAGCACCACCAAGCCCUCUCCCCCUCGGCGGCCAGAAAAAACAGAGCAGUGUGCUCUGCUCUUACGCGAGGGGGUAUAUAUAGGCACCUCAUAGGUCCCGGUUGCACUACAAAAAAAAUUGCACUUCCGUGAUGAUAUGUGUUUGUCACAGUAGGUCGCAUUUUUUGUCAUGCAUGUACAUCCAUGACAAAUUUAUGACAGAAUCAAGAUAGUCAUACAUGUGCUAUCGUAGAAGUGUUCCAUGACGUUACCAAAAUUAUCAUCACGGAAGUGUCCACUUCCGUGACGAUAAAUCGCGCGUCAUAGAAGUGCUUUCGUCAAGGGUGACCGACACGUGGCAUCCACCGUAACGGAAUGCCGUUAAGCUAUCGGGUCGGGUUUUGGAUCCGAUAACCCGUUAACAGCCCCGACUAAUGGGAUUUUUCCACGUGUAAAAUCAUCAUUGGCUGGAGGAAACACGUGUCGGCUCAUCGUUGGGGCAGAUGUCAUCCACUCAUUGGACAGAAGGCGCCUAUGAUACAUCGACACAUGGCACGGCCCAACAAGUUUAAAUGGGCCGGCCCAACUAAAGGCCCACAUGAUUUUGCGGCCCUUAAUGGGCCAGCCCAGUUAAAGGCCCAUGAGAUUUUGCGGACUAUAAUGGGCUGGCCCAGCUAAAGGCCCACAAAAUUUAGCGGGCCAUAAUAGGCCGGCCCAGGUAAAGGCCCACAAGAUUUUUAUGUGACAUAAUGGGCCGGUCCAGGUAAAGGCCCACAAAAUUCUUGCGGAUCAUAAUGGGUCUGACCAGCUAAAGGCCCACGAGAUUGCGCCGACAUUAAUGGGCCGGCCCAGCUGUAGGCCCAAAAGAUUUUGAGGACCCUAGCAGGCCGGCCCAUUAACUGGCUGCCAUGUUUUGGGCCAAAUGCCGGCCCAUAAUUGAUCCGGUCCAUUCAUGGUCUGCCACGUUCCGGGCCUAAUAAUGGCCCAUAUAAGAUCCGGCCCGUUAAAAGCCUCUCACUUUCUGGGACAAAUCACGGCCCAGAUCAGGUCCGGCCCUUUAAGAGGCUUUGGGCUCAAUUAUGGCCCAUAUCAGAUUCGGCCCGUUGACUGGACGCUAUGCUUUUGGGCCCACUUGCUAAAGGCCCAUUUAGUAAUUCGGCCUGAUAUUAGUUUCGGCCUAUUAAGGGCCCAUUUAACAUUUCAGCCCUAUAUUAAUUUCGGCCUGCUAAAAGCCCGUCAUAUAAUUGGGCCUAACUACGGCCCGGUUUGCAUCCGUCCUGCUCGCAGCCGAUAUCUGAUUGGGCCAAACAAGGACCGAGACAACUUUGGCCUGUUAAAAGCCCGUGAAUUGAUUCGCACAAUCAUGGGUCGGGGUCCAUUUCGGGCUGUCGCCGGCCCGUGAGAUAUUCGGCAUGUUGCAGGCCCAGCCUACUUCUCAGCCUCCUAAUAGCCCAUUGAGUUUUCUUGCGAAAAGAGGGUCGGGCAUUACUCGGCCUAUUAAAGUCCUGAAUCUACUAGUGGGCCAGUUUGAUUUGGCCCAUGAUGCGGAUCAUACAUCGUGAUUGCAGGACGGCCGAUUAUGUACCGUAAUUUUACGGUUUGCAGGUUUACUGCGAAGUCAGGACAUAUAUACAGUAAAAUAACUGCAGCAUCGUGAAUAAUAAAAAAAACCUAGACUAUACAAUAAAGAAAUUACGACAUAUUACAUCCACUGGGCAUCAAAGUUCUCCACUAUGAUAAUAAAGCACAAGCAGACAGCAGAUUACAUACACUAGGCAUCAAAGAUCGCCACCAGUGCAAAUAAAGACGCCGACAAAAUAAUAUACAAAACCGACAUAACUUCAAUAGAGUUCAAGAAAGGUUAGCCUUGCUGGGGAGCUGCAGCGCAAGCAGCUGAGCAAGAUGAUGAGACUGCGCUUGUUCAACACUUAUAUCUUCCUCACUUUGAAAGAUAAACAAGCAGACAGAUGACAGGUUUCGCACAUAAAAGUAUCAGUGCUGACAAUUCAUCACAUUUCUUACUAACGAAUAAAGUGACACAGUUUAAAAUUGCAUUCACACAAUAUGGUAUUGUUCAGGUCAAGACAUGGCAGGAAAUGACAUUGUGAAGGAGUUGGCAGCUUCACGACACCACUAGAUUACAGAUCAAAAACUCAUAAGUAUCAAUGGUUAGUGUGCUAUCAAUUUAUCCCAUUUCAGUUUGGCAAAUAAAGAGACAGUUUAAAUAAUAGUAGAAUGACAUGACAUUGUUUAUAGUUAAGACAUUGCAGAAUAUGACAAUUUGAUGUAGUGGGUAGGUUCACCACACCACUGGAUUACGGAUGAAGAACAGAAGCAUACAUGCAAUGCAAAAGAAGAUCACUUGCUUUGAAUAGUUUAAUUUACAUGGUAUGAAGAAGGAACUUGGUUGUACAACUGAAAACUUAAAUUGAGAAGGACAAACUUUUGUUUAUGAACUACAUAAUAAACUUUAAACAUGCAAUUUGAUGCAAACACCAAAAAUAAACAGUUGUUGCAGUCAUGCCUAACCAAAUAUACACAACAAAGUUUGAAGGCUUGAGAAGGACAAACUUACAUUACUGGUGAAGACAGGCUCUAUAAAGCCCUUGUCCUUGCUGAUGGGAGGGGGCAAUUCAAGAAGUUUAGCACAGAAUCUUCUUCAUAAGCAUUGCCUUUAUUCUACAUUUUGUUAAGUAAUAUAGAUGUGAUAAUAUACGAAAAAAUGGAGAAUAUUUAAGAUAAGAUGAAGAGUGAUGCUACAUAACCAAGUAGCUAUAAAUGAAUGUGCAGCGAUACAGGCAAAAGGCCAGCCAAGAGCAAUGCACAGCUAAACUUCUUCAAUACCAACCUUAUGGUAAGAGUAAAUAUAGAUCUGAUGUGUAGAAAAUGGAGGGCAAAGGAAAAUAAGCUGCAGAGUGAUGGUACAUGAACAUCUACCUGUCAAUAUAAGUACACUGAUAAAGGACAACAUGUACUUACAAGAACAAUGCAGAGCUAAAAAAAUUCAUUGGCAUUGGAUAUAUUCAACAAUAAUGUAACUAUUCAUACAGAUCAGAUAAUUUGGAGCGAACAAUUGAUAAGCAAGCUAUCAUGCAUACUGCUGUCACAUAAUUAACCAGGUAUGUAUGCAAGUAUAGUGAUACAGGACAACAGGUACUAACAAGAGCAAAGCAGCGGGCAGCAUAUUUGCGAUAUCCUGUCGUUCUUUUCAAACCGAAAUUCUUCUUCGAGUUGAUUUCCUGCAAAAAAGAUCCGUAAGGCACAUGCGGAAAAGUAGAAGUUCAAAUUGUCAUGUGAUUUCAUAGACAGUACCUCAUCCUGGGAACGAGACCAGUGCAUAACAAGGUUUUUCCAUUCAAUGUCUUCUAAAUUUAGCACAACAGACUUCACCGGAAAUUCAUUUAUAGACUUGCCAUCAAAGUGUGAUUUCCUCAGGUAACACCGAUACUGCUGCAAUGCUUCCUUGAAAAGUACAAGCAAGCUUUGCUCAUCAUGACUAUCCAGAUUGACCCUCACCUAGUUACAACAAUGUAAUGUAAAUCAUUGAUGUGUUCGAGCAGUAGAAAACAGGAAAAUAAUAACCAUGAAUAAUAGCACUUACACGUAAGUUGGACAGGAAGAUGUGAAAAUGGUGUUUGUCUUCACUAUAAUCUUCCUAUGAUGGGAAUAUAUGCACGUAGUCCCUAACAACAUUGAAAGCAUUGUCUUUUAAACUAGGAAUAAAUGGAAUGGGGUUCCAAUCUGCAGGAAUUGGCCGUCUCUGCAGUUGGGAUAGGUCUUCAUCCGGUGGACUUGUUGUACUUUUUGCUGGAGUGGGAUCUUUCUUUGGUACGACUGGUGCUAUGGCAAAUGAAAUCGGUAUACCUUUUGCUGGAGUGCAGGUCUAGUGUGCUGGGGCUAGUGGUGUGGCCAGAGAAGUAUGGGUACAGUCUGCUGGAGUCGGUCCUAUGUUUUUUGUCACUGGUUGUACAACCAAUAUAAGUGGGGCGCUGCCUGAUUUCUCCGGCACCACCAUGUUUUUCAAUGACUUUGCUGGUGCUCCUGCAGGUUCGGCAAUCACCCUCUUCCUUUUUGAUGUCUGAUGCACAAGAACAACAUUUGAGUGGAAAAACAGGGUAUGACGACAGAUGGAAUAUGUAUUGAUAAUGGAUGGGCAUGGCAUCUCGAGUUAUAUGAUGAGUAAACUAAGAAGAUGGUGGUGCAACAAAAUAGAAGAAAUGCAAGACAACAUAUGCAAGAUACGCGCAAUCAAUAAAACCUUCCCAAAUUAGAACAGACACCUUGAUGGGUGAACAGGACAGGCCAUCUGCCUUUGACUCCUCGAGGUUAGAAUAGUCAUUAGGAUGAUAUUCUGAACAAGAAUCAACAGGUGGGGAGCGUACGAGUUUCAUUGCUUCCAGAAUGGCACUCAAUGCCUUGGUGCCAAUUUUGUAAGUCACUGCAGUGUUUCACAAUAUUCUUCUGAUGCGCGGAUUCUGAUAUUCACUGUAAUUGCGUAAAAUAUCUGAGAACCAUGAAAACAUAAAUAGUUGUGAGAUUAUCUUUGUAAUGCAGAUGAUAUCUAUAAUACCUAAAUAGGUCAUCGCCACUAUCCUAUUUCUCUAAGCAUGCAAGCUAUCCACAUCAUCAUUCCUGCCACAUCAGCAAUGUACCUCCCACUACUGAAUUUUUUUCCCACAGGGUGAAGCCACAUCAUUUGUUGUUUUCGUUGUCAUCCUUGCAGUUACUGUUACUAUAGCUUCCGUACUAAUUCCGGCAAGCCACCAGUUGUAUGCGGAUUUGACCUUUCGUCUCUCACAACACAAGGUGCAUGUAGACGAAACCGGCGAGGCACACGACCAUUUGGCUACCGAUCUAAGCAGGCAACGGGCCACCCUCAAGCAUGCAGCUUUGUCCCUUCCUCUCCUCUCGGCACGGUGUAUGCGCAAAAGGAAAAUGUGAGGCAGGAGAACAUUGGGCUGGCGAAGUAAAUGAUGGUACCGUUCCUCCAUUCAAGUUAUGAUCAGGGCAACCGGACAGGCACUGCUCCACUAUCCUGAUCCUUGGACCUAUCUCCCCCUUCGAUCUAUAAAGCACUUGGAAAUCAACAGCCCGUUCAUAGCUCUACUCCUCUUCCGGCUGCCCGCCUUCUCCACACCAAACUUAACAUCCUCUGAGAGUCGUACUCAACGCAGCAGUCUUGCUGACAUCAAGUCUCGAUCUGGCCGUUCAAGCCUAGAAGCUGAAGCGUUGAUCAUGCUGUCGGUGACGUCAUCAUCACCAAUUCAAGCUAAUCCAGCCCAUCACCGUUUUUCUUGAAUUCACCCAGAAGCCAACGCACAACCUGCAACCCUCCAUGGAAAGUACUCCGUAUGGUUGGCAGGUAAUAGAAUGCUUUUUAGAUUAUGCAAUUGGUGACCCUAGAAAAAUUCAAAACUUUGUUCUUGCGAUCUCAAGUGAUUCUAUUGUGUUAGAAUAUGUUGUUUCUCACAUGAACAGGUCUCACGGGCCGUUCUGAUCAAGCGGCCAUGCAUGCAAUCAUGCCCCACGUAUCUAGCAUCAGCUCACGUAAAGAUAGGAUCAGGCACCAGAGUUCGUUUUCUAAAGCGUGUGUGUGUAUCUCCCCUCUCCCCUCUGAUGUAUCUCAUAUAAAGCUGUACCCCGGUGUCGAUGAAUAGAAGCAUGUUAUCACUCAACAUAUAGGGAAUAUCAAGUAUGUUUUUCUUGAACCGCCAUACCAUUCUUUGCUAUAUUAUAUUCAUAACAGCUGUUCUUAAUUGACUGUGUUAGGGUUAUUUCAGUUCUUGCUGUAUAGGCUGAUACACAAAAAAAAUCUUGCAGCUUUCAGUUUUGUCUCAACGCACCACUGGAGUGAUCGGGAGUAUCUGAAUGAUAAUAUUUCCUCAGAUUUAUUCUGAACCUAUUUCCAAAAGAUAGAUGAAACACCCAUCUGUGCAGAAGUGUUUUGUAUCAGGGUGCAACAUGGAGGCAAAAAAAACAUUGUACAUGGAAAAACCAUGUCCAUGAGAUCAUGGACUUCUGAUCCUAAAAUCCAUGAUUUGCACUAAUUCUAUGAAGCACAUAGUACUGUAGUGGUGUAAUCUCUCUGAUCACAUCAUUAAAUGACAUAGAUGCAUGGCAAAGAAUAUGCCCUGUAUAUUUACUGCUCUUGGCGUGCCAAUAGAAUGUACUAUGUCACUGUUCCUUAUUUUCUACAGCUCCAAAAAUGGUUCUCGAUUUUCAAGAUGCAAGGAUUAGUUGGAAAUGAUUAUGAUAUUUAUCUAGCAUGAGACUGUCAAAAUAGUUCGCACAUCUAACUUCUUACCAUAUGUGUUUACCCUAUAUAUAUAUUUUUUGACAGCAGAAAAAUCCUUCUUUGUUCACAUUCAUCUAUCCUACUUUCCCCCCAUUCCUUCCUCUGUUUAUAGAGGCCUGCUGUCAUGAACUCAUCUGAUUGUUUCAUAUUCAACUCACAUAUACAAGAUGCUGUGUUAUUUGUUAUUUCUUUGAGAAUUUCCUUUUAGACGACCUAACAUGCUACAUUAUCAACAACGCAUGCAUCUUCUUACAAACUACACUACAGAUUCUACCUAAAAUUAGUAAUUAGGUUGCCUAAAUUUAGAAUUAGUUUAUCACUAGAUCGUCCACCUUGAUUUGUAAUCAAGAAAAUGUAAUUAGUACUCUUCAGCCAGCUUUUACUUGCAAUUGUGCCAUACCAAAUCCUUACCAUAUUGUUCCUGUUUAUAGGGUAAUCACUUUGAUCCAUUUUUUAUUUAUUUGUUACACUGUUUGCGACUAUGAAUUAACCUUUGGUACGUCUACGGUGAUACAAAAUUUCCGCAGCAACGCGCGGGGUAUCAUCUAGUUCUAAUAUAGGGGCGCCCCUAUAAACACUUAUGUCCUAUCACUGGAUUCUGAUGAGAGCUCAUCUGUGUUGUAAUAUCGUGGGUGCAUUUAUAUAAUCUGGCACAAGUACACAAAAAAUAGGCUCCAGAAGUAAGGAUAGCUGGCAGAUGAUAGGUUCAUAAUAUACUGUAUAGAGAGUUUAUUGCCAAACCAUGAUAACAAGAGCACACAGCAACUAGGAAGAUCAUAGUGUACAUAACAGGGGUACACCAUAACCACGAUAUAUAAAUCGGGAAAGUGAAACUGGCUUGAAAAUACGGUGUUGUAUUGCCGCUAGUAAUUGAAAUCCUAUCGAUCACGUACAUGCCAGCACUAUCGAACAUGGUAAAGAAGAGCAAGCAGAUUUUGGAUAAUAAAAUGUUGGUUGCGCAGUGCCCACACAUGAUGAACCAGAGCGCAUUAGGAAUGAAACUCCCAGCUGUCUCUCGACCAUUUCAGGCUGGAUGAAGAUCCUACGUCUCCUAACCCUUCUUCUUCCUCGUCUCUGAUUCUUCCCAUACAGAACACCGCACGGGCCGCCGGCCGGACCACCGGCCCUCACCGCAUGUGUUCCUCCGCCACCCCCACCCCCCACCCGCAUCGAGUUUUCUUCGUUCGGCGAGGCCCCACAACCACCCGAGCCCCUUGGAUCGCACCGGCGAACUCCGGCGAGCUCUGAAAAAUCGACUGACCCAAUUUUGAAAUUUAGUCUACUGUGAUUUAACUAGUGUGGAAUAUAAAACGGGAAAACCAUAAGCAUUGGGAGUAUAGUGUUGAGCGUGCCAUGGCGGAUCUGAAGGUGCAAACCGGAGAAAGGCAACUUCGCAACCAAGGCAAGAAAUCAGAGUAAAGCAGUGGCCAUCUAUUUUCUUGUUGCGAUAAAUAAGUUGAGCAGAUACGAAAGAGUACCGCCUCUGGUGCGGCGUCGUGUACGCAUCUGCUGAGAAUUUGACAGUGCUGCGGUAGCGAUGGCUGUCGGCGGCGUGGAAGCAGAUCUAGGAGGGCAGACGGUGGCGGCGAGGAGCGGUGGAUGAGACGGUCGUACGAGCGGCGCCGGCAAGGUGGACGAUGGCGGGGAUGAAGCGAGAGGACGGGAUGCAAGGAUCCCGGUCUGAAGGCGUGGAUGAGAGAGCUCGAUCUCUUGUAAUGGAUGGCGGCUUCGGGGUAUCAGCUCCGGCAUGGUGGAGGAGGUCGACGGUGGAUGGGGUGUCGGACGGUGGCGGACGAAGGAGGGUGGGGUGGAGAGGGUGUUUUGGCACCCACGGAGUAAGAAUGGGGAAAAGGGAGGUGGAGAGGAAGGAGGGAAACAUGUAUUCAGGGCGCGCUUGUCUCAAAGGUGAGGAAAUUUACAAACUUAGCCCCCGUUUCAAAUUUCUACUACAUCACAGCAACAUUAGUCGGUUGGGGAUAGGACAGGUAAUCUCACAUACACCGAAUAUUUGCCGACGAGAGUUUGUUUUUGGCACCCAUCGUGUAUGAAUAUGAAUCGGGGAGGGAGUUGAUUUCGGCCGAGGGCACACUGUGUUUUGGCGCCCACCGUGUAUGAAUCCGGGUGAGAGGCGGUUACGUCACGUUUGGGUGAAAUUACAAACCUACCCCUAUCGAAACCUAUAGAUAUCCAGAAGAUAGGCUUUGCAUGGUAGGGAUAGGCAGUAGUGAUUUCCAUCUCGCAGAUUUUGGUUUCGGGCGGUUACUGCGACUUUCCCCGCUUCGUUCAAAUUUUGCACAGUGCACGUUUACCAUGCCAACUCAAUUCGAAUCCCAUUUGUAUUCUACUAUUUUUUUUCGGGCGGGAUCCAUUUUCAAUUGGAAUUACAUUCUAUAUACAUCAUUUUUUAUAUAUACUUUCAAAAGCACAACACCAUUUAUACAUAAAUAUGGUUUACAAAUGGCAUGAUCUCAGAUUCAUAAGGUUUUAUCCAUCAAUUUGGAUUUUCAAAUAUUUAAAACCACUUUAUAUUGAAAUCCAAUGUAUGCAUUCCUCGCUAAUUGUCUCCAAUUAAUGCGUGUUUCAUGCGUGUUUUUUUUAACUUCUCAAACAUGUAUAAUGUGUUUCACACACGCAACAUAUAGUCAGCGGCGGAGCUAUGUUGUGGUCUGCAGGGGCCAUGGCCCCCCAGCCUAGGUAAAUUAUGUGAAGGAAAAAUAUUUGGAGAGGAAGAUUAGAAGAAAUAUAGACUUUUGCCCCCCCCCCCAAGCAUCCAUAUUUUCUGUUUGGCCNNNNNNNNNNNNNNNNNNNNNNNNNNNNNNNNNNNNNNNNNNNNNNNNNNNNNNNNNNNNNNNNNNNNNNNNNNNNNNNNNNNNNNNNNNNNNNNNNNNNNNNNNNNNNNNNNNNNNNNNNNNNNNNNNNNNNNNNNNNNNNNNNNNNNNNNNNNNNNNNNNNNNNNNNNNNNNNNNNNNNNNNNNNNNNNNNNNNNNNNNNNNNNNNNNNNNNNNNNNNNNNNNNNNNNNNNNNNNNNNNNNNNNNNNNNNNNNNNNNNNNNNNNNNNNNNNNNNNNNNNNNNNNNNNNNNUUUAGACAUUAAUUGCAUAUAAACCAUGCAUUGUUUGUAAUUGAAGAAUCUAUGGAUCACCAAUAUUGAUAAACUAUAUAACAUUACAUGUGUUCCCAAAUUCAAAUGAAUAUGCAUGUUUGAUACACCAAUUUGCGUUAUGAUAUUAUCGAUGUCGUGAUCUCCAAUUUAAAUAUUUGAAUCCCCUUUAAUCCAGAUAUUCGUCUCAUAUAGAUAUCACUCAUGCUUAUAUAGGACUAUCUCUCUGGACCUAUACGCGUUCAUCGUGUCUCAGGCAUCUCUCGUGCUACAUGUAUGUCGACAAUGAUCUUUUAUCUUUGUAACACACUGACGGUACUCUCUCCCUCGACCUUCAUCACUCUAUCUCUCUCUAAGUAUAUCUCGCUCCCUGCUAUGUGUCUCUAGCUAUGAUUCUCCAUGUGGAAUCUCUUGCUCUCACACAGACACAAAACUUUGUCUCCCGGGGUCUCAUUUCUCUCAACUAUUCCCAUGUGUGCCACUCGCACACCCCUCAUACAGAGAUGUCUUUCGCUCCUUAGAUAUGAGAACCUACGACUCUUCCUCUUCAAUAUCUCUUUCUCACACACAAACACAAACUCUGUCUCCCAGGGUCUCAUAUUUCUUCAUUGUUCUCUUGUAAGGCGCUCAAACACACCCUCUCUCCGUAGAGAUAUCUUGCAUUCCCUCGUAUGUCUUUCUAGCUAUCACUCUCAUUGUGAAAUAUCUUUCUCUCUCGCAGACACAAAAUUCCGUCUCUCUGGAUCUCAUUUCUCUCUGAUAUCUGUGUGUAUGUGACUCACAUGCACCCUCUCUCUAUCUCUCUCACACCCACACACAUAACCCAGCCUUCUGAUCCACUCGACUCCUAUCUCCAGCGCACACUAGCUAGCAUCUUUAUCUUUCUAUUUAUCUGUUUCUCCAUCAACCUUCUUUCUCGCCCUCACUCUUGAUUCCUAUCACGCACACUACAUAUGUUUCUCUCUACAUGCAGUCAAGUGCCCUCUCACACACAUAUAUAACUUCAUCCUUUGAACCACCCGACGGUCAUCUCCGACACCCAAACUAACGGAUGUCUCUCUAGCUAGCAUCUCCAUCUCUGUAUCUAUCUGUAGUUUCUCCGUCCACAUUUCUUUCUCGCACGGAGUCUUCUUUCCUAUCACCCACACUAUAUAUGUCUAUCCAUACAUAUGCAUUUAUGGGUUGAUCUCUUUUUCACAAUCGUUGCUCCUCACCCCCUCUGCUCGCCAUAGAUGCAUGCUCCAGCCCAUGCCAUUAUCUCUUAAAGAGAAAAACACAUGCUCAAUUGUCGGGCCUUCUUCCCUGCAUUCUCACAUGCAUGCAUAUUGUCAUACCGAUCCGUCUCUCCCAUGUCGUUGAUCUUAGGACUUAUGUCUUCUUUCUUUUAUUUCGAUCAUGUGCGCACGCACACACACACAUCCCAGCUAUACAUGUAUACCUCUCACACAUGCACGUUCAAGGUCUCUAUGUCUCCAUACGUAGUUAAUUACCCUCAAUCCUAAUGCCACAUCGAAUUGUUCUCCUCUUUUGUGCACAUAAUUUCCGCCUGGAUGGGAAAAACACACACUCACACUUAACGAUCUCCUUCUAGCUACCCCCCCCCCACCCCCGCGCUCGCGCCUCUCACUCUUCCCCUACAUCCCCGAAACCAAUAAGACCAUCCCUUUGUUUAAUUCCCGCCUACAUGCACCAUCGAUAUAUAGUNNNNNNNNNNNNNNNNNNNNNNNNNNNNNNNNNNNNNNNNNNNNNNNNNNNNNNNNNNNNNNNNNNNNNNNNNNNNNNNNNNNNNNNNNNNNNNNNNNNNNNNNNNNNNNNNNNNNNNNNNNNNNNNNNNNNNNNNNNNNNNNNNNNNNNNNNNNNNNNNNNNNNNNNNNNNNNNNNNNNNNNNNNNNNNNNNNNNNNNNNNNNNNNNNNNNNNNNNNNNNNNNNNNNNNNNNNNNNNNNNNNNNNNNNNNNNNNNNNNNNNNNNNNNNNNNNNNNNNNNNNNNNNNNNNNNNNNNNNNNNNNNNNNNNNNNNNNNNNNNNNNNNNNNNNNNNNNNNNNNNNNNNNNNNNNNNNNNNNNNNNNNNNNNNNNNNNNNNNNNNNNNNNNNNNNNNNNNNNNNNNNNNNNNNNNNNNNNNNNNNNNNNNNNNNNNNNNNNNNNNNNNNNNNNNNNNNNNNNNNNNNNNNNNNNNNNNNNNNNNNNNNNNNNNNNNNNNNNNNNNNNNNNNNNNNNNNNNNNNNNNNNNNCUAUCUCUCUGACACACACACACGCACGCCCCCCCCCACACACACUUAGACUCCAUCUCUCUCUCUCUCUCUCUCUCUCACACACACACAAACUAAGACUUCAUCUCUUUCUCUCUCUCUCUCUCUCUCACACACACACACCCCACACACAGACUAAGACUCCAUCUCACACACACAUGCUCUAGGCGGAGCAUUUGUUCCUACCACCCUUCAUCCAACCUUACCCGUAUGAUAAACAAUCACCUUUAUUUACUUGCAUAACAUGGACGGAUUCCACUUUACUUUUGUAGUCAGCAAACUUAUCAUGUGUACCCUUAUAAAAAACACUUGGCGAUGAUGGUGUGCCUGCCAUCUUGUAAUACAUACUGUAUGAUCUAUAUAUGACGGAUAGGAAGCAAACUAUGAUAAUUUUACAAAAGAUACCCGCACCUCUCUCCACAUCAUUAUCUCCCGCAACCUCAUUGCUCAGCAAUUAAAAAAGGAAUAAGUCUCUGGAACAAUCUAGCAUGCAUGGUGGCCGCUGCCGCCUGCCGGCGCCGUCCAUCCCCAUGCCGCCGCCAAUUCCGACCACCAUUCACCACCACACUCCAUUCCUCCUCGCCUUAUCUCUCAUCUUUCAUUUUUUUUGAUGACAUUCUCGAGAUACCAGUUUUCCGAUAAAAUUCUCAAGAUAUCAUUAGUUUUUACACAUGGGAUUACUCCUGCAUGGGUCAAUCACAACAGGUGUUUUGUAAAAAACUGCAUAUUGAUGUUCCGUGCAAUGCACGAGAAUCUUGCUUGUAAUUAUAUAACACAAAUCACGAGCAGGAAGUGACAUUUUUUGACACAACCACGUUAACAUGGCCACGUAAAUCACGAGAAGGAAAGAGAAGGGAAGCGGGCUGUGGAGUAACGUUUUUUACCACAAUUUCUUAGGAAACUGAGUGCAAUAAUUGAGUAGUUUUGCAAACUACCAUUACUACUACACCUGAAACGGUUCAAAACCUAUACUCCCUUGCCAGCGCGCGCUUUCCGCGUGAAACGGUCAGCGUCGCCCGGGAGCGUCAGUGCCGCAUUAAUGCCCGGCCAGAGCGGAGGCGACCUCUCACUGGCGCCGGCUUUGAAGUGGCGCGACGGCCGAGAGAGCGCCGCUUCCCGAUGCACGCGACUGGCCAUAGGCCAUGUUUGGAUCCAUGGGUUAGAGUUAGUUUGAGCUAGUUGGGGCUCAAAUAGCCCUAAAGUAUCCAAGCAUGAGGGUUUAAAUUGGUGCAAGUUGCACCGAACCCACCAAAAAAAAAUAUCCCACCCAAGAGGUGCUAACUGGAGAUAGUUCUCAUUGGGACCACUGAAAAAUCACUUUUCUCUCUCCAUGAAGUGCAUUUAUUGUCAAUCUAACCCUGUCACCGAAACACCUCUUUGGCUACAAUUAGUUCAGGGUUAGUCAUGAGUUAGUCUAACCUCUAGCUAAGUUAGAGUAUCAAACAGGAGCAGUAUAGGACAUGCAAAUUGCUCAAAGCAUACGGGCAAAUCCUUACGUGAAAGGAUUUUUUUCUUUUUGAAAACGGAACAUGAAAGGAAUUUUUUUUAGAAUGCUCUUGGCAUGUCGCUAACAUGUGAUAGUUAACCGACCUCAAUAGAUGGUAGAAACACCAGCCCGCCGCACUUUGAUAGAGACGAGGAGGGAGAAGGGAUACAUGCUACUGUAUUACUAGAGAUAGGUGUCGCACGAAAGCCAAGAAAUAUGGUGAUAGCGUGGGUUAGCCAUGUACUAGUAUGAUGUAACUACACUGGGUUGCCGUGUUUCUACUCUUCCAGUCCACUGUGGAGAUGAUUGAUUAAUUUUAUAUCGCUGAAUAAUAUUAAAUAUUACGAGUGCAGAUGCUCCACCGUGAGGUUCCUUACUCCUUCUCGGUCGUCCGGAAUCUAUGUUCUUCCACUCUAUUUUUUUUAUGUGAGCUUUGUUCAUCCUUUUGCCAACACGCGAGACAUCUGGCAUCAAGCCGCAGUUGUUAUGCAACGAUCUUUCCAUCUAUAUGAAGAACACGUGGCACUGGAACUACGAGACGGACAUGUACCCAAGAGUGGACGUACGAACCUGAGUAAUGUAGUGCAGUAUGUGAAUUAGAAAGGCAUAAAUGGUAUGAGCAUGCGUGGCAUACAGGGUGUGUUUGGUUGCGUUCUCGUCUCAGCAUAGUUGUUCCCUCUUCAUGCAUGCUCAACUCAACACCCCUCUUCAUGCAUGCUCUCUUCAUGCAUGCUUUUAGUGUAUUUGUGCUAAACUAGUGUGGACUCAUGCACCCUCCAUACACUCUACCAAACACCCAAAAGUAGGUCGAGAAGGGAACUCUUGGGCGGCAUUUGUCUCUUACUAUGUACUACCACUAAAUGUUGUGCGUGCAAUGCACGGUGAUGUUAUGGAGUACGUGCCUAAGUACUCUACUACUACUAUAUUAGUUGGAGGCACAUAUUAACUUUUCUAUUUGUUUACGUGUAUGCCCCGAGACCUUCCAACUAGACGUGUCUUUCUCUCUAGGUCGCACUUUGUAUCGUUCAUACCACUAAGUACUACUACGUGUGGUCUCUGACCCAGAACUGGAAGAAGUGGAGACGCUCUACCACGCUUUUUUUUACAUUGGGCUCUACCACGUUGUUCAUGUCCCACUCCUUUCACUUACGUGUGGGACAUCCAGCACAUGCCGUGUUUGGCACCCUUCGUCGUAAGAGUUGAAAUGCUAGCAUUCAUCAGAAAUAAAAAAUAAUUAUAAAUCGGCAGUGAUACUAUUUUUUUGCGAACCAAUCAGCAGUGAUACUAUACCACGCGGUUUCCUUGCUCCUCGAUAUCGGAAAGAAUACUUCUGUUCGCCAACACGUGGGACGUCGACCAUCCUGGUCCACUUGCCAUGCACGCAGAACUCCAAGGGAGAGUCACCCAGGUCGUCGCGCCGCAGUAACAAUGACUAAUGAGCCAUCAAAUCACAGGCCCAGUUCCCACUUUGAAGUUGCUCGGACGAAGGAACCAUCAUGACUUCGUUGAAUUCCGCUUCUUGAAGAAAACUAUUGUACCAGCAGUACUGCUAGCUACAGUAUUUACUCCAACAGAGGCCUCCUUUCAUUCAUAGGAUAGGAAUAUGAAAAUCAUAGGAAGUGAGAUGACAUGCAUCUCAAUUCCUAUAGAGAAAGAGAUGCCAUUUGAUGCAUAGGAUAGGAAUUUUUCCAUUUAGUCUAGGCUAAUGUACUGGUAAUUUGCUCUAAAAACUACAGUAGUAACUAGUAGUACUGGUACAUGCUCGUACUCAGACACAGACACACACACUAACUACUAGUACUACUACUUCUCACAUGCUGGCCAAACGCUCCUUCCCGGCUUUGUCGGCGACACCCCACCGUGCUUGGAUCUCCGCCGACCUCUCCGCAGCAGCGCUGCGUCCUUUUCUUUCUUGUGGCGGCGGGCCUCUCUUUUCUUGAGUGCUUUCUGACUUUUCCGCUCCCUCUGUGCGGCUUUGGCCGCCUCUUUCUCUACCGCCCAUUCGGCGUUGGCAUCUUCAAAUUCCUCCCACAUAGUUGUGAGUCGCGAGCGGCGAUGAACUCGGCACGGUGGGAUGCCAUCGCUUCCCUACCAUUUUGUGUGCGUUCGUGGGCGGCAAGAAACUCGGCGCGGCAGGAUGCCAUCACUGCCUUACCGGUUAGUGUGCGGCGCGGUGGCAUGAUAGACGCUUGAUGAGAGCUCUGGGGUGGAGUGGCCAGACAACCGUAUAGUGCAUUAGUUUGUCAAGAGCUCAAGGACAGAAGACGAAGCAAAUUAGGAUUCCCCUUCAAUCCUAGUCAUUUAGUACCGAGUAAAAUGCAUUGGCGGUAAUCGAACUUGUCUUGAUAGCUCACUUUGAUCAUUGUAUACGAGAUAUGGUGAUUAUACGGUCGCUGGCUCAGCGUAUAGCUCCGUAUUUGUAUGGUUGACCAGUCAAACAGUCCGCAUGCGCCUCAUCAGCUCGUGUUCUUUAUCUAUCUACGCGGGCCUGCCUGUGAAUGGAGAAAGAAAUACUGUAAAAACCAAAAUUAUGCGUAUGUGGGGAAUCAAACCACGGACUCGUCGCUGCAACGCACCCUCGUCAGCCAAAUGAAAAUGAAAUACUUCGCGUCAAACACUCAUGCUCACACUGUCAAAGCAUGCUAAUGCAUGCACGUCGCCCUCUGAAUCAAAGUCCAGCUCAUGGCGCAACACAAACGGCGAGCCCAUCACCUACGCGCCCCGGCGGUGCCUGACAUUACUGUUUAGAUGUUUGAUGGAGGCCUACAUUAACGCCAAGCAUGUAUUCACCUGGCUCAUGUAUAUCGUCCAUCACAACGACAAUCUAUAAAACAGCCUAAGCUAGAGAGGGUACUAUGGUAGUAUGGUAUGGAGUAUGUACUAUCGUGAGCGACCGAUCUUAGUGCCACUGCACACCGAAACCCCUUCCAUCGCUAGCGCGUGCUUCCCGCCUGAAACGGUCAUCGUCUCUCCAGAAUGUCAAUGCCGCAUUCACCGGACUUAACUGCAGGUGCAAUUGGUGUGUCACUGACAUGCGGGCCAGACGCCCGUUGGGCCCACAUGUUAGUAACCGAAAUGCAUUUGCAGUUAAGUCACUGAAGCAGUGUCCGCAUUCACUCCCGACGAACCUACUCCAGCGCUAGUUGUCCAUCCGUCUGCCGCGGCUCAUUGCCAUUCGCCUGCUAUAUUAACUUGAGCUCCAGCCCCCAGCCAUAGCCAAAGACCCACACUUGUUCUAUUCGGUCCCUUCCUUCUGUCGGAACCACUUCAACCAUGGCCUCCUGGCGCUCCUAAGCUCUCUUGGACGUACUGUCGCAGGAGCAGAUGAGGGACAUCGGCAGCUCCGCUCCGGGCGCGCUCCAAAGCUCUCUUUGACGUACUGUCGCAGGAGCAAACGAAGGAGAUCGCCGGCACCCCCCGGGCCGCCCUCCGCCGCCACCACCACGAAGCCGGCAUGCAUGCGCGGGCGUAGCCGGCAGCAAGGAAGAGUAGUACAUGGUAGGUCGCCGCCGCUCUGGUCCCGGGAAGGACACCGCUACUCAACUCAAUCGACGCCAAGCUUGGUGGGGUAAACAUCGGCGGCCGAUUAGCUGCUUGACGGCGACGUGGAGGCGGAAAUCUUCAUAACCUUGUGCUCCGGCCGGAGAAGGAGGUUAUCGAGGCGGAUGAGGAGGAGGCAAAGGCAAUGGCCGCCUUUCUCGGGUUCAUGGCCGGACAUUGUGGUCGGGCACCGGCGAUCGUUUAGAUUAGGUUUACAGUAGGUUUAGUACGGUUUGUGCGAAAUAUGUAAUGAAUUCCGUCACGUUUGUAGGAAAAGUUUUCGAAAUGUAAUUAAUUUCAUCCGGUUAAUUUGAAAUUUGCUUUGUUUGCAUGAAUUUCAUUCGGUUAGUUCAUAUAGUUGUCGAAAGGUAUGCGGGCAGCAUCGGAUGGCAUCCAUCAGUGUCCUCGGACAGAUGCCGGUGUAAAUUUGUGGGCCAGCGCUGGAGAUUCCCUAACUAUCAUGCUAUAAUCGCUAACAAUCCUCCAUUAUUUGGCAGGGAACAGUUAUUCCUCGAUCAAAAUCAGAUCCACGGUGUUUCGCACUCCUCCCGCAUAAGUGUGUAAACUCUUGCUUACAUAAAAAUGGAGCAAGUGGACGGCACUGUAGCACGUCAUAUCACUCGAACUAGCCCGCCUAACGAGCGGGAAAGCAACGCCCUCAUCAUUUUGUUCUGGAUUUCUAUCGAUCGAUCACGCGAAAAUGUUACGCUUCGCAAGUUCUAAAGGAAAAGGCGGCACACUUACGACUCGUACGCGUCGCAACCCCGACAGUCCGGCUCGCACGCCGCUCACCAGUGGGGACACACAUUUUCUUGCAAUUUCACUGACAUGUGAGACCGUAAUUGAAUAAAUCGUCGAUUCAUCAAAAAAGAAUAAACCGUCGAUAGCCGAAAUCUAAUCGCUCGACAGGCGUCGACUGAGAAGAGAGAAACGGGGGAGGGAGAAGAGAUCGCCUGCCCUCCGUGCACGGACUCCAAGAAAUAUAUGGUGAUAAUGUGAGGUGGGCCAUGCUGGAGUCCGGACCGCUUCCGGAGCCUGUUCUCACCGCCCUGGCCCCUCAAGACGCCAUCAACCCACUACAUGCACAACAAGUAGUCCCCGCUUAUGUGGAGGAGAGAUAGGCAUUGACAAAGUCAAGGAGUAACAGUGGAGACAAUAGCUUUCAUCAAAAAUAAACAAUGAACACUCGUUGCUCGUCCUCUAUAUCGGAAAGAAUACUUUAAAUCGCUGACAUGUGGGACGUCGACCAUCCUGGUCCACCUGCCAUGCACAAAAUUAUCCUGGUCUACCCCGGUAGUAUCGCAGGCCCAACCUUUCCCACUCUAAGUUGUUCGGACGAAGGAACCAUCAUGACUUCGUUGAAUGCCACUUCUUCAAGAAAACUUAUUGUACCCGCAAUACUGCUACCACACGCGAAGACUGGACGGCACUGUACCACAUCAUGUCACUGAAACCCGCUAGGCCAAACUAGCCCGCCUAGGUCAUCUAUUUUGGAACGGAGGGAGUACGUCUCUGCACUGCUAUGAUUUUGUGUUGCACGUUCUCCGUAAUUUUACUACGAUUUUCCUACCCUAUGAACCAAAUGAGGCCUAAAUGUAUGUCGACUAUUGUCUGAUCGAUUGCUAAGCCUACAAUUUUAGGAGCUAGGGCUAUUGGUCGAUCCACGAGGGAUAAGUAUAAGCGUAGCACGAGCUCAUCAGCCCCAGCGUUUCUCUUCGGUGAGUGUUUUGCAAGUACUAUAGCUCGCACAAUAGCUAGCCUACUAACACCAAGAAUCAUCAAACAAGCCCUGCUGAUAUGAUAAACAGUUCAAACUUACAUCUAAGCAUGCCAUAUAUUACAUCAAAAGCUGGCGAGGAUACAUCUGUUUCCAUAACUCGGAGAGGGUUCGCAUGAUUCAUCGCAUCAUUCACUAUCAAACAAAAAUAGCAAGAUCCGCCCACACAAGACAGUGCACUAGCCCUAAGAUGGUUUGAUAACAUGCAUCGUUUUGGUAAUUAAACACAGGGCAAUGCAAACUACCCUGAAGGAUUAGCGCGACCAACUAUUUCUUGUCAUCGAUCUCUCGGGCAAUGACCACAGCACGGACAACGGCAUGGGAAUCGAUUUCUGGGGCGAUGUCCACAGGACUGACCGCGACAUCGGAAUUGAUCUCUGGGGCGAUGUCCACAGGAUGGACAGCAGCAUCGGAAUCGAUCUCCGGGGCGAUGCCAACAGGACGGGCCACGACAUCGGAAUAAUCAAGAGUAACCACCGGCACCUGCACAACCCUAACAUAUUAGCAAGCACAUUGCAAAUAAUCAAAAAGCAAGCACAUUGCAAAUAAUCAAAAACCACAACUAUGGUAAUAAGCCAUUAUUUUUUACCUUGUGCAGCUCACCGGGGGAUCUCAUUCCUCCAUGGGCCAUCUCCUCAUCCUCGAUUGGGGCCAUCACCUUGGCAGGGGAAUACUACUUCUCAAUGACGACUAUCUCCUCAAACUCGGUCUUGAGCCUCACAUAGGUGGCAAUCAGAGUUCCUGGGGUAGGCACGGUGGGGCCCUUGCUGUUCUUCCAACUUUCUUUGAGGAGUUCGUCCGCCAACGUCCUCAACUCUUUGGCCAGUGCUUGUUUCUUGGAGUUCUUCGUCUCCAUGGGUUGGCCCGCCAACAUGGUAAACUCGUUGGUUGGUGGUCGCUUCCUGGAGAUCGCUGUCUCCAGUGGAUCGUCCGCCAGCAACUCUUUGCCUAGUGCUCCAGGAUCCAUCAAUGAUCUGACAAACAAAAAGCAAUCGAAAGGAAAACACAAUCGCAAUGAAAACGGGAAAAGAAUAGGAUGUGAGAAUCGGUCGGUGCUUUGCAAAAAAAGAAGAUUAUUGGAAUGAAAAUAUAGUAGUAUAACUGAUUCGCCCACCUUUCCUUCGUCGGUAGAGAAGAAAAAUGGCAGAAGUGAGUAGCCUGGAGUGAAGUUUUCUUCAAGAAAGGGAAGAAAGGGCUUGAACGAGCGUUCCAAUGAAAUGAUGGUUGCUUCGUCCAGUCCAACUUGGAGGCCACAUUACCACUGUUGGUAAAUGUGUGGGUUUUGUGAUAUGACGGGUAAUGACGGCCACACCAGGGUGACAGGUGAGUCUCGACUGUAGCACCUCGCUGUGAUUUGGUGGAUGGCACACGGGCCUGGAUGCUUUGAAAUGUCCCGCAUGUAGAUAGAGCGGCUAGUCAUAUAGGAGUGCUCAAUAUUGUGCACCGCGACCAAGGCGGAGAGGAAAAUGAGAGAACUACGUAAUUAAUGCAUGAGUUUAAUUAGGGUAGUUUGUAAAGUAUGAGAUACAUUCCUCCAAUAGCAAAAUGCAUUGGUUCAUGAGAUUUGAGAUUUGAGCCCUAUAAACCAGAAGGGAGGGGGUGCUGCACACGGUGUAGUCUAGUCACUUGUUUUUUUUUUGAGCCGAAGUCUAGUCACUUGUUGAAAUCUCUAGAAAGGCAAAUACUCCUUUCCGGUUUACAGGUCUAUACUACUCACUCUGUCUAGGUGUGUAAGUCAUCUUACAAAAACCAAAUAGUCCCGAAACACUUAGGCGCAGUGCAUUAACUUCUACCUUGUUUCUUGUUUCUUGACAUACGUAUCAACCAAUAAGAGAUGAGAGGUUUGCAUGCUUUUAAUGACUUGCAAUGGCUAGUUCAUUGCAUGGAAUGAUAUUAAUUAGCAAAUAAACAUUGGUGACCCCAGGAGGAAACGGUGCUAAGUGCGUGGACCUAUGCAGAAUGAGUAUCAACCAAUGGAUAAUGGAGUUUAAUUGUUAAACAAUAGCAAUUUUGUCUCAUGCAAGAGCCUGGCUAGUACUCCAAGGAACCGCACCACGCGAGCGUUCGCAACUGCCACGUUCGGUUUGCGCUUGGCUCUUCGCCUCUUAGAGAAGACAAACAAUGAUAUUACUCCUACUUCUACAGUAUCAAAUCCACUGUUGCAUGUCCGUCCACCUCGUGCGGGAGGGAUAGCGUGUAGCGAAAGCUUCUACUUACUGCUCCUGCCUUUGUGUCCAUGACAGGUGGGCCAAACAGGUGGUUGGCCCACCUGUCAUGCAGCCAAAGGCAGGUGCAGUUAAGGCACCGGAGCUCACUCCGCGAGGGAGAGGGCAUCAUAGUAAUCAAAUUUCUCGGUCUUGUACGAGUUGAUCGACACAUCAAAGCACUGCACUCGAUAAAAGUCUUUUUGCACAUUUCAAAUGGGCUACUUCGUAUGUAGGAGUAGACAUAUUCUGCUUCGUAUGUACUCCCACCGUUCCAAAAUAUAAGUCUUUUUAGAGAUUUCACUAUGAACUACAUACGAAACAAAAUGAGUGAAUCUACACUAUAAAAUAUGUCUAUAUACAUCCGUAUGUAGUUUGUAGUGGAAUCCCUAAAAAGACUUACAUUUAGGAAUGGAGGGAGUAGUCAGUUGUUGCAAUCUCUAAAAAGACUUAUAUUUGGAAACGGAGGGAGUACAACGCAUGCAUGCAAGCCGUGACUUUCCUUUUGAUACUUGCAUGUGGUUAUUUGAUGCACCUUGCCAAAUUUUGACUAUAAAUUUAACUAACCAAAUUUUCAUGCAUGUCACAAAAAAUCACGGGGCUGUUUGGAUCGUGACUAUGUUUGUCUUAUGUUGCCACAUUAUUUUUCCCACACUUGCCACACUUGCCUAACCUGAGUUGCUCAAAUUGUUAGACACACUUUGGCUUGCCUAAAGGAAUCUUCCCACAAUUUUUGUGUUUAUGACAUGUGGGGUUCACUGCUAAUAAAAAAUUCCUUGUCUUAGGUGUGGCUAAUAAAAGAGACUUAUAUUUAGGAACGGAGGGAGUAGAAAAUAUAAAUAAUAAUGCAUGUUGGGGCAACCACGUUUCCGCUAAUUUUAGCGUGGCCUUGUUCACAAUUUUUACGAGGGGGUGGUUGUUCAUUUAAUGGAGGGUCUUUUAGUACCAGACUUGAACGAUACAAAGUGCGACCUGGCACACCGUAACACCAGUUGGAACAAGUGGGUAGCUAUCUUAAAAAACAAUCAACAACUAAAAAAACAUGACCUGGCAUGUAGUAGUACACAAUUUUAAACGAUUGUUUUGAUGGAGUGAAAAGGGAAAACUACCCCACUACUUAUAUAUAGGCCGGAGCUUCUGCGCUUGUUUGCUAGGGCUGCUCUAUUCACACACUCUCAUCCUCUCCAGAUCUAAACAAGAUAGGAAUAGUAACACUGUCUUUCUCCCUUCAAAAAACACUGGCUUUCUAAACUCACCACCGGUGAAGGGGAGGAGGGGCAGCGUUUAGGCCAUCGUCGACAGCGAGGGAGGAGACCCACUGCCAGCCGCACCAUUAUCUCUGGCCGAGCGCCGGCGCUGGAGGUCCUCCGAUCCCUUCAUCGUUGCCUGUGGGCGGAUCCGGCCUCCCGCCGCCCACCUAUCCACAUCCCGACGACCUUCAGGUAUAUCUUUGUUCAAAACUGCCUUAGCUCUACUUCCCCAGCUCGCUAUGUUGCUGCAUGUGCAUCAUUUUCUACCUCUCAGCCCUUCUCCAUCGGAUGGUCCAACGUCACCUAUUUUUUUCUAUUGUUAGAGGUAAAGGUACUUCAUGAAGUCGAAUCUUGUACUCCCUCCGUCCGAAAAUACUUGUCAUUGAAAUAAAGUGGGGGUGGGGGAAUUUAGUAUGUACAUCGGACUUGGUACAAACAGGAAGGAAAGGGGAUGAAAGUAGUACAGACUGGUCAUCCAACCGGUCUCUAGGUCGAAAAGGGAAAUAUAGGGGUAACGCUGUACACAGUGGUAUGACCAGGACUAGAUUUGCUAUCCACACAUAGGAGUAGGUGGCUAGAGUGAACAAAAAUGGGACCAACCCAGAUAUGUUUUUUGGAUGUUUGUUUCUUGGGGAAACAAACUAUGAGUCACCACUUUAUGUCCCUAUUUACGUACAUGGUGUUGUACUGCUGGUGCACCCACUGUCCCAUGCCCUUAUACCAAAUAUUUAGGCUCCGGUCAGAAUAAAGGGGCAGAAAACAUAGGUCUUGAUGAAAAUAGAGGAAUAGGAAAGGAAUGUAGGUAUAAAACUAUGGAACAGCGAACCAGAGGAAACUCUCAAGAGAAUGUGUUCGGAUGGACUACGAAAUGUACAGAUUUUUUUUAGAGUAGCAUGAUUCCCAGUAUGAGAUGCUAUUUGUUUACUCAGCUGCACAGUGACUACUCUUGUCCUCACCUCAUGUACAACACAUAGGUUGAUUUUUUUAUUCCGGCAAACACAUCACAACAACCGUUCUAACGCAUGGCAGCGAGCGCCUGCCUCGGGCUUCCGCCCAAAAAAUGAGCAGCGCGUGGAUGUUUCUAAUCCGAUGGAAUCAAUACUACCAGACCAGCUUUCUUAUGAAACACUAUUCACCUUUCCCAUGUUCCAAACGGUUGGAAGGGAAACAAUACCGUAGGAAUUUGGUUCCUACGAAAAUCCUGCACCAAACCUGUGAAUCGAACGCAGCCUUAGCUGUUCUUAAUAUAAUGUCCCUGGUAAAAAUGAAGCCAUGCCACUAUUUUUGCUUGUAAUUUUUUGAGACUCUAACAAGUUUAGCCAAAUGUUUUUGCCUGUAAUUGUUUGAGACUCUGACUGUUUCCUCUGUGCCUUUUUGUGCAAACAGGGAUAUCCAAUUCACCUGGUUGCUAUUGUGACCUUUUGGUGCACUGCACAAAACUCUUCUUAAAAGGAGUGACUUUUCUGCUUUUUAACUGGAAUGUCAGAUGGAACAGUUGGUUCAUUUUGGUGGAACUGCACAAAGGGAGAUCUGUGUUCCAAUCCUCGUCAUCCAUAUUGGCGCCAUAACCUUCCUUUAGGUAAGAAUGAUAUUUAAUGCCAAUCAUGUAGAAUUUUGGGUGGUCCAUUUUCUCAACCGCCUCCUUUCUCGUCUGCAAUGUAGAAUUUUGGCGAGAUACAGGACCAAGAUGAGCCAGUAAAGUAGUUGGAUAAAAGUAGUGGCCAAGUUGCUCAAACCUCCCUCGGCACGAGGCCACUAUUUGAGGAUAAACCUACAAGAAAAGUUCAAAUUGUCUGUGCUUUCUCUUAUGUACUCGAAAGUUUACUCGUACAAGAACUAAUUUUAGCAAGAAGUACCUCUGAUUGAACACCAUUUACCAGUCUGUACCCUAGGUAAUUAAAGUUCGUCCAUGGAUCAUAUUGGCUGUGAUCUCAAUCAUUUGGAUGCAUAAACAUACUGAACAUGUGUAUAUCUGAAUCUUUUGUGAAUUAUGUAUGAAUAUUGUCGUGUGAUCUAUCAAUCAUUUGGAUGCAUAAAUAUGCUGAGCUUGUGUAUAUAUGAAUCUUUUGAGUUGUUGAUAGUGAAUGUUGGCUAUGAAUAUGAAAGUGUCCUGUGAACCUAAGUUUGAUAUGAAUUGCAAUUGAACCAGUUAUAACCGUUCUCCUCCUCUCAACAUGCGACUCCACUGCCGCAUUUUCCCAUCUCCGAGUCGUUCCCGUCCGGGGCCUCACCAUCGUCCACCGCCUCGCUGUGUUUGGUGCGGCGUGGUCAACAAACGAGAGUCAUCGGAAAAGGACUGUACGUGGAGAUCCUGAUGACUGGGACCCACGAGGUCCAUGGUCGCAUGCAAGGAAAGUUCCUCCUUAUUAAGCUUAAAAAAAUGUUUCCUCCACCUGACAGCUGGGACCCACCGGCUAUAUAUUCCCACGGAAGGAAGUGCCUCCUUGUUUUGCGAAAAUAAUUAUUCAUCUCGUUGACAGCUGGGACCCGUCAGAUUUGGUGACUGGCUUGUGGGCCUGCUAAGCGGACGUGUAUUCACGGAUUUGUCAACUUAAUCAACAAAUGAUUCUAGCAGCUGGACCGUUGGAUGCUAAUCCAAUAGCCGUGCUCCUUCUUCAACUUCUGUUCUUGCUCCUGUCUCCCAUGGGCGGCACCGCGGCUGUGCUGCCACGCACCCGAACCAGUGAAGUUUCCCACUCCUCUCCAUCUGCGACUCCACUGCCCCGUCUUCCCCAUCUCCGGGCCAUUCCAGUCUGGGUGCGCUUGGCACGGUGUGGUCAACGUGGUCAACAACCGAGAGUCAUCGGAAGAUGACUGUACGUGAGAGGUUGACAGUGGGGACGCACCACACCCAUGGACGCAUGCAUGGAACGGAACGCGGCGAGGUCAACGUGGUCAAGGAACGACUUCCAUCGGAAGUAUACUGUACGUGGAGAGUCUCAGCUGGGUCCACGGCCGCAGCAAAUAAGUGCCUCUUAUUACGCGGAAAAUAAUGAUUCCUCCAACUGACAGCAGGUACCCACUGGACGGGCCACCGUAUUUUGCGAAAAAAAUGUUUGCGCCCUGACUGCUGGGACCCACCUGACGGGCCACCGUAUUUCGCGAAAAAAACGUCCCCCCCGCUGUCAGCUCGGACCAACCGGAAGUGCCUCCUUAUUACGCACAAAAAAAUGAAUACUCCCCCUGCUAGCUGGGGCCCACCUUGGUGGGAGGCUGACUUGUGGGCCUACUAAGUUGACGGGGACGAAGGGCUUUGUCAACUUAGUCAAUAUGAACGAUUCUAGCUCCAGUGACCGUACGAUGUCCAUCCAACGGCCGUAGUGCUUCUUCAACCUCUGGUCUUCUUGCUCCAGCCGCCCAAACCAGCGCCGGUCGUGCCUCAUGCUCCUGCCUCCCGUGGCCAGCUGUGCUGCCGCGGAUGACUCACCGCCCCUACUAUUUCCACCGCUAGCCAGGCCCUGCGGCGAUGGCAGCCUCACACCGCAGCCGAACCAGUGAACCCUCGUACUCCUCUCCGCGCGGGCUUCCACUGCCGUAACUUCCCUGGCUCCACGUCGUCCCCUUCCUAGGCCUCGCUGUCGUCCACCGUCGUGGUGCUCUCCAUGCGGCGUGGUCAACGUGGUCAAGGAACGACUUCCAUCGGAAGAGUACUGUACGUGGAGAGGCUGACAGCUGGGUCCACGGCCACAGCCCAGUUUUUUUGUGAUUUGCCAAGUAAGUUGCUUUGUGAGGCCUCUUGGGCUGCAAAUCUUUCAAGACGAGGAGAGCUUUCAUUCGGCUGGUCGAGAAAAUGGCCAUCAGUAAUGAGAAAUGGGCUGUGCAUUUUUAAAACACAUCAAACCGGCAAUUAGUUUCAAAUAUCUUUUUUUUAUUUCGAGAUUUUAAAUUACAUUAAUUUUUGUGCGUGGAGAAUUUGUUGGAUUUUAUAUUGAUACACAUUUAUUUUUAAAAUCAGUUUGAAUGUGAGUCGAAAUAUCGGGAUUAAAAACAGUUCGGACCGCACUGAAAUAUGCAAAAUUUCGUAUAAUUUUUUAACCGUGGCCACAGUAUGGGAUGUAAUGCUAACAAAAAGAAUAUGGGCUCGAAAAAAACCUUAAGAAUUAGCAAAUGGGCUGUAAAUUAUUAGAAAUAAUGGCAGAUGAGUUGUAUGUUGUUUUCCACAGAUUUGAGGCUUUCCUAAAAAAAAGGUUGACGCACAAGCAGUGACUGUUGGAUUGCCAUCCAACGGCCGUCGUGCUUCUUCAAUCUCUGCUCUUCCUGCUCCAGCCGCUCAAACAAGCGCCGGCGGGACUGCCUGCUCCCUCCUCCCCGCGGCUGGCUUUGCUGCCGUGCAGGCCUCACCGCCCCACCGUACUCCCAUCGCUGGCCUAGCCAUCCCUCUACUCACCCACACCUGUUGUUAUUCUCCAGCGACGGCAGACGAACCAGUAAACCCUCGUACAGUCGUACUCCCCUCUGCGUGGGAAACAACUACCGAGUCUUCGCUGCCUCCGUGUCGUUCCUUUCCUAGGCCACGUCGUCGUCCACCGCCCUCGUGCUCUCGGCGUGGCCUGAUCAACGUGGUCAACAACCGACAUGCAUCUGAAGUGGACUGUACGUGGAGAGGCCGAUAGCUAGGUCCAUGACCGCACGCAAGGAAAUGCCUCCUUAUUACGUGGAAAAUAAUGAUUCCUCCACCUGACAUCAGGGACCCACCGAAAGGGCCUCUGUAUUUUGCGAAAAAAACGUUACCGCCGCUGACAGCUAGGACCCACCAGCUAUAUCUUCGCACGCAAGGAAGUGCCUCCUUAUUACACACAAAAAAAAUGAAUACUCCGCCUGUUAGCUGGGACCCAGUAUAGUGGCAGGCUGACUUGUGGGCCUACUAAGUUGACGGGGACGGAGGGCUUUGUCAACUUAGUCAAUAAUAUGCAUGAUUCUAGCUCCAGUGACUGUAUGAUGUCCAUCCAACGGCCGUAGUGCUUCUUCAACCUCUGGUCUUCAUGCUCCAGCCGCCCAAACCAGCGCCAGUCGUGCCUCGUGCUCGUGCCUCCCGUGGCCGGCUGCGAUGCAGCAGAGGCCUCACCGCCCCCUACUACUGCCACCGCUGGCCAGGCCAUCCCUCUACUCACCCACACCCCCUGUUAUUCUGCGGCGACGGCAGCCUCACCCUCGUACCCCUCUUCGCGUGGGCAUCCACUACUGCGUCUUCCCCGGCUCCGCGUCGUCCCCUUCCUAGGCCUCGCCGUCGUCCACCGCCACGGUGCUCUUGCCGCGGCGUGGUCAAACUGGUCAACGACUGACUUACAUCAAAAGAGUACUGUGCGUGGAGAGGCUGACAGCUGGGUCCACGGCGGCCGCAAGGAAGUGCCUCCUUAUUACGUGCAAAAUAAUUAUUCCUCCACCUGACAGCAGGGACCCACCGGACAGGCCACCAGUAUUUCGCAAAAAAAACGUUUCCCCCCUGAUUGCUGGGACCCACCACAUCUUCGCACACAAGGAAGUGCGUCCGGGCAAAAAAAACAAAACGAUUCGCCCCCUGACUUCUGGGACCCACCAGCUACAUCUUCGCAGGCAAGGAAGUGCCAGACAGUCGGGACUCACCUGGUCGAAGCGUACGUAGAGUUGUCAUUCUCGUCGCGAAAAUGUACGUACAUACUGGUCGAUGUAGAGGCAUGCACGUGUCGUAGUAGAGGCACGCACGUGUCGAUGUAGAGGCGCGCACGUAGCAUGUACACGUACGUACAGCGGCGAGAGUGCAAGAAAUAAAAUAUGGCCACGUACGUACAUAUGGGAAGGGUCUCGAAUGCCUACUCGUGCAUACGUACAUGGCUGGGUCGGAACGGAGCAACAGCAUCGUCGUCGUGUUCAUGGGGAGCCAGCGGAAUGCGUCAUGUUCAUGGGGAGGAAACAGAAUGAUUGUGUUCAUCCGGAGGUAACGGAACGCGUGGGAGCCAACCGGCUUGGACGGAACAGGCGAUGGAAACGAGGCCUGGCGUACCGCACAACGGAGGAAACGGACCUUCUACGUUCGGAACAGGGUCUUGUUGAUCGGGAGGGGUGUGGCGUACUGCAAAACGGAGGAAACGGACCUCCUACGGUCGAAACGCGGGUCCUGUUGAUCGGGAGGGGUGUGGCGUACCGCAAAACGGGACUCCACGGGAUACUGUUCAUCUCCACCGUCGACCUCCUCCAGCCUCCACGGGCUACCAUCGACCUCCUCCAUCCUCCACGGGCUCCUGUUCAUCCAGCCUCCACCGCGUGCUACUCCACCGGCUACUGUUCAACCACCCCUCCACCGUCUACUGUUCAUCCAGCCCUCCAUCGUCUACUAUUCAUCCAGCCCUCCACACCACGGGGUCCUGUUCAACCACCCCUCCACGGCCACCCCUCCGCCGUCUACUGUUCAUCCAGCCCUCCACAACACGGGGUCCUGUUCAUCCAGAGGCAACGCCACCGCUCACUGUUCAUCCAACCCCCCCUCCCCCCACAACGCUCACUGUUCAUCCAAUUGAUCGGCUUCAGUUAGCAGCAGUAGCGAAGGAAUCGCUCCAUCGGGUUCAGUUAAAUGCCAUCAAUCGAUCGCUCGAGUUCAGAAACGCGUAGCCUGCAGUGCAAUCGCUCGGGUUCAGCUAGAGCCCAAUGCCUCGCCCGGGUUCAGUUAGAGCCAACGCCUCGCACGUGUAUGAGAGAAAUGCGCAUCGCUCGGCCCCCGACCUCCCACCGUAACCAGGGCCGGUACACAGUCCGGCACCGCAAAACCCAUGAUGAUACUGGGUUUUCUCACAAUUAUCGUCAUAGAAGUGUCAUAUGUAUGACAGGAAAAAAAUUCAUUCGGCCCAAAAUGUCAUGGAUGUGUCUUUUUUUUGUAGUGUUGGUGGCAUGAAUCGGCACUAAAGGGCAGCCUUUGGUCCCAGUUCAAGCCACCAACCGGGACCAAUGGUGGUGGGCCAGGAGCGAGGCCCAUUGGUCCCAGUUCGUCCCACCAACCGGGACCAAAAGGUCCAGACGAACCGGCACCAAUGGCCCAUGUGGCCCGGCCGGCCCCCGGGGCUCACGAACCGGGUCAAAUGCCCCCAUGGGUCCCGGUUUUGGACUGAACCGGGACUAAUGGCCUGACCCGGCUUGGACCUUUGCCCCCUUUUCUACUAGUGCUUGCAGCUCCCUGGUAGCCGGUCGCAGCUCCGACAUGCACGCUUGCAGCUCCCGACAAUGAACAGCGUUGGAUGCAACACUCUUCACCACUGGAUGUAGCUUCCUCCGACCUUGUAGCACAUACAACAGCUGGUUGUAGCAAAUCAGGGCACCGGUUCCAGCAAAAAACAAAGAUAUUCAUAAAAAUCGAAUGGGGAUGGUAGUAAAAAAUGGAAGGGGUUGUAGAAAAAUAAAAAGGUGGAUCCAGCAAAAGAAUACAUGGUUCCAACACGAACUCGCCGCCGCAGUGGCCGGUUGUAGCUUGGCCAUGGCGACUCGACUGGCGCACCCUGGCUGCGGCGGCCAUGGAGAGGGCGCAGAUAUAGCUGCUGGCGGAGGCGGACAAGGCAACGAGUGUGCCCGUGGCUGCGGGCGGCCAUGGAGAACCGGGACUAAGGGGGGGGGACCUUUCAUCCCCACCCUUUAGUGCCGGUUUCCAGAACCGGUACUAAAGGCCCUUACGAAGCGGUACUAAAAGUUGUUUUUCUACUAGUGAUAGCCCGAAUCAACAAGAUAAAAUUUACAUGCAGGUAAGGUUUCAUAGCAGGGUCAAAAUCUUUGUGUAAUAAGAUUCACCAAUAUAUAGUUCAAUGUUUGUACUUUUACCUUCAGGAACAACAAAACCCCACUAGUAACAGCCCAUCCUAGAACUGCUUUAUCUGACGCAGAACCUUCCCAUCCAGCAGCGACAUAUGAGAAUGUCACGCCAAAUGACAUUGUUGCCAUUACAUUUUGAGAGGGGUAACCAUGUCUAUUUCUAUAAGGAGUUUGCUUAUCUAGCCUGAUUUUUGCCUCAAUAUGUGUCCCAUCAAUUGCUCCUAGGCAGUUUUGUUAGGAUCUUUCGUUAGUCAAAUAUUGAAGUUUCAGUUUCCAUGCGUAGUAUUUAAUCCUAUUUAAAAGGAACAUGCAUUUGGGAUAGGAAAAUACCUCGAAAUAUACGCCUUAGCACAUGGCCCCUCGCCCAACCUCGUCACUUAUCAGGCAUACGUUAUCAACGGAUACACGUUCUACACUGAGGCCAAAGAUAUGGACAAUGAUUAUCAGAACUCAGGGGUGACAAUGGAGUGCAUGACCGGCAGCGACAACGUCGCAAAUGAGAGAUUUUACGGAAGGGUCGAGGAGAUCUGGGAGCUUGGCUACUCUGGACUGCACAACGUGGCGAUGUUCGGUGUCAGAUGGACUACGAAUAUCGAAAGAUAAAACCGUUUUUUCAAUACCAAGACUAUACCCGACGCCAAGAGCGCUACCGUGAACGCUAUCACAAAAAACGAGCCUUGGUUACACGCUAAGCACGUGACACAAUGCUUCUUCAUAAACGACCCGUUCAAUCCCAGCUGUGUUGUCGUGAGGAGAAGCAAAAGGAACAACAUUGGAAUGGAUGGAGUUGCCAAUGUGGAAGACUCGAUUAGUACGGCAACCCAAUGAUGGAAGAUGACGAUGAAGUAUAUGUCAAAAGAAGAAUUAAUUCUACAUUACCUAAGAAAGAUCGUACUCCAUGGAAAAGGAAAAGUCACAAUGAGGGGCUCAAUUAUUCUUCAACGAACAAGAAGGGAAAGAAGCUCACUCAAAAACGAAAUCGUCAACGCUGAGGAACGUACAUUGUCGGUCAAAUGAUGUAAUAUAUAUGUUCCCAUUUUGUGUACACACUUAGCCAUUAUGCAUUGGUCAAAUGAUGUAAUAUAUAUGUUCCCAUUUUGUAUACAUACUUAACCUUCAAAUGAUGCAAUAUAUAUGGCCUUAGUUAUAUACAUUGUAUCACCUUCCCUUCAUUCACUGCUGUCGGAAAAAAGGAAAAGAAGAGGGAGAGAAAAUAAAGGAGAAGAAAACAGAAGGAACAAACAGGAAGACUGGUACAGGUAAUAGUAGUAGCGUUUUCUACAGGAAAAUGCUAUUGCUAUUUGUAGUAGCAGUAGCGCUUUCUGAAGUAAACGCUAUAACUAUCUAAAAUAGCAGUAGCACAUUCCUCGCAAAAGCGCUAUAGCUAACUUAGUUAAAGCGUGUUUUCCGGAACGCACUACUGCUAUCUCGUCAUCACCCCCAAAAGCCUCACUCCGUCUACAUCUUCCCGCCUCUCUUGCCGCAAAUCCCCCUCUCUCUUCCCCCGUGUCGUCGCCAUCGGAGCCCUCGACCCAGGCGCUCGCACCCAACCCCGGCGCCCGCCCCCAACCCCGGCGCUCGCCCCUGUCCCCGCGCUCGCCCACGAUCCCGUGCUCGCCCCCGUCUCAACCGACCUCGGUAACCCCCGACCCCAGUGCUCGCCCAUGCCUCGCCUCGCUGCCGCGCCGUCUCCCCUGACCCCAUCUCUCUAUCUGCCCUCUAUAAGCCCUCUCCCCUCCCCUCUUCUCUGCUAUUUACUGCUAAUUAGUAUGAAAUAGUAUGAACCCUAGGCUAUUUUUUUGUGUAACAAAAAAAACAUUGAAUAUAUAGGUUCCUUGCAUUUUUUUAGUUAAAGGAAUUGUUGUUAUUUAAAUUUUAUAGUGCUAGUUAGUUAAUUAGAAUUAGUAUGAAACCUAGGACAUAUUAGUUAAAACAAUUGUUGCCAUUUAAUUUUUUUUAGUUAAAGCAAUUGUUGCUAUUUAAAAAAACAGAAUUCGAAGUGGACAGAUUAGUUCUAUAUUUUGAAAAAACAUGACUUCUUGCAUUUAUAUUUUUCUUCAAGUUCUAUAUUUGUCUUUAUUUUACAUGCGAAUUUCAAGUGGAUAUCUGAUAUGUGGACAUGUGAUAUGUGGACACGUGAUUUGGACAUGUCAUAUUAAUCACAUGUCAUAUUUGGAAUUUGGACAUGUCAUUUGGACAUGUGAUGUGCAGGGCAAAUGAUCCGAGUGGCCUAUGUUUCCCUGGGAUGUUGAUUAAUUUCCGUUCUGGUAAAUUUCAAGUGCUCAAUAUGUCCACUUUUUAGCAAAGGUCAUGCCAAAAUUUUCCGCAAAUUUUGGCAUGACUUGUGCUGGAAAGUAGGCAUAUCGAGUGCCGGGAGUUGCUGGAACGGCAUUCCGGCAAACAUAGAUCUUUUUUAUGUAACUUCUCAUUUUUGUAUAGUUUUAGAAUUAAACAAGGAGACUUAAUCAUAGGAAACAUGUCGAACAACCAAGAAACCGGGCCUUCUGACCAAGAUGCAGACGAGAUGGAUUGUGAGGGUGAAUAAGAGUGCCUCGACUAUUUGACUUCUAGGUGAAGUAAACAUUUGCAGGUCGUCCUUGAUGAUGAUACUGAUGCCGACAUCGACACCGACGGCGCCGGCAUCAAUGGCGGUGUCGAGACCGGCGGGGAAUGUACUGGCGAGGAAGGUACCGGCAGGGAAGAUACCGGCGCCGAUACCGGAGAGAAGAAGCAGAAUAAGGAGAGGAUACGAAAACCUAACAAACUUGGCAUCGGACGACUGGUGAUCACAAAGAUGGCACCUGCAAGUUUGAGACAUUAGAGCUAGAAGAACCUCACAAGUGCUGUGGACCAAGUAGGAUGCAUUCUACAGGAAUGUGCGAGCAUCAACAACGAUGACUUAAGGAGUAAAGAACAUUUGAGGCAGUUGCUCCUGACUAAGUUGCACAAGAGAUUCAAGUUCCCCAACCGGGAUGAUAGCAUAGAGCAACCGUGGGAUGAUCCAAAGAUGAAAAAGAUUAACCAUCAUGCCAUGGGCAUGUUCAACAAUGAUUUGGCCUCUUGAAAAGGGAGGGUGAAAUGAGCUAUUGAGGGUGAGGAACCCCUGUUCAAGAUUCUGGAGGAAAAUCCGACACUUACGGAAGAGGAGUUCAAAAAGUUCAAGGACACUUGCGCUACCGACGCAGCCAAGGCUAAGGCUGCAAAAUUCAAGAGCCUUGAUCAAAGGAACAUGGGGAAGCAUCGCCUCGGAAGCCGUGGCUUCCUUGGCAAAAGUCCCAUAUGGGAUAAGGAGGACACGGAACAUGAAGCUGUGGGUCUCCCAGACCCCUUCGCAAAAUUCACCAACCCCUUGGAGCAUAACUUCAUCAGGGCCCGCUACAAGUUGGACAAGAAAAAGAAGGUUUUUUAAACGGACGAGAUCACAAGGAGAUUGAUUAGAUUACUGGUAAUUAUUCUUUUACCACCUUACAUUUAGCUCAUGAUCAAGUGAAAUACACAUUCGUAAAUGGUUCACGUUCCUUCUACAGGAGAAGCAACACCAGUGAAGCCGAAAGCCCUACUUUGCCAAUGAGGCCCAAGUGGGACACGCCUCUCAACUGGGCCUUGAACGAACUUAAGGGACUUCCUUUGGUCCAGCGGCCGCAAUAUGGACAUGUGCACGGCGCCGGAUACGGCGUCACGUGGAAGGUGUUUUACAACGAGGGCCCGGAGGCCAAGAAGCAGAAAAAGAAGUUUAGUCAGGCAGACAUCAACGAUAAGGUGAAGCUUGCGGUCGAGAAAAAAGCAGCUGAGGACGCGCAAAAAGCUGCUGAGGAGAAACAUGAUUUGCUAAAGCAGGCAGUAGAUGCAGCUGUAAAUGCCUGCAGAAAUGAUUUUGGUACUAACUUGGUCCUGGCUAUCAUAAACUAGACGAAGGAAAAUCCAGAGAAGAUGGUACAUGAUUUCCCCAUGCCCAUUUUUGUCGGGAGCAACUCGGUGAACAACACCACCCUACCAUCAUCUUAUCACGCAACCGGGCCUGCUCUCGCACCCGCACCCGCUCAUAGCAGCCCGUCCUCAGUCUCUAGUGCGCUACGCAGGCCUUCGUCUUUGGCUGAGCUCGACGCCCUCACGGUAAUUACAUGUUGCACCAACAUAUAUAUCUAGAAUAUUCCAUUUUUGUUGCCUUUCGGAAGUUUUACAUCGCAGAUAUGUGUUUGUAGGCCAACGAAACCCCGUGCACCAUACUCUACUUCAUCAAAGGCCAGAAGGUGGGCGUGGGAAAGGGGGUGAUAACGAACCCCUUGCAACCCACGUUCCACAACCAGCCGAUCACCGCUGGGCACUUCAGGGUUAACUUGUCCAGUGUGAAAUUGGGGCACGAGGAUUUGCCUCCUCCAGCAUGGCAUGGGGGAGAGGACGACGAGACCCCACAACGGAUUGAAGCUGCAAGGGUUGGGUGCUGCUAUGGCCGAAGAAUCUUCUUCGUAUGGAGCCGGCGGAGAGCACACCAAUAACCACACAUCAACAAGCAUGUGUGGAGACCACCACCCCUCCUACGCAAUUACCAUCUCCUGUAGUGCCCGGUGAGAGUGGCGGACGACGUGAUGAAGGGGGUCCAAUAGUGGCUGAUAUAAUUGGCCCCGUAGAACAUAGAAUGGAUGAUAAGAUGGAGGAGAGGGUGGACCCAAUGGGUUUCCUCAACAUAGGUGCCUAUGAAGGUGACUUAGAUAUGAUGAGUCAGCCAUAUGAAGAAUCGGGCUAUCAGCGUGCUGAUGAGGAUAUGGAUGAUUUGCUUGGGCAGGAACGUCCUAGCAGGGAUUGCAAGAAGUCUCUCUUCAUGAAAUCCCCACAGGUCAUGCCUGAAGAUUCCGCCUCAACACAAGCUCAACUAGCCGGGGAUCGUACAGUGCUUAGCCCGGCAACACUAUGGCAGGGGUUAAGGAAGGGUCUGGAAGGUGUGCCCAAGAAAAAGGAGAGGAAGACAUCGGGGAAGAUAGGCUCAGCUACCUGCAAACAAGCCAGAUCAGGUAGCAGCUAGACGGUGGAUUCUGAAGAGGUACCCGUCAAAGGUGCGGCCGUGUUCCAUGUCACGGGCGAGCCGAUGCUACCGCCAAAACAGCUGGAGGCACUAUCAGGGGAUCUCAGGAGACUACACGACCAUGUGCUGUCGACUGAGAAAAGCCUACUAGCCUUGAAGGAUCCAGGAUAUCCGAUAUACGCAGCUCAUGUGCCUGAGGAGAAGGGCUACAUCAACACAAGACCCGCGGAGGUGUUCUUCCUGCAGUUUGGCCAUAUCUUAGAGAUGUUUCUGAGAAGGCGGCUCGAUUUUACAAUAGUCCGCCUUUUUGCGCUACAUAUCAGCUCCGUCAUGAAGAGAGAAGAAGUCUCGCAUAUCUGUGUUGCGGAUCCGUACUACCUGCAUGAGUCCUUCUUGAGUCUCGGCGACUCUGAGCGUGAAACUGCUAGGGAGUACCUCCAAAACUUCAUGGUACAGAAUAAGGACCAGGAAAUUGUCCUCCUGUCUUUUCAUCUAAAGUAAGUCAUUUCCGAACAACCCUUUCAUACAUUUCAAUCAUUCCUUCUCGCUCAUAUGGAGAAUAAUUUGAGGUGUCUUUUUCCCCGCAGCAACGGGCGCACCGUCCUCAUCAUUAUUUACCCACGAGUCUCCACUCCGUGCAUUUAGACCCUACCAAAAACUACGAGAAGAAGGGCUACAUCCAGAUAAUGAAUACUCUGGACGAUGCUCUCCAAGGCUUCAGCAUUAGGGGUGGCCACGUGCAGAUCAGGAAACAAAGGAACAAGAAGAUGGGUUUCGCGCAUAAAACUAACUUCUGCUACAUCCAUGUCCCAAAACCAAGCAAGAAAGAUGGGUUCUACAUCCUCCAUCUCAUGAUUGAGUUCAGCACGGAUUACCAAAAGCUUCGCAUCACAAACAUAAACGAUGAUCAUAUCCAUAGGAACUUAGAGAUGACUCCUUUCGCAUCCAAAUGAACAUUGCGACGAUCAUCAUGAAAGAAGUCAUCGAUGAGAAGAGGAUGUUCCACCACGGCCCUAUAUCGUGAGCUGACGUCCGAACUCGCAUAGGCAUGCAACGUCAUGACCUCACGCCGUUCAACAAGCUAGGGUCCAUCCUCGAUGGUAUGGAAGGAUGGAACUUCUAGUGAUUUACAAUGCCGAUGAUGAUGAUAUGUGUCGGUUGAACUUGUAUACUUUCUGUAGCGAUGAAACUUUGUGAUGUCCACAGUCCCUGCCGAACUUGUGUAACACUACUUUGUUAGUUUGGGUAUGAUGACCUGCGUACCUCUAGUUAAUUAGUUUGUAUACUGUGUGUUACAUCCAGUUGCUAACCCUUUCUUUUUCGUGUUGCUCUAGUAUAUUUUUCUGCAUAUAACUGUACAUUCUCUUGAUGAAGAUGCAUAUCUCUAAUAGGCACCUAGCUGCUGGAUGGUGAGGUGGCAGUGCUAUGUCGUGUACAAAAGGAACGUUCCGGGGGUGUACAACGAGUGGCCUGAGUGUCAGGCACAAGUGAAUGGGGUCUCGGGCGCCAUCCAUAAAGGCUUCAAAAGCAGACAAGAAGCAGAAGCUAGUUAGUUGUGGUUCACACAAGCGCGAUAGAGGACUCAUAACCGCUGCCUCAUGUACUGCAUAGUUCCGCUCUCACUCAUAGUGAUAGCUCUUCUCACAUAUAUCGCGAUGUAGUUGCAAGUAUUCGAGACAUGUAUCGCUAUUUUCGAAAUGAUGACGAGAUUUCACUUCCUAUUCGAUGAUGAUUAUGAUGAUGACCACCUUGUAUCGCUAUGUAUAUGCUAUGAUUACAUUUUUAUGGGUAUGAUAUGUUAGAAAUUAUUGUAUAACACCCAAAACAAAAUUCAACAGCACAAAAUGUGGAGCAGAAAAAAUAAAUAAAAACUAAUAACAGUAGUGCGGGGUAUGGCAUUAGCAGCAACGAGCUCUUAGUAGUAGCACUCUUUUCAUAAGGGCACUGCAGCUAUUAUUAGCAGGACAUAUUUUAGAUAAACGUUGCUGCUAUCCCUAGUUAGCACUAGCGCUGGCCAGACCGCGCUACUGAUAAGCAUUAGCUGUAGCGCCGUAUCAGUAGCGCGGCUACCCGCGCUACUGAUAAGCAUAUAACCCGCGCUACUGCUAGGCUUUUCCCUAGUAGUGUUCUCCACCAUAAGUUUGAAAGAAUUUCACUACAAUGGAUAUCUUGGACCAGAUUCUCAAAGUUCCAAGGGUCAAUCCUCUUCCCUAUGUUGUUCUAAGACCCGUGUCCACUCAACUGACCACCACCCUGGCUUAAUCGCCUUCACCAUCACAUCCCUUCCGCUGAUGACGUGGUAUGAUGGGCUUUGCUUCAUGCUUCUUCAAGCCGCAACAAGCUCAUCUCGCAAUAGCUCAUAAUGGUCACAGUCUAGCAGAUAGAAAGGUCAAUUGCGUAACUUAGCACAGAUGCCUUUGUCGUUUUCAAUUGCGUACUCUAAGUGCAUUAGACACUUCCAUAGGACAUCAAAGUGUUGCUCCACACAACAAGCUCCUGACUAAAAUAGCACCCCUUCAAGAUGAAUAGUAUUCAGGCUCACAUGAGAAUUGCUCCUACUCAAAUCAAAUUUAGAUCUAUUCUGCUACCAUGGUCGACAGCCUAGUGGCAAGGACUUGUCACCCCACGUGCUUUUAGGUCCAGUAAAAGCGGUGCUAGAGUACCCGUUGUAAUUGUGAUGAGUAAUAAGUCUUUUGUAGUUGAAUAAGCACAAAAAAAAUACUCUUGUAAUAAUUGUUUUAUUUGGCGGGAUGUACUGAAACUAUCCUUAUAUGCCAUAGUUAUUAGGUGGAGUAUAAAGUGUAUUUUGCCUCACAUAGGUCCUCUUAGUCCAUAAACUUUACAUGGUUAAUUCGGCGCCAUGGCUUGAUAUGAUGAGCGCAAAGGCCAUCUCAUAGUCAUCUAAAGAACUACAUUGUCAGCUUGAAAUGACUUAUCAGAACUUCUAUCAGAAAGUUGUAAACAUGUGCCCUUUUAUGACAAUGUUGAAUAGCGAAAAGCAUCAAUAUCAUGGUUGUUACACCAUAGAUUAUCGAAACCUUAAUGUAAUGGUGUUCCUCAUUAUUCUAGGGUGAGAAGAGAGCUAGAACAUGCUCAUAUAUAGUUUGCAGCCUAUGCAGGAGAGGAGUAGAGCUCGGUGUUGCUAUGUGGAACCUGCUCAUAUAUAGCUUGCGAAGAAGCCAUCAUGCCAUUUCUAUACCUACUAUUAAAGGGAAUAGAUAUUCUUGGUUUGGUUUAGUCCUUUUCGUUUUAUUUGAGCGCAUGCUAAUGUCUUUUGUACGAUUCGCUCUACACACACUAGCCAUCUGGGCCAGGUACAUAUACAUUGAUGGGCCUUCUAUGGGCUUCUAUAGAGACUGUGAAAAAUAAUUGGGUCAAAAUAAACCAACAUUGUGGAAGUUGAAUAGAGGACCUACUGUCCGGCUCUUCAACGUAACAACCAAUGAGCAAUGCAUCUUUCACAUUUACUAAUCCCAACUCGCUCUUUUACAAUGAUUCCAAUCAGUAAAUAUUUGAGCGGCUCCAGGAAUCAACCAACAAACAGUUAAAACAAAGAAGAGUAGACCUCUUGUUUAGGGCGAGCUAAUUAAAGAAAGGAUUGUGGGCUUAAAUAGAAUAUUUAAAUGUAUCUGACUAAUUAAAUAAAUGAUUAUGGGUAAACCGGUGGAAUAACUAAAAGAAAAAUUGUGGGCUUAAUAAAUAGAAUAUAUUCAAAUUGAUGGGGUUAAUCAAAGGAAAUAUUUGAGGUAAAAAAGUAGGAUAGUUAAUAGGACGGAUCCGUAGGCUUCGAUGUGGUGGGGCUAUUAAAUUAGAAAGGGAAGGAUUUGCAUUUAAAAAACCGAAGGAUUUGAUUCUCGACAAACGGGUGAGGACAUUAUGGUAAUUAGUAGACUGAUUAUACUUAAAUGGAAUUAGUGGGAGAUUAUGCCCGGCUGAGAAAAAUAUGAACGUGCCAAAUUGCAUCCUAUUUUUUAUGUUCAUUUUGUAGAUGGAUAUUGCGUUGCAACAUGUUCUUCGUAUUGAAUAUAAUGCUAUGGGACAUUAUGUUUGCAAAAAACAUCAAUUUUCCCUGUUGCAACACACGGGCAUAUGUGCUAGUGUAUACCUAUGUUGGGAAGGAAUAGAGCGACACUUGUAAUGUACACAAGUUCUGUAUGUAGUAAGAAUUGGAAUCACACUUACAAUACCACUAAAAUCCACUUACAUCCUAGGACUAGGAAGCAUCAGGAUUUGUGAAUACGCGUACCUAGACUUUUACACACGAGGUAACAAUAUAGGACGCGGCUAGCCAGCAAACGGCUGCUGGCUAGCGUUCGCGGGCAUAUCACGAAAAAAGGUCGUAGUUACCCUGUCGGUACACGUGCCCCCUCCACAAGCGCUCGCCUGGUCCUCGUGUACACAGCCUGCCCCCGUUCACUCUCUCCCAACACAACCGGCCACAACAUCACUGAAAAAAUCCGUUCAGCAAUGGCGCCGUAAAGAGAUUGCUGGGGUAUCGGUGGUUCUUGUUCAGGAUUUAAAAGAAAUUUAAAAGAACAAAGCAUCAGUGUCUCAGUUGGACACAUCUAGCUGCAACUUUACAGGUGAUCAUAGGAGUUGAUACUGGUAAGCAACUCAGGUGUGUAACUAAGCAACUUUUGCAUGCAUCAGAGGCAACUUAGGAUGCAAUUGGGCAAAACAAAAACAAAGAGAGUUACAUGUACAUAUAAAAAGAAGAGGGCAAAUGUGCACCAACAAAAAAUGGUUUUGCCAGGCAACUCUAUGGACACUUCUGUACAACUUAUGCAUCAAUCAUGUGCAACUUAGAAGCUCCCCAGUUUACAAAAAAGAAAGAAAAGAGGUCCAGUAGUGCGCGCGCCUUUGGGGUGUCCAUGUACAUUUGGAUAAUUGAUCUCCACCACUCCAGUGGGCCUAUCGACUAUACCUUCUGCAUAAGAAAAAGGACAUUAGAAACGCAAAUAGGAUCUUGUAUUGCUGGGAGAACACAUAUUUCAAAUCUAUGUGAGAAAAACCAUUCAUUGUUAAUCUAAAGGAUGGCAACUAGGAGGUGAUACGCUUCGUCCCUAAGCACAACCAUCCGUUGGUUGCACCACUCUCCAAGUAUCUCUUCUCGCACCAAGUAAUCCUUCCUAAACUAGAAGAGAUUCGUGACGAAUCGCUAUGAGAGGAAUUUAAAUGUAGGUGCUCCUUUCUCUGGCACUCUUUUACUACAUUCUCAUUUUUUAUGGCAUUUUUUUCGGGGUCGCUAGGCAACUCUCGUUAUGUCAACAAGCAACUUGUUAGCUAUAUUUGGGAAACUAUGUGCUACCGUGUACCCCUCCCCCCCAAACCUCCCACCCCACUUGUGGCUCCAUGGUGUUGUGACACCUUCCUACAACAAAUGGAGCAAAAGUUAAGAAAUGCAUCAUGUCGUUUCUAAAGUUGCAUAACAUCAUCUCUAAGUUGCCUAACAUGACUAGAGAGUAUCCUAACAUCAUCUCUAACUUGCCUAAUAUGACUAGCAAGUAUCCCAUGCAAUUAGUGGCUGUUGUUUAGGAAACUUUCAUCUUGUACCAGACAACUAGUGAUUAUUAUAUAUUAGACAACUUUUUCUCUUACUGCGAUGGUAGACUAGCCACUAUGUGUGGAAGCUGAGGUGCAAGUAAGCGCUUAAGGUGACCACAUAGACAUGUCUUGUACCAGAAACUAAUGGUGUUGAUUAUGGUACAAUCGAAAAUGGUUUGCAUGCUUGGUAGAGCCAACGAGAAGUUAUUUAGUGUAUCAAAUUAGUGGAUAACAAAAUAUCUAUGAAAAUUAGGUGAUUUAUGCAAGUAGUAUUUAUAUGGAGGCAAUUUAUCCUGUUGGAAAUAGCAUUAUAAAAUUAAAUCAAUUUGUUGCUAAAAACUAUGUCUAGGCACCUCGCACCAGCAUAUCUAGCAAAUAACUAUCAUGUGUUGGGCAAGUUUUAAAGAUUAUAGUUUUUGAAUAGAACUUAGCAAUCUCGGUGGCGGAUCUCGGGCUAACUCAUGCAAGCAUUUAUAGCAACUAACAAUCAUGAGUUGGGCAUGUUUUGAAUACUUCCGUCUCAAAAUCUUCAGCCGCCAGAUGCCGCCGAUCUGUGGGCAACUAACUAUCAUGAGUUAGGAAACUUGGCAUUACAGUAAGGCAACUUAUAACAUAAUUAUUGGUGAGGUGGCAUAUAUAGUACAACCAAUGUGAAAUCCCCCUGAUCAAACACAUAACUCAACAUAGAACUACUCUCAAAUUUAUUGUAGGCAACUUUCUGGCAUUAUGAGGCAAGUAACUUUUAUAUGUAGGCAAUUUAUCCUAUUGCAAAUAGCAAUGUAGAAAUGAAAUCAGCAUCUCUAGCAAAUAACUAUCAUGUGUUGGGCAAGUUUUUAAGUUCAAUGUUUUGGGCAAAAAAAAAACCAACACUCUCAGGGGGCAACUUGUGCUAGCAUUUCUAGCAACUAACUAUCAUGAGUUCGGCAAGUUUUGAAAACUUUAUGUGGAAUAGUGCACACUUCCACAAGAAACGAAACAAAUGUGAAAUCGCCCCUGAUCAAAUACAUAAUUCAACAUGAUGCUACUCAAAAAUCUCACACAGAUACUAGAAAAUUUAUUGUAGGAAACUUUCUGCCAUUAUAGGCAAGUUAGUGCAAAACUGUUGACUAGAAAGAAAUCAUAUUUUCUGACUGGAACUCAAAUGCACAAAAAAGAUAUAGGUAAUAGGACAGAUCAUAUAACCAUAAUAUUGAGAUUGCAGGGACAAAAACUACAUUUAGUACAUAAAAAAUCCACUUCCUAGCUCCCGCCCCAAGCGCCUACGCUUGUGUUUUUUUUCUAGGAUCCUAAUUAAGCGCCUAAAUAAGCGCCGCUGCAUUGAAGGUGCCCAACACCGACCAAUCAAUUUUUCUCAUAAGUAUAUCCGCUAGAGUAGUUAACUACCAAGUACUCCCCACAUCUCUCCCCCUAGGUUACGCUCUAAAACAAUCGUCGCCGCUCACACGCCCGCCUCCCUGCCGCCGGAUAUGAAAUCCACUCGUGGAGGUCGAUUGGCCAUCAUGAUAGAUCGUGGCCAUGGAUGUGAGGGGCCUGUCAUGGACGGCGUCGUGACAGAUCGUGGACUUGCGGGGCUAACCACCAACGUCGUCGUCCAUCUCAUGGAUCAGGAUCCCCACGAGAAAGCUUUGGACUACUCGGUGUCUGACCCAGAGAAGCAUCGUGUCAACGAGGUGCAGUACUCCGUCGUCGAUCACGAGCAUCAGCACAUGCACGGCAUGGACUGGAAUUCCGUUACGGUAAUUUUCAUUUUUUAACCAUAGAUCUGUCUUCAAGUUUUAUGUUAGAGGUUAAUCAUUAAACCAUCAAUACAUUAUUGAAUUGGCAUAAUGGAAUCAAGCUCUAAAUAUAACGUUGAUCAUCAGUACGUAAUGAUCAUUAUUUAUUCAAUCAAUCUUUGAGAAAUUAAUGGUUCAUCCACUCCACAAUUUAGUGCGUUUUGGAAUUAUGCCAAAAGUUAGACAUCAUAAAGGUUGUGCAUGUUUAUUGACAAUUUUUUUAAAAGUACAUUAUAUGAUUUAUGCUUUCAUAUGGAUUUGAUAUUGCUUUUUUCUCCUUAAAUUUUCAAAGUUAAUAAAUAUUUACUUGAAAAAUAAUUUAUAGGCACUACAGUACGAAACUUAGGGAAUAUUAGGUACUGUAAACAAUGGUGCAGCUUAUAUCAUACAUAAUUUAAACUUGCAGCCUUAUUCUCAUGAUUAUGCGGACAUUUUCCAAGGAGAGAUGGAUGCACACACUCAGAAAACACUUGAAGAAUUGGAGAAUGGACAGGGCAACGUGCUUAAGCGUAUGCCGUAUCGUUGCGCAUUUUGUGGCAAAUAUCUGGACCCGGCUUUCGUUAGUAUUCUUGAGCACGCCAAAGGAGUUGCCAAAGGAUACCAAAUGAAGCAUGGUGUCAGGGCGAAACACACAGCGCUAGCCCAAUAUCUCUGGAAUUUGUCGGACAAAGAGAAGGUCCAAAGAAGGCGUUAUGAGAACCAGCAUGCCGAAGAAUAGAUGAAUAAACGAAACCCUGAAGAAGUUCUGGUUGGCAUAAAUAGUCAUUUGCGGGUGUGUUUUUUUUGAAAAUACCAAUGAAUAUUUUAUUAUCCUAGUUUUUGUAGAAAUGUUAAAUUUAUUAUAUUUAAUCAUAAAAAUGCAUACAGUUCAAUUAUUGAUUUUUUCAAAUAUUUCUAACCUUGCAUCUAAUAGUUUACCAUUUUAUUGGUUAACCAUUAUUUUCAUAUAUAUAUAUACUGUGGAGUGCUUGAAAUUAUUCAAGAUCAAUUGGUGUACUGAAAGACUCAUCCACAUGCAAUAUGAAGAGCAGUGUAUUUUUAGGGUUUCUUCAAAAGAACUUCUGUGGUCAUGCUGAUCUUUUCUGUUUGGCCAGAAUUUGUAAAGCUGCCAAAUCUGCAUCUGAUCCGGCCCAACACUUUGUUCCUUUUGUGGGCCUGCACAAGUGGGAGGCAGAGAGAAAAGUGGGCGAUGGCCCCAACCCCAACCCCAUCCCCAUCCCAAUCCCACCCCACUUCGUUCUUUGCAGAGACAGAGAAGCGACACGGAGGGCGACGGCUAGGGUUUGCCAAGCCGUCACCUUGGCCGCCCCCGUCGUCGUCAAAUCCGCCGGAUCCGCAAGGCCACCCACUCCCCCCUACUCCAGUCAUGAUUCUGCACUGCUUCGUCCACAGCAAGGUCAGACAACCGCAACUUUUCAUCCCCAAUCCUGGUCGCGCCGCCCGAAGCUCCAGUGGUGGCAGAUUCAAACAAGUCCACUCCAAGGUAAUAUUGAUCUUCCCUGCCCUUCGAAUGUCGAUCUGGUAGCUCCGCCUAUGUUUAAAUCUUACACUUGCUUGUGUGCAUAUUUCGGGUAUUCGCAGAUUACUGUCAACUAGUAGGUCAUAUUGCAACAAGUAAUUUUAUAGCAAGAUAAUCUGACAAUGUACUGCAUAAUCAUGAUUUUACUUGUUUGUAUGGGUAGUAAUGGGUAAACGCUUCCGUGCAAGUAAGAGAAAAAGGUGGGUGUUGGCCAGCAUACCUUGCUCGUCGACAUAGCCUUCACUAUGCUAUCAUCUUGCUUGACAGAUGCUAUCAAGUAGUUUUUCCCUCUAUAAAAUGACCCCCCACUGCUAGAUAUAGAAAAAGUAUAUUCACAGGAGCAUACACAAGUUUUGGUUUGUUGGGAUAGUUUGAAGACUGUGUAUAUGUAUUUGCUGAUGCUUAGUUAUUAAAAACUAAAAAGGCGAGCACAAAAUCAGUCCAUGAGGAAAUUUGUAAUGAUGGAAUGAGGAUCGGUUAUAGUUUCAUGUAUUACUCGAUGGUAGUAUGAUGAUUAGUGCAUAUUUUGAAGGAUUUGUCAAGUAUAGACUGCUCUUGAUUGGUGCAUGUUUUUGAUGAUAUGUGCACACAUGUAAUAUUUUUGGUUGGUGCAUAUUUUUGCUGAUUGUUGUUACUGCUUACUUGAAUUAUGUCAGCCUAUCUCCAAUAUAUGGUAUGGGCUUGUUGGGGUCAAUGAAAAUUUGUUGUUGGAUUUUCUCACUGUUGGAUUUUCUGCCAUUAUACUUCAUAAUCAUGAUUUUACUUGUUGGCAUGGGUAGUAAUGAGUAAAUAAAUAGAAAGUAUACAAAAGGGUGAGUAUUGGUCAGCAUACCUUGCUCGUUCUCAUAGCCUUCACUAUGCUGUCAUCUUGCUUGAGAGAUUCUAUCAUGUCCUUAUUCUCACUGGAAAUUGGAAAAUUAACCUCCACCGCUACCUCUAAAAAUGGUAUGUACAGCAGCAAAUGCAUUAUUUAUUUUGUUGGGACAAUUUAAAGACAUUAUAUUUAUUACCUGAUGGUACCACACAACAGCCCAUCAGGAAAUUUGCAGUGAUCAAAGGCAGAUCAGUUAUAGUUUCAUGUAUUGAUUGAUGAGAGCAGUCAAUCAUGGUUCAUUUGUACAUGGCUACUAAUUGGUUGGUUACCAACUUUUCUUGUCCAGCUCACAAAAUUGUAACCUUGAAAUAUCCUAAUUGGUUAUGUCUGCCCAAUGAUUAUGAGUCUAACCACUAGUCUUGACUAGUCGUGCGAAUAGUUGUCGACUAGCUCUUUCGUGUAGAUGUUUAUACAUGAACUAUGUACUUAGCGAGAAGUACGCGAAAAGAUUAUUCACAUUGUAUAUGGUGCUAACAUGUCCUAAUGGAAGACUGAUUUCAUAUAUCAAUAACUAACAUUUGUUCAUUGCAAUGCAUGCAACAGGUUUGAAUGGCAAGGGAAACCAUCCUCAUCAGCAGUGAAGAGAGUGAUCACCGAACCAUCUCAGAUGAUGCUUCAGAUGACACUUCACGUGGGAGUGACGGCUAUAGCGCUGAUGGCGACACCUCCAGCGACUAUGACAUUGAUGAUAGUUCUGAUGGAGAUGGAGAUGUGGACCAUGAUCCUAUCUUGGCACUAUGGGGUAAAGUUCUAUAUGGCUAGUCAGAUAUUAAAUGAACCAUGAAAUAUCAAAAGUUGAUAUUUGCGUGACACUUGAUUACCACACAUUACUCUGUUUGGGUUCUAGAUGAGCUUCCAAAUCAACAUUGACUGAACUAGAGCUUACAUAGAGGAGUGUUUAGUUGUUAGUUAAAAAAAUUAAAUAUUCAAUUUGCCCAUGUUUCUACGAGAUAUUGCUGGAUGGAUGUGAUUGGGUUAUCUAUGUCCUUCAUUUCUUGAUCAUUGGAGUAGGCAUUGAUCAUUAACCCAGUGCUGAUGUUCUAGAUCUUACGUAUGAAAUUAUUUACUACUCUGUCAUCUUAAUUUUUUUUGAUACAGGUCCGGGAAUCAUUGUGAGAAAAGGAACUUUCGAGGAUCGCAUCUUCUACGGCAACCAUGUAUCGCUAAACGAGGAUCGGUGGGACUGUCUCAAAUCCAUAGUAAUGUAGUGCCAACCUCCCAUACCAUACUAUGUCAGCACCGUCACUCGCUCGACAGUCAUCACAGGGAAGAACAAGAUGGUAAACACUUGGACUUUUCUUUUUGCAAAUCAUACAUCAAUAGUGAAAAUGACAUCAUGUAGAGACAGAGAGGAGGACGGGCGUGGUUGUGCAAAUCAUACUUACUUUUUUUGUGUGCAAAUCAUACUUAAUUUUUUAUGUAACAUUAUUUAUUUCCCUGUGCAAUUAGAUGUUCUCAAAGGAUUACAGUCAUGCCUACCUCAAAGAUUAUCUGCGAAAGCCCAUGGUUGUGCGUGUCACCAAUGAACAUUUUGAAGGUAAUAAAAAGGUCUUGUUCAAGAUGGGCAAGAAGGACGGGCGUGCGAUCAUGACGAAGAACUAGAGAGAAGUCGUUGAGGGAGCCAGAAUGAAAGAAGAUCAAAUGGCUAUCUUCAGGUUCAUGGAAAGGAGUGGAGGUGGGCUUAGGGUGAACAUGGUUAGUGGCAUGAGGAUUCGUUGACCCAUGGCAGUAGUUUGACGCGAGUUUUAUAAUCUGUAUGUAGUAGCCAGUGACUGCAAGUUUGUAGUAUCAGCUUUUGGGUCCAGUAAGUGCAACUUAGUAGUAAUUGGUACUUGGUAGUAACUGGUACUUUGGUGGUAUAACUUUUGGGUCCGACUGGGUAUGAAGAUCGUCCAUUAAGUGGAACUUGGCAGUAACUUGGUGGUACCCUAUGUGGCAUAAUGUACUUUCUAUGCAAAUCUAUAUAUAUAACGCACCCUAGUACCCUCCUUGAUAUAAUUAUCUUUAUAGACUGCAAUUAUAUUUCCUUUUUUGCAACAGUGAUGCUAGUAUUUUUAGAAUCAAAUCUAGCCGGGUUUCAAAUGGAUUGGACAAUACUUUCAUUUUUGAACGAGGUUUUUGUGUUGGUUAGUACGAGUUAGUUUGAAAAUGCGGUUUGUAUGUCUGUCGCACAAAAAUAUGCAAUGCAAAACAAAAACUUGUGGGUCAAAAUGCAGUGCAAAAAAUGAUGUUUCCGUUACUUUUGAAAUGGCAUGGCAUGCUAUUUUCAAAAACAGAGCAAACCAACAUGUUUAAAAAAAUAUGCUAUCUUUUAAAAAGCGUAAUUUUAAAAAAUGAUGUUUUCAAAAUUAGCACGCUGCUUUCAAAACAGCAUAUUUCAAAAAGCAUGUAAUUUUUGAAAUCAGCAUGCUAUUUUAAAAACAGUGUUAUAUUUUUAAAAACAAUGUUAUAUUUUUAGAAUGAGGCUGUUAUUUUGAAAUCAGCAUGCUAUUUUUAAAAACAACGUUAUAUUCUUUAAAAUAACGUUAUAUUUUUAGAAUAAGGCUGUUAUUUUGAAAUCAGCAUGCUAUUUUUAAAAAUAUCAAAUUCAAAAGAGCAUGAUUUUUUUUAAAAAUCAGCAUGCUAUUUUUGAAAUCAGCAUGCUAUUUUAAAAGUAGCAUAUUGAAAAGAGCAUGCUAUUUUUAAAAUAAGCAUGCUAUUUUUAAAAUAAGCAUGAUAUUUUUGAAAAUAGCAUGCUAUUUUAAAAGUAGCAUAUUGAAAAAAGCAUUAUAUUUUUACAAGUAGCAUGCUAUUUUUGAAAUUAGCAUGAUAUUUUUGAAAUCAGCAAGUUAUUUUGAAAGUAGCAUAUUGAAAAGAGCAUUAUAAUUUUAAAAGUGGCAUGCUAUUUUUGAAAUCAUAUUUUUUAAAUCAGCAUCCUAUUUUUAAAAUAGCAUGGUACUUUAAAAACAGUAUAUUCAAAGCAACAUGCAUAUUCAUUCUAUUUUAUUUUCAAUUGAACAUGCUUUUUUCAAAUGAGCAUGCUGUUUUUAAAAUAUCAGUAUGCUUAUUUUCUAUUUGAAAAUAAAGGAUUUUCAAGGUUAUUUGAAAACGAGGUUUCUAUUAACGUUCUAUUUUCUUAUAUAUAUAAAAUUUUGGUUUCUAUUUUAUAUUUCAAGUAUGAAAAUUGACUAAACUUGAACAAAUUUCAGCAAUAUAUUAUGUAAAAAAUGAGAAAAAUACAGAAAACCAACUUCACUAAAAAUGCAUUGUUUCAUCGAUGUUGAUAAAUCAUAACUAGCCUAUCAUGUCGUUGUGUCCAUAAUAAAAUGAAGGUGUACCAAGCAAACGAGGAAUUCAAAAAAAUAGUGGCAGUCCAUCAAAUAGGUCUAAUACAUCAGAAACAAGGUGGAUCACGGCAUGGAAAACUGUCUACUUUAGUUUGUUCUCAAUUUUUCGACCCUAGAAAUCCUUUUGUUUUCUCUGCUUGACCCUGUGCAUCUAAACAUCCUGUCUCUACUUCACUAUAGCUUUCCUGCAUGAAACAACGUUUGUUAAUAGGAUAGCAAAGAAGAUUUGAGCAUGUACAGUACACUAUAACAGAAAAGACACUAACUUCACUGAUUUUCUCGUCAUAGCUACAGAAGCUAAUUUGACAUCUCUUAUUCGCUCUGCCUGUGGUACAUUUCUAGAAGUCCUUUUUAUCUUCAUCACCCCUUUGGCCUGUUCUUUACCGCCCUUCCUAGAGUCUAUCCUGGAAAAGUUAACAAAUGUCAACACAGUACUAGCAAAUACCUGACUUCUAGAGCGGACAUGUAAGUACAGACACUAACUUCACUGGUUUUCCUCGCGCACCCUUGUCAUCGUUCUUUUUCUUCCUCCCAGCAUUGACAUUUGGAGCGCCCUUGCGUUUCCUGCAAAAAAUGAAAUAGAUGAAUCUGCAGCCAGCAUUCGAAAACAUGUUUAAGUACGCACAAUUAUGCUGAUGCCCACUUGUUUGGUUUUGCGUAAUCCUCUUCUGCAACCUCCAAUGGUCUCUUUCUAGCCCUCCUCAGCCCACCAUCUUCUGCAUCUCAAUCUCCCUCUUCUUCUGCAUCUGAAUCUCCCUCUUCUUCUGCAUCUGAAUCUUCCUCUUCUUCUAUAAAUGAAUCUUCCUCUUCUUCUAUAUCUGCCUCUGUCUAUUCUUCUGUAUCUGCCUCUGUCUCUUCUUCUGUAUCUGACUCUAUCUCUUCUUUUUGCUUCUUCCUCCUUGUGCUAUUUGAUUUCCCCGAUUUUUUCCUGCGUAAAUUGAAGAAAAACAUGUGAAUACACUCCGGGAGAACAUAUUAACAUUGUAAGAUGUAUGGAAAUGAACAAUGAGAUUAACAUGUGCACUAACUUCGUUGCUUUUUUUGAAUCUUCCUCUUCUUCUGUAUCUGAAUCUGUGUCUUCUUCUACCUCUGAGUCUUUCUCUUUUCGCUUCUUCCUCCUUGUGACCUUUGAUUUCCCUGAUUUGUUCCUGAGUAAAUUGAAGAAAAAGAGAGAACAUAUUAACAUUGUAAGCAUGUAUGGAAAUGAACAAUGAGAUAAACAUGUGCACAAACUUUGUUGCUUUUUUUCCCUCUCAUCCGCUCGCGCCUGGAUUUAAUCCUCUUGUUCGAUUCUUCGGUAGUUGGUCUCUCUUUUGAAACUAUUUUGAUUGGAUUUUCCACGUCAUCAGUGCAGCAUUCGCGAGCAGCAGAGGAGUAUGCCGACAAAGGAACAAACGAUUUAUGGCCUUCAUCGAAAUCAGUUUUUUCUCCAUCAACCAAUAUACUCCGGAGGAGCUCCAUCACCUGUUCUGACUGUGAAUCACUAGCUGCGACUGUGAAUAAAGCGUCACUAGCCAUGUUGCGUAGUUGAUGAUACUUAUUCAUGUGAUCAGACCAUACAUGAAUAUUCGCAGUCCUUGAAGAAUGGAACGCUGGCUUGGCAUGCAUUGUCCAUCUUUUCUUGACAUUUUUUUUGGAAAUGUGCGUACACCAAGAUGAUCCAGAACGCAGAAUAUAUGUGCGCAUGGGUAAUCCUGACUUUCGAAAUUUUUACAUUUACAAACUGCAUCAUCCAGUCUUGCUCCUGGAAACAAACAAGUCACGUGAUAUAUAAAAUCCAUAGGCUUAGCUUCCAUGCCUUGUGCAUCCAACUUUUUUGCAUAAAACUCCUCAUUGUCCUUACCUUCCAAGUCAUUGGGAUCCUUAGCAUCCAGGUUUUUGGCAUGCAAGUCCACACCAUCCUUGCCUUCCAAGUCAUUGGGAUCCUCCGCAUCCAAGUUUUUUGCAUGCAAGUCCUCAGCAUCCUUACCUUCCAAGUCAUUGGGAUCCUCAGCAUCCAAGUUUUUUGCAUGCAAGUCCUCAACAUCCUUACCUUGCAAGUCAUUGGGAUCCUCAGCAUCGAUUUUUUUUGCAUGCAAGUCCUUAGCAUCCUUACCUUCCUUACCUUGCAAUUCUGUAGCAUCCCUGCCAUAUGGGACUUUAUCAUAUGGGCCUUUGCGCAAAACUCCAAACACGACCAAACCGUCACAUGCUACCCGGUCCGUGACCUGCCAAUUUGUCCCUUCGACAAUCUGACGCUUUACCUUUGGAAACAUCACAGUUGUAUAAAUAUAAGAGGCAACAAUCUCCAGAGGGUGUGCAUUCAGCUUAGUGAAGGGUAUCGUAUGUGUUGCUACUGUGUCUAAUGCUGAUUCAUUCUUACGCAUUAUGGAUACACAGUGCUCAACAUGCUGCAACAAAUCAACAAGCUGCAUCUUCCUGUUCAGGUGCACAUGAAGCCUUGAGUUGAGAGACUCACUCCUCUGAUUACUCAUCAUGCCUAGGAAAUAUCUACCCUUGUGUACACAGCAGCCCAUUUGUGUCGCAACUCGUACAUCCUGUUAACCCAUGAUGACCUCUUUCCCGUUGGUUUUAUUUUGAAGCGAACCUUAUAAGCCUCCCAUCUUUUCUCAAACUCAUCAACAUCUCAACGACGGUAAAUAAAUUCCCUAAAUCCCUCAAGCUUUUUCUUGCGAAGGUGCAUCACCAUAUUCUCCUUGAUAUGCCACGUGCACAAACGAUGAUCUGUUCCAGUCCAGACAGUAACUAUUGCUUUAGCCAUUGAACCGUCCCCAUCGGUGAUUGCUGAAAUGGGUGCCCUCUGGGACAUUGCCUCCAAAAAUACAUGAAGAAGCCACUGGUAUGAUGCAACUGUCUCGUCUGACAGUAGACCGACCCCAAACAAAAUUGUGCUGCGGUGAUGGUUCAGACCAACAAAUGGAACAAACGGAAGCCUGUACUUGUUAGACCGGUAUGUACUGUCGAACACCACGACACCACCAAAGGCAACAUAGUCAAUCCGGGAUUGUGAAUCAGCCCAGAAUAUGUUCCUCAAAUGGCCUUCUUUGUCUUUUGUGUAUUUGAAAAUGAAUUCCGGGAAUGCUUUCUUCUGCGCAAUCAUAUAGGUAAGCAAAUAUCUAGCGUCACUUCCUUCUAUCUUGCGCUUCUUCAGGAUUGAAACAUGGUUGUAUAGGUCUCGAUCUAUAAAUCCAAACUUGUCGGGACCUCCGGCAUUCUUCUCCAUUACAUUCAUAAUCUGAUGUGUUCGAAGUCCACCAACAGCAUACUCGAUGCCAUCGGCCUUUUGUGCGUCAGUCAUUCUACGAUGAGCCGAUAAGUAGGGAGUCAGGUCAGCAGGGAGAAACAGAUGGUUAUGCUUGUCCACAAUAUUCUUGACGAACCAGAGGCCACUACUAUCUUGUAGCUCAACCUGAAAAAGAGCGGGACACCCACACCGAGAAAGACCCCUCGGUGUUCUUUUUCUAUCAGCUCUGUUAAAGUGCUUAAGGGCCCGCCAUCCUUGUUUGCAGCACUUGUAUGUCCUUCUGUAUGCAUUUUGUUUCGGACCUGGACCCAUGUACUUCACAUCAUCCUUUCUAACACCAAACCCUUUUUUUCUCGCAUAGCCUACGUAGAACAUGUAGGCUUCUUCCUCAGUCCUGAAAGUCUUAUUCACAAUAUCUAUGUAUUUCAUACACUCAUUCAGAUCUGAACCAGCCAUGCCUUUAAUAUCAAUUCCUUUACCUUGCAUGUGUACAUCAUCUAGGUCUAUGCCAUCUUUGCCUGCAUCCUCAUUAUUGUUAUCAUCUGUGCGCAUACCAUCAACUCCUUUGCCUUCGUUUCGUCUAUCACCCAUGUCCUUGUCAUCCUCGCCUGUAUUCCCCAAGUUUUUGCCGUCGUUGCCUUUAUCAUCCAUGUCGUUAUUCUGUCAACGAAAACAGGUAGUCAAUGUUACGGAUGGAUAGCAUACAUAAUAAUUAUGCAAUACUCUGCUUAAAUAAUUGAUUUAAUUUUUCAUAUCGGAUUCAUGUACCAAACUCAGUCCUUCAAAAGCUGUAAGUAAGUAUAAAAUAUUCCCUGACUAAAUCCAGAAAUAUUUAAUUGAUUGUACUUGUUAUAACUGAUGAUCUCCUAACUAAAUCCAAAGUGCAUGAAUCUUUCAAGUCCCCUGAUAGAACCACCCUGAUAGAUCAAUUAUCUGCAAACUCCAUUCAAAAUUGUGUCCUAACUGAAUCCAAAAUUAUCACCUAACUAAAUGCAAAUUAUCUCGUCACUAAUUCAAAAAUAUCUCCAAACUCCAUAAAAAAAUAAUUAUCUCCUAACCAAAUACAAAAUAUCUGGAAACUCAAUUCAAAAGCAUCUCCUAACUAAAUCCAAAAUAACUUUCUUUCAAUCCAAAUCUGCUGAUAAAUUCUCAUGGCACACAACCCUAACUAAGUGCUUUAAUAUGUCCUACCUUAAUCCGACUUACACUUCCUUUAAAAAAAUCUUUUCACAACUUUCUGAAACCAUAAACCCUAACUAACUACAUCAACAUGUCCUAGCUAAAUCCAACUUACACUACCUUUCAAUAGAAAUCUCGUCACAACUUUCUGAAACCAUAAACCCUAAACCUCACGUGACAUAUCCUAAACCCUAAUCAAAUCCGACCCCUAUUGGUACAAUAGGCAUAAGGGACCAGCAAACAUUGAGAUGGCUAGGCACUUACAGCGAAGAUCCGGCGUGAAAAAGUUGAUGCACGUCGAUCAGGAUGAUGUGGCCUCUCGGGUCGGGGAAGGUGGCGUCAGCUCGGGGAAGGAGGGGAGGCUCGUGGGAAGAUCUGGCGCCGCGACCUGAGUGGGGUGACUUCCGAUGGAGGGGGGAGGGGGGAGUAGGAGAAGGAGGAAGGAGUGACACGGCGAGUGCGAUCGGCGGCGAUCGAGGGAGGCGGGGGCGAUCGGCGGCGAUCGAGGGCGCCGAGGUUAGGGCUCGAGAGGAGGAGAGAGGACGAACCGCUCGAAUCAAAUUUCAAAAGAGUACGCACGAUGAUUGGACCUCUAGUUUUAUUAAUGCAAUUAAUUUAAUCGAAAAAUUUCGGACGAGAAUACCACUGGACUUAAUUGGGCCGAUUAAAGGUAUAAAAAAUUUUAGGUCAAAAAUACCCUUGGGCUCUAAAAGGCCCAGUUAUUCUAUUCCGUUAGAUCGCCCAUAUAAUAUACGUGAUUUGGUGUAUUAUGAUGCACCGUAAAAUCUCCCUAGUUCAAAGGAUAAUACCACAUCCCUCUAUUGUUGUAAGACAUGUGUCCAAUCAGCUGACCACCAGUCCGGCUUAAUCACAUUCACCAUCACAUUCCUUUCGCUGAUGGCGCAAUAUGAUUAGUUGUGCCUCCGUUCUUCUUCAAGCCGCAACAAACACAUUCCACGCCUGCCAAGAACGGCAACAGUCUAGUCUGGCAGUUAGAAUGGGUAAUUGCAUAAUUUAGCACAAAAUUAAUGUCUUUAUCAUUUUCAUCUGCGUGCUCGCGAUACCGGCAUUAAACUCUUCCUGAUGACACAAAAUAGUGUGGGCACCGCUUGGGUGCAUGUGUCGGCAGUUGCAGAUGGCGUCCCCUCUUCCACCAGGUUGGCAGUUGUUCUGGAGGAAAUCCUAGACCUGGGUCUCCCGGAUCGGAUGAUGACAGAGACUUUGUUGCCGUUCUGCCUCCUAGGGGUAUCGUGAUGAAGCAUUGGUUCACUGGAGAGGCGAACAGGUGGAGCGGUGUUACAUCGAAUGGGGUGGGUCUCGGUGGCAUGGAGCAGUGAAGCCUCAGUGUUGGACGCGGUUUGGUCGAUACACGCAGAUUGGUGGCGCUGUCUGGUGACGUGUUGACGUCGACGGCAAAUGGGACUGGCAAGAUCUGUGCAGUGAUUCCUCCUGAAGACGGGAUGGCGGAAGAUGGCAAUGGUGGAUCCUAGAGCGUGCGUAGGCGGUGCAUGUUAUGGCACGUCUAAACCGGAUGGUCCUAAGGCCACCGGAUUAGAUUGUGUCUACUAUGCGGACAUGGCACAUCUAUAUACUUGUAGGUGUAGCGACUUUGUUCACCUACAAGGUGACUUUGGGUUGAUCCUUAUAUUCAUUUUUUCAGGCUCUAAUGAAUUAUUAAUAAUGAUGAAUGUGUAUAUCAUGCUGAUGCAGAGGCGGUGGUAAUCCUCUUUCGAAAAAAAAUAGUGUGUCUGCGAGGCAAUCCCCUAACUAAUAUAGCACCCCUGCAUUCAGUCUGACAUUAUGCCACCAUGGUCGAUAGCCCAGUAGCAAGUACUUCUCACCCCACGUGCUUCUAGGUUCCAGUAAGAUUGGGGCUGAUUAUUCAUUGUUACUAGAUCGUUGAUGGCGCGGAUUGCCGUACCCAUCUAUUUUACAAUAUAGUAUUUGGAUUUGUCAGAAUUACUAUUGUCUUUUUAUGAUAGCUAUUAUCAAUCAACUUAGUUUUAAUAUAUAAACUCCUAGUGACUAAUAAUUAGUUAGUAAAAGCUAAUAUAUUCUCAAGAAAAUAAACUUUGCUAGUUGGUUACAAAAUAUGGUUGGACCUUACCAGUUGUUUGAAUUUUCCAAAAGCAUUUGAACAAUAUGUUACAGUUAGCUCCAAACGUGGAAAUUAAAGGCAUGAGAUAAUAGAUAUCAUUGUAGAGGAACUCAUAUCAUUGUAGAGGAACUCAAGCUCCCAUUGCCAUUUUUCACCACCAACCAAACAGAGCUAAAUCAGUUGAAAAUAAGUGAAAAGAACAAAGAAAUGGACGUUGUAUUCAUUCUAGGUACAGCAGGGGGGCACCCGAUUGGAUGGCUCUCUCACAUAAAUUUCUAUCAUUGUGCAUGAACUCAAGCUCCCAUUGCCAUUUUUCACCACCAACCAGACAGAGCUAAAUCGGUUAAAAAUAAGUGAAAAGAGCAAAGAAAUGGACCUUGUUUUCAUCCCAGGUAGAACAGGGGGCACCCGAUUGGAUGGCGACGCCUCUCUCUUGCUCGAGCUUCAUAGCUAGGGCCCAUCUGUGUUGAUGCCCUUGCGGCCACGCACCUUGUGAAUCUCGACAAUCCGUCAUACAUGACCUGCCCCCUGAAUGCCAAGUUUUUUCGGAGUCUCUGAAGAGCAGUAGCAGGAGGCGAGCACGUCUAAUAAAUCUCCUAUGUUUUUAUUUUAUAUUCAGAUGAACCAGAUUUUUACAUGAUGCUACCUUUUGGGAUACUGCAGCCGAUGAUUCUUGUGAAGAUGCAGGGCAAAUAGAGCACCUUUGCCUUGCCCUGAUGCUCAAGAACUGUUGAUGGUGAGCUAAUCUGCAACGCCUCACUACAACCCUGUGGAAACAGUGCCUCUACUCAUCUACCAAGAACGAAUCUUCCUAAUUAUUAAUUUUUAUUACAUAAAUACUCACUGGAAGGAUGGGGAUCAAUAUAAGCCAUCUUGAUCCAGAUCCAAAAGAAUACCUUUCUUGAUUUGGGACGGAGGUAGUCAGGUAGAGAUCUUGGAUCCAGGAAAACAAGAGGCUGACGAACUACCUAUUGUGAAUUAGCUGAUGAGAAGAUGAGACGAAGAGAGUACCAACUGGGCGGAAGAGCGACGGCUCUCCCCAUCUGCAUGACUGCUUGCCAAGGGACGCCGAUUUCAGUGACUCCGCUAGAGUUCAAGGUCAGGGUAGGACAAGCUCGCUGCCAUGGCGCUGAUCCGGGAUGCCAUGAAGGCGGUUCGUUGCCCUAUCAUGAUUCGGACGAGGUUGGAGGCAUGAUCUCAUCGUUGUAGGUGGUGGCGGUGCACGGCAGUGGCGGUGCACCUAGGGCUUGCCCAAGUCGUGAGAGAGGAGAGGAGCGGUCGGGGAAGACCUUUUUUCGGGACGGUUAGCGACCAGGUGCUCUCCUGUUAGAGCAUCCCCACCCACGCCCUCAGAAACUUCCCCCAGGCCACUUUUUAAGCACCGGCGGCAAAAAAAUCAUCCCACUAGCGCCCCCAAAGCGUCAGUUUUCGCCGGACUAGGAGAAAAACGACGCCAGCAAUCCCACCCCGAACCCAACCCCCUGGGGGGCAGCUGGGUGUGCUGGCGGCUCCUUUUUCUCGCUGUUGGCCCACCCUCAGCGCAGCUGGCCCGCAGGAUGGAGGCCGCCGACAAGGGCAUCGAGCGCUGGCUGGCUGCCGCCCCCCUGCCUUCCUUCCUCAAGCCUUCCUCCGCGAGCAAGACACCGGCGGCGCCGGCAAGGAGCACCAGCUCGUCCAGCCUCUUCCCAUCGUCCUCCUCCACCUCUUCCUUCUCCACUAGCUACGCCUUCUCCACCAGCGGGGCGGAGCUCGUGGCUGAGCAUGGACGGGGCGAGGGCGAUAGACUCCGGGCGUGGACGGGACGGAGCAUGGCCGGCGAGUUCAUGGCUGGGCGAAGCAUGGCCGGGGCGGAGCUCGCGGCCGGGAGGAGCGUGGCUGGGGCGGAGCUCGCGGCCGGGCGGAGCACCUGCCUCCCCCUCGCCGCCUACUCGCCGUCGUGCCGUCGUGCAGAUGAGGUCGAAGAGCACCACCUUGCUGCCGAAGCUGAGCCAGCGGCCCUGCGCGGGCGCGGCACGCACUGCGUCCACCCGAUCGGCGUCCGCGCGGGAGGAGGAGCCAGCCCCGCUCCAGCUGAAGCAGCGGCUGCCGUGGGAGACCUCGUAGGGGGAGGAGAAACCAGCAGCGCUCCGCCGAGGCAGCAGCUGCCAAGGGAGUCCUUGCCGGAGCGGACGCCGCAGAGGCGCCUCGCGGUGGGCGUCUUGGGGGUGCGAGGCGUCCCCGGUGCCGCACCAGCUGGUGAGCGGCGUCUGCACGCUGCUAUUGUGCGCGACGGGGGCGAGGCCGCUGCCCCCGGACGGGCGGUGGUGGUGGCCGGGCUGUAGGAGGGCGCGGCAGACAAGCUGUAGGGCGCGCGCAGGGUGCGUGGGCGCGGCGGAAGCAGAUGUCUCCCGCGGGCGCGACUUGUACGAGCAGGCCGGCGGGGUCGACGCGGCGGAAGCAGAGGACCGCGGCGAGCGACAUGGCAAUAGCCGCGGCGGCAAUCAGCAAGCGGCGAGCAGGGCGGCGUGGUGAUGACGGUGCGGUGGAGUGGGGGACAUGAGGUGGCGCACGGGGAAGAAGAAACAGGAGUNNNNNNNNNNNNNNNNNNNNNNNNNNNNNNNNNNNNNNNNNNNNNNNNNNNNNNNNNNNNNNNNNNNNNNNNNNNNNNNNNNNNNNNNNNNNNNNNNNNNNNNNNNNNNNNNNNNNNNNNNNNNNNNNNNNNNNNNNNNNNNNNNNNNNNNNNNNNNNNNNNNNNNNNNNNNNNNNNNNNNNNNNNNNNNNNNNNNNNNNNNNNNNNNNNNNNNNNNNNNNNNNNNNNNNNNNNNNNNNNUGGAAGAAUCUUCCUCCUCAAUGCAGAAAUUUCGCCGGGGCAGCCCAGCAAGUCGAAAAAACGCCUCCUGGGGACACAACGGGUGGAGAUGCUCUUAUAUUUGUUGCGAGGGUUGUCGCGCCGCUCCGCCUCACUUCACAUUAGAUCUCGCACACGGUGAAUUUAGGCCGAGGUUGAGUCCGCCGUUGGGCCUUACAUGAUGCUACGGCCCGAUUAACCAGGGCGGCAGAUUUUUCUACGGGAGUAGCGUCCCCGGACAGCUAGCCCUUUCAACGAUUAGUCACCAGAUUAGACAGGCAAUCAAUAGCCAGAAACAUCCUGGAAGCAAAAUCCAAAGGCCAGAAUCACUGAUAGCGUGAGAGGGCUGGGAUGGUGCCCAGUUUUACUGGCCUUAAUAUUGAUGAGUAAAUAUAAAUCUUUUGUGGUUGAAUAAAAAAGAAUAAAUACAAAAAAGAUAAAUAUUCUUUUAAUAACUAUUUCUUUGGUGAGAUUUACUGAAACUAUCCUUAUAGACAUACUAUUAUCAAGUGAAGAGGAAAGUGUAUUGCAACUCUGUGAUGUACGUCCUCUUCGUUCAUGACAUUCACAUGAGUAAUUCAACGACGCGACUUGCCUGUAGGCUAUCUCAGAAUGUGAUCAUUUUAGGAACUACACUGUGGGCUUGAAUUGACCUGUCAGAACUUAUACCAGGAAGUUCUACACAUGUGUUAUUUAUGACUGUUAUUGAAUAGCUCGAAAGCUUCAAUACCAUGGUAGUUGCACUUGCGCCAUACAUUAUCGGGCAUUUAUGUAAUGUUGUUUCUAAUCAUUCAAGCGUGACAAUGGAGAUGGAACAUGCACACAUAUAGUUUUCAAUAUGUGCGGGCAAGGAGUGGAACUCGUUUUUUGCUAGGUGGAACAUGUUCAUAUAUAGCCCGUGAAGAAGCCAUCAAGCUAUCUGCAUAGCUGUGCCGGCAAGGAGUGCAGCCCUAACUUUGCAUGGUUCAGACCAAUUAUACCAGAAACGUAAUGCACAUAAGUUCUGCACUUGGUUAGAGUUGGAAUCGCACUUGCAAUGCCACUAAAAUCCAUGAACAUCCUAGCACUAGGAAGCAUCAGGAUUUGUGAUUACGCCUCCCUAGAUUUUCACACACAAGGUAACAAGAUCAGUGUGAUUGCCGGCUGGAGGUGUAUUGCUUCAGAGGGUUCACAAUGAACAUUGUAAGCAGUACCCACGACCAGGCAUUCUAGAGGAUUUACCUCCGGCAGUCUUCCAAGUUCCAUACUGUUUUUAUCUGGUUACAAGAGAGCAAAGAAGUCGAUACCUACUUCAGUCCCAAUCGUGUUUCAGAGUGCAGCAUUCUAGUUGGCCUGCCAUGUUUGGAACUCACGGAGCACUACUUAAAAAUGAGUAUUUGUCUUCUCCCUAUUGGCUGAAUUAUAGGGACCAUUAUUAGUCUUGUCUUUUAUUUGGAAAAGGAGGAUAUACCCCCGGCCUCUGCAUCUCGAUGAUGCAUCCAGCCAUUUUACUAAUUAUUCACAAAUACCUUACAAAGUAAUACAUCGGUAUGCCCAAAGCCACAAUCUUGGCGACACACACGUCAUUACUCCUAUCCCCUUGAUCAAGGGGUGCCAAAUGUCCGAGCCUAAUAACAACCAGACAUCACAUCAAAUCCUAACAUCUAAAGCCGGAUGCCCCAAGCAAGCCACAAUACCGUAACUGGAUCACACAUCGGUCUAGCGCACUCUCAUAGGACGUCGCCACCUCCAACCACUGAUGCACCAACCUUGCCACGCCUGCCGUCAACGCCAUCAUGGCGUCAGACAACGCAACCAUCCUGUGCAUGUCCAUCCACACGCGCCCAUCGCCGAAACACUGCAGUGCCAUGGCGUCGUGAUCUGCCGUUGGCCUUGCGGUACAUGUAACACCCCUUCACCUCUUGUCACCUCCAGCCAUCGCUUGCUCCAAGCCGAUGCCCAACAAGGGGAAGCGAUACCGAGAACACCAUCAUCGUACGAUCCGGGAGAACCAAAUCUAGGGUUUCCCCCGGAGCAUCCCAAGCCUGGUGACGCAAACUGCAACAACGAUGCCUCGACAAGGAAACGACAUCAUAGACGCCGCCAUUGUCCGCCGCAUGACCACAGUCGGCGCGAUUUUCAUCGGCACUUGCGCCACCGAGCGUGUGUUGCCGGCGUCGCUGCUCCCUUCAAUCGGAGCAAACUCCAAAAUGAUGCCCUGAAGAGGGGCUACGACGCAAAAGUACCGCCAUCGCUCGAUCCGUAGGAGAUCUAGAGUUUCCCCUGGAGUUUCCCGCGCUGACAAGAACCAAACAAGGAUGGAAUUUCGCAGAACCGCCUAACUGCCGACGUGUCACACCCAACAACGCACCGACCGCGACCCAGAGACCAAGUCCACGCCCAUGCCCAGAUCCUACUGCGCCGCCGCCGAUCCAGUCACGCCGCCGUCGUCGCUGGCGACCACGACGCCCAAGAUGGAGAUCCAGAUCGAGACCGAGACGACCCCGACCGAAACCCCGCCACCAGCGCCCCCGCGACAAGCCACCGCCUCCUAGCGAAGAAGCCGCCAAAUACAUCCGCCCCCGAUGCCGCGCCCCUUGCCGCUGUGCCCCUUGCUUACGCACAUGACCCGCGCCGCUGCCACGACAACCAGGGGAAGGAGGGAGAGACCCCACUGCCACCCGCGCCGCAAGGGGUUCGCCCUGCGGACGCACUCCGGCGGCGGCGAGAGGGGGGAAGCGUUGGAGAGGAGCAAGUCACCGGCGGACGAUAGUUCUGAAGUUAUGCUCUAUUCAAUCACAAAAAUACUUAUAAAAUCAUCUUUUAGGUUCGGCCACAUAGUGAGAAUUAAGUGCUCAGAACAAAGUGGAGAGCAAAACGAGCGCUCAAAACCGAACAGAGGUGGCUGUAGUGUUGUUUCAGUGUACGUACUUACAAUUUCAGCUAACUGAGCACAAGAAGAUAUUUUUCUCGCAAACAAAACACGAGAAGAUAUUUCUUCAUUCAGAACACAAAGUGACAACAUUGGACAUGACUGGCUGACAAGAUAAAAAAAAAUUAGAGCAUCUGUUACGUAAACGUUCGAAAGAAAACAUUUGGGGACUAGAAAAUCCUAAAAUUAUGAUGCUUAUUCGAGUGUAUACUUUGUACAGUGUCACGGUAUCUUAUUUUUGAUCUCUGAGUGAUACAAGGAGUGGAGUAAAGAAUAAAUUAGGUCCAGAAACUUGUUGAAAUGUGAGAUGGGCCUAGAGCCCAUAUGACAAUUUCAGAUUUGAUCUCUAAGGGCCCAUGUAGGUGGCAUGACAAGGUGGUGGGAAGUUUAGUCCCACCAUGUUACUGGAAGGAAAGUUGGAGUGGUUUAUAAGGGUGGCUCUUCUACAUGCUAUUGGAGCUUGAGAAGAGAAGAGGCCCUCGCGCACUCCUCCUUCUCCGCUCGCCUCGCCACGACGCGCCGCGCCGCGCCGCGGGAUUGAGCCGAGCCGAGCCGAGCUCCUAUGCGCUUCUUUUUGCCGGUCAGGAACGGAGAGUCUUUGACAGGUAGGGCCACGAUCUGAGACGUUGGAUCGUGGGCUACCGACUUGGACGUGGGUUCAGCCCACGUCUCUCCACGCGCGGCCGUACAUAUAUAUGUGGGGCGCUGACAACCCUAGCCGCCGCGAAAAACAGAACGCAUCUCCGCCUCCACGCCCAUGUCGUUCCUCUGCUGCUGCCGCCGGCGACUCCAUCCUGUUCACCGCGUACACGGUUGACGGGAGAGCAGGUCUCCGAAACUCCAUCUCUCUGGUUCCUGUACGGGAGAGAGGCGAAUAGGUUUUUGGGAAGCGACUACGUGACUGCUCGCCUCCGAUCCACUACGUCCGCGCCGUCUCCGUCAUCACCAUGUUCAGCGACGCCGAACGCGCCGCCGCCGAGAAGACCGAGGCCUACAUGAAGGCCUCCGAGGACGCUUCUGCUGCUGCUGUCACCGCGGCAGCGGCUUCUGCAUGGCCUACUGGAGGGUAUACCGCGAAAGUCAACGUGCCGAUCCCCAAAAAGCGUAAGCUUGGACCCAAGACUGUGGACUGCAUUAAUUUGGGCUACGCUAAGAACAGCGUUGGCUAGAGAUUUCUAGUAGUGAAAUCUGAGUUACCUGACCAGAAGGUCGGUACAAUCAUAGAGUCUAAGGAUGCUACAUUCGUUGAGGAUGUUUUUCCUAUGAGAGAUAUGCAAAGCACUUCUAGACAGGAAUCUGAGGAGACUCCUGAGCCUGCCAUUCCUAUGGAAUAUUAUGAACGAACACAUGAUGAAAAUCCUGAGGAGGAUGACGAGGAAACCCUUGGUAGGGGCAAGAGACAAAGGACUGCAAAGACCUUUGGUGAUGAUUUCUUCGUGUACCUCGUGGAUGAUACUCCCACUUCUAUCUCAGAAGCGUAUGCCUCUCCAAAAGCUGACUACUAGAAGGAUGCGGUCCGUAGCGAGAUGGAUUCCAUCAUGGCUAAUGGGACAUGGGAGAUCACUGAGCGUCCCUAUGGUUGCAAACCAUUGGGAUGUAAGUGGGUGUUCAAGAAAAAGCUUAGGCCCGAUGGUACGAUUGAAAAGUACAAGGCCAGGCUUGUGGCCAAGGGCUAUGACCAGAAAGAAGAGGAAGAUUUCUUCGAUACUUAUUCACAUGUGGCUAGACUGACCACCAUUCGAGUAUUACUCUCGUUGGCGGCCUCACAUGGUCUUCUCGUCCAUCAAAUGGAUGUUAAGAUGGCUUUUCUGAAUGGAGAGCUAAAUGAGGAAAUCUACGUGCAACAGCCAGAUGGCUUUAUGAUAGAUGGUCAGGAAAGGGUGUGUAAGUUGCUGAAAUCUUUAUAUGGCCUGAAGCAAGCACCUAAGCAAUGGCAUGAUAAGUUCAAUACAACUCUGACAUCUGUUGGUUUCGUUGUUAAUGAGGCUGACAAAUGUGUAUACUAUCGCCAUGGUGGGGGCGAAGGAGUUAUACUGUGCUUGUAUGUUGAUGACAUACUGAUAUUCGGAACAAACCUCAAAGUCAUUGAGGAGGUCAAAUCGUUUCUGUCUCAGAACUUUGAGAUGAAGGACCUUGGUUUGGCUGAUGUUUUCUUGAACAUCAAGCUACUGAGAGAUAAUGAGGGUGGGAUCACACUUCUGCAAUCCCAUUAUGUUGAGAAGGUGUUGAGUCGUUUUGGAUAUUUGGACUGCACACCAUCUCAAACACCAUAUGAUCCUAGCGUGUUCAUUCGAAAGUCCAAAGGCAUGGCUAAAGAUCAAUUGAGAUACUCUCAAAUCAUUGGUUCAGUGAUGUACCUAGCGAGCGCAACGAGGCCUGACAUCGCGUUUGCUGUGAGCAAACUGAGCCGGUUUGUUUCUAAACCGGGUGAUGUACAUUAGCAUGCUGUUGAAAGAGUUAUGCGCUAUCUGAAAGGUACUAUGAACUAUGGACUUCACUAUACCUGAGAUCCGUCGGUACUUGAAGGGUAUAGUGAUGCGAAUUGGAUCUCUGAUGCUGAUGAGAUGAAGGCCACAACUAGGUAUAUGUUUACUCUUGGAGGUGGCGCUGUUUCCUGGAAGUCUUGCAAGCAAACGAUCUUAACAAGAUCGACAAUGGAAGCAGAAUUAACAGCAUUAGACACUUCUGGUGUUGAAGCAGGAUGGCUUCGAGAUCUUUUGAUGGACUUGCCACUGGUUGAUAAACUGGUUCCGGCUAUCUUUAUGAACUGUGAUAAUCAGACUGACAUCACCAAGGUGAAGAGUUCAAAGGACAACAGGAAGUCCAACAAACACAUAAGAAUGAGAUUAAAAGCUUUCAGAAAAUUAAGAAACUCCGAAGUGAUAGCAUUGGACUAUGUCCAUACGGCUAAGAAUCUGGCAGAUCCCUUUACGAGAGGGCUAUCACGUGUAGUGAUAGAUAGUGCAUCGAGGGAGAUGGGUAUGAGACCCACAUGAGUUGCCAUGGUGGUAACUCAACCUAUGUGAUCGGAGAUCCCGUGAAGUAGGACCUGGGAAAACAAGCCAGUGGUGAACUGAGGAGAGUAACUUUACUAACCCACUCUGUUGGAGAUGCAAUACUCUCGGAAACCGUAUGGAAGGAUGACUACUGUCUUAAUGUGUUCCAAGGCUUAUAUGUACAAGCAAGAUGCUAUCCUACAGAGCGAUCUUUGGAGGAACACACCUAUGUGAGCCCGACUGCUAGUCACAGUCUAUGAGAUUGGGGUGAUCUCUAGUAAGCUCAUGAAUAGGCCAGGAGUGUGACUUAUAUGCUCCACCCGAGGGGUCAGCCUUCGGCGGCCUAGUACUAGUAAGACAUGUGGUGAAACUUCUUUACGCUAAACUGACAAUUCAAGGCAUCGUCCAUUGUUCAGUUGUGAAGGAGUGUAGCUACUUGCUCUAGGUGAAGCUCAACCUUAACAGGUCUUCACUGAAACACUAGUAUAUCAAAACAGCGUUUGGAACAAAGGACAAAGUGGGCCCCUGAGAUCUGGCGUGGGAUUGUUGAAAUGUGAGAUGGGCCUAGAGCCCAUAUGAAAAUUUCAGAUUUGAUCUCUAAGGGCCCAUGUAGGUGGCAUGACAAGGUGGUGGGAAGUUUAGUCCCACCAUGUUAGUGGAAGGAAAGUUGGAGUGGUUUAUAAGGGUGGCUCUUCUACAUGCUACUGGAGCUUGAGAAGAGAAGAGGCCCUCGCGCACUCCUCCUUCUCCGCUCGCCUCGCCACGACGCGUCGCGCCGCGCCGCGGGAUUGAGCCGAGCCGAGCCGAGCUCCUAUGCGCUUCUUUUUGCCGGUCAGGAACGGAGAGUCUUUGACAGGUAGGGCCACGAUCUGAGACGUUGGAUCGUGGGCUACCGACUUGGAUGUGGGUUCAGCCCACGUCUCUCCACGCCCGGCCGCACAUAUAUAUGUGGGGCGCUGCCAACCCUAGCCGCCGCAAAAAACAGAACGCAUCUCCGCCUCCAUGCCCACGUCGUUCCACUGCUGCUGCUGCCGCCGGCGACUCCAUCCCGUUCACCGCGUACACGGUUGACGGGAGAGCAGGUCUCCAAAACUCCGUCUCUCUGGUUCCUGUACGGGAGAGAGGCGGAUAGGUUUUUGGGAAGCGACUACGCGACUGCUCGCCUCCGAUCCACUAUGUCCGCGCCGUCUCCGUCAUCACCAUGUCCAGCGACGCCGAACGCGCCACCGCCGAGAAGACUGAGGCCGACAAGAAGGCCGCCGAGGACGCUUCUGCUGCUGCUGUCACUGCGGCAGCGGCUUCUGCAUGGCCUACUGGACGGUAUACUGCGUUUAUCCCUCUCCUGAUAAUUUCUGUAUUAGCAGUGCUAGCAUCAUGUGUAGGUUUGUCUACUAUUUGCAUAGUACGUGCUUGUUUAGAUCAGUACCAGUAUGUUCCUAGUUCUGUCAAUGCCAUGCUCGUUAUCUACUUAUGGAUUAAAUUAGUCGAAAAAUUGCCUAUUUUCUCAGCAAUCCAAAAACCUAUUAUGUGUAGGAAUUUUUCGGCAAGUGGCUUUGCCGCAGCACUGAAACCGGAUAAGUUUACCGGUACAUAUUUUAAGCGUUGGCAGACAAAGACCACUUUAUGGCUCACGGCUAUGAACGUGUUCUGGGUCACCGGGGUGUCCACGGGAAUGAUUGCUCCUGAACAGGAGAAGGCGUUCAGGGAGGCAAGCACUGUGUUUCUCGGAGCAGUUCUUAGCGUGAUCGGAGAUAAACUGGUCGACGCAUAUUUACAUGUGCAUGUCACCAAGGACUUGUGGGAGGCACUCGAAUCUAAGUUCGGGGCCGCCGAUGCAGGGAGCGAGAUGUAUAUUAUAGAGCCGUUCCACGAUUACAAGAUGGUUGAGAACCGUCCUGUACUGGAGCAGGCUCAUGAGAUUAUAUGCAUUGUUAAGGAGCUUGAGCUUCUGAAGUGCGAGUUACCGGGCAAGUUUGUCGCGGGCUGCAUAAUCGCUAAGCUCCCCAAUUCCUGGAGGAACUUUGCCACCACUCUGAAUCAUCAGAGGCGUGAAUUCUCUGUGGAGGAUGUCAUUGGCCAUCUGAGUGUUGAGCAGAAUUCGAGGGCAAAGGACUCGCACGGAAAAGGGUCCGAAGGGACUUCUGUUGCCAACAUGGUGAACCGGAGGAACUUCAACUCCCACAAGUUCAAGGGAAAGAACGGUGUCCAACAGAAUAUCGACUUCAAGAAGAAGGGUAAGAGGACCUUCAAGAAGAACAAGAAGGAUGAGGCCUGCUUUACUUGUGGUUCGGCUGAACACUGGGCCAACAAGUGCCCAAACAAGUUUAAGAAGUCAGGACAGGACUCCAAGUCUGUCAACAUGAUUGUGGGCAACAAUGAGAAUGGUGCAUCUGGGUACGGUAAUUUAUUUACUAUUUUUUAGUAUUUCAGCCUACCGAUUGGUGGGUGGAUACAGGUGCAGGUGUUCAUGUGUGUGCUGACAUUUCAUUGUUCUCUUCUUACCAGGUCACAGGCCACGGGUCCGUAUUGAUGGGGAAUGGCGCGAGUGCUUCUGUUCAUGGUGUUGGCACGGUCGAUCUGAAGUUUACUUCGGGAAGGAUCGUGCAGCUGAAGAACGUGCAGCAUGUCACCGCCAUCAAGAAGAACCUCGUUAGUGGCUCCCUUCUAUAUAGAGAAGGGUUUAAGUUGGUAUUCGAGUCUAAUAAAUUAGUUCUUACUAAGUAUGGACUAUUUGUUGGAAAAGGUUAUGAGAGCGGAGGGAUGUUCCGCCUUUCCCUCACAAAUUUCUGUAAUAAAGUCGUGAACCAUAUUCAUUCGAGUGUUAAUGAAUCUGAGGUUUAGCAUUCACGUCUUUGUCACAUAAAUUUCGGUGUUAUGACGCGGCAAGCUAAGUUGGAUUUAAUCCCGAGUUUCACUUUAGCCAAAGGUUCUAAGUGCCUGUCAUGUGCGCAAGCUAAGCAACCUCGCCAGCCUCACAAGGCUGCGGAGGAGAGACACUUGGCACCAUUAGAACUCAUACAUUCUGAUCUUUGUGAGAUGAAUGGUGUAUUGACUAAAGGUGGAAACAAAUACUUCAUGACAUUGAUAGAUGAUUCCACUAGAUAUUGCUACGUGUAUCUGUUAAAUACUAAAUAUUAGGCUCUACACUACUUUAAAAUCUAUAAGGCAGAAGUUGAGAAUCAACUUGAAAAGAAAAUUAAACGAUUCCGUUCAGAUCGUGGUGGAGAGUACUUCUCGAGUAAGUUUGAUUCCUUCUGUGCGGAACACGGCAUUAUUCAUGACAGGACGCCUCCCUAUUCACCCCAGUCAAACGGGGUUGCCGAGAGGAAAAACCAUACUCUAACUGAUCUGGUUAACGCCAUGUUAGAUAUGUCGGGUUUAUCCAAGGCAUGGUGGGGGGGGCUAUAUUGACGGCAUGUCAUGUCCUGAAUAAAGUUCCGAUAAAGGAUAAUGAGAUCACUCCCUAUGAGAGAUGGGCAAAGAGAAGGACAACACUCUCGUACUUGCGUACUUGGGGCUUUUUGGCGAAAGUCAACGUGCCGAUCCCCAAAAAGUGUAAGCUUGGACCCAAGACUGUGGACUGCGUUAAUUUGGGCUACGCUAAGAACAACGUUGGCUAUAGAUUUCUAGUAGUGAAAUCUGAGUUACCUGACCAGAAGCUCGGUACAAUCAUAGAGUCUAAGGAUGCUACAUUCUUUGAGGAUAUUUUUCCUAUGAGAGAUAUGCAAAGCACUUCUAGACAGGAAUCUGAGGAGACUCCUGAGCCUGCCAUUCCUAUGGAAUAUUAUGAACGAACACAUGAUGAAAAUCCUGAGGAGGAUGACGAGGAAACCCUUGGUAGGGGCAAGAGACAAAGGACUACAAAGACCUUUGGUGAUGAUUUCUUCGUGUACCUCAUGGAUGAUACUCCCACUUCUAUCUCAAAAGUGUAUGCCUCUCUAGAAGCUGACUACUGGAAGGAUGCGGUCCGUAGCGAGAUGGAUUCCAACAUGGCUAACAGGACAUGGGAGAUCACUGAGCGUCCCUAUGCUUGCAAACCAUUGGGAUGUAAGUGGGUGUUCAAGAAAAAGCUUAGGCCCGAUGGUACAAUUGAAAAGUACAAGGCCAGGCUUGUGGCCAAGGGCUAUGACCAAAAAGAAGAGGAAGAUUUCUUCGAUACUUAUUCACCUGUGGCUAGACUGACCAGCAUUCGAGUAUUACUCUCAUUGGCAGCCUCACAUGGUCUUCUCGUCCAUCAAAUGGAUGUUAAGACGGCUUUUCUGAAUGGAGAGCUAAAUGAGGAAAUCUACAUGCAACAGCCAGAUGGCUUUAUGAUAGAUGGUCAGGAAAGGAAGGUGUGUAAGUUGCUGAAAUCUUUAUAUGGCCUGAAGCAAGCACCUAAGCAAUGGCAUGAUAAGUUCAAUACAACUCUGACAUCUGUUGGUUUCGUUGUUAAUGAGGCUGACAAAUAUGUAUACUAUCACCAUGGUGGGGGCGAAGGAGUUAUACUGUGCUUGUAUGUUGAUGACAUACUGAUAUUCGGAACAAACCUCAAAGUCAUUGAGGAGGUCAAAUCGUUUUUGACUCAGAACUUUGAGAUGAAGGACCUUGGUGUGGCUGAUGUUAUCUUGAACAUCAAGCUACUGAGAGAUAAUGAGGGUGGGAUCACACUUCUGCAAUCCCAUUAUGUUGAGAAGGUGUUGAGUCGUUUUGGAUAUUCGGACUGCACACCAUCUCAAACACCAUAUGAUCCUAGUGUGUUCAUUCGAAAGUCCAAAGGCAUGGCUAAAGAUCAAUUGAGAUGCUCUCAAAUCAUUGGUUCACUGAUGUACCUAGCGAGCGCAACGAGGCCUAACAUUGUCUUUGCUGUGAGCAAACUGAGCCGGUUUGUUUCUAAACCGGGUGAUGUACAUUGGCAUGCUGUUGAAAGAGUUAUGCGCUAUCUGAAAGGUACUAUGAACUAUGGACUUCACUAUACCGAAGAUCCGUCGGUACUUGAAGGGUAUAGUGAUGUGAAUUGGAUCUCUGAUGCUGAUGAGAUGAAGGCCACAACUGGGUAUAUGUUUACUCUUGGAGGUGGCGCUGUUUCCUGGAAGUCUUGCAAGCAAACGAUCUUAUCGAGAUCGACAAUGGAAGCAGAAUUAACAGCAUUUGACACUUCUGGUGUUGAAGCAGGAUGGCUUCGAGAUCUUUUGAUGGACUUGCCACUGGUUGAUAAACCGGUUCCGGCUAUCCUUAUGAACUGUGAUAAUCAGACUGUCAUCACCAACGUGAAGAGUUCAAAGGACAACAUGAAGUCCAACAAACACAUAAGAAUGAGAUUAAAAGCUGUCAGAAAAUUAAGAAACUCCGGAGUGAUAGCAUUGGACUAUGUCCAUACGGCUAAGAAUCUGGCAGAUCCCUUUACAAAAGGGCUAUCACGUGUAGUGAUAGAUAGUGCAUCGAGGGAGAUGGGUAUGAGACCCACAUGAGUUGCCAUGGUGGUAACCCAACCUAUGUGAUCGGAAAUCCCGUGAAGUAGGACCUGGGAAAACAAGCCAGUGGUGAACUGAGGAGAGUAACUUUACUAACCCUCUCCAUUGGAGAUGCAAUACUCUUGGAAACUGUAUGGAAGGAUGACUACUGUCUUAAUGUGUUCCAAGGCUUAUAUGUAUAAGCAAGAUGCUAUCCUACAGAGCGAUCUUUGGAGGAACACACCUAUGUGAGCCCGAUUGCUAGUCACAGUCUAUGAGAUUGGGGUGAUCUCUAGUAAGCUCAUGAAUAGGCCAGGAGUGUGACUUAUAUGCUCAACCCGAGGGUUAGCCUUCGGCAGCCCAGUACUAGUAAGACAUGUGGUGAAACUUCUUUACGCCAAACUGACAAUUCAAGGCAUAGUCCAUUGUUCAGUUGUGAAGGAGUGUAGCUACUUGCUCUAGGUGAAGCUCAACCUUAACAGGUCUUCACUCAAAACACUAGUAUAUCAAAACAGCGUUUGGAACAAAGGACAAAGUGGGCCCCUGAGAUCUGGUGGGGGAUUGUUGAAAUGUGAGAUGGGCCUAGAGCCCAUAUGACAAUUUCAGAUUUGAACUCUAAGGGCCCAUGUAGGUGGCAUGACAAGGUGGUGGGAAGUUUAGUCCCACCGUGCUAGUGGAAGGAAAGUUGGAGUGGUUUAUAAGGGUGGCUCUUCUACAUGCUAUUGGAGCUUGAGAAGAGAAGAGGCCCUCGCGCACUCCUCCUCCUCCGCUCACCUCGGCACGCCACGCCUCGUCACGACGCGCCGCGGGUUGCGGGAUUGAGCCGGCCGAGCUCACUCCUAUGCGCUUCGUUUUGCCGGUCAGGAACGGAGAGUCUUUGACAGGUAGGGCCACGAUCUGAGACGUUGGACCGUGGGCUACCGACUUGGACGUGGGUUCAGCCCACGUCUCUCCACGCGCGGUCGCACAUAUAUAUGUGGGGCGCUGCCAACCCUAGCCCCCACGAAAAACAGAACGCAUCUGCGCCUCCACGCCCACGUCGUUCCUCUGCUGCUGCUGCCGCCGGCGACUCCAUCCCGUUCACCGCGUACACGGUUGACGGGAGAGUAGGUCUCCGAAACUCCGUCUCUCUGGUUCCUGUACGGGAGAGAGGCGAAUAGGUUUUUGGGAAGCGACUACACGAUUGCUCGCCUCUGAUCCACUACGUCCGAGCCGUCUCCGUCAUCACCAUGUCCAGCGACGCCGAACGCGCCGCCGCCGAGAAGAACGAGGCCGACAAGAAGGCCGCCGAGGACGCUUCUGCUGCUGCUGUCACCGCGGCAGCGGCUUCUGCAUGGCCUACUGGAGGGUAUACCGCGUUUAUCCCUCUCUUGAUAAUUUCUGUAUUAGCAGUGCUAGCAUCAUGUGUAGAUUUGUCUACUAUUUGCAUAGUACAUGCUUGUUUAGAUCAGUACCAGUAUGUUCCUAGUUCUGUCAAUGCCAUGCUCUUUAUCUACUUAUGGAUUAAAUUAGUCGAAAAAUUGCCUAUUUUCUCAGCAAUCCAAAAACCUAUUAUGUGUAGGAAUUUUUCGGCAAGUGGCUUUGCCGCAGCACUGAAACCGGAUAAGUUUACCUGUACGUAUUUUAAGCGUUGGCAGAGAAAGACCACUUGCUAUGAACGUGUUCUGGGUCACCGGGGUGUCCACAAGAAUGAUUGCUCCUGAACAGGAGAAGGCGUUCAGGGAGGCAACCACUGCGUUUCUCGGAGCAGUUCUUAGCAUGAUCGGAGAUAAACAGGUCGACGCAUAUUUACAUGUGCAUGUCGCCAAGGACUUGUGGGAGGCGCUCGAAUCUAAGUUCGGGGCCGCCGAUGUAGGCAGCGAGAUGUAUAUUAUAGAGCUUUUCCAUGAUUACAAGAUGGUUGAGAACCGUCCUAUACUGGAGCAGGCUCAUGACAUAAUAUGCAUUGUUAAGGAGCUUGAGCUUCUAAAGUAUGAGUUACCGGGCAAGUUUGUCGCGGGCUGCAUAAUCGCUAAGCUCCCCAAUUCCUGGAGUAACUUUGCCACCACUCUGAAACAUCAGAGGCGUGAAUUCUUUGGGGAGGAUGUCAUUGGCUAUCUGAGUGUUGAGCAGAAUUCGAGGGCAAAGGACUCGCACGGAAAAGGGUCCAAAGGGACUUCUGUUGCCAACAUGGUGAACCAGAGGAACUUCAACUCCCACAAGUUCAAGGGAAAGAAUGGUGUCCAAUAGAAUACCGACUUCAAGAAGAAGGGUAAGAAGACCUUCAAGAAGAACAAGAAGGAUGAGGGUUGCUUUACUUGUGGUUUGGCUGAACAUUGGGCCAACAAGUGCCCAAACAAGUUUGAGAAGUCAGGACAGGACUCCAAGUCUGUCAACAUGAUUGUGGGCAACAAUGAGAAUGGUGCAUCUGGGUACGGUAAUUUAUUUACUGUUUUUUCAGUGUUUCAGCCUACCGAUUGGUGGGUGAAUACAGGUGCAGGUGUUCAUGUGUGUGCUGACAUUUCAUUGUUCUCUUCUUACCAGGUCACAAGCCACGGGUCCGUAUUGAUGGGGAAUGGCACGAGUGCUUCUGUUCAUGGUGUUGGCACAGUCGAUCUGAAGUUUACUUCGAGAAGGAUCGUGCAGCUGAAGAACGUGCAGCAUGUCACCGCCAUCAAGAAGAACCUCGUUAGUGGCUCCCUUCUAUGUAGAGAAGGGUUUAAGUUGGUACUCGAGUCUAAUAAAUUAGUUGUUACUAAGUAUGGACUAUUUGUUGGAAAAGGUUAUGAGAGCGGAGGGAUGUUCCGCCUUUCCCUCGUAGAUUUCUGUAAUAAAGUUGUGAACCAUAUUCAUUCGAGUGUUAAUGAAUCUGAGGUUUGGCAUUCACAUCUUUGUCACAUAAGUUUCGGUGUUAUGACGCGGCUAGCUAAGUUGAAUUUAAUCCCAAGUUUCACUUUAGCCAAAGGUUCUAAGUGCCUGUCAUGUGUGCAAGCUAAGCAACCUCGCCAUCCUCACAAGGCUGCGGAGGAGAGACACUUGACACCAUUAGAACUCAUACAUUCUGAUCUUUGUGAGAUGAAUGGUGUAUUGACUAAAGGUGGAAAGAAAUACUUCAUGACAUUGAUAGAUGAUUCCACUAGAUAUUGCUACGUGUAUCUGUUAAAUACUAAAGAUGAGGCUCUACACUACUUUAAAAUCUAUAAGGCAGAAGUUGAGAAUCAACUUGAAAAGAAAAUUAAACGAUUCCGUUCAGAUCGUGGUGGAGAGUACUUCUCGAGUGAGUUUGAUUCCUUCUGUGCGGAACACGACAUUAUUCAUGAUAGGACGCCUCCCUAUUCACCCCAGUCAAACGGGGUUGCCGAGAGGAAAAACCGUACUCUAACUGAUCUGGUUAACGCCAUGUUAGAUAUGUCGGGUUUAUCCAAGGCAUGGUGGGGGGAGGCUAUAUUGACGGCAUGUCAUGUCCUGAAUAAAGUUCCGAUAAAGGAUAAUGAGAUCACUCCCUAUGAGAGAUCGGCAAAGAGAAGGACAACACUCUCGUACUUGCGUACUUGGGGCUGUUUGGCGAAAGUCAACGUGCCGAUCCCCAAAAAGCGUAAGCUUGGACCCAAGACUGUGGACUGCGUUAAUUUGGGCUACGCUAAGAACAGCGUUGGCUAUAGAUUUCUAGUAGUGAAAUCUGAGUUACCUGACCAGAAGGUCGGUACAAUCAUAGAGUCUAAGGAUGCUACAUUCUUUGAGGAUAUUUUUCCUAUGAGAGAUAUGCAAAGCACUUCUAGACAGGAAUAUGAGGAGAGUCCUGAGCCUGCCAUUCCUAUGGAAUAUUAUGAACGAACACAUGAUGAAAAUCCUGAGGAGGAUGACGAGGAAACCCUUGGUAGGGGCAAGAGACAAAGGACUUCAAAGACCUUUGGUGAUGAUUUCUUCGUGUACCUCGUGGAUGAUACUCCCACUUCUAUCUCAGAAGCGUAUGCCUCUCCAGAAGCUGACUACUGGAAGGAUCCGGUCCGUAGCGAGAUGGAUUCCAUCAUGGCUAACGGGACAUGGGAGAUCACUGAGCGUCCCUAUGGUUGCAAACCAUUGAGAUGUAAGUGGGUGUUCAAGAAAAAUCUUAGGCCCGAUGGUACGAUUGAAAAGUACAAGGCCAGGCUUAUGGCCAAGGGCUAUGACCAGAAAGAAGAGGAAGAUUUCUUUGAUACUUGUUCACCUGUGGCUAGACUGACCACCAUUCGAGUAUUACUCUCGUUGGCGGCCUCACACGGUCUUCUCGUCCAUCAAAUGGAUGUUAAGACGGCUUUUCUGAAUGAAGAGCUAAAUGAGGAAAUCUACAUGCAACAGCCAGAUGGCUUUAUGAUAGAUGGUCAGGAAAGGAAGGUGUGUAAGUUGCUGAAAUCUUUAUAUGGCCUGAAGCAAGCACCUAAGCAAUGGCAUGAUAAGUUCAAUACAACUCUGACAUCUGUUGGUUUCGUUGUUAAUGAGGCUGACAAAUGUGUAUACUAUCGCCAUGGUGGGGGCGAAGGAGUUAUACUGUGCUUGUAUGUUGAUGACAUACUGAUAUUCGGAACAAACCUCAAAGUCAUUGAGGAGGUCAAAUUGUUUCUGUCUCAGAACAUUGAGAUGAAGGACCUUGGUGUGGCUGAUGUUAUCUUGAACAUCAAGCUACUGAGAGAUAAUGAGGGUGGGAUCACACUUCUGCAAUCCCAUUAUGUUAAGAAGGUGUUGAGUCAUUUUGGAUAUUCGGACUGCACACCAUCUCAAACACCAUAUGAUCAUAGCGUGUUCAUUCGAAAGUCCAAAGGCAUGGCUAAAGAUCAAUUGAGAUACUCUCAAAUCAUUGGUUCACUGAUGUACCUAGCAAGCGCAACAAGGCCUGACAUCGCGUUUGCUGUGAGCAAACUGAGCCGGUUUGUUUCUAAACCGGGUGAUGUACAUUGGCAUGCUAUUGAAAGAGUUAUGCGCUAUCUGAAAGGUACUAUGAACUAUGGACUUCACUAUACCGGAGAUCCAUCGGUACUUGAAGGGUAUAGUGAUGCGAAUUGGAUCUUUGAUGAUGAUGAGCUGAAGGCCACAACUGGGUAUAUGUUUACUCUUGGAGGUGGCGCUGUUUCCUGGAAGUCUUGCAAGCAAACGAUCUUAACGAGAUCGACAAUGGAAGCAGAAUUAACACCAUUAGACACUUCUGGUGUUGAAGCGGGAUGGCUUCGAGAUUUUUUGAUGGACUUGCCACUGGUUGAUAAACCGGUUCCGGCUAUCCUUAUGAACUGUGAUAAUCAGACUGUCAUCACCAAGGUGAAGAGUUCAAAGGACAACAUGAAGUCCAACAAACACAUAAGAAUGAGAUUAAAAGCUGUCAGAAAAUUAAGAAACUCCGGAGUGAUAGCGUUGGACUAUGUCCAUACGGCUAAGAAUCUGGCAGAUCCCUUUACGAAAGGGCUAUCACGUGUAGUGAUAGAUAGUGCAUCGAGGGAGAUGGGUAUGAGACCCACAUGAGUUGCCAGGUGGUAACCCAACCUAUGUGAUCGGAGAUCCCGUGAAGUAGGACCUGGGAAAACAAGCCAGUGGUGAACUGAGGAGAGUAACUUUACUAACCCACUCCGUUGGAGAUGCGAUACUCUCGGAAACUGUAUGGAAGGAUGACUACUGUCUUAAUGUGUUCCAAGGCUUAUAUGUAUAAGCAAGAUGCUAUCCUACAGAGCAAUCUUUGGAGGAACACACCUAUGUGAGCCCGACUGCUAGUCACAGUCUAUGAGAUUGGGGUGAUCUCUAGUAAGCUCAUGAAUAGGCCAGGAGUGUGACUUAUAUGCUCCACCCGAGGGGUCAGCCUUCGGCAGCCCAGUACUAGUAAGACAUGUGGUGAAAAUUCUUUAAGCCAAACUGACAAUUCAAGGCAUAGUCCAUUGUUCAGUUGUGAAGGAGUGUAGCUACUUGCUCUAGGUGAAUCUCAACCUUAACAGGUCUUCACUGAAACACUAGUAUAUCAAAACAGCGUUUGGAACAAAGGACAAAGUGGGCCCCUGAGAUCUGGUGGGGGAUUGUUGAAAUGUGAGAUGGGCCUAGAUCCCAUAUGACAAUUUCAGAUUUGAUCUCUAAGGGCCCAUGUAGGUGGCAUGACAAGGUGGUGGGAACUUUAGUCCCACCAUGCUAGUGGAAGGAAAGUUGGAGUGGUUUAUAAGGGUGGCUCUUCUACAUGCUAUUAGAGCUUGAGAAGAGAAGAGGCCCUCGCGCACUCCUCCUCCUCCGCUCGCCUCGCCACGCCAUGCCUCGUCACGACGCACCGCGGGUUGCGGGAUUGAGCCGAGCUGAGAUCACUCCUAUGCGCUUCUUUUUGCCGGUCAGGAACGGAGAGUCUUUGAUAGGUAGGGCCACGAUCUGAGACGUUGGAUCGUGGGCUACUGACUUGGACGUCGGUUCAGCCCACGUCUCUCCACGCGCGGCCACACAUAUAUAUGUGGGGCGCUGCCAACCCUAGCCGCCGCGAAAAAUAGAACGCAUCUCCGCCUCCACGCCCACGUCGUUCCUCUGCUGCUGCUGUCGCAGGCGACUCCAUCCUGUUCACCGCGUACACGGUUGACGGGAGAGAAGGUCUCCGAAACUCUGUCUCUCUGGUUCCUGUACGGGAGAGAGGCGAAUAGCUUUUUGGGAAGCGACUACGCGACUGCUCGCCUCCGAUCCACUACGUCUGUGCCGUCUCCGUCAUCACCAUGUCCAGCGACGCCGAACACGCCGCCGCCAAGAAGACCGAGGCCGACAAGAAGGCCACCGAGGACGCUUCUGCUGCUGCUAUCACCGCGGCAGCGGCUUCUGCAUGGCCUACUGGAGGGUAUACUGCUUUUAUCCCUCUCCUGAUAAUUUCUGUAUUAGCAGUGCUAGCAUCAUGUGUAGAUUUGUCUACUAUUUGCGUAGUACGUGCUUGUUUAGAUCAGUACCAGUAUGUUCCUAGUUCUGUCAAUGCCAUGCUCGUUAUCUACUUAUGGAUUAAAUUAGUCGAAAAAUUGCCUAUUUUCUCAGCAAUCCAAAAACCUAUUAUGUGUAGGAAUUUUUCGGCAAGUGGCUUUGCCGCAGCACUGAAACUGGAUAAGUUUACCGGUACGUAUUUUAAGCAUUGGCAGACAAAGACCACUUUAUGGCUCACGGCUAUGAACGUGUUCUGGGUCACCGGGGUGUCCACGGGAACGAUUGCUCCUGAACAGGAGAAGGCAUUCAGGGAGGCAAGCACUGUGUUUCUCGGAGCAGUUCUUAGCGUGAUCGGAGAUAAAUUGGUCGACGCAUAUUUACAUGUGCAUGUCGCCAAGGACUUGUGGGAGGCGCUCGAAUCUAAGUUCGGGGCCGCCGAUGCAGGGAGCGAGAUGUAUAUUAUAGAGCUGUUCCAUGAUUACAAGAUGGUUGAGAGCCGUCCUGUACUGGAGCAGACUCAUGAGAUAAUAUGCAUUGUUAAGGAGCUUGAGCUUCUGAAGUGUGAGUUACCGGGCAAGUUUGUCGCGGGCUGCAUAAUCGCUAAGCUCCCCAAUUCCUGGAGGAACUUUGCCACCACUCUGAAACAUCAGAGGCGUGAAUUCUCUAUGGAGGAUGUCAUUGGCCAUCUGAGUGUUGAGCAGAAUUCAAGGGCAAAGGACUCACACGGAAAAGGGUCCGAAGGGACUUCUGUUGCCAACAUGGUGAACCAGAGGAACUUCAACUCCCACAAGUUCAAGGGAAAGAACGGUGUCCAACAGAAUACCGACUUCAAGAAGAAGGGUAAGAAGACAUUCAAGAAGAACAAGAAGGAUGAGGGCUGCUUUACUUGUGGUUCGGCUGAACAUUGGUCCAACAAGUGCCCAAACAAGUUUAAGAAGUCAGGACAGGACUCCAAGUCUAUCAACAUGAUUGUGGGCAACAAUAAGAAUGGUGCAUCUGGGUACGGAAAUUUAUUUACUGUUUUUUCAGUGUUUCAGCCUACCGAUUGGUGGGUGGAUACAGGUGCAGGUGUUCAUGUGUGUGCUGACAUUUCAUUGUUCUCUUCUUACCAGGUCACAGGCCACGGGUCCGUAUUGAUGGGGAAUGGCGCGAGUGCUUCUGUUCAUGGUGUUGGCACGGUCGAUCUGAAGUUUACUUCGGGAAGGAUCGUGCAGCUGAAGAACAUGCAGCAUGUCCCCGCCAUCAAGAAGAACCUCGUUACUGGCUCCCUUCUAUGUAGAGAAGGGUUUAAGUUGGUAUUCGAGUCUAAUACAUUAGUUGUUACUAAGUAUGUACUAUUUUUUGGAAAAGGUUAUGAGAGCAGAGGGAUGUUCCGCCUUUCCCUCGCAGAUUUCUGUAAUAAAGUCGUGAACCAUAUUCAUUCGAGUGUUAAUGAAUCUGAGGUUUGGCAUUCACGUCUUUGUCACAUAAGUUUCGGUGUUAUGACGCGGCUAGCUAAGUUGGAUUUAAUCCCGAGUUUCACUUUAGCCAAAGGUUCUAAGUGCCUGUCAUGUGUGCAAGCUAAGCAACCUCGCGAGCCUCACAAGGCUGCGGAGGAGAGACACUUGGCACCAUUAGAACUCAUACAUUCUGAUCUUUGUGAGAUGAAUGGUGUAUUGACUAAAGGUGGAAAGAAAUACUUCAUGUCAUUGAUAGAUGAUUCCACUAGAUAUUGCUACGUGUAUCUGUUAAAUACUAAAGAUGAGGCUCUACACUACUUUAAAAUCUAUAAGGCAGAAGUUGAGAAUCAACUUGAAAAGGAAAUUAAACGAUUCCAUUCAGAUCGUGGUGGAGAGUACUUCUCGAGUGAGUUCGAUUCCUUCUGUGCGGAACACGGCAUUAUUCAUGAGAGGACGCCUCCCUAUUCACCCCAGACAAACGGGGUUGCCGAGAGGAAAAACCAUACUCUAACUGAUCUGGUUAACGCCAUGUUAGAUACGUCGGGUUUAUCCAAGGCAUGGUGGGGGGAGGCUAUAUUGACGGCAUGUCAUGUCCUGAAUAAAGUUCCGAUAAAGGAUAAUGAGAUCACUCCCUAUGAGAGAUGGGCAAAGAGAAGGACAACACUCUCGUACUUGCGUACUUGGGGCUGUUUGGCAAAAGUCAACGUGCCGAUCCCCAAAAAGCGUAAGCUUGGACCCAAGACUGUGGAUUGCAUUAAUUUGGGCUACGCUAAGAACAGCGUUGGCUAUAGAUUUCUAGUAGUGAAAUCUGAGUUACCUGACCAGAAGGUCGGUACAAUCAUAGAGUCUAAGGAUGCUACAUUCUUUGAGGAUAUUUUUUCUAUGAGAGAUAUGCAAAGCACUUCUAGACAGGAAUCUGAGGAGACUCCUGAGCCUGCCAUUCCUAUGGAAUAUUAUGAACGAACACAUGAUGAAAAUCCUGAGGAGGAUGACGAGGAAACCCUUGGUCGGGGCAAGAGACAAAGGACAGCAAAGACCUUUGGUGAUGAUUUCUUCGUGUACCUUGUGGAUGAUACUCCCACUUCUAUCUCAGAAGUGUAUGCCUCUCCAGAAGCUGACUACUGGAAGGAUGCGGUCCGUAGCGAGAUGGAUUCCAUCAUGGCUAACGGGACAUGGGAGAUCACUGAGCGUCCCUAUGGUUGCAAACCAUUGGGAUGUAAGUGGGUGUUCAAGAAAAAGCUUAGGCCCGAUGGUACGAUUGAAAAGUACAAGGCCAGGCUUGUUACCAAGGGCUAUGACCAGAAAGAAGAGGAAGAUUUCUUCGAUACUUAUUCACCUGUGGCUAGACUGACCACCAUUCGAGUAUUACUCUCGUUGGCGGCCUCACAUGGUCUUCUCGUCCAUCAAAUGGAUGUUAAGACGGCUUUUCUGAAUGGAGAGCUAAAUGAGGAAAUCUACAUGCAACAGCCAGAUGGCUUUAUGAUAGAUGGUCAGGAAAGGAAGGUGUGUAAGUUGCUGAAAUCUUUAUAUGGCCUGAAGCAAGCACCUAAGCAAUGGCCUGAUAAGUUCAAUACAACUCUGACAUCUGUUGGUUUCGUUGUUAAUGAGGCUGACAAAUGUGUAUACUAUCGCCAUGGUGGGGGCGAAGGAGUUAUACUGUGCUUGUAUGUUGAUGACAUACUGCUAUUCGGAACAAACCUCAAAGUCAUUGAGGAGGUCAAAUCGUUUCUGUCUCAGAACUUUGAGAUGAAGGACCUUUGUGUGGCUGAUGUUAUCUUGAACAUCAAGCUAGUGAGAGAUAAUGAGGGUGGGAUCACACUUCUGCAAUCCCAUUAUGUUGAGAAGGUGUUGAGUCGUUUUGGAUAUUCGGACUGCACACCAUCUCAAACACCAUAUGAUCCUAGCGUGUUCAUUCGAAAGUCCAAAGGCAUGGCUAAAGAUCAAUUGAGAUACUCUCAAAUCAUUGGUUCACUAAUAUACCUAGCUAGCGCAAGGAGGCCUGAUAUCACGUUUGCUGUGAGCAAACUGAGCCGGUUUGUUUCUAAACCGGGUGAUGUACAUUGGCAUGCUGUUGAAAGAGUUAUGCGCUAUCUGAAAGGUACUAUGAACUAUGAACUUCACUAUACCGGAGAUCCGUCGGUACUUGAAGGGUAUAGUGAUGCGAAUUGGAUCUCUGAUGCUGAUGAGAUGAAGGCCACAACUGGGUAUAUGUUUACUCUUGGAGGUGGCGCUGUUUCCUGGAAGUCUUGCAAGCAAACGAACUUAACGAGAUCGACAAUGGAAGCAGAAUUAACACCAUUAGACACUUCUGGUGUUGAAGCAGGAUGGCUUCGAGAUCUUUUGAUGGACUUGCCACUGGUUGAUAAACCGGUUCCGGCUAUCCUUAUGAACUGUGAUAAUCAGACUGUCAUCACCAAGGUGAAGAGUUCAAAGGACAACAUGAAGUCCAACAAACACAUAAGAAUGAGAUUAAAAGCUUUCAGAAAAUUAAGAAACUCCGAAGUGAUAGCGUUGGACUAUGUCCAUACGGCUAAGAAUCUGGCAGAUCCCUUUAUGAAAGGGCUAUCACGUGUAGUGAUAGAUAGUGCAUCGAGGGAGAUGGGUAUGAGACCCACAUGAGUUGCCAUGGUGGUAACCCAACAUAUGUGAUCGGAGAUCCCGUGAAGUAGGACCUGGGAAAACAAGCCAGUGGUGAACUGAGGAGAGUAACUUUACUAACCCACUCCGUUGGAGAUGCAAUAUUCUCGGAAACUGUAUGGAAGGAUAACUACUCUCUUAAUGUGUUCCAAGGCUUAUAUGUAUAAGCAAGAUGCUAUCCUACAGAGCGAUCUUUGGAGGAACACACCUAUGUGAGCCCGACUCCUAGUCAUAGUCUAUGAGAUUGGGGUGAUCUCUAGUAAGCUCAUGAAUAGGCCAGGAGUGUGACUUAUAUGCUCCACCCGAGGGGUCAGCCUUCGGUAGCCCAGUACUAGUAAGACAUGUGGUGAAACUUCUUUAUGCCAAACUGACAAUUCAAGGCAUAGUUCAUUGUUCAGUUGUGAAGGAGUGUAGCUACUUGCUCUAGGUGAAGCUCAACUUUAACAGGUCUUCACUUGAACACUAGUAUAUCAAAACAGCGUUUGGAACAAAGGACAAAGUGGGCCCCUGAGAUCUGGUGGGGGAUUGUUGAAAUGUGAGAUGGGCCUAGAGCCCAUAUGACAAUUUCAGAUUUGAUCUCUAAGGGCCCAUGUAGGUGGCAUGACAAGGUGGUGGGAAGUUUAGUCCCACCAUGCUAGUGGAAGGAAAGUUGGAGUGGUUUAUAAGGGUGGCUCUUCUACAUGCUAUUGGAGCUUGAGAAGAGAAGAGGCCCUCGCGCACUCCUCCUCCUCCGCUCGCCUCGCCUCGCCACGCCUCGCCUCGUCACGACGCGACGCGGGUUGCGGGAUUGAGCCGAGCCGAGCUCACUCCUAUGCGCUUCUUUUUGCCGGUCAGAAACGAAGAGUCUUUGAAAGGCAGGGCCACGAUCUGAGACGUUGGAUCGUGGGCUACCGACUUGGACGCGGGUUCAGCCCACGUCUCUCCACGCGCGGCCGCACAUAUAUAUGUGGGGCGCUGCCAACCCUAGCCGCCGCGAAAAACAGAACGCAUCUCCGCCUCCACGCCCACGUCGUACCUCUGCUGCUGCUGCCGCCGGCGACUCCAUCCCGUUCACCGCGUACACGGUUGACGGGAGAGCAGGUCUCCGAAACUCCGUCUCUCUGGUUCCUGUACGGGAGAGAGGCGAAUAGGUUUUUGGGAAGCGACUACGCGACUGCUUGCCUCCGAUCCACUACGUCCGCGCCAUCUCCAUCUCCGUCAUCACCAUGUCCAGCGACGCGGAACGCGCCGCCGCCGAGAAGACCGAGGCCGCCGAGGACGCUUCUGCUGCUGUUGUCACCGCGGCAGCGGCUUCUGCAUGGCCUACUGGAGGGUAUACCGCGUUUAUCCCUCUCCUGAUAAUUUCUGUAUUAGCAGUGCUAGCAUUAUGUGUAGAUUUGUCUACUAUUUGCAUAAUAAGUGCUUGUUUAGAUCAGUACCAGUAUGUUCCUAGUUCUGUCAAUGCCAUGCUCGUUAUCUACUUAUGGAUUAAAUUAGUCGAAAAAUUGCCUCUAUAAACUCCGAACUCCGAACUGUCUCAAACUGCUCCCCUAACGGCACCUCUUUGACAGACUUGGGGCCCAAAUCCUUCAGGUUUGCCUCUAUAAACUCCGAAGAACAUUAUCACUUCACUUCAGUGGAAAUUUUGGUCAGCUACUCUGAAACUGCUCCCUACCGGCGCAUCUCUGAAAGACUUGGCGCACAAAUCCUUUUGGUUUCCCUCUAUGAACUCCGAAGAAUUUUAUCACUUCACUUCAGUGGAAGUUCUGGUCAGGUACUGGAACAUACAUACAAGGAUCAAGCGACUGCGCUCUACUGUCCUAUGACGUGUGUGCGCUCAGCUGGCUCACAUUUCCGUUGUCACUCAUGGUGAGGGUUGCGUGUUGCUUCAGUGCUGCUUCGAGCCGCAAGAUGAGCAUUCCACGGAUCCCCAGAGCGGUUCUUACCAUACCGAAUUUCUUACCUUAGACAUCGUGAGCUUGAAUUGAUUUAUCUGAAGUUCUAUCAGGAAGCGGUAAACAUGUGUUCUCGAUGACAAUGCUGAAUAGCUCGAAGGCAUCAAUAUCAUGGUUGUUGCACCAUACAUUAGCUGACAUUAAUGUAUGUCGUUCUUAAUUAUUUAAGGGUAAGACGAGAGAUAGAACAUGCUCAUAUAAAGUUUGCAACUUGUGUGGGCAAGUAGAGAUUGGACGUUGCUAGGUGGAACAUGUUCAUAUAUGGUUUGACAAGAAGCCAUCAAGCCAUCUGCAUAACUGUGCGGGCAAGGAGUAGAGCUCAGUGUUUGCGUGGUUCAUACCAGGACUAGGAAGCAUCAGGAUUUGUGAUUACACUCGCCUAUAUUUCUACACGCGAGGUAAAAACAUUAGUGUGUUUGCUGGCUGGAAGUGCAUUGCGUCAGAGGAUAAAUAGUGAACAAGAUGGGCAGUAGUCACGACCAGGAACUUCAGAGGCUUUACUUAAGGCAGUGUUCCAAGUUCUGUACCAUUUUCAUUUGGUUAUAGGAUGGCAAGAAGUCCAUAGUCACCUCAGUCCCAUUCGUACUUCAUACAAGUCCAGAUUACAAGAUGGUAAUUUAAAUAACGAAUCACUCAUGAAAAGGAGAUUAUUUUUUUCCCAGUUGGCUAAAUUAUAGGGACCGUGAUUAAAUUUGUCAGAAAGAGAAAAAAAUACUAGUAUUGUGAAGAUACCAUCUAUUCAUUCAGUAUCUCAUUUUAGAAGAGAACUUUGAUGUGCAACCAAAUGCUGAGAAUUAGGCGGUGAGAACAGAGCGCACAGCAAAUGGCGCUCAAAACAGAGGCGACAACAAGUCGUACUGCUGUUUCAGUGUAGUACAGUUUCAGUUAAUUAGGCACCAGAAGAUAUUUCUUCAUUACAAACAAAAAAAUAAUAAAUUAUGACAUGACUUACUGACAUUAGGUGUAGCAGAGUAAAUUGCACGAAACCACCACUUUGAAGGUUAGAUUUGCGAAAAACACUACAAUACAUUUUUUUGGCAGAAAACACCAUGUCUACGGUAAUCUUUUUGCAAAAGACACUGAUCGGCGGAUCGGGCUCAGUUAAAUGAGUUUAUGACAGGUGGGGUCCAUUUUUUGCCUAUGUGGCAUGACUUUUUGUGCCAGGUAGAUUUUAAUCUAAAAUUAUAAACUAGACCCUAGAAUUUUACAUAAACACCCCUAAAUCAAAAAUGAAAAACGCAAUUAGGCCCCGCUUCUCGAUUUGUCGUCGCCGGCCGUGGGUGCAGAACGCCGUCGUCGGCUUUUGGCCGCUCGUCGUGGCCACGGUCGCGAGUAAGGCCCAUGAGCUCCUCCCGGCCAUGGAGGCAUUCUGGUGGUGGCUUCAGGACGCCGCUCCCGUCGCGCUCCCUUACGUGCUAGCCAUCGUCGCGGUCGCUGGGGCGUCGAGGAAUAGCAGCCCGCCCCUGCUGCCUGAUCACACUAGUAGAAAAAGGGUCAAAUGUGAAGCACAUUAGUGUCGGUUUGAAUUUGAGCCGGCACUAAUGUGUUUAUUAGUGCCGGUUCCAACGGCCAGGCGGGCGGACAUAAUUAGUACCGGUUCGUGGGGUAACAAUUAGUACCGGUUCAUGCCACGAACCGGUACUAAUGAUGCUGUGUCAGGCUGUGGGCCCCACGAACACCUUUAGUACCGGUUCAUGGCAUGAACCGGUACUAGAGUUUCUUAUUAAGCUGAUUUUUAGCCCCACCUCGCGAGGAGAGAGACAGUAGGAGCGGUUUAUAAGCCGUGAGUGCAGAGACGAUGAAGGAGAGGUGCAAUGCUCACCUGCAGGUUGCUUAGCUUCAAGCCUUUUGGAAUAGAAUAGAUUGCACGGAGCUAUGUGCAGUGUAGUCUACCCUAUUCCGAAAGGCUUGAAGCUAAUUAACCAGCAUUGCGCCUUUUUUAUUUUUAAUAACUUAUUAGAACUCCGGACUUCUUGUGUUACGGCAAAAACUGAAUGCACUUCGUGUACAAACUGGACAAUCUCUUUCGAAGUAUCAGGGCCGGUUUCGGACGAAAACUCAUCUGUUACACCGGCACUUCAUUUUUUAAACUUAUUACAACUUCAGACUUUAUUGCGUUCAGUACACACCAUUCUAAGCCACGUCAUCAAUUUUCAACCCUUUUUUAGUCCCACCUCGCUCCCCUAGCAAGAUUUUGACCACCUUAAAUAUGAUACUUCUCAAACUAUCACAAACAUUUGGUCUUCAUUGAACUCUAUGUGUAGGAUCUGUGUCUUCAUUUGGUCUUCUCAAACUAUCACCACCUUAAAUAAUGCAGAAAAGAAAAAAAUUAUAUAAAGCAAAAAUAUUCACAAAGAAACUAAAUACAGCAAAAAAAACUACUUAGAAAUAAAUAGAAGAAAACAAAUAAAGNNNNNNNNNNNNNNNNNNNNNNNNNNNNNNNNNNNNNNNNNNNNNNNNNNNNNNNNNNNNNNNNNNNNNNNNNNNNNNNNNNNNNNNNNNNNNNNNNNNNNNNNNNNNNNNNNNNNNNNNNNNNNNNNNNNNNNNNNNNNNNNNNUCAGAAAUAAAUAGAAGAAAAUAAAAAACUAUAUAAAAAAUUACUCAAAAAUAAAUAGAAGAAAAUAAAUAAUGCAGAAAAGAAAAAAAUAUUAAAAAAAUUGUUGGGGCGCUGCCCGGUGGGCCUGCCAGACCUAGGGUGUGCAAAUUCAGGCCCAGAAGGGCCAGUAGGCUCACAGGACAGCACGCCGGAGUUAGGCCCAGAAGCCUGCCAUAUAGAGGAGUUCAAAGGGGCAGCCGCGGCUGCGUUUAUAAAUCAGUGCGGCUACCCUUCGCUCGGCGAGGUGGGACUAAAAAUAACGCACCACGGGUGGCAGCGCACGGCCUUUAGUACCGGUUGGUGGCCCCAACCGGUACUAAUGGUUGUCCUUUAGUACCGGUUGGCGCCACCAACCGGUACUAAACACCCUCGUUUUCCGCCGCUUUGCCUGGCCAAAAUUAGCCUUUAGUACUGGUUGGUGGCUCCAACCGGUACUAAAGGCUCCUCCUAUAUAUAUGGCACUUACGAAAAUUCAGUUCCAUCGACCACUUCUUCUCCACUUCUCACGCGACAUCUAUCGUGCCGCCGCCGCCGCACCGUCGCCCCCGCCGCCCUCGCGCCCGUCGUCGCCGUCCCUAUCGCCCCCGCCGCCCGUCGUCGUCGUCUCGCGCCGCCGUCCCGUACUACGUCGUCGUCUCGAUCNNNNNNNNNNNNNNNNNNNNNNNNNNNNNNNNNNNNNNNNNNNNNNNNNNNNNNNNNNNNNNNNNNNNNNNNNNNNNNNNNNNNNNNNNNNNNNNNNNNNNNNNNNNNNNNNNNNNNNNNNNNNNNNNNNNNNNNNNNNNNNNNNNNNNNNNNNNNNNNNNNNNNNNNNNNNNNNNNNNNNNNNNNNNNNNNNNNNNNNNNNNNNNNNNNNNNNNNNNNNNNNNNNNNNNNNNNNNNNNNNNNNNNNNNNNNNNNNNNNNNNNNNNNNNNNNNNNNNNNNNNNNNNNNNNNNNNNNNNNNNNNNNNNNNNNNNNNNNNNNNNNNNNNNNNNNNNNNNNNNNNNNNNNNNNNNNNNNNNNNNNNNNNNNNNNNNNNNNNNNNNNNNNNNNNNNNNUCUAUUGUUUAGAUUAAUGUUAGAUGAAUUUCGUAGAUAAGAAUGUUAGAAUGUUAAUGUUAGAUGAAUUAGAACUAGUUGAAUUAAUAGAACUACUUUAUUUUCAGUAAGAAAAUUUAGGUAUAUGAGAUUAUUUGAACUAGUUGAAUUAAUAUAACUAGUUUAUUUUUAGUAAGAAAAUUUAGGUAUAUUAGAUUAUUUGAACUAGUUGAAUUAAUAGAACUAGUUUAUUUUUAGUAAGAAAAUUUAGGUAUAUGAGAUUAUUUGAACUAGUUGAAUUAAUAUAACUAGUUUAUUUUUAGUAAGAAAAUUUAGGUAUAUGAGAUUAUUUGACUAGUUGAAUUAAUAUAACUAGUUUAUUUUUAGUAAAUGCUUAGUUGAAUUAGUUGAAUUAAUUGAAUUAGUAAGUGGUUAAUGUUUCGCCUAUAUGAACAUAUAUAGGAAAUGUCGUCUGACGACGGAAAAAAUUUCAUUAUGUGCAAAUACUAUGAAGACCAGCGCGGCCUGUGCGACAGAAAUUUCCUUGUUGAUGAUAGGCGAUUCAGCAUCAAGCUGGAUGAGACCUUCGAAUUCGAUACAGUAAGUCACAACAACAAGUCUGUUUUCGUAAUUAAGCAUGACUUAUAUAUGCUUCAUUUGCCUGACUUAUAAUUUUUAAUUUUCACUAUUCUAAUAGCGCAUCCCCUGCCAUGCAAGAAUUUUUGUCUUGGAUAAGAUAGGUUUCAGUGAUAUGGAAACUAUGGAGGUAAAGAGAGUUUACCUGAAAACUGAGCAUGGUUAUACUUUCAACGUCAAAGUAUACAAUGCAAAGACGUACACCUAUUUUGAAUGCAAAACAUGGCAAGCACUAUGCAAGGCUUAUGCAUUUUAGCCUGAUAUGGUUAUCACCUUCGAUAUUCGUCAGGAAGAUGAUAUUGAAAGUAAUAGAGACAUAUGGGUCGAUGUGCAGACGCCUCCAGUUCUACCAUUAUGUGAGUUCUUCUCAACUAUAUUUUUGUCUUUGAUAUUGCUUAUUCAAAAAUAAUUGACAACUUAUUUCUAUUGACAACUUAUUUCCAUUUAAGCAAACAUGUCCAGUGCUUGGUAGACAGGACCUACUACUGUCCCGGAGCUGAACUAAACUGCGAGGAGAUAAGUCAUUAUGUUUCAUGGCUUGAGGAUCUUCAUACUGUCAAGACAAAUUUUCUUCCUGGACUUAGAAAUGUUAGUACUCAAAACGUGCGACCAAUAGUGAUCCUAUUGAACUACGGUCACAUCUAUUUAGGAAUGAUGGUAAAAAAUUUACUAUUUGUCCUCAGUGCAUCUUUUGCAUACAUAAUUUUUUUGCUAAACUUUUAUUGCUAAGUAUAUUAAUUAAUUAAGUACUAUACGAUGUUCUUCAACAGGGACUCUCAAUGACAGUUGUGCCUCAGGGGAUCGAGACUAAAGGUCGCAUGUCAAUUGUUAGCUUACGGCCAAGAUAUCCUGCAUUGCACAUGAGUGCAUUCAUGAUUUUUAGAAGCGAUGAAUGCUUAAUAGUAAAAGAUUGGAGGGAAAUUGUUAACGAUCGCAAAGAAGUACUAGGGGGCAGCAAUGAGAAGCGUAGCCCAUGAUUAGGAGACAGGUUCAUCUGCAUGCAGCACAGACCAACCCGUACUAAAACCCUACGCGCACCCAGGCCUGGCUCGUGCCACGUGUUUGCACUUUAGCGCCGGUUCGUAAUGAACCGGUACUAAAGGGGGGCCUUUAGUCACCACUCUUUAUUGCCGGUUGGCGAACCGGCACUAAAGGCCGUCACGAACCGGCACUAAAGGCCGGUUCUGCACUACUGUCAGGUGUCGGGCGGGGACAGUGGAGGCCGAUGUGGCCGGAUCCGGUUGGGGGCAUGACGACGACGGCCUGGGGAGGAAGGGGCGGGGGACACCGGCUCCGUCAAAUCACCGGCGCAUGGUUCCAGCGACCUGUGCCUCUCCCUCGCCAGUGCAUGGUGGAAGGCCGGUCCUCGACGAGGCGGAGUAUGGGGGAGGGAGGGACGGACCACGGGCGGCGUCAUGUGCCUCGCCCUCGGUACAGGAACGGCGACGGGGGCCUCUGCCAGGAUCGGGAUGGGGGCGGCCGUGGGAUGGGUGGUUUCCGCCGUGGUCGGGAUGGGCCUGGGAAGCAGGGACAAAAAUUUAGGGGGCUUUUUCGCAUUAGACCUAAACAGUUAUGCCACGUAGGCAGAAAACGGACCACAUCUAUCAUAAACGCACUUAAACGAGCCAUAUCCGCCGAUCAGUGUUUUUUGCAAAAACAUUAUUGAAGACAUGGUGUUUUCUUUUUAAAAUGUAUUCUAGUGUUUUUCACAAACCUAACCUUCAAAGUGGUGAUUUUUUGCAAUUUACUCAAUGUAGCAACUGAUUAGAGGCAUCCGUUUCAGAAACAUUCGAAAGAAAACAUUUGGGAACUGGCAAACCCUAGAAACAGGGGUACUUAUUUCAGUUUAUACUUUAGCUUAAUCCUGAUGUAUCCCUCAUACAAGGGAGCACAGUAAAAAGAAGAAAUUAGGUCUAGCCACUGAACUCGGAAAAAUGACUGAAACUACUUCGCUUAUGUUGCCUCUCAUGAUGAUUACCGAAAAAUGUUUUCACCCCGUUUUAUAUGUACAGCAACAACCAACAAAGUGAUCGACACAAACUACAACACAACACACCAACACACACACACACACACUCUGAUCGACAUGAAGUGGACACUAAGGAGCCGCCGGAGCUCUUCCAUGAGAACCUAUGAAGAGGUGAAUUUGGAAGACGACGAUCCAAGAGCUCCAAAACGGUGCCUUCACGAAGGACUCGGCACCAAAGCAGAGCCACCGCCUGAUCCAAGGAUAUUGAUUUUGAUCCGGGUCACGACGAAGGGAAAGGACUAACCACAACAGAGAGUUUAGGAAUUAGGAAGAUGACGAUGUCCAUGGGCGCCGCCUCCGUCGGCAUGGCCGAGCCAGACAGGGCUUUCACCCCGGCAGCAAACUCCGUCUUUACUCUUUUGAAGAGUUGGAGCUCAAAUCCUUCGUGUUUGCCUGAUAGCAGGCGCUUCCAAAUGACACCAGGGUGUGUGUGCGUGCGAUAAACUUCUGACCAAUAUAGGACCCCUUCUCAAAUGAAAUAGCAUUCAGGCCUGUGAGAUUGUACUCGAGUGAAAUUGCUUCACCUGAUUCAAAAGAAUAUAGUUUUAGCAGAAGACGAAAGAACAAGCAUUUUGUGUUUAAGCUGGAAAUAUGGGGAAACGCCGUGUAACAGCCAAAAUUGCUCGGUAUAAUUAGGAAAGCAGUCAAAAGGAUUAGAGAAAGUAUGUUAAUUGUGCUGUACGCAUAUAAGAUAAUUAAUUAGACAUUCCAUACGAACUUGCACAUGUGCUACAAGAUGACUGUAUGCAUCACCCUGGUGAACGAUUCACUAACCUACCUACAAGAGAAAGCGUUUGCUUCACACCCUACAAGAGACAAGAGACAAGAGACAAUAUACUGUAAGCUCUUCCUUGUAGAUAUUAUAUACCAUUGUUAAACAUCCAUCACCACUACUGACCAACCUGAAUGAACUGACAAACCAUGAGUAAGCAAUCUAAUUCCCAAAAGAUGCAUAGAACCACCACUUUCGCAUCAUAGCUCUCGAAAAACGACCACUUCACAAAACGUGACAGUUUGCACCACACCGAAAAAUUGACAAUGGCAAAAAACACUGCACAAAAAAAUAGCGCGUUUUGACAUGGCCGAUCACUCAUGGCCCGACUGCGAGGCGUUAACGGCUAUGUUCGAAGCAACUGGGCUAGCCUCACUCCCAUCCCUCACUCUAUCCCUCUCCCGUCUCUUUAGGGCAUGGCAGCGGUGGCGGCUCCGGAUCCAUCGACAAGGAUAUGGUGGGGGUGGGGGCAAGGUGUGGUGAACGGAGCUAGUCACCUUCGUUGGCCGGCAUUACAGGGGGCACGCGCAGCGCAGAGGAAGAUUAUGCGGCUAGAGCAUAUUCAUCCAUCACAGAAUAUUUCAUUUUUGCGACGUUUGGAGCAAAAUCUGUUGAGCUACUAUCAAAUGGUGCUGGUCCAGCCCUAGGUGAGCUGCCUCCCUCUAUCUACUAGCAAAUUUGGUUGGUGGAAUUCUAUGGUUUCAGAUUUAGAAACAAGGGUUUGCUGGUUUGUUGUGAACUCAAUCUUGUUUUGAACUUAUGUAGUUAUCUGAAUCUCGUUGUUUAUGACUGGACAAAGUUGUUAACUAAACCUAGCCUGCUGAAUCUUUGUUGUCACUGCACCAAGUUGUUAACUGAAUUUUUGUUGGCACUGGACCUAGUUGUUAACUGAAUCAAUGAUGUAUGCCAUUGUUGUUGAGGAGAGGAGAGGGAAUAGGAUUCAACACACAUCGACUAUGCUCAGAGGCUGGGUUUAAGUACAGGUUGCUGUCCUCAGCCGAGCCAAGAUCGUGGGUAUGCCACUACCUCAGGACGUGCACCACUAGCUAUACAACUGCUGCACGAUCCACACUAUAUCGUAUGGUGAUUUAUACAAGGUGCGUACGGUAUNNNNNNNNNNNNNNNNNNNNNNNNNNNNNNNNNNNNNNNNNNNNNNNNNNNNNNNNNNNNNNNNNNNNNNNNNNNNNNNNNNNNNNNNNNNNNNNNNNNNNNNNNNNNNNNNNNNNNNNNNNNNNNNNNNNNNNNNNNNNNNNNNNNNNNNNNNNNNNNNNNNNNNNNNNNNNNNNNNNNNNNNNNNNNNNNNNNNNNNNNNNNNNNNNNNNNNNNNNNNNNNNNNNNNNNNNNNNNNNNNNNNNNNNNNNNNNNNNNNNNNNNNNNNNNNNNNNNNNNNNNNNNNNNNNNNNNNNNNNNNNNNNNNNNNNNNNNNNNNNNNNNNNNNNNNNNNNNNNNNNNNNNNNNNNNNNNNNNNNNNNNNNNNNNNNNNNNNNNNNNNNNNNNNNNNNNNNNNNNNNNNNNNNNNNNNNNNNNNNNNNNCGGUACCAAAGACUGGACCGGAAUUCAGAGAAAACUUCCGUUGACAGACCUUUGGUCAUGAUAUCGGCGAGCUGUUGGCGAGUGGGGAUGUGGAGAACGCGGAACCCGCCGAGCGCCACCCGUUCACGGACGAAGAGGAUGUCCAGCUCAACGUGCUUCGUGCGACGGUGGUGCACUGGAUUGGCAGACAGGUACACGGCCGACACAUUUUUGCAGUAGACGAGCAUGGCUUUGUCAACGGGGCAGAAGAGCUCGCCGAGCAGCUGCCGGAGCCAGAUGCAUUCAGCAACGGCGUUGGCGACGCUGCAGUAUUCGGCCUCUGCACUGGAGAGGGAGACGACGGCCUGGCGUUGGACGACCAGGAGACGAGCGCGUCACCGAGGUAGAUGCAGAAACCGGAGGUAGAGCGGCGCGUGUCGGGGAAGCCCGCCCAGUCCGCGUCCGUGAACACGCGCAGGUCCAGAGUGCGCGAGGCGCGGAGAUGGAGCCCAAGCGCCGGCGUGCCGCGCACGUACCGCAGCACACGCUUGAUCAACCUGAGAUGGCACUCCCGGGGAUCGUGCAUAUGCAAGCAGAUUUGUUGGACGACAUAGGCGAGCUCGGGGCGUGUUAUCGUCAGGUACUGCAAGGCACCGGCGAUGCUGCGGUAGGCGGAGGGGUCGGCGACGCGAGGCCCAUCGGCGGUGAGCAGCUUGCUCUUUGUGUCGAUCGGCGUGGGUGAGGGCCGACAUGUGUCCAUGCCAGCACGGUCCAGGAUAUCGGCAACAUACUGCUGCUGACAAAGGAAGAAGCCGGCCGGCGUGCGCGCUACGCGGAUGCCAAGGAAGAAGUGAAGAGCCCCGAGAUCCUUCAUGGCAAAUUCAGCGGUGAGCUGGGCGACGACGUGGCAAAGAGUGGUGACAGACGAGGCGGUGAGCACGAUGUCGUCGACGUAGAGAAGAAGAAGCGCAGUGUCGCAGCUGUGGCGUCGAACGAAGAGCGAAGAGUCGGACCGCGUGGCGACGAAGACGAUGGUCUUGAGGAAGCCGGCAAAUCUAAGAACCCAAGCGUGCGGCACUUGCUUCAAGCUGUAGAGGGACUUGGAGAGGUGGCAGACGUGGUGUGGGCGAUCGGCGUCGACGAAGCCAGCGGGCUAGAGGCAGAAGACCUCCUCAUCCAGCGUAUCGUGGAGGAAUGCAUUGGAUACGUCAAGCUGAUGGACAGGCCAGCCGUGCGAGGCAGCCAGGGUGAGCACGGUGCGGAUGGUAGCGGGCUUGACGACUGGCGAGAAGGUCUCGCCGUAGUCGACGCCGGUGUGCUGGCGAAAUCCUCGCACAACCCAGCGGGCCUUGUAGCGCUCGAGGGAGCCGUCGGCGUCGUACUUGUGCUUGAAGACCCAUUUGCCGGUGAUGAGGUUGGCACCGGGCGAAUGUGGCACGAGCUCCCAAGUGCGGUCGCGCACGAGAGCGUCGAACUCGUCGCACAUGGCGGCAAGCCAAUUGGGGUUGCGAACGGCGAUGCGUACCGAGGCAGGGACCGGCGACACCCUCCCGGACGUGCUUGUAGUAGCGGCGAGGCCGUCGUGGUAGCGCGGAUUGGGGCGGAAGACACCAGUCUGCGCACGCGUGACCAUCCGCCGGGGCGCUGCAGGAGGAGUGGCCGGAGGAGAAGUCGCGGGCGAGGAAGACAACGAAGAGCGCACUGGGGAGGCAGGCGAAGCGGUGGUGCAGCAGGAGGUUGCAGCCGAGCCGUCGAUCGAAAGAUCAACGCCCCCAAGCGACUGCAUGGCGGGUAGGCGCGAGCUCGUGGCCGAGGCGGCGCCUGACAGGUCAGCGCUCCCACGUGACUGCAUGGCGAGGGGGCGCGGGUCCGCGCACGAGCCGUCCGAUGGAGAUCCAGCGGGUGAGUUUGAACGCGCGGCUUGCGCGCGCGAGGCGCUCGAUGGAGAGCCCGCCGGCGAUGAGCCAGCGGCCAUGAGUGAAGAAGAGCAUGACGCACGAUCGCGGAGGCGCCGCUCGCCCAUAGGAACCUGCAAAAUGGGAGGAGCAAACGCAGGCGGUGGUGGAGCGGCGGAGUUAACUGUGGGUGGUGUGGCGAAGGGGAAGAUCGACUCGUGGAAGCGGACAUGGCGAGAUGUGAGCACGCGACGCGUCGUGGGGUCGAAACACCUAUAGCCGCGGUGGUCAGAAGGGUAGACAAGGAAGAUACACGCGACGGAGCGAGGAGCAAGCUUGUGUUUGGCCGUGGCAGCGAGGUUUGGAUAGCACAAGCACCCGAAGACGCGUAGGAGGGAGUAGUCAGGAGCGACACCUAGGAGAAGCUCAUGGGGCGUGCGUGGUGCGCUAGCAUGACACGGCCGGCGAUUGAGGAGAUAGGUGGCUGUGUUGAGGGCUUCGACCCAGAAACGUGCCGGCAUGGAUGCAUGAAAGAGGAGAGCACGCACACUGUCAUUGAGUGUCCGGAGGAUGCGCUCGGCCUUCCCGUUCUGCUGGCUUGUGUAAGGACACGAGAGCCGGAGAUGAGUGUCGUGGCGACUAAGUAGAGAGCGGACGGCAGCACUAUCGAACUCAAGCCUGUUGUCGGUUUGGAGCGAGAAGAUAGGAAGCUGAAACUAUGUUUUGACAUAAGCAUAGAAAUCAAGCAAGACAGGGGGUACUUCCGAUUUGUGUUUGAGGGGAAACGUCCACACGUAAUGUGUGUAGUCAUCUAGCACAACCAAAUAAAACUGAUAGCUAGAGAUGCUCACAACGGGAGAUGUCCAUACAUCAAGAUGCAGUACAUGAAAGGGAAACAUGUUGGUGUUGGUAGAACUGCUAAAGGGCAGGCGGACGUGCUUGCCCAAACUACAUGCAUGACACGAAUGUGGCGCGGACUUGCUGAAGCUAAGGUGAUCGGCGCCCAGACGGAGCGAAGCGUGCCCGAGCCAUUGAUGCCACAAGGUGGAGUCGACGAAACCGGCGAAAGCCGAACACGAGGGGAGCGUCGGGCGGCCGACAGAGUAGAGAUCACCGUGAGAGUCACAUCAUAGGAUCACCGCCUUGGUUUUAAGGUCCUUGACAGAGAAGCCAAAAGCAUCAAAUUCGACAGAAAUGGGAUUAUCACGACAAAUGCGGCAUACUGAAAGCAAGUUUGUAAUGAGAGAGGGAGAGACAAGGACGUUGCGGAGUUGGACAGGUGAUGUGCCCUCGAUGAGAGCACCGUCACCGACGUGGGUGAUCGGUAGAUGAGCUCCACUGCCAACAAUUAUAUGAGAGGGGGAGCGACAUGGACGGAGGGAAUGGAGGUUACCAGGCCACGAGGACAUGUGAGAGGAGGCCCCAGAGUCGAGGUACCAGUCUGAAGCCGUGCCCGACGAAGAAGGCCCGGCCGUGGCACUGUGGAGCGCCGCCUGGAGGGACUGCAUGUCCCACGGCUGAGGCGGCGGCGCGGUGGACGAGCUGGCGCCCGGGGAUCCAUAGCCAUGGAAUGAGCCGCCAGGGUAGCCGUAGCCAGGAGGCGGACCGCUAGGGGCGCCAUAGCCGGGCGGCGCAGGCGCGGCGAACAUGGCCUGCUGGUGAGGUGUGCUGAGGCGCGGCCCGAGGACGCCGGCGCCCGGGGCGCACCAGGGCAUGGGCCAGGCCUGGACGAGCCCCGUCCAGGAGUUGGCACCAGGAGCCGGCGCGGGGUAGGUGGGUGCGUCUGCGGGCGGCAGAGGAGUUGGCGCGGCAGGUGCGGGGGAGCCGUGCCCAGCGUAGAGAGCGUGGGCGGACUGCUGCCGAGCUGCCUGCUCAGCGCGAUGCUCCUCCAAGAGAAGGAAGGAGUGCACCUGGAGGAACAUCGGGAGCGGGUUCUGGCAUGUGAUAUGCGGGAUGACGGAGUGGUACUGGCGGUUGAGGCCGCGGAGGAGAUGGAAGACCUGUCGUGGGUCAGUUACCGGCUAGCCCAGAUCACGGAGUUGGUCGGCGAAGGUCUUGAGCUUGGUGCAGAAUUGCAUCACCGUCAUGUCGCCCUGGAUGGUGGCGUGGUACUCAGCGUCGACGUACACUACGCGAGCCAUCUGGUUGUUGCGGAAGAGCUCGUCGACGGCGAGCCACACAAUGCGGGCCGUGUCCUCGGGCUGCUUGAUCGCAUCGAGGAGCUCCAGCGGUAUGGUGGCAUAUAGACAGUGGAUGACGGUGUGGUCGGCCAUCUGCCACUCGGGGUCGUCGGGGCGAGGAACCGCCUCGGCAUCGACGUGCACACGUAGGCCGAACAUGCCAAGCACCGUGUCGAAGUGGCGCCGCCACUGAGCGUGGUUGCCGGCGAGGAGGUCGAGGACAACAGGAACAUGGCGAGGAUGUCGAUGGUCUGGAGAAUGGCGGAGGGAAAGGAGGGAGGCGGCGCGGCAGGCACGGCGGGCGCGGCCGGCGCGGGUGGGGCGACGUGCUGGAGAGGAGCGGCGUUGAGGACGCCGGCCGCACCGUCGACGGAGGAACGAGGGAAGAGGACGGGGAUGUCGUCCAUGGCGGAAGCGGAAUCGGCGACCGGAGAAAGGGGUACUGGUUGCGGGUAUCUGAUACCAUGUUGAGGAGAGGAGAGGGAAUAGGAUUCAACACACAUCGAUUAUGCUCAGAGCCUGGGUUUAAGUACAGGUUGCUGUCCUCAGCCGAGCCAAGAUCGUGGGUAUGCCACUACCUCAGGACGUGCACCACUAGCUAUACAACUGCUGCACGAUCCACACUAUACCGUAUGGUGAUCUAUACAAGGUGCAUACGGUAUAGAACUACCUAGUCUAACAAUUGUACAUUGGUGUUAAUUGAAACCCGAUUUAGCUAACUGAAAUAAUGCAUUUAACAACCAAGUUCAUAGUAAGAUGCAGUUAACUGAAUCAGUUCACAAUUCACAGCAAGAUUCAAUUAACUGAAUGAAUGCAGUUGUUCACAACAAGAUUCAGUGAUGCAGUUAACAAUUGUCACUGAAUUUUCAUGUGCUAUUUUACUGAAUUUUAGGGUUUGCAAAUGGUUAACUGUUGUAGGGUUAGUUACUCUUGUGGACUGAUUGAAGUUGACACUGUAUGAAGCUGACACUAAAUGCAGCUAACUAAAUUUGCAGGGUGUUGUGCGGUGGGUAGAUGAGUUAAUUUUGGGUUGAGUGAUGAAGUGGACAAUUUGACCACAGAAGGAAUGAGUCGGUGUACAUGGGUUAAAGUGAUUUGACUGAUGUGAAGUGUUAGUAGGUGUGCUUAAUUUACUGUUCAAGGCAGUAAGUGUCCCUAACUAGGAGAGAACUUGCAAUAUUCAUGCUAGGAAUGUUCAGACUUUAUUCAAUCCAACUAUACUAACAUCUUAUCUUUGCAUUGACACCUAGAGCACACAUAUAGUUCCCUAGUAAUCUGACCAAAAAAAUUGGGGAUUUAGGUUCUGUGACAUUUUAUCUUUGUACCGACACCUACAACAUAAUUAUAGUUCUUUGAAUGGAAACCUAGAGCACCAUAGUUUACCAUUUAUAAUAGAUAAUAUGAGCACCAAUAUGAGCAAUGUCAUUCAGAUAAUGUGACCACAAAGAUUAACAAACCAUGACCACAAACAUUCAAAAAGAUAAAUAAAUAUCAUAGAUGAGUUCACAAACCAUGACCACAAACAUUCAGCAACCAUGACCUCACUGUGUGCCCGCCAGAAUGGAUCCAGGGAAUCCUUGCCCCCCCCCCCCCAGCCUAGACCAAGUUCUCGAUCAGUGGGCGGUGGAGGUCUGGCAAUCUGGCCCUUUCCUGAUGGUUGGCAGCUGCCCUCACUGCGCGCGCACAAUUUUUGAGGAUUGUAGUGCUAGCAUACCAAGUGCCCGCCUCGCACGCAUAGGAGUGCUUGGUGCUGUCGCCGUUGAAGAUCGAGGUUUUCUUUGCUUUGGUGGGCAGGAGGAAGUUGGAUGGGGAGGCGAUGGAGAGUGGUGGUUAGCUGUGCAAGGGGGGUGAAUGUGAAUGAAUGCACUUUGUGUGUGUGUGUGUGUGUGUGUGUGUGUGUGUGUGUGUGUGGAGACUGGGGUUUUCUGGAGAAACCGAACGGGCGCACUCAAUCGAUCGAACCACCUGAGCGUAAUUUUGUUAUGAGAAAAGUCGAAGGUGCAGAGGCCAACCCAGCAGCCAGGUAAAUAUAAAGAGAAUAUAAACGACCGAAUGCCCCCAGCCCAGCCCAGCAAAUGACCGAACGCGACCCGCCCAGCCCAGCCCAGCAGCUUCAUCCCUUGCGAAAAAAAGAAGGCCGUUAACGCCCGUUAGCGCCUCGCCGUCACCGCUAUCGGCCCGUGAGUGAUCAUCCAUGUCAAAACACGUUCAUUUCUUCGCUGAGUGUUUUUUGUCACUGUCAUUUUUACGUCGGUGGAAAGUGUCACUUUUUUAAUGUGGUGGUAUUCCGAGAGCUAUGGCGUAAAAGUGGUGGUUUUAUGCAUUUUCUCUCACUAGAUACUGCUGCUUUCAUCAACAAUUUACUGUUUUUUCAUGUAUUGCUCCUGUACAAUUUAAUUGUAUUGCCGGAUACCAGUUGUAUCUACUGAAGCCCAGGAGCACACCAGUGAGCGUGAGGCGGCCUAUCGCGAGCCUUUUCAGGGGUGUCUUGAUCCAGAGCUGGCGGAGGCUAUGGCACUCCGUCGAGCAGUUUAUAUGGCACGGGCGAAGAACUUUUGCCUUCCUCUUGUCCAGCGCCUUCACUAUCCAGUGGAUGAUCGCUCCUCGGUGGGUAUAUAUGGUGGUGGCUGACAUCAAGCAUGCAGACUCUCUUGGGUGGUCUUCAAACACGUUCGUUGGAAGUUUAAUUUGUUAGCUCAUAUAUUAGGUAAAGCUUGCAUGAACUACAGUAGUAUGUGUGUGUUUUUUCUGCUCCGGACUGCAUCCGGAAGACUAUUUGUAACUUUGUUGCUUAAUCUAUAAAAUGCUGAUGUACACAAAAAAACAGCUGGUCUCUGCUGUUCUAGGACCUCUGUGUCAGAACACCAGUGUGGCUUAAUCACCUUGACUCUCACUUCCAUGUUUCCACUAACCUUGAGGGACAAGUUUCUCUGUGGUGUUUCUUCAAGCCACAGGCCCAUAAGAUAACCAUUUCACAGUAGUCGAGGGCAGUGCUAACUGGUCCGAAUUUUUUGUUGCAGACAUAACAAUUGCAUGCGGGUAUUACUUUCCUCACAUAUUGUCACAUAUUACCCCAUUGCAUGACAAUUAUUUGUAGCGCUGUUAUUUCACUAAUAUUGUUGUGCAUAGUCAUUGUCUAUUUAUUCACUAAAAUUGACUAUCAUGCAGUUAGUUUUUUUCUGAUGUUAACAUAUUUCUGACAUUUUGGAGAAUAAAAUGUAUGGAGAAGUUUGAGAAGUUCUACGAUAGUAGAAAAUAAAGUGCAACUAAAAUUCUUGUUGCUGGAAAUGGUUCAACUCGGGAAGGUACUAAGCCACCUUGCAACAUGUAUUGUACAUUGUGUUUCUAGGCAAUGCAAUGUUCAUCCUUCUGUCCUCUCUGGAUCUUGCAAUGUUGCAUGAAGGACACAUCUAAAAUAUUAUUCAAAAUGAAACUAACAUGUCAAUGUCUAAUGGCUUACAAUUGGCAAUGAUAUGACACACAGUGGCUAACAGUGGGAAUACACACACCACCGCAACCAUGACAAACUGCAACCCUUAAAACAAACAUGCAUGGACCUAUAAAAACAUCAAAUAUCCCAGGUUAUAGUUGGAGCACCAUAACAAUGCAUUCCAGAGAUGCAACACUCGUACGACAAAAUUACCGGAAAUAGCGAGUGAAGGUGAGAGUAUGGGUUUUUACAUUAUAGGUCACACAAUCCAAGACAAUGCCUACACAAGGGAGAAUCUGCACAAUUGUUGUUGUUGCUGUUGGAUCCCACCAACAUGCUAGAUUGAAGCUUACGUGUUGGAGCCCAAAACCAAACGUUGCAUUAGCCAACAAAUUAAUGUAAGGUUACUCCUCAAUGUCUGAUGCAGAUGUGACGAACGAAAUGAGCACCUUCAAUGUGAAGCGCCAAGGAUGGUCACCAUAGGGACCAUGCGCAAGAAAACUAACAAAGGCAGUAGAGUGUGAGGAAGAGGCAUCAUGACCGCAUGAGACAGGAGGUGGAUGUAAUUCCAGUAAGCUGGUAAUUCCUGGUGCCUUCCAUCCCUACAUCUAUCAAGUGUGAAUCUCUAAUGUGCAGAGACAGAACAAUUAAAACAGAAAAUGAGAUUGUACAUUUCUACGCCAUUGAGGGAAAAAGAGGAGUAUUUAUUCACCGCUUUCUUCGGUGAAGCCUUGCCCUUAUAAAAUACAUGGAUGGUAGGCUGUGACAUCAAGUCCUCCAAUAACUGCAAAGAAUGUGUUAGUUGUGAGCUUGGUCCUCAUAUGGUUUUUUUCGAUAAACGGAAUAUAUUAAUAUCAAGAUGAUACCAAUUACACCCAGCCUCUGCAACAACAUAAUAUCCAAAGCAACUAGUCUCUAGACAUCACGGAUGCACACAGCCAAAAAAUAUAAGAAGAGAAAAAAACAAAGGCCCUGUCGAAACAAAGAGAGGCUCACAGCUGCAAGAGCACCACUAGUGAUGGCAACACGUAGACUCCGAAAAGGAUUCUCCAGAAACGACGCCUUUAGAAAGGUUAUAGUGCACAAAUACUAUCGUCGUCCGGUCCAACUAGCACAGUCAGAUCCUGGAUUUUCACCCUGGAGAAGAUCCAAUCUCCAAACAAUGCCUUCAGCAAGGAAACGACUAGGAAGCCGCCAUUGUCAGGUACAAGACCUAGGGAGACCACCAAGAACGAAGUCUGCAAGUGUUGCUGCCCCACUCAUCGAGAUUACUGCUGCAAAAUUCCAAUUGUCCAACACGCAAACUUCUUUCGAUCUGUCCCAUCCAGUCUUCUUCUACAUCACCGCCAUUACCAAGUUCACACAGUAUAAGUGUGUAGAACAUCUGGCCUUCAAUCCAUCUAGACAUAUCCACCUCCGUUAAUUUUUGGCCGAUGAGGUGGAUAAUACGAUGUGGUGGUGCCCCCUCUUGUACCUCGUCACUGUGAUCCGUGCUUAGUGACGAAGAUCUCGAAAAAGGCCACACAACGGUACCAGACAAGAAAGAUCUGUGGGCAGCCGCGGAUGGCAUCAUGCCCCUCGCCUCCGUCACUAUGGACGACCGCGGCUGGAGGGGCGCGCGCCUCGCCGGAUUGUGACCGAACGCCGCUGUCCACGGCGAGAAUGGCGCCACGAUCUUGGCCAGGGUUAUCUCAGCAAUCAGAUCAGAUCAGAUCGACAUGGAUGUGGGGAUGGGAGAAUGAGCUAGGGCGAGGGAAAAAAGGAAGGAAACUCUGAGGACGCCCCGCCGCCGCCGUCCGCCGUCGGACGGCCUCCUCCAGCAGCGGCGGGGGUAGGGGGAGGUGAGGGAGAGGCCGGCGGCGGCUGGUAGUUGUGUCCCCCGUGUCGCCCGGUUGAGGACGACGCGGGGUCGGGAUCCGGAUCGCCGUAUAUAGAAAGACCGAGAUAAACUGGUUAAUUGUGUUAUUUAGAACAACUAGCAAUGUGCCCGUGCAUUGCAACGGAUCCAAAGUGGAAUAAUACUUGUUCACAAACUUGAAAGAAAACAUUCUAGUUUUGAUAUACAUAUAGCACAAAAAAUACAUUAUAUUUCACUCCAAAUAUAUUCCUCGGGUUCUUUUGAUGAGUUGAGUGAGGCGUGUGGUUGGUUUCAAGAUACUAAUGGGUUUUCUGUAAAUUAGAGCUGAGAAGUGGCCUAUUCUUGCAAAAAGGCCACAGAUUAUCUCACAGUCGUUAGAUGCAGAUCUAAUGGUUAGAAAUGACGAAUGGCAGACACAUCAUCAUCACCAACUGAAUUUUUCAUAGGACUAGAAAUUGAUAUUGUUAUCUUUUUCAUUUGCAAACCAUAAGGGCAUUAGACACUUGCCUAUGACACUAAAGUAGUGCAUGCAUCCGAUAAGCUGCUGACAAGGAUAGCACCCCAUCUUAAAUAAAUAGCACUCGGGCUCAUAUUAGAAUUGCUCCUGUCCAAUAAAAUUUGGAUGUGUUCUGUAGCCAUGGUCGACAGUGCGACGACUUCUGUUCUGUACACCCACUUGCUUAUAGGUUCCAGCCACCCCAGAGAAUGAGUGGGGCUAGAUUAUCCAUUGUAAUUAUGAUUAGUAAAUAUGGGAAAUAUCCUUUGGUUCCUCGGUGCUUAUACACCUCAUAUGGGACAAAAAAAUUAAUAAAAAAUGUCAAAAAUUUUGGAAGUGUUUCUCCAAUAAAGUUGACUUCCUUUUGCACUAGUAUAUAAAUCUCCAAUGAACAGAAACCCCACAUCGACUUCACAGGAAGAAAACAAAUUUACUUGCUAUUAUAGGUCACUAUUCACACUAUUUUGCCAAAAAAAAUAUCUUUUUCGAAAAGAACUCAAUAUGAAUUUUUCUUUUUGUGGAUUUUUUACCAGUGCAAUGAAAGGUCAAGUUUAUUUCAAAAAUAUUUUCAGUAAUUGUUGACAAUUAAUUUAAUUACUAAUUUUUUUAGUUAGGGUGUCUAUACACUAAUAGACUAAAAGUUCGCCUAGUAAAUAUUAGUAUUUUGUAGUCAACCAAGAUAAAUACCAAAAGGACACUUCUAAUAAAAAUUUGAAAAGGGGUAACCCGUCCUUGAUCAUUUUCAUGCACAAAUCAGUCAACUCUUUUUAUUUUGGUGGGAUGUACCGGAACUAUCUUUAUGUCCCACACGGUUAUUAAGUGGAGUGUGAAGUAUAUUGGGAUUCUGUCGGGUAGGUCAGGCCUAGACCAAAAGCUCGUAGCUUGUGAGCUUAAUGAAUCGCUCGGUAGCUCUGCUCAUUAGCGAGCAAGCUAGCGAGUUUCAUGAACAGCUCAUUAAUACAACAAAACACAUAUUUUCAUGUUAAGUGGCAACAUUUAUUGGCACCUGAACGGGUCUUAUUCCAUCUAAUUGACGCCACCCAGCCCAUAGGAGCCAAUAAAUAGCGUACAUUCUCAUGUCAUAACUUUCUUCCGUCAUAAAAAAUACAUCGUAGUUGAAGCAAAAGGAGGUGAUGCUUGUUAAAGAGUACUCACGAUCUCUCACGAACUUAAUGAUAUUUAAGCAAAGAGAGCCGAUCAGAGUUUCUUGCUCGUUAGUCGGAUCCAUAACUUCACAGCGUUAAUUCCAAACAUAGUUUGGCAUUUUCUCUCCUUAUUAGAGAGGAGACUUCCUACCAGAUAUAGCAUAUGAUGGUCUGGACUGAUUGCAUGUAGUAAACUGGAUUGGGAGACAAAGUGCCUAUACGGGCCUGACCAUGAAUAGUCUAUUUGUAAAAAGCCAGUUGAGUUUUUGUGAAUAUCUUUAAAGAGCCUCUUUGGUUUCUUGGAAACUACAAGAUUCUGAAGUGGGGCUGCUGAUACACACGAGCACACCAGCAUCACACUCCAAAGCGAAUCAACUAGAGAACAAUCUUAAAACUGUGCAUCCUUAUUGACACUUAUGAUACUACUUAUCUCGUUUUCAUCUUCCAGCAAAGAGAAUUUGGUAAAGCUUUUACGGGAACAUGACCCGAUGAUCUUACUAAUUUUAUCGAUGUAUGAGUAUUUACUGGGAAAGUAACGGUUGCUUGGGCCCAUUUCCGCUCUUCAUCGACCGGACGACUUGAUACAGCGAAUGUGAAGACUAUCUCAGAAUAUGAUAAUCUAAGGAACUGCAGAGUGGCCAUGUGGACUUUAUAGCAAUGUUGAAUAACACGAAAGCAUUAUUAUCAUGCAUGCUUGGUGCACCAUAUAUUAACAGAAAUUAAUGUAACGAUGUUCCUAAAUAAUUAAGUGUGAGAAGAGAGAUUGAAAAUGAUCAUAUAUACUAGCUUGCAAAGAAGAUAUCAUGCGUGCAAGUGCUGGCAAGUAGAAGGGGUAUGUCGUUGCUACGUGGAGAAUGCUCAAAUUUUGUUUGCAAAGAAGCCAUCAACCGAUAGCUAUCUAAAUACCUGGGAGGGCAAGGACUAGAGCUUGGUCUUUGCUUGGUUCAUACCAGCAAUACCACAAACGUAAUGUACACAAGUUUUGCACUUAGCUGGAAUUGGAUUCGCACUUGCAAAUGCCACCAAAACCCACUCGCAUCCUAGGACGGGGAAGCGUGAGGAUUUGUGAUUACGCCUGCCUAAAUUUCCACACACAAGGUACAAUAUCAGUGUGGUUGCCUGCUUGAGAUGUACUCCCUCCGUCUCAAUAAGUGUCUCAACUUUGUACUAGCUCUAGUAUAAAUUUUUACUAAGCUCAAGACACUUAUUUAUUUUGGGACGGAGGGAGUAUUGCUUUAGAGGAUUCUCAGUGAACAAUGUGAGCAGCAUUCACGACCCGGAAACCUAGAGGAUUCACCUUGGGAAGCCUUCCAAGUUCCAUACUAUUUUUAUUAGGUUACAAGAGGGCAAAGAAGUUGAUACUCACUUCAGUCCCAUUUGUGAUUCAUGGAGUGCAGCAUUCUAGUUGGCCUGCCAUGUUUGGAAAUCCUUAGAAAGGAGUAUUUAUUUUCUCCCAAUUGGGUGAAUUAUAAGGGCGACGAUUAAUCUUGUCUAAAAGAAAAUAAAUACUUCCUCCGACCCAAAUUAAUUUUUGCAGUUUAGUACAACUAUAGUACAAAAAGUUGUACUAAAACUGCAUCAAAGUUAUGCUCUAUUCAUUCAACAUCUCUCAUUUUAUCAGAUGAAUUUUUUAGGUGCCGCCAAAUAGUGAGAAUUAUGCCUCCAAAACAUAGUGGAGAGCAAAAUGUGCGCUCAAAACAGAACAGGCGCGGCUGCAGUGUUGUUUCAGUGUACAGUUUCAGAUAAUUAAGCAUGAGAAGAUAUUUUUCUCGCAAAAAAAACACAAGAAGAUUUUUCUUCAUUCAGAACACAAACUAACAACUUUGGACAUGAGUUGAUGACAAGAUGAAAUAUCUGCAACAUUAGAGCUUCCGUUCGAGAAACGUUCCAAAGAGAACAUUUGGAAAGUGGCAAACCCCAAAACUGGGAUACUUAUUUCAGUGUAUACUUUGUACAGUACAACCUCCGUCAUAGUUUAUUGGUCCUCUAUGAAUUUUGUGCCAAACUUUGACCUUAUAUUUAACAAACAAAAUGUUAAUACAUGUCACUAAAUUCAACGAUAUUAUUUUUAGUGACAUGCACUAAAAUUUUGUUAAUUAAAUUUGUGGUUAAAUUAAGCACAAAAUACGAAGGAGACUAAUAAACCGGGGUAGUAGCUUUAUUCUUGAUCUAUCAUUAAUACAAGGGAGUAGAGUAAAAAAACAAAUUAGGUCCAGAAACUGAUAGACCACAGGAUACGGUCAGGUACCCUUUGCUGAACUCUUCGAAACUGCUCCCAAACGGCGCCUCUCUAGAGCGAAGGGCGGCUAUGGUGAAGAUACUGGAGAGAUCCAUCAUUCGUCCGUGCAUCCAGUCUAGCUUCGAUUAGACAAUUUGGAUGUGCUCACUGAUCUCUGGCGAGAUAGCUACGAGGUGAGUGCACACCCUGCCGGCCGCCGCUCCGGUGCCGGCGGCCACCACAACACGCCGCGUCCACCCCGGGCACGGCGUCCACCUUCUCGCCGCACGCUACUCCGGCUGCGACGUCCCCAAUAGUUACGGUGUGCCUCGCCGCGCGGCUGGGGUUUUUUCCUCUCCUCCUUCGUUCUCGGUUUCUGCUUCAUCCCAGGCUGGUACCUUCCUAUAACUCUUUCUGGUCUUGGUGCGCCCUGCCUGUUGCUUUGACGCAUGCCUUUGCUCGGCUUUGCAUCCUUGCCUGCUACAUCGUCGCUCUAGGUCUUGCCGUAUGGUUUAGCUGCAUUGCUGCCCUCUUCUUUUGCUGCGUCGUAGGUCUAGCCGCUUGUUUUCUCGCUCGCUCCAUGGAUGGAAUGCGGUUCCAGGAUGAGAUGCUUCUCCAGUAUGGUUGCGCCACUGUCGAGGUCGUAGCGGGCCGUCGCCGCCCCGACGGCAUCCUUGCCGUCGUGCUUAAUGACGGCAUCUCCCUCUCGUCGGAUUUCUUCGCCUCCCUCCUAGUCAGCUGGUUCGGUGGUUUCGCUAGCGGCUACUUUGUCAGACUGCGGCAGAGCGGUUGUUUUCCUUCCAAGUUGCCCAUGCAUGCAUCGCAAAGGAGAUCGUGCUCCGGGGAUGCUGGACGUCUGGUUUGCUUCGUGUCAGGAUGUCUUUUCCUGACCUGUCCUCUUCCGCUCUUUCCUUGUCGAACCGGCACGUCCGCUCUUCUGCAUGGAUGGCUAAUUCUGCGCUGCCCUCUGUGCUUGGCCCCCAUCCCAUGCAAUCGAUGAUCGCCCCCAUGCACGUCCCCCGUGCCCAGGAUUUCGGGAAGGUUGGCACGAGCUCGCAUGCUCACCCCUCCGCCUCCCCUCUCUCUCCUGCUGCGCAUGCGGUUAGUUAUGAUCAUGCGCCUGUCAGCCAGGAUGCGUUAAAUCCCUCCCGCCUUCCAGCGCCUCAGGUUUCCACCAUCGCCGAAACAUCCUGCCAUGGCUCCGACGAGUGUUCCGGCAGCGUCUCGGGAUCGCUGCGGUUCGUUUCGCUGGGUCCUCUAUGGGCACGGCAUUCGCCGUGUUCCAACGGGAGGAGGAGCAGGCUGCGGCCUUCCGUGCGAGCCCGAUGUACGUCGGCUCCCACACGGUCCGUCUCCUGCACCAUGGUGCGGGGGACAAUGCCUUCUCCUUCUCCUACCGGCACGUCGUCAGCCUCUCGCUGGAGAAGCUUACUCUCGAGCUCUGGGGGGGGUCGCCGCCUCUGUCGCUGGCUUUGCGAGCAUCCUUGGUGUGGAGCAUGCAUGCUUGCAUUGCAACGACUUCUCCAGUGUCUUCGUGCUCGUCAAGGUGGAGGUGCUCCAACAUAUCCCCCACCACCUCGCCUUUCAUUGUCUCGACGGCGCCGGCGCCUACGUUGAUGUGCUCAUCAACGAGAUCUGGGACGUGGCCCGGACUCUUGGAGCCCCGACUCCGCCGUCGCAGCCGCCAUCCGCUCGCCAAUUUGAUGGUGCGGGUGGCAGCCCUGGUGCCGACCACGCUCUCCCAAGGACGGUGCCUCGGCAAGGUCUCUCGUAGCCGCGUGGCCGCCGGGCGCCCUAUCAUCUUGAAGGCAAAGAUGGCAUGGCUACCCUAGCAUAUCACGCCUUCCUAUAGCCCCAUAUCGCCUCCGUGGGCGACUUCAUGGCCAGGUCGAAGCUUUCUUUCAAGCCCAAGCUCGUUAAGGGAGCCACCUUUUCCCUGCCCACGAUUGUGCAGCUCAUGCACGAGGACGAGCCUCGGGGUUGUCUCUGCCCCGUCAUCCUGGCUGUGGAUGCCGUCCUGCCACUUGCUACAGUCUCCUUCGAUCCGGACGCCAUGACUCAGCCUGGACACGGUCCGGUCCGGUCCGGUCCCGGUCCGAGCCGGCGUUUGGACCGGCCUCCGGCGGUCCGGUCCGGACCGGACCGAGCUGUCCAGCGAGCUCCUUUUCCAGGACCGGACCGAAAGGGUGCUGGCUCGGUCAAGCUUUUGAGGACCGUGUGGACCGAUGCCACUAGUUCUGCUAGCUGCUGUUUAGGUCCUAGUUAGUUAUUUGGGUCCUAGGUAGCUGCAGUUUAGGUCCUGGUUAGCUGCAGGUUAGUCAUCUGUUAAAUCCUGGAUGAAACUGACGAACUGAAUUUUCUGAAUCUGACGAAACUGAAUUUUCUGAAUCUCCCAGUUCGUGUUCUGUAUCCGACGAAACUGAAUUUUCUGAAUCUGACGAAACUGAAUUUUCUGAAUCUCCCAGUUCGUGUUCUGUAUCUGACGAAACUGAAUUUUCUGAAUCUGACGAAACUGAAUUUUCUGAAUCUCCCAGUUCGUGUUCUGUAUCCGACGAAAUUGAAUUUUCUGAAUCUGACGAAACUGAAUUUUCUGAAUCUCCCAGUUCGUGUUCUGUAUCUGACGAAACUGAAUUUUCUGAAUCUGACGAAACUGAAUUUUCUGAAUCUCCCGGUGCAUGCCCACUUCCGGAGAAAUCACUCGCCAUGCAACGUGUGCAUGCCCACCUCUUGACUUAGUUUCAGGUUAGAUCAGGCGGUUGUGAGAGAUCGUGGCAUGGCAUGAUUUGAGCUCAUGCAGCGGCAACAUAGCUACGUACGGGUGGACGUGGGAUGCCACUUUUCGUUCCUCUCAGUUGUAAGGGAAACAUCUUGACCUGCAGCUCCUUUCAUGGCACGAUUUCGGCUCUUGCAGCCGCAAGUUGGGGUCAAGGUCAUGUUCGAGAACUCCAGAUCGGCAGCAGUCUAAGCACGAUAGCGAUGGCGACUGGCGGCAAGAAGAUGCGGCGCACGGGGAGGAGAGGAAGGAAGGAAUGGGGAAGCUCGGGGACAUGGUAGUUCGCCAAGGGGCUGCCGGUGUCCGCGACGACGAGGAACGGCGGCGGCGGUGACAGCGAUCCCUCGGUCCGACCGAGCGGCUCGGUUAAAGACUGGACCGGACCGACAUUUUUUCGGGCCCAAUAUCGCAGCCCGGACCGACCAGUUUUCCUACCGGUCCUGGACCGUGCGGUCCGGUCCUCAACGGGCCACGAGCGGGCCCAAAAGCCCGCUCGUUCCGUCCAGGCCUAGCCAUGACCUUCUCCUUCAAGCUGGAGCUGAGCCGCUGCCGCUCUGCCGAGGGAUCGAUCCAGGUCCGGGCGGUGGCUCUAGAUGAUGGCUUCUUCCCGUGCUUCAACCUCCGCUCUGAGCUCAUUGCGUGGAAAAGAUGUCGCUCCCUCCUUUUUAAAUUCUGACCGCAGGAUGAAGCCGGCUUGAUGUGCCCUCGCACCAUGCCGCUCCUGCCUUCCGUUGAAAACCUGCACCCUCCCAAACCCAUCGAGCCCCUGGGCUGCUCCCCACUGUUGGGCCCCUGCUUGCUGCCAACUGUGUCAUCCUUCCUUCUGAAGCAUACUUCCCUGCUCAUGCUCGCGUACAAGCCCAUCAGGUUCUUGCCACCCGGCCCACCUGCUCCAGGCCCUUCAAACACGCUCUUGCCCUCGGCGAGGGCCUGCUAAACUGCGACCGCUCCCCUGUCGUCUGCUCCAAUCUUAAGCACAGAGCCUGCGCCAUGCUCCCCGCUCAUGUGGCGGCGGUCUUCUGCUCUUGCUACACGCCGCCACCGCAGCCUGCUGCUAGCGAUCUCCGCUCUUCCCCUCCUACGCUGCAGCUUCUUGGCGUGUCAGCUCCAACUGGCGCCCCGGCCCUACUCCCACCUAUUGGCCAGGACAAUGUGGAUCUGGCCCUUGGUGUGGGCUCUGACCCAGGCUCGGGCGAGCCGCUCCCGGCGACGGGCGUUGUCGUCGGCGAUGGAGGCUCGGCUGCCCCAGCAAUGGAGGCGCCUCCCACUGCCACGCGCCGCAGUCCCCGCAUCCUCAAGAUGUACGAUGGCGAGCGCGUCAGCUCGGUGGAGCGCGCUUCCAAAAGGAAGGCUGCUGAGCGUGCCGCAAGCUCCGGAGGCUCUCGCCGGUGCCCAAGCUCCUCUGCCAGCCGCUGCAAGAAGGCAAAGGUGGUUUCGGUCGCCAACCUCCUGGAUCUUCAGUUCUCCAGCACUCCAGGGCCAAGCUCAAGCAGCUCGCCAAGUAUUGCGACCUCAAUGUGGCUGCCAUCCUCGACGAAGCUUCUUCCUCUGCGUCGGCCGGCGCAGACCCUACUACGGCCUCUAACAGUUCUUCUGCUUCCUCCAUGGGUGACGCGUAUGUUCCUGAUGUGUAGGUCGCUUUUUGCUCUGCUAAAGCUGGUGUGCUCUGUCGUUGUUAGUGUCAGCAUGCGUAGUAUGCUUAGUUUGUCGCCUGCUUUUAUCCUAGCUCUAGUCGAUCUUGGGGCCUUUCCAGUGCCUCUCUAUGUUGCUGCUUUAGGGUGGUCUCAUGUUGGUUCAGUCUGUAUCGCGUCUGUUACUACUUUGCUCUCUGCUGCUAUGUUAACGAGAGCAUGUUUCUUAUCUUCCUUCAUGCUCGUCCCCUCUCCUCUUUUGCAUGGGCAGUUUGCACCUUUAUCCAUGAAAGUUCUUGAUUGGAACGUUCGGGGCCUGGGUGAUGAGAACAAGUGUUCGCUGGUUCGAGAUGUUAUAACACCCUGUCGCCCUAGCAUUCUUUGUUUGCAGGAAACCAAGCUGGAAGUAAUCCUAGCCAAGAAACUGCAUAGUUUCCUGCCGGCCUACCUCGAUCAGCAGUCCAUCAUGCCCUCAUCAGGCUCCUCUGGUGGCCUGCUCAUGGCUUGGGAUUCGUCUGCUGUCUCCGAGCAGAUCCUUGCCACGAACAAGUAUCAUAUCACAGUCAAGCUGUCAUCUACAUUUUCCAACUCUACUUAUGUUGUUACUACGGUUUAUGCGCCUUGUGUUGCUCAAGAGAGGCCAUUGUUCUUUGAAGCAAUUGAUAGCACCGUACAAGCAGUCUCUGAACCUUGGUUGGUCCUCGGUGACUUCAACAUGUAUCGAUUCCAGGAUGAAAAAUCACGAGGACGUGUGGAUUGGGCUAUGAUGGAGCUGUUCAAUGACUGGAUCAGAGGUCAUGGUUUGGGUGAUGUACAUAUUUCUAACGGAAGCUUCACUUGGUCUAACAAAAGAGAGCAUCCAACUCUGGUUCGGCUAGACCGUGUUCUUGUGAAUGCCCAUUGGCUCCUAGCUUUUGCUCACUCAUCGGCCUCGGUGGUUCCCUCUGUCACCUUGGAUCAUGUGCCUAUCGUUGUGGAGUUUGACAACUUGAGGCUUCGAUCACUAGUAGAAAAAGGGUCAAACGUGAAGCACAUUAGUGCCGGUUUGUAUUUGAGCCGGCACAAAUGUAUACAUUAGUGCCGGUUCCAACGGCUAGCCGGGCCGCUCUCAUUAGUACCGGUUCGUGGCUAACCUUUAGCACCGGUUCGUGCCACGAACCGGUACUAAUGAGAGUGGUGGCAGGACAUUGUCAGUCUGGCCCCCUCCAGCACCUUUAGUACCGGUUCUUGGCACGAACCGGUACUAAAGGUCGUCCUACAUAAACCCUUCGUCCACCCGAGCUCGCUCUGUUCUUCCCCUUUCCCCUCUCCUCUCUGUUCUUCCCCUCUUCCUCUCGAGCUCAUCACACAUUUUGCCCAAAAUUUGUCAAGAUUUGAAGGCCCCCAUCCAUUCAAAUGAUUACAAAGGUUAGCAACUUUGUCCUUUCAUCUCUCAUUGCUAGAUUAGCUCUUGCAAUGCUUUAUAUAGUUAUUAAUUUGUGAGUUUAGUAAUUUUGGAGGAAAUAUAUAUAUAUGUGCUAGUAUUUGAUUUAUAUGCAAUUUGAGGUUAAAAUAACACUUAGUUUGCAUAUGUAGGUGUGGUUUACUUAGUGCCUUCUAAAUCUCUGUCGUAACCACCGUCGAUCGCCCGCACCAUCCCGUCGCCGGCACCACCUUGUGGUGAGCCUCUUGUUCAUGAAAUUUUAUAUAAAAAAUUGAUGUUUGUGUGAUUUGGAUAUAUAUAGUUACUCGUAUAAUAAUUAUCUUACCCGUACGUUAUUUGUUAUACAUAGUGCCAUGGUUUUGAUAUCCGUCCCCGUCGGCCCUCGUCCUUGUUAUGAUUCGGAUGUGGUAUAUUCUCUUUUAAAACUAUUUAUUGCAUUUCGUGUUUAUGACAAAUUAUGCCCAUCAAGUUGACAUCGAUAUUUUUAUCUAGGAGGUAUGUGAACCGGAAAUUCCAACCGACCCUAUUGUUGAGAGGUUAAAUUUAGUUGAAAGAGAAAACGAGUACUUGAAAGAAAAAUUGAAAAGAAUUGAGGGGGAGAAGAUGGAAUUGGAGUUGCAUGUUGCCGAUGUCGUCGAUGAUCACAAGAUCAAGAUGGAGAAAAUGCGCUUGAAGAUUAGAAAGAUUAGAAAAUAUGCCAUCGAUAGUGAGGCUUGGUAUCAUUAUGCUGUUGGAUCAAUUGUUACCUUAGUUGCGAUAUUGAUCGCAUUUGUUGUUGCAUUUAAAUGCUUUAGCUAGAGAGUUAUUUGUUUGUUGCAUUUAAGUGUUGUAUGAACUUUAUGUAUGAACUUGUAUUAAUUUGGUCUAUUCGGUGUUGUGUAAUGAAGAUGAGCCGGCAAUGGAUGUACGAUGACCGAUGCUCUCCCCAGUUUGUUGAGGGCGUGCAUACUUUUCUGCUUGCGGCUGAGGCAAACAAGCGGGCGGAUGGUUUUAUGCCUUGUCCAUGUGUUGGCUGUAAGAAUGGUCGCAAUUACUCUACGUCAAGAACCAUUCACGUCCACCUAUUUGAGUCCGGUUUCAUGCCCCACUAUAAUGUUUGGACCAAGCACGGAGAAAGAGGGGUUAUGAUGGAAGACAAUGAAGAAGAAGAGUACGACGACAGCUAUCCUGGCCAUGGGUUCCCUGAAUACGAUGAUACAACAAUGGGGGAAGAAGCUGAGCCGGUAAUGCGGGAAGAAGCUGAGCCGGCAAUGCGGGAAGAAGCUGAAGAAGAGGCAUCAGAUGAGCCCGUUGAUGAUCUAGGUCGGGCCAUUGCCGAUGCAAAGAGAAACUGCGCAAGUGAUUUGGAGAAGAAGAAGUUGCAGUGCAUGUUAGAGGAUCACAAAAAAUUGUUGUACCCGAAUUGCGUAGGUGACAAGAAAAAGCUGGGCACCACACUGCAAUUGCUGCAAUGGAAGGCAGAGAAUGGUGUAUCUGACAAGGGAUUUGGAAAGUUGCUGGUAAUGAUAAAGGAUAUGCUUCCAAAGGACAACGAAUUGCCCGAGAGUACGUAUGAAGCAAAGAAGGCUGUCUACCCUCUAGGGUUAGAGGUGCAGAAGAUACAUGCAUGCCCUAAUGAUUGCAUCCUCUACCGCGGUGAGUACGAGGAUUUGAACGCUUGCCCGGUAUGUGGUGCAUUGCGCUAUAAGAUCAGCCGCGAUGAGCAUGGUGAGGUCGAGGGCGAGCACCCCAGGAAGAAGAUUCCUGCCAAGGUGAUGUGGUAUUCUCCUAUAAUACCACGGUUGAAACGUUUGUUCCGAAACAAAGAGCAUGCCAAGGCGAUGCGAUGGCACAGAGAAGACCGUAAGAAAGACGGAAAGUUGAGAGUACCCGCUGACGGGUCGCAGUGGAGAAAAAUCAAAAGAAAGUAUGGGAAGGAGUUUGCAGAUGACGCAAGGAGCGUAUGGUUUGGUCUAAGUGCAGAUGGCAUUAAUCCUUUUGGGGAGCAGAGCAGCAACCAUAGCACCUGGCCUGUGACUCUAUGUUUGUAUAACCUUCCUCCUUGGUUGUGCAUGAAGCGGAAGUUCAUUAUGAUGCCAGUGCUCAUUCAAGGCCCUAAACAACCCGGCAACGACAUUGAUGUGUACCUAAGGCCAUUAGUUGAAGAACUCUUACAACUGUGGAAUGGAACAGGUGUACGUGCACGGGAUGAGCACAAACAGGAAGAAUUUGACCUAAAGACAUUGCUGUUCGUGACCAUCAAUGAUUGGCCUGCUCUCAGUAACCUUUUAGGACAGACAAACAAGGGAUGCCAUGGAUGCACGCACUGUUUGGAUGAUACCGACAGUAUAUAUUUGAAUAGUUGUAAGAAGAAUGUGUACCUGGGACAUCGUUGAUUUCUACCGAGCAGGCAUCCCGUAAGAAAGAAAGGCAAGCAUUUCAAAGGUGAGGCGGAUCACCAUACGAAGCCUCGCCACCGUACUGGUGCUGAUGUACAUGAUAUGGUCAAGGAUUUGAAGGUGAUAUUUGGAAAGGGUCCUGGCGGACAACCUGUUCUAAAGGACGCUGACGGACGCGCACCCAUGUGGAAGAAGAAAUCUAUAUUUUGGGACCUGCCAUAUUGGAAAGACCUAGAGGUCCGCUCCGCAAUCGACGUGAUGCACGUGACAAAGAAUCUUUGCAUGACCCUGCUUGGCUUCUUGGGCGUGUAUGGGAAGACAAAAGAUACACCUGAGGCACGGGAGGACCAGCAACGUAUGCACGGAGAAGACGGCAUACAUCAGGGUCAUGCAAGCUACGCUCUUACCAAAGAAGAGAAGGAAAUCUUCUUUGAAUGCCUGCUCAGUAUUAAGGUACCGUCUGGCUUCUCGUCGAAUAUAAAGGGAAUAAUAAACAUGGCAGAGAAAAAGUUCCAGAACCUAAAGUCUCAUGACUGCCACGUGAUUAUGACGCAACUGCUUCCGGUUGCAUUGAGGGGGCUUCUACCGGAAAACGUUCGAUUAGCCAUUGUGAAGCUAUGUGCAUUUCUCAAUGCAAUCUCUCAGAAGGUAAUCGAUCUAGAAAUCAUACCAAGGUUACAGAAUGAUUUGGUGCAAUGUCUUGUCAGUUUCGAGUUGGUGUUCCCACCAUCCUUCUUCAACAUCAUGACACACGUCCUAGUUCACCUGUGCGAAGAGAUUAACGUUUUGGGUCCUGUAUUUCUACACAAUAUGUUCCCCUUUGAGAGGUUCAUGGGAGUCUUAAAGAAAUAUGUUCAUAACCGUGCUAGGCCAGAAGGAAGCAUCUCCAAGGGCCAUCAAAAUGAGGAGGUCAUUGAGUUUUGUAUUGACUUUAUUCCUGACCUUAAGCCGAUUGGUGUUCCUGAAUCACGGCAUAAGGGCAGACUGGAUGGAAAAGGCACGCUAGGAGGGGAACAAAUAAUAUGUAUGGACGGACAUUCUCUCACUGAAGCACACUACACAGUUCUACAGAAUUCCUCCUUGGUGGCUCCGUAUAUGGAUGAACACAAGAAUUUGCUAUGCUCCAAACACCCGGAGCGGUCUGAUGACUGGAUUACACGUGAACAAACCAGAAGUUUCGCCAGCUGGUUGCAGACACGUACCAUGCAUGACACCUCUAUUGAAGAUGACCUGUACUUGCUGUCCCAGUUACCAUCUUCGAAUAUAAUGACUUUCAAAGGGUACGAGAUAAAUGGUAAUACAUUUUACACGAUCACCCAAGAUAAGAAGAGCACCAACCAAAACAGUGGUGUCCGCUUUGAUGCAGAAACCAAGACGGGAAAGGAAACAUAUUAUGGUUAUAUACAAGACAUAUGGGAACUUGACUAUCGACGUGGUUUAAAGGUCCCUUUGUUUCGGUGCAAAUGGGUCAAUAUGACACGAGGCGGGGUAACGGAAGACCCGCAGUACGGAAUGACAACAGUGGAUCUCAACAAUCUUGCGUAUGCAGACGAACCAUUCGUCCUAGCCAAUGAUGUGGCACAGGUUUUCUAUGUGAAGGACAUGUCUACCAAGCCAAGAAAAAGAAAAGAUAAGAAAGCGAAUGCAUCGUACGAUGAGCCAAAGCGGCACAUAGUUCUUUCUGGGAAGAGAAACAUCGUGGGAGUGGAUGACAAGACAGACAAGUCAGAAGAUUAUGAAAAGUUUGAUGAAAUUGCUCCAUUCACAGUGAAUAUUGACCCGAGCAUCCCGUUAAAUGAUGAAGAUUUUCCAUGGUUACGGCGCAAAGGGACACACGCGAAGAAAAAGUUUCACACCCAAAGAUCUNNNNNNNNNNNNNNNNNNNNNNNNNNNNNNNNNNNNNNNNNNNNNNNNNNNNNNNNNNNNNNNNNNNNNNNNNNNNNNNNNNNNNNNNNNNNNNNNNNNNNNNNNNNNNNNNNNNNNNNNNNNNNNNNNNNNNNNNNNNNNNNNNNNNNNNNNNNNNNNNNNNNNNNNNNNNNNNNNNNNNNNNNNNNNNNNNNNNNNNNNNNNNNNNNNNNNNNNNNNNNNNNNNNNNNNNNNNNNNNNNNNNNNNNNNNNNNNNNNNNNNNNNNNNNNNNNNNNNNNNNNNNNNNNNNNNNNNNNNNNNNNNNNNNNNNNNNNNNNNNNNNNNNNNNNNNNNNNNNNNNNNNNNNNNNNNNNNNNNNNNNNNNNNNNNNNNNNNNNNNNNNNNNNNNNNNNNNNNNNNNNNNNNNNNNNNNNNNNNNNNNNNNNNNNNNNNNNNNNNNNNNNNNNNNNNNNNNNNNNNNNNNNNNNNNNNNNNNNNNNNNNNNNNNNNNNNNNNNNNNNNNNNNNNNNNNNNNNNNNNNNNNNNNNNNNNNNNNNNNNNNNNNNNNNNNNNNNNNNNNNNNNNNNNNNNNNNNNNNNNNNNNNNNNNNNNNNNNNNNNNNNNNNNNNNNNNNNNNNNNNNNNNNNNNNNNNNNNNNNNNNNNNNNNNNNNNNNNNNNNNNNNNNNNNNNNNNNNNNNNNNNNNNNNNNNNNNNNNNNNNNNNNNNNNNNNNNNNNNNNNNNNNNNNNNNNNNNNNNNNNNNNNNNNNNNNNNNNNNNNNNNNNNNNNNNNNNNNNNNNNNNNNNNNNNNNNNNNNNNNNNNNNNNNNNNNNNNNNNNNNNNNNNNNNNNNNNNNNNNNNNNNNNNNNNNNNNNNNNNNNNNNNNNNNNNNNNNNNNNNNNNNNNNNNNNNNNNNNNNNNNNNNNNNNNNNNNNNNNNNNNNNNNNNNNNNNNNNNNNNNNNNNNNNNNNNNNNNNNNNNNNNNNNNNNNNNNNNNNNNNNNNNNNNNNNNNNNNNNNNNNNNNNNNNNNNNNNNNNNNNNNNNNNNNNNNNNNNNNNNNNNNNNNNNNNNNNNNNNNNNNNNNNNNNNNNNNNNNNNNNNNNNNNNNNNNNNNNNNNNNNNNNNNNNNNNNNNNNNNNNNNNNNNNNNNNNNNNNNNNNNNNNNNNNNNNNNNNNNNNNNNNNNNNNNNNNNNNNNNNNNNNNNNNNNNNNNNNNNNNNNNNNNNNNNNNNNNNNNNCGUCGCCGCCCCGGCCGUCGCCUCGCCGUCGCCGUCGCCCGCUGUGAGCUCUCCCCCUCUAACCCCUCUCCCUCGCCCCCGGCGGCCACCAUGGGCGCCGCCCCUCCCCGAGCCCAUACACACACACACACAAGCAUGCAUGAACACACACACACACACACACACACACACGUACAUAUGUAUUUUGUAUGUUUAAUUAGUUUAGAUUAUUUAGUGUUUAAUUAGUAUAUACGUAUUUUAUAUGUUUAAUUAGUUUAGAUUAUUUAGAUUAUUAUUUUUUCACUAUUAUAUAUGUAUGAAUGCAUGUUAGAUGGAUAUAAUUAGUGCUUAAUUAGUAUGGAAAUUUUUUAUAUAAUGUUGUUUUUCAGUUUUUUAAUGGAUGUAUAGAAGUUGUGUUUUCUGUUUUUAGUGUUAGAUGCUUAAUUAGUAUGAAAUAGUAUAUAGAUUUUUGAAAUAGUAGAAAUGUUAGAAAUUUUAGUUAUCAAAAUCCAAUUAUUAAAAAAAUAUUACCUUUUGCGGGCAUAUAGCUAGUAUUUGUUCUCGACGAUGCCCGGCCCGCAUCCUCGCCGUCGUCCCGUCCGCGACGACGUCCAGCCGACCCAUGUCCGGGACUGGGCUCCGCCGGGCUGGCACUGGGAGGUGCUGCCUGGAGGGGCGCGCCGCUUGAUGAGGAACCCGGCCCCGGGUCCCGUCGUCGACCCUGAUCUCGUUUGUUGGCGUUCGCAUGGGCCAGUUUCGGUGCGGAGGGACCCGGCCCCGCCGGAGGUGGUACGUCGCCGUGUCAGGGAGGAGGACGAGCACGUCCAUCGCUACAUGGUUGCGUUAGAGGGCGGCAGGUUCUCCAAUACCUGGCAGUAUCUUCGGGGAUCUCACUUCAGCUAUGAUCCUGUGAGGGUUCCUUCUCUUUGGGUGUCCAUCGCCCGCACCGCAGGAACCGCGAGUGUCCUAGAUUCUUCUGUAGUAUUCGAUCUUUAAUUAGCUAGCCAGUGAUGUAUUAUUCAAUAUUAUAUAUUAUUCGAGACGAUGUAUUCGAGAUUAUAUCUAUUAUUCUAGACGAAGUAUUCGAGAUUAUAUCUAUUAUUCGAGACGAUGUAAUUUGAAUACUAAAUUGUUUUAUAUUUCUUUUGAAUUAGGUAAAUAAAAGCUAUGGCAGACAAUACCGACAAAGAGGGAGAACAGACCAUGUUCGAUAUGAUACGCGGGCCAGAUGAUGAUCAGAAUGAAGAAGAUUAUGACGGCUCCGAAUUUCUAAACAACACCGGAGAGGGUGAUAUGAUAUUCGAUCGCGACGACCGAAUUGAUGAAGUCAUGAACUACGAUUAUGACGAUGACGAAGAACAUGUUGAUCCUGAAACAACAAAGACCGGCGAGGUAUAUAUAUUUAUAUAAGCAGGUAUCUGGUGAUCAUCACAUGUUUUAAAUGACUUGAAGAUAUAUUAACGAAUCGAUCUUUGUUCUUUCAGCCAUCCUGAUCGAGCAAAUCUUCAGGCAAAAGGACGAAACGAGGCCCGAACAAAAAGUUAAAGGAGGGCGUAAAGUACAAUAUCGAGGCAGUCAGACCUAAUGGCGAACCACUAGCGCCUAAGAAGAUUGCAAACAAGUUCAUUGGUCAGUGCAGAGUUCUUGUGAAGGACCAACUCCCGAUCUCCCUUCAAGAAUGGAGAGAGCCAGCAAAAGACAAAAGACAAAAAGGCAAAGAGGACGCUGCUCCACGUCCAGAUGUUACUUUUGUUGACAAGAAUCAAAAAGAUCUGCUUUGGGAUACUCUCAUGGAACAUUUCACCCUACCAGAUCAUUUCACAGAAGCAGAUGUGCAGAAAGUCAAGGACGCUGCUCUUAGGAAGAUGGCGGUUGCAUUCAAGAACCACAAGAAUCGUGAAUGGGACAAGUACAUGAAGGGAGGAAGGAAGACUCCAGUACUCGAGGGAACACUAGAGAACCAACGUGCUCAUUGGGACGAUUUCGUGAAAUUCAAGGAUUCGGAAUUAGCUAAGGAACGGUCGAGAAUAAACAAGAAGAAUGCCGAAAAAAGGAUAAGUUCCAUAAGCUGGGGCCAGGUGGCUAUGCGGUGGCAAUGCCUAAGUGGGAUAAGUCUGAGAAAGAGAUGGAGGAUGCAGGUGCCACUCCAGUUACUAAGAGCUGGCCCCCCAGGGUCAGGACUUGGUUCUAUGCGCAUGGGGGGGAGUUGGACCCGAAGACAGGCAAUGUUUCGACGAGGGCAAGUCUGAAGGGAGCCGACGAUGCGAUACUUGUUGCAAUAGAAGAGGCACGAUCGGGGGUGUUCCAGCCCAACAGAGAGAACGACGAGCUUACGCGUGCCCUGGGUAAUCCUGAACACCCGGGAAGAACACGAGGCAAGGGCGCUAUUCCGUGGUAUGAGGGGUGUUCAGACUGGAACACCGACUACAGAACCCGUGCGAGAAAGAAGAUUGCGGAGGAGAAGAAGAGGAAGAUGGAGGAGGAGCAGAGGAAGCGGGACUAUGAACGCCUUCAAGGCCUAGAAGCAAGUCAAGCGGAAUUGGUAGUCAAAUUCCAGCGGCAGCAGGAGCAGAUCGACUCACUUACCCAGCAAAGGGGGUCUUAGCAGCUGCAGCAGCUAGCGAAUGAUCCAGCAUUGGAUAGCACCGUCCCAUCCAUGCCGAGAAGCAGCGUGGGUUCCGCCCCGGACGACGCAAUGCUGGGUAGAUACCCCGUGGAUGACAUCACGGAGAACACUAGCUACGAGCUACACGUCAAAAUGAAGAACAUAUCCAUGAAGGUGGCGGACGCCGUUGCUUUUACAAAUCCCCCCGAGGCAACCUUCCAUUGCAACCCGAUUCCAGCGGGCUAUGCUCGUGUCUUGGUUGAUGAGGUGGUGGACCCAUAUUCGGAGCUAGAGCUUGACUAUCAUGGAGGUGACGACGAGCGCUUUCUCGGAGACGACAAACAUCGUAUCAUCCUAUGGAAAAAGGAUUGCAUCAUCUUUCAAAGGCCACCGACACCGCGUCAGCCGACUCCUCAUCGAAGUCCACCACCGAGUCAGCAGUCUCCCGCUCCUGCAAGUCCACCAAGUCCGGCAAAGUGUCAGGCCACUCCUCCUCCAAGUCCGGCAAAGUGUCAGGCCACUCCUCCUCCUCCAAGUCCGCCACAACGUCAGACAUCCACUCCUCCUCCAAGUCUGGCACAACCUCAGGCCACUCCUCCUCCAAGUCCGGCGCAGCUUCAGGCGGCCACUCCUCCUCGUCCAACUCAGCCCCGUCAGCCGUCUCCGCCGCCUCAGCAAUCACAGAAGAGACACCCCGCAGCUAUGGUGCGUAGCGGCACGAGUCGAGGUAGUACAGGAAGUACAGGCGGAGGCAAGCGAUAUAAAUAUGGUCCAAGCCUCACGCCUCUUCCGCAGAGGGAUUAUGACAGGUCCGAGGAGGAAAUCGCAGCCAUAUCGAAGUCCGAGGUGGAAGCCCAUUUUGCACCGAAACCGCCAACGCCGCCAAGGGAGAAAGUGCCUGAGGAAACGAUUGACCACUUCAUUCGUAUGGCUCAACCACCAGCUCCCAAGCCUGUUGACACAGACUAUGAGCGCCACAUCAGGAAGUUAAAUCGAGAACGUCUACGUAAGGAGGCGAGCUCGGGAUCGAGCAAACAAGAAGCAGCUGUCAAAAAUGCGGGAAAACCAUUCCCCAUCUGGGAGAACAGGCGACGCAAUCGAUCCCCUCGCUUGUUGUGCCAACAACACGUGACAGUACGCGCGCCCAAUAUUAUUGUGGGCAAACAGUUUACGUUCCUGAGGUGGGCAAUGUGGUAAUAACGGAGGAGCAUAUAAUGCAGGCUGAAGUUCUCAAAAUCACUGUUGGACAACUCCUUGAGAUCGAGCCCAUGCCCGUGCUUAGAGAGGAUGAAAUAAAACGGAAAUAUGUCCGGGGCCAACCUUUGGUCGAGCCAGACAAGGUCAAGAACCUCCCAACGAGAAUGUAUGAAUUGCAUCAAUGGUACAUGAACAUUACCAAGAUUUCCGAUCGAUUGUCCCUCAUGGUGAAUGUCAAGGAGGAGCAUUACUACCAUGAGAAAGAUGUGUCCAUUGAGUAUUAUGAACUGUUUCAGUUAUACAAUCAAGACGCACUCGAAAAAUCUAUCGUCAGUUGCUAUUGUCUGUAAGUGAUUUCUUUCUGUAAUUUAAGUCUCAAGCUAGCUGUAGUGAUCCUUUUGCUCAAUCAUUACCUGUAAUUAUCCUCACUAUAUUCUUUUCUGUGGUAUUAUAUGCAGGAUGAAGAUGUAUGAAAUGAGAAAAGGUGGACGCUAUGGCAUUGGGUUCAUUGACCUAAACACCGUUAAUGAAUACACAUGGAAAAUAGAUGAACGUCAUCAAAAGGCCGUAGAGGACAGCAUGCUAGAGUUCUUGAAGAGCCUCAAAUACAAUGAAGAUAUACUACUUCCUUACAACUUCCAGUGAGUCACACUGUCUUGUACUACAAAUUCUCUGUUUUUGCAUACUAGCUAGCUACAUGUUUUUGCUUACAUAUGCCCGCUUAAUUAAGACAUGCAAACGUGUGUGCAUGCAGAUUUCACUGGGUCUUGUGUAUCAUUAAAGUUGACGUCGGAACAGUUGAAAUACUGGACUCACUACUCAAAGAAAAAACUGACUAUAACAUCUUGUUUGGGAUAGUCAACAGGUAAUUUCAAUCAUUAUUAAUUAUAUAUCUCGGCCUAUUUAGUUCGUCAUUUCAUGAUAUGAACUAUUUAAUAACCCCUUUAUUCAUUUUCUUUGUCGGCGGGCAGGGCUUGGGCAAGGUUCAUCAGGGUCACGGAAGGCGAAUGGAAAGAAAAGCUUAAAUGGGGAAGACCCAAGGUAAGUAAUUAAGUAGUACUAGCUAGCUAGCUAGCUGCCAUCUUUUUAAUUACCAUGCUUGAUUAAUUAUUAUCUGAUCAAAUUCCAUUCUCGUAAAGGCCCUGAAGCAGGCGCAGGGGACUGAUCUGUGUGCAUUCUGCGUUUGCGAGAACAUUUGCAUGAUGGCGUCCGAAAGGAGCAGAUCUCAAAGACAGGAAUGGGUACGCUUGUCAAAACACUAUUCACAAUUUUUACACCAUUAUCGAUAUCUAGUCACACAACUAAUAUACAUGCAUAUUGAUCUCCUUCUUAACAGUUUAGAGAGGUGCGGGCGAAGCUCCUAGAAACGGAGCGCGUAGAAGCACUUCAAGAGGAAAUAGCGGGAUUUUUGCUCGACCAGGUCAUAAAUCCGAAGGGAGAACUAUUACCCGCUACCGCCCCCAUGAAAACCACUUCCAAUUGUCAUCGUGCUCCGAAGGCACCAAUUAGGCUAUAAUGCCACUGGCUCCGAAGGCAACAUGCAUAUGUAGGAGAAAUUGUAUAUAGCUAUACAUGUGUGUAUGUGUGAAUUAAUUAAUAUGAUGGUUUGUGAGACAUUGAUGAUAUAUAUAUGCAUGAUUGGUUCUACUAGAAAUUCUAUUUAUAUAUAUAUAUAUAUAUAUAUAUAUAUAUAUAUGCAUAACGUGUACAAUGUGUAGUAUCGUAAAAUACCAGCAAACGAAAAAGAAUUAAAAUGGAAACACAAAAUUAAAUGAAAAAAAAUCAUAAAACUAAAACCCCCCAAACCUUAUAGUACCGGUUGGUCUUACGAACCGGUACUAAAGGGCUCCAGGCCCUUGGAGCUGGCUCGUGCCACGUGGUUUCCCUUUAGCACCGGUUCGUGCUGAACCGGUACUAAAGGGGGGGCCAUUAGUGCCCACACUUUAGUGCCGGUUAUGGAACCGGCACUAAAGGGCCUUACGAACCGGUGCUAUUGCCCGGUUCUGCACUAGUGGAUGCAGGUUUUUUCGAAUGGAGAAUCACUGGCUUGAGUUGGAAGAAACCAGGGCAGUCAUUGAUAACAGUUGGAGAAGUGGUACUAGGCAAAUCUCCUCUGCUACCUCUCUUCUCAACUUUAAAAUGAGAAGAGUGCGUGCUGCCCUUAGGAGAUGGAAACGGAACAGAGCGGGCUUGGAGUUACUGAUAAAUAACAACAAGGUUGUAGUGGAUUACCUCAAUGUUGUUGAAGAACGUCGCCCCUGUCGGAUAUCGGAUUCCGGCAAAACCCUUAAGGUUCGAACUCUGGGGUGCGCACGAAAAUCUUCUCCCUACCGAAACACGCCCACAGCCUCGCCGCGAUUCUAAGCCAGAACGAUGAACAACACAAGAGACACGAGGUUUAUACUGGUCCGGGCCACCGUUGUGGUGUAAUACCCUAAUCCAGUGUGUGGUGUGGUGGAUUGCCUCUUGGGCUGAUGAUGAACAGUACAGAGGAAGAACAGCCUCGCGAGGAGAGGUGUUGUUGUGGUGGUGUGGAUGAGCUAGGUUCGGAUCAGAUUCCCUCCUAUUGUGGUGUCUUAGCCCUAUUUAUAGAGGCCCUGGUUCUCUUCCCAAAUAUUGAGCGGGAAGGUUGCCAAAAACGGACAUUUUGAAAGGGGACAGCUAGUACAAGUUAUCCUGACUAAAGGUGCUGGUGAUGACACCGUCUUGGGCUCCACGGUGACCUCCAUCCUGCCGUCCUGCUGGUCUUGGUCCUGUUGCACCUAUAUGGAAACCUUUGCCUGACGCCUCGGUACUCCUCAUCUGCGCUUGCCUCCUUUGCACAGGCUGGCGCCCGCCUGGUCUUGAUCGUCAUGGCUUGCGUCAUGAGCACCUCGCGAGGUACCACUUGCCUUGAUCUCUUCGCCUCCUCGCGAGCCUGCCUGAUGAGGCUGCCCCUGAGGAGGCCUUGCGUCCUCCACCCCGCGAGGCUCGGCCCCUCGCGAGGGUCUUGAGCGUUGGUUGAUGAAGACGGGCCAUACCGGGCCACUGGUUGAGCCAUGCUGCAGGCCGCAUGCAGGCAAGUCUGGGGACCCCCGUUCCAAGAACGCCGACAGUAGCCCCCCGGCCAAAGGUGCACUCGGACUUGGCUUAGCAGCGAAGCCAAAGGGAAAGUGCGGAGUGCUGCGGGCCCCAACAGCCUACAACCUAGGUCGCCGCAUGGCGAUUGAUUGGACGUGGGCGUCUCCGCUUCCCUACGCUGCCUCGACAACUGCCCGAUUUGACAAGUCCCUGCUGCAUGCAAAAAGAGUCAUCAUUAUCUGUGAUUGUGGAGGCCGAUGGUCGGCCUCCCUUUGGGCUAUAAGUACGGAGGGGCAUGAGCCCCCGUUGUCCAUAUCUUCUUGCUCCGCCUGCUUCUUCUCCCUUGCUCCUCCUCCAUUCUCGACGCCAAUGGCACCGAUCCGUAGAUUCUCAGCCGAAGAGAAGGGGAAGGCCCCCCGGGAGGUGCCUGACACGCUCCCAACAAAGAAACGGCGGGUCCCAUGCCGCCGCGACGAGGUUGCGAGGUCGGAGAUGACGAGGCCUUGGUGCGAGCGGCCACCUCCUGGGUUCCCGUUGCCCUUGUACGCCCGGGCCGAGGGCCCUGGGAAAGAGACAACUAACAACACCGCCCGCGCCACAUGCGAUGUCGACGAGCCGUGGCGGUGCGCGCCGUUGCUCCUAGAGUCCACGCCGCGAACUCCUCUCGCGAGCUCGUGCUUCACGCUGCGAUGCCUCCAAACACCUGGAUCCGCUUCCCUUCAUUCUUCACCAUCAAGAUGCCGCCGAGGGGGCCUCUCGAGCUUUGGCUGCAACACGCCGACUGCGUUGCUCCGGCAACCGGAGCGGAGGUUGAAGUCGUCGCUCCGGGCAAGGUCUUCAUGACCCGAGGCUGGGGCGAGGUUGCCCGGGUCUGCCGAACAGGGGGUCCCCUCGUUAUUCAUUUUUAAUACGAUGGCGCCUCUUUGAUGCUCUUCAAGGUCUUCGACACAGAAGGUCGCCGCCUCGAGUGCUGCCCCAGAGGAGGCAGUCGGGACAUCGAUGUGGCAGGGGCUAGGCCUGCCGCUCGCUUCCCCAACGGCUCCUCCGGCAGCAACGGCGAUGCUUGGGAUUCCAGCGACUCUCCUGAGCUCAUCGUGACUCCGGAGACAAGCGACGACAGCUACGUGCCCCCAAGCUCGCGGCGUGCCCGAAGCAAGGCGGUUGCAUCAGGCCAUCACCGCAGCUGAUCUGGAUGGGGUUGGCGCGGGCCUCCCGUGGCCCACUGUUGAUGAUGGCGUCGGUCAUGGAGGCACAAGUAGUUAGGGCUCCUUAGGAUUCGCGUCUUUUGUUCCCUGUGAGGAAUAGAGAAAACACCCCGUGGGGGCAUGUAAAGGGUCUGCGAUGUAUUUUGUUGAUAUUAUCCUUAGUAUGAAGCAGUGCAUAUGCUUGUCCUGUCCCGGCUUGGUUCCCUCAUUCUAACCUCGCGACAACUUGGUGCUCUAUGCUGACAGGUCCCGGUCCCCAGGCAGGCUUCAGCCGUCGCUGGUAUGCCAAGUCGCGAUGACGUGGUCAAAGCCAGGAGGUGAGCGGCCCGAGGUCUAGUAAGAGCCCCUGAGGCGCGAUGCUCAGGAGGUCCCCUUAAGCACACAAGCAGCCGUUGAAAGGUGAAAAAGGAAGGCAACAUCACCGUCACAGAGUCGCAUUAAGUGGAGAUUCUGUGCCGCGUCGAUUUGCUAUUCCAGGCGCGAAACUUAUCUCGAAACAUGGAGUCAUUCCUCCGUGUUGCGCCAGACUUGCACGUCGGCUGCUGGGAUGUAGCUGGGUUAGGCCUUUGCGAGCUUCCCCUCUCUUCCCCAUACUCUCCUUUGUGCUCUACGUCCUCAGGUCCCGGCCCUCGAGCGAGCUCAGCCGCCGCUGGUAUGCCAGGUCGCGAUGUCGUGGACAAGGCCAGGGGGUGAGGGCUGGAGAGCCAGUAAGAGCUCCUGAGUCGCGAUGCUCAGGAGCCCCCCGUUUAACGCGCAAGCGGAUCGCGUGGGAAAGAGAGAGAGAGCUCGUGGUGCCACCCGCUGUAGACCUCAGGAGGUUCCUGUAAACCAACACGAGGAAAAGCACGGGUUGCCAUUAUGAUUUCUGGCUAGCCAUUGGUUGCUCCGAGGGAGUGGUGACAGCACUGAGGGCCUGGUGAGGUGACGCUGGCAGGGCUGCCGUGGGCCAGAGCUCGACCACUCAGAUUUGUCGACGUUGCAGGGACUGACCCAUGCGCAGUGGGCAGCUCCAGUGGUAGAUGUCAAUCGUUCAGGCGAUAAUCACAGGCAGGUUAAGCAUGAAAGGCAAAUCAGCUUAGAUAAAUGCAAGAGGGAUACAUUCCACUGGGUCAGGCCCGAGUGGCUUGGGGAUGAUGCAGCCCGAGGGGCGCCCCCAGCAAGGUAAACUAAAGACAUAAGCAAAAAGGGAUACAUGCCGCAGGGACGGACCCAUGCGGCAUGGGAAUGAUGCAGCCCUGAGGGUGCUCCCAGCUGAAAUGAACUCGGGAGAUGUCACGUGGUACCAUUGUAGAGGGGGUGUUGGAGUAGCUGAAGAUGCGCGAUGAAGAGGCCGAUUCUCACGAGCCACCGGAGCCCUGAGCCUCGGGAUGCUCUGGGGGUCUAGGCGGCUCCUCGAGGACCAUCUCCAUCUCCGCCAGGACUGCGUGAUUCCUGGCCUCCUGAGCUGCCAAAAUGCUCCGCAGAUGACGCUGGGCGGUGGCAGCCGUGUUCGGCAGGCCGAAAGGCAUGCGAACGUAGCUGUGCGGCGGGCCCUCGCAACGUCCCACGCGCGAAGGCUAGAGGCGCUCCUGAGAUGCGGCUCAGUUGAGCCCUGGGACAUCAACGCAGACGCGCAGCGCACCAUCCUCGCCUGGAUGGGGAGCUACGCCAGUCAAAUCGCGAUCACCGCGCACGACUAUUGCUUCCUGAAGCUCCUGAGUGGCCCUGGUGGUGAACUCCUGAGGGUUGGGCCUUUCUCACCCCAUACCUUCCUGAGGGAAACAUGCUGCGAAGAAUGCCUCCAAGUGGUGCCUGAUCGCCUCCCUUGUGAUUUUGGCAAAGUCUGAGGCCCUCCAAAAGAGAGCCCCCGAGCCCUGCUCAAGGAGGGCGCCGGGCGCGCCUUCCUAUGCGACGGAAGGAGGCACCCCUUGCAUGGGGUGGAUCCUGACGCGACACCUCCUGAGAUGCCAACCUCCUGAGGCCUUGAGCUGGGACAUGUCUUCUUCUUCUUGGGGACUGCCUCAGGAGGGUUCUCGCCCUUGCUGUCCGGGUCCUCGACUGAUGCAGCUUGGAAGGCGCGCUCGAGGGAGCACACCGCAUCCUUCUCUUCGCAGGGGAUUGUGAUGAUUCCGCCGCUUCCUGGCAUCUUGAGGACGUUGUAGCCGUGGUGGGUCACUGCCAUGAACUUGGCCAGGGCCGGAUACCUGAGGAUGGCAUUGUAUGGCAGGCGGAUGUGGGCGACGUCGAAGUCGAUGAGCUCAGUGUGGUAGUUGUUGUGCUAUCCGAAGGUGACAGGGAGGCGGACCUGCCCUAUCGGGGUGGUGGGGCUGUCAGUAACUCCUGAGAAAGGUUUGGUAGGCUAAAGUUGAUCAUAUGGCACUUGAAGGUUGUUGAACAUCUCGACUGACAAAAUGUUGAGCCCUGCGCCGCCAGCAAUUAGGGUCCUGGUAACUUGCACGUUGCUGAUGAUUGGGGAACAAAGCAUUGGGAGGACGCCAGCGGUAGCCACACACUUGAGUUGAUCUGCUGAGCUGAAAGUGAUGGCGCACUUGGACCACCUGAGCGGGCGCGUGGCCUCGAGCUUGGGGAGGACUGCAUUCACCUCGCGAGCAAACUACUUGAAGAUGCUGAUAAGUUGGGGCCUGGGCACCACCCAAGAUGCAAGAGAUAACACGUGGCUCCUGGAAGCCCCCAAUCCUCUCGUCCUGGUGGUGGUCGUCGUUCCUUCUUGGUGGCAGCGGCAGAGGAGGAAGGCCUGCAUUGUCCUGCGGGCGGUCCUCGCGAGGAUGAUCCCUCCAGGCUCCCUCGCAAGGCUGGUCCUACCAAGGGUCCUCGCGAGGUCGGUCACGCCACUCCUGCGAGGGCCACAAUCGUCCCAUCGUCCUCCGCCUCGUACUCCUCCUCGGCCAUAGCCUCGGUCAUUGCGCUGGGGGCAUCGACCAAAGUGUCCUUCUUGAACGGCCCUGAGCUCCUGGCAUUCAUUGGUGUUGUGGGUGUGGAGGUUGUGGUAGGCGCAGAACGGUCGGCUGCCCUUGGACGACUCCAGCUGGUCCCUGCCAUGCUUCGUAUCUGGUUCUGUUGCGAGCACGGCUUCUCCUUUGCGCUUCACGUCCUUGGCCUUGGCCUUCUUCUCUACUGGGUCAGCAGCUGGAAGCUCGAGGAGGGAGAGGUGUCCCUCCUCAGCUAUUGCGCACUUGGUCGCCAGGCUGAACAGCUCCAGGGAUGUGCACAGAUCCUCGUGGAUGGCGAGCUCCUCCUCCAUCUUGACUUCAUGGAUGCCAUAAGAGAACGCUGAGAUGAUGGCCUCGUCCGUCACCUUGGGGUUCUUGAGGUGGGCGUUGUUAAAGCGCUGGAUGUAUUUCUGCAGGGUCUCUCUAGGCUGUUGCCUGAUGCGGCGCCGGUCACCCGCGGCCAAGGGGCGGUCGCGCGUGCCCUGGAAGUUGGCGAUGAAGCGGCUAUGCAUCUCAUCCCAAGAGGAGAUCGAGCCGGUGGGCAGAUUCAGGAGCCAGGAGCGGGCACCAUCCUUGAGCGCCAUGGGAAACUAGUUCGCCAUGACCUUUUCGUCUCCAUUGACCGCCUCGAUGCCCAGCUCAUAGAGCUGUAGGAACUCCGCGGGGUCGGCAGUACCAUCAUAGCGAGGAGGCAGGUCUGGCUUGAACUUGCCGGGCCAGGCGACGCUGCGCAGCUCGGUGGUGAAGGCCCGGCAACCUGCUGUGUCCACCGGAGCCCUUUGCAGACGCGUGGCUUGCUCUUGGUGGUUCCAGCGCACCACCGCCAGGGGCAGCACGGGGUCUUGGCGUGCUAGUGCAGGGAUGAAGUUUUGUCGUGCCAGUGCAGGGUGCACGGGAGCACCUUCUUGAGGCCGAGGGUUUUCCUGGCAUCUUCUUUCUUGUCGCGCGGGCGCUGGACGCGGUGGGUCACGUCCAGGGGCCGCGCGUCUUGGAGCCAGGGCGCCUUCUUGGGGAGGAGGUGGUGGAGGCGCUCCCUGAGCCGCGUCGCCCAUGCAUGACGGAGGGCGAGGCAGCGAGAGGGACGGCGCGGGAGAGCCCCCUGCGGCGCUGACAAGCUCGGUGAUGCGAGCGAGCCAUUCCUCGUAGAGGUCGUCGACGGGGCGGUAGUGCAGGAGCUCAUGUGCUCGGAGCAACGCGGCCUGCGCGUCCGUGGGGGCGCGACGAGCAUGACACGACGAACCAGCUCGGGUCCGCGACGGAGUGGCGGUGCGGCCUUCCCGCCGCACCGAGGGGUGCAGCGAAGAUGCUUGCUACUCGUUCCCCGCCGGGACGGUGGCGGCAUUGGUGGCAGUGAUGGAGAACGACGAGGAGGCCCGCCAACGGGAGCCGUCUGGGCGACGCGGGCGGCGAGAGCAGCCCGGCGCUCGGCGCGAGCUCGGUGAGCGCCUGCCAUGGAUGUGACGAAGCGAUGGGUGAUACGUCUCCAACGUAUCUAUAAUGUUUGAUUGCUCCAUGCUAUUGUAUUACCUCUUUUGGAUGUUUAUGGGCUUUACUUUACAUAUUUAUAUCAUUUUUGGGACUAACCUACUAACCGGAGGCCCAGCCCGUAUUGCUAUUUUUUUGCCUAUUUCGGUAUUUCGAAGAAAAGGAAUAUCAAACACAGUCCAAACGGAAUGAAACCUUCGGGAGCGUGAUUUUUGUAACGAACGUGAUCCGUAGAGCUUGGAGUGCAAGUCAAGAAGCUCCCGAGGACCCCACGAGAUAGGGGCCGCGCCCCCCUGUAAGGCGCGCCCCCUUGUCUCGUGGGCCCCUCGGGCGUCCACCAACGUACUUCUUCCUCCUAUAUAUACCUACGGACCCCGAAAACAUCCAAGAGCACCACGAAACACAAUUUCCACCGCCGUAACCUUCUGCAUCCACGAGAUCCCAUCUUGGAGCCUUCGCCGGCACUCUGCCGGAGGCGGAAUCGACCAUGGAGGGCUUCUACAUAAACAUCCUUGCCCCUUCGAUGAGUUGUGAGUAGUUUAAUUACCACAGACCUACGGGUCCAUAGUUAUUAGCUAGAUGGCUUCUUCUCUCUUUUUGGAUCUCAACACAAUGUUCUCCCCCUCUCUUGUGGAGAUCUAUUCGAUUUCAUCUCUUUUUGCGGUGUGUUUGUCGAGAUCCAAUGAAUUGCGGGUUUAUGAUCAAGUUUAUCUAUGAAUAAUAUUUGAAUCUUCUCUGAAUUCUUUUAUGUAUGAUUGAGUUAUCUUUGCAAGUAUCUUCAAAUUAUCAGUUUGGUUUGGCCUACUAGAUUGGUCUUUCUUGCCAUGGGAGAAGUGCUUAGCUUUGGGUUCAAUCUUGCGGUGUUCUUAGUGACAGAAAGGGUUCCAAGACACGUAUUGUAUUGUUGUCAUCGAGGAUAAAAAGAUGGGAUUUAUAUCAUAUUGCAUGAGUUUAUCCCUCUACAUCAUGUCAUCUUUCUUAAUGCGUUACUCUGUUCUUAUGAACUUAAUACUCUAGAUGUAGGCAGGAGUCGGUCGAUGUGUGGAGUAAUAGUAGUAGAUGCAGGCAGGAGUCGGUCUACUUGUUAUGGACGUGAUGCCUAUAUACAUGAUCAUGCCUAGAUAAUCUCAUAACUAUGCGCUUUUCUAUCAAUUGCUCGACAGUAAUUUGUUCACCCACCGUAAUACUUAUGCUAUCUUGAGCGAAGCCUCUAGUGAAACAUAUGGCCCCCGGGUCUAUCUAUUAUCAUAUUUGCUUUCAAUCUACUUUAUUUGCAUCUUUACUUUUUGCAUCUAUAUUAUAAAAUACCAAAAAUAUAUUUAUCUUAUCAUACUAUCUCUAUCAGAUCUCACUUUCGCAAGUGGCCGUGAAGGGAUUGACAACCCCUUUAUUGCGUUGGUUGCGAGUUCUCAGUUUGUUUGUGUAGGUGCGUGAGACUUUUGAGGAGCCUCCUACUGGAUUGAUACCUUGGUUCUCAAAACUGAGGGAAAUACUUACGUUACACUUGCUGCAUCACCCUCUCCUCUUCGGGGAAAACCAAUGCUAGCUCAAGACAUAGCAAGAAGGAUUUCUGGUGCCGUUGCCGGGGAGGUCUUCGCUCAAGUCAAGACAUACCAAGUACCCAUCACAAACCCAUCUCCCUCGCAUUUACAUUAUUUGCCACUCGUUUUCCUCUCCCCCACUUCACCCUUGCCGUUUUAUUCGCCCUCUCUUUCCCAAUCCCCUCCUCUCUUUUCGCUUGCCUUUUUCUGUUGCCCGUGUGUUCGCUCGUUUGCCUUGUCGUCAUGGCUAGUCUCCCUAUCCUCUUUAUUACUCCCGAACAUGAAAUCCUCAAUUAUAAACAACGGGAGGGAGAAAAUUUAAAAGAUGCUUGGCAUAGAAUUUGCAAUGCUCAAAAUAGAUCCACUAGGAAGCUUUCUACUUUCGUUCUUCUCUACAAUUUUUAUGUAGGCAUCACUCCUUGGAAUAGAUGUGUUCUUGAUACUAUCGCCGGAGGUGAUUUCUUGAGUAGCCAUACGUUUGAUGCUUAUAAUGCUAUGUUAGAUUUGUUUGGACCACCACCUCUUUUGGUUAAUGGAACUGUUUUAACCUUAGAACACGUUAUGCAACGGCUGAAUAUUAUUGAAAAUAAAAUUGCCACUGUUGAGUUGGUUGAAAAUUUGAAUAAAAAGAUUCAUAAUCUAAUCACUCAAUAUGAAUCUAGGGUUGGAGUCACCUUGAAAAAUCUUAAAGAGAAAGAACCUAUAGUUAAUGAAAAAAUAGAUCUUGAUUCUGCUAGAAUUGGUAAACUUGAGGAUAUAAUUACCAACUUAGGUUCGGCGUUUUCUCCCAUGAAAAACACUCCAAAACCCCCUACAAAAACCACUAAGUUUAUUUAUGUUCCUAAAAAUAAGGGUGAAACUUCUAGUAAGGGAGACGCGGACCUCAAAUCCAUAAGUGUUCAUCCCAAUUGUCUUUCUAUCGUUAAGGAACCUUUUGCUACAAACGAAUUUCUUGAUUUUUUGCCCAAAGGCUUAAUCAUUGCUGAAAAAGGAGAACCUCCUAAAGAUUAUAAGUGCUCUAAUGAGGAAUCAAGUGCCAAAGAUGGCACUACUUGAAUCUAUCUUCGCUUUUAUGCCUAUCUAGGGGCGUUAAACGAUAGGGCUAGUUGGGAGGCAACCCAAUUUUUCUUUAUGUUUUUUUGUUUUUUCCCCUGUUUAGGAAUAAAUGUUGCAUCUACUCUAUGUUUAGAUGUGUUUUUAUCUUUUAGUUAGUGUUUGUGCCAAGUAGAACCUAUAGGAUAACCUACGAUGAUAGUUGAUUUGAUUCUGCUAAAAAACAGAAACUUUGCACUCACGAGAAAAAAUUCAAUAAAUCACAGAAACGUGCUUUUGCAUUGAUUCUUUUUGCUGAUGAUCAAUAAACUAAUUGUCCAGUACGUCCUAUUUUGGUAGGAAUUUUAGAGUUCCAGAAGUUUUCGUUAGUUACAGAUUGCUAUAGACUGUUCUGUUUUUGACAGAUUCUGUUUUUCGUGUGUUGUUUGCUUAUUUCAAUGCAUCUAUGGCUAGUAAAUUAGUUUAUAAACCAUAAGGAAGUUGUAAUACAUUAGGUUAAACACCAAAAUAAAUAAAGAAUGAGUUCAUGGCAGUACCUUAUGUGGUGGUUUUGUUUUCUUUCACUAACGGAGCUUAUAAGAUUUCUUGUUGAGUUUUGUGUUGUGAAGUUUUCAAGUUUUGAGUAAAGCUUUUAUGGACUAUGGAAUAAAGGGUGGCAAGAGCCUAAGCUUGGGGAUGCCCAAGGCACCCCAAGAUAUUCAAGGAUAGCCAAAAUCCUAAGUUUGGGGAUGCCCCGGGAAGGCAUCCCCUCUUUCGUCUUCGUUCAUUGGUAACUUUACUUGGAGCUAUAUUUUUAUUCACUACAUGAUAUGUGUUUUGCUUGGAGCGUCGUGUAUUAUAUUAGUCUUUGCUUUUUAGUUUAACACAAUCAUCCUUUCUGUACACACCUUGUUGGAGAAGCCUAUUUUAUUAGAAUUUGCUAGAAUACUCUAUGUACUUCACUUAUAUCUUUUGAGCUUGAUAGUUUUUGCUCUAGUACUUCACUUAUAUCUUUUAGAGCAAGGCGGUGGAAUAAUUUUGAAGAAAUUGCUAGUCUCUCAUGCUUCACUUAUACUAUUUUGAGAGUCUUUUAGAACAGCAUGGUAUUUGCUAUGGUUACAAAGUUGUUCUUAGAAUGAUGAGCAUCCAAGUUAGGUAUAAUAAAAACUAUCAUAGAAAAAGAAUUGGAUGCUAUGAUCAACUUGAUGCUUGAUAAUUGUUUUGAGAUAUAAAGGUAGUAAUGUUAGGGUCAUGCUAGUGGGUAAUUAUGAAAUUGAGAAAUACUUUUGUUGAAGUUGGCAAGUCACGUAGCAUGCAUGUAUGGUAAAAGUUGUGUGACAAAUUAGUUGCAUAGGGUGCUCUUUUGAGUGUCUUCCUUAUGAGUGGCAGUCGGGGACGAGCGAUGGAAUUUUUUUCCUACCAAUCUAUCCCUCUUGGGGCAUGUGUAGUAGUACUUUGCUUCGCGGGCGAAGUAGACUUUUGCAAUAAUUAUAUGAGUUCUUUUUUGACUAAUGCGAGUCCAUGGACAUAUGCACACUUAUCCUUUUACUUUGCUAGCCUUUAUUAUUACCGUGCAACUCUCGCCGGUAUUGAACCCUUUAUUUACCUUCCUCAAAACAGCCACCAUACCUACCUAUUAUGGCAUUUGCAUAGCCAUUCCGAGAUAAAUUACCAUGCAACUUUUCACCGUUCCGUUUAUUAUGACACGAUUCAUCAUUGUCAUAUUGCUCUUUGCAUGAUCAUGUAGUUGACAUCGUAUUUGUGGCAAAGCCACCUUCAUAAUCUUCAUACAUGUCGCUCUUGAUUCAUUGCAUAUCCCGGUACACCGCCGGAGGCAUUCAUAUAGAGUCAUAUCUUGUUCUAGCUUUGAGUUGUAAUUCUUGAGUUGUAAAUCCAUAAAAGUGUGAUGAUCUUCAUUAUUAGAGCAUUGUCCUAGUGAGGAAAGGCUGAUGAUGACUAUGAUUCCCCCACAAGUCGGGAUGAGACUUCGGACUUUACAAAAAGAAAGAAAAAAAUGAGAAAAUAAAAAAAUUGAGAAAGGCCAAAAAGAAAAAAAGAGGCCAAAGAAAAGAAAAAGAAAAGAAAAAAAAGAAAAAAAGAGAAAAAAAUAAAAUGAGAGAAAAAGAGAGAAGGGACAAUUGCUACUAUCUAUUUUUCCACACUUGUGCUUCAAAAUAGCACCAUGAUCUUCAUGAUAGAGAGUCUCAAAUGUUGUCACUUUCUUAUACUAGUGGGAAUUUUUCAUUAUAGAACUUGGCUUGUAUAUUCCAAUGAUGGGUUUCCUCAAAAUGCCCUAGGUCUUCGUGAGCAAGCAAGUUGGAUGCACACCCACUUAGUUUCUUUCGUUGAGCUUUCGUAUAUUUAUAGCUCUAGUGCAUCCGUUGCAUGGCAAUCCCUACUCACUCACAUUGAUAUCUAUUAAUGGGCAUCUCCAUAUAGCCCGUUUGUAUGCCUAGUUGAUGUGAGACUAUCGUCUCCCUUUUUGUCCUCACAACUACCGUAAACCACCAUAGUGUUAUGUCCAUGGUUUGCGCUCAUGUAUUGCGUAAGAGUUGAAAAAGCUGAAGCGCGUUAAAAAGCAUGAACCAAUUGCUCGGCUCGUCAUAAGGGUUGUGCAUGAUGGGAGUAUUUUGUGUAAUGAAAAUGAAGCAUGGCCUAACUAUAUGAUUUUGUAGGGAUAAGCUUUCUUUGGCUAUGCUAUUUUGAUAGCACAUGAUUAUUUAUUAGUAUGCUUUGAAGCAUUAUUAUUUUUAUGUUUUAUAAGCUUUUAUCUUGAAUCAUUUGGAUCUGAACAUUCAUGCCACAUGAAAGAAAAUUACAUUAUGAAUUAUGCUAGGUAGCAUUCCACAUCAAAAAAAAUUAUCAUUUACCUACUCGAGGACGAGCAGGAAUUAAGCUUGGGGAUGCUUGAUACGUCUCCAACGUAUCUAUAAUUUUUUAUUGUUCCAUGCUAUUAUAUUACCCCUUUUGGAUGUUUAUGGGCUUUACUUUACACAUUUAUAUCAUUUUUGGGACUAACCUACUAACCGAAGGCCCAGCCCGUAUUGCUGUUUUUUUGCCUAUUUCAGUAUUUCGAAGAAAAGGAAUAUCAAAUGGAGUCCAAACGGAAUGAAACCUUCGGCAGCGUGAUUUUUGGAACGAACGUGAUCCGGAGAGCUUGGAGUGCAAGUCAAGAAGCUCCCGUGGACCCCACGAGAUAGGGCCCCCCCUGUAGGGCGCGCCCCCCUGUCUCGUGGGCCCCUCGGGCGUCCACCGACGUACUUCUUCCUCCUAUAUAUACCUACGGACACCGAAAACAUCCAAGAGCUCCACAAAACACAAUUUCCACCGCCGUAACCUUCUGUAUCCACGAGAUCCCAUCAUGGAGCCUUCGCCGGCACUCUGCCGGAGGGGGAAUCGACCACGGAGGGCUUCUACAUCAACAUCCUCGCCCCUCCGAUGAGUUGUGAGUAGUUUACCAUAGACCUACGGGUCCAUAGUUCUUAGCUAGACGACUUCUUCUCUCUUUUUGGAUCUCAAUACAAUGUUCUCCCCCUCUCUUGUGGAGAUCUAUUCGAUGUAAUCUCUUUUGGCGGUGUGUUUGUCGAGAUCCGAUGAAUUGUGGGUUUAUGAUCAAGUUUAUCUAUGAAUAAUAUUUGAAUCUUCUCUGAAUUCUUUUAUGUAUGAUUGAGUUAUCUUUGCAAGUCUCUUCGAAUUAUCAGUUUGGUUUGGCCUACGAGAUUGGUCUUUCUUGCCAUGGGAGAAGUGCUUAGCUUUGGGUUCAAUCUUGCGGUGUUCUUACCCAGUGACAGAAAGGGUUGCAAGACACGUAUUGUAUUGUUGCCAUCGAGGAUAACAAGAUGGGGUUUAUAUCAUAUUGCAUGAGUUUAUCCCUCUACACCAUGUCAUCUUGCUUAAUGUGUUACUCUGUUCUUAUAAACUUAAUACUCUAGAUGCAGGCAGGAGUCGGUCUACUUGUUAUGGACGUGAUGCCUAUAUACAUGAUCAUGCCUAGAUAAUCUCAUAACUAUGCGCUUUUCUAUCAAUUGCUCGACAGUAAUUUGUUCACCCACCGUAAUACUUAUGCUAUCUUGAGAGAAGCCUCUAGUGAAACCUAUGGCCCCCGGGUCUAUCUAUUAUCAUAUUUGCUUUCAAUCUACUUUAUUUGCAUCUUUACUUUUUGCAUCUAUAUUAUAAAAUACCAAAAAUAUAUGUAUCUUAUCAUACUAUCUCUAUCAGAUCUCACUUUCGCAAGUGGCCGUGAAGGGAUUGACAACCCCUUUAUUGUGUUGGUUGCGAGUUCUCAGUUUGUUUGUGUAGGUGCAUGGGACUUUUGAGGAGCCUCCUACUGGAUUGAUACCUUGGUUCUCAAAACUGGGGGAAAUACUUACGCUACACUUGCUGCAUCACCCUCUCCUCUUCAGGGAAAACCAAUGCUAGCUCAAGACGUAGCAAUGGGACGCAGAUCAGCGAAAAGAAGAUUUUGGCGCACCCCUACCUGGCGCGCCAAAUGUCGGAUAUCGGGUUCCGGCAAAACCCUUAAGGUUCAAACUCUGGGGUGCGCACGAAGAUCUUCUCCCAACCGAAACACGCCCACAACCUCGCCGCGAUUCUAAGCUAGAACGAUGAACAACACAAGAGACACGAGGUUUAUACUGGUUCGGGCCACCAUUAUGGUGUAAUACCCUAAUCCAGUGUGUGGUGUGGUGGAUUGCCUCUUGGGCUGAUGAUGAACAGUACAGAGGAAGAACAGCCUCGCGAGGAGAGGUGUUCUUAUGGCGGUGUGGAUGAGCUAGGUUCGGAUCAGAUUCCCUCCUACUGCGGUGGCUAGCCCUAUUUAUAGAGGCCCUGGUCCUCUUCCCAAAUAUUGAGCAAGAAGGGAGCCAACAACGGCCAUUUUGAAAGGGGACAGCUAGUACAAGUUAUCCUGACUAAAGGUGGUCUUCGACUGCCAAAGGUGCUGGUGAUGACGUCGUCUUGGGCUCCACGGUGACCUCCGUCCUGUCGUCCUACUGGUCUUGGUCUUGUUGCGCCGAUAUGGAAACCUUUGUCUGACGCCUCGGUACUCCGUGUCUGCGCUUGCCUCCUUUGCACCAAAGAGGAAAUGAGGAGACUGCGCAGGCUAGCGCCCGCCUAGCGCCCGCCUGGUCUUGAUCGUCAUGGCUUGCGUCAUGAGCAGCUCGUGAGGUACCCCUUGCCUUGAUCUCUCCGCCUCCUCGCGAUCCUGCCUGAUGAGGCUGCCCCGGAGGAGGCCUUGCGUCGUCCGCCCAGCGAGGCUCGGCCCCUCGCGAGGGUCUUGAGCCUUGGUUGAUGAAGACGGGCCAUACUAGGCCAUUGGUUGAGCCAUGCUGUAGGCUGCAGGCAGGCAAGUCUGGGGAACCCCGUUCGCAGAACGCCGACAGCCUCCUGUCCCCAUUGGCGGUUGUUUUGCAAAAGUUUGCGGCAGCCAAAGCUGCUCAAUUAAUCCAGUGGCAAAUUGCUCAUGGCGGAGAAGAGCUAAACUACGCUGGUGUGUCUCAGGUGACGAGAUCUGCAGUUUCUCCCAUGCUGCUGCCAACGGCCAUGCCAAGCGCAACAAAGUCCGUGUUCUGGUUCAGGAGGGAGUGGAACACUUCGAUGAUCAACAGAAGUUGCAGCUUGCCACAGCUUAUUUCUCUGAGCUGUUGGGUCAACCGUCCUCCUCACUGCCCCUGUCGACCUUACUGCUAUGUAUGAGCCUACAGAUUUCUCUUGGCUUUCUAGAGAGUUUUCCUGGGAGGAGAUUGUUCAAGCAAUCAAACAUUCACCGAACAAUUGCAGCCCUGGCCCGGAUGGGUUCACAAAUGAGUUCUAGAAAGCUUUCCACGACGUUAUCAAGGAGGACCUGCAAGUCUUUUUUGAUCAGUUCUUCCACAACCAGGUGGACCUCUCUGGCAUCAAUCAAGCACACAUUUCCCUCUUACCCAAGAAGGAAACCCCCUUGGAGUUGUGUGAUUUUAGGCCAAUUUCUAUUGUGCAUAGUGUGCCUAAACUUGCUGGCAAGGUCCUUGCUCGAUGUUUACAGCUGCAGAUACCCUCUCUGGUUCACUCCCUGCAGUCAGGUUUCAUCAAGGGUUGGUCUAUCAUUGAGAACUUUGCUAUGGCUACUGACAUGGUUCAAACUGCUCAUAAGAGGAGAAUACCGAUAGUGGUCCUUCAACUAUAUUUCCAGAAGGCGUUUGAUACUGUAAGCUAGGCAUGCCUCUUCAACAUCUUGCAGGCCCGUGGUUUUCCCUCGUGCUGGAUCAGUUGGAUUACAUCGCUCUUGACCAUUGCUAGCUCUCGUAUCAAGCUUAAUGGUGAGUCGGGGGAGUGUUUUGCUGCAAAAAGAGGUUUCCGUCAGGGCGACUCCAUCUUGCUGUACCUAUUCAUUUUGGUUGCUGAUGUCCUUCAAAGACUUUGCUGCUCACGUUUUGAAGAUGGAAGUCUACUUCACCCGCUUGGCUCUGAUCGGAUGUUCCCUAUUCUGCAGUACACUGACGAUACAUUGCUUCUGUUCCAGGGUAAUAUCCAGCAAGCGGCAAUUGUUAAGAAAAUCUUAGCUGACUUCUCAGCCUUCACAGGACUGCAUAUCAACUUCCAUAAAAGCACCUUGAUCCCUAUCUGCAUCGACUCCAUCAGCACGGAGGAUAUUGCCGACCUGUUUGGAUGCCCAAUAUCAAGCUUCCCGUGCACUUACUUGGGCAUGCCACUAUCCUUACACAAGAUUAAGCAUGGUAUGUGUCGGUGCCAAAACCGGCGGAUCUCGGGUAGGGGGUCCCGAACUGUGCGUCUAGGCGGAUGGUAACAAGAGACAAGGGACAUGAUGUUUUUAACCAGGUUCGGGCCCUCUCGAUGGAGGUAAAACCUUACUCCUGCUUGAUUAAUAUUGAUGAUAUGGGUAGUACAAGAGUAGAUCUACCACGAGAUCAGAGAGGCUAAACCCUAGAAGCUAGCCUAUGGUAUGAUUGUUGUUCGUCCUACGGACUAAAACCCUCCGGUUUAUAUAGACACCGGAGAGGGCUAGGGUUACACAGAGUUGGUUACAAUGGGAGGAGAUCUACAUAUCCGUAUCGCCAAGCUUGCCUUCCACGCCAAGGAAAGUCCCAUCCGGACACGGGACGAAGUCUUCAAUCUUGUAUCUUCAUAGUCCAGGAGUCCGGCCAAAGGUCAUAGUCCGGUCAUCCGGACACCCCCUAAUCCGGGACUCCCUCAGUAGCCCAUGAACCAGGCUUCAAUGACGACGAGUCCGGCGUGCAGAUUUGUCUUCGGCAUUGCAAGGCGGGUUCUUCUCCAAAUCCCAUAUACCUGUUGAAUAGUGUCCGGCUUCUGGUGAAUGUUGCGCUCCUUGGCUUCUGCGCCCAAUAAUGGCCAUCUUCCACGUGUCAAAAGAAUGCGAAAAGACAUGAUGUUUUUUUCAUUUAUACCCCCCCUAGCUACACAAAUGGGCUGCCUAUAAAAGAGACGGGGAUUUAGAUCCGAAUCACACCAUCCUCCCUCCGUGAGCAUUCAUCGGAGCACAUUCGACAGAGAUCCAUUCCAUCAUGGCCGGUCGACGCAGCUCCUCCUCUCGCCCCCCAGCCCUCAGCCUGGAGAUUGAGAGAGGUGUUCCGUCCCGCACAGCGAGCUAGUGGUGCUCCAAACCAAGGGGCUUCUCCCCCAAGCUUACAUGGUCCCAGUUCGAGCCGGGCUUGCCACCUAUAAUGGCGGAGAGCAAGCGGAGAGCGUCCCCAAUCCCUCCAAAGGAGGGCGGGCAUGCCUUGUCCCUUAUUUGAUAAGAGGGCUCGAAUUUCCAAUUCAUCCGUUUCUCCGGGGGCUCCUGGAGUUCUAAGGCCUCCAGUUACACAACCUUACGCUUGCCUCCAUAUUGCAUAUUGCGGGCUUCGUAGCCCUUUGCGAGCUAUUUUUGGGCAUCGAGGCCCAUUUCGCGCUGUGGAAGAAGCUAUUCUGCCUCGUGCCCCGUUCUCAGGAGGGGUCGAUAUAUCAAGUGGGCGGAGCCGAACUAUGGCGCAUCGCCGGGACCGGAUAUCUUUCUGGAACCCCAAAGAAGGCGUCCGAAGACUGGCCUUCAGGAUGGUUUUAUAUAGAAGACGUCCCCUUGCCGGACCCUGUUCGGAUCGGCCUCCUUGAGUUCGAUAAUGCUCCUCUGAAGAAGCACCUAAGCUGGCGUCCAUGGAGCCCUCGGAAGGAAAAUGACAAGGACGUCCCUUAUCUGAUGAACCGGAUAAGGUUGUUAGCCCAUUCCGGACUGGCCAUGAUCGAGGUCAUGGCCACAUGCAUUAUGCGGGCGGUGCAGCCGCUUCAGUACAGAGGCCACCCAUGUGGGAUUUCAACGGGGAGGACGACGCCACCCGGUGCGGCCGUAAGGGACCGGAAACGGCCGCCGCUCUAAUAGAGAUCUUAUCCGCUUUGUACAAGGGAGAAGAGGAGGAAUUCCUCCGCGUCAACCCACAGGGCGGAUUUUCUAUGUACAAUCCUCCAAGCUAGGUAAGCGAACACUUUCACUUGCCCAUCCGUUGCAUAUUCCCAUACUUAAGUAUUUAGUCUAGCAAUUUCAACGCAGGAGCUACGCCGGACAGUAAAGGAGAUAAACAACCCUCCUCCACAACCCGAGGACCCGGAACGGUGCCUCGACCCGGAUGCCCAAGAGGACCCGGACUUAUGUGUGGAGCUGAUCGAUGGGGUGUUUCAUCAAUUGAGCAAGGACAACACCUUAGUGGCCAUUACGGCUAAUUAUCCUGGACUACUUCCAUCCUCACAAGUAACCGAGACCGAAGUCCCAGUACCUUUAAGAUGAUCCACACGUGCUUAUUUUUGAUCACCGUAUAUCAAUGGUGUUUUUGCAGGGGAAGUCCUUGAGGAGCCGGGCCGAGCCCGCGGCGGCUAGCCAACAAGGGGCAUCAAGGCCUAGCAGGCUGAAAAGAAGUGCGGUCCGGAUUGAGACGCCGACGCAACGGUACGGCGUGUCAUUUUAUUCCUAGGUUGUUUUCCCUCAAGGCAUACUAACGCUCAUGCUUUUUCUAGGAAGAAGAGCGCUCGCCGGACUAUAUCCGGAGAGGUUGCCAAUCACGCCUCUACCGGCCAGGCUCCAAGGCCGGAUCCGGAAGCGGAGGCGAACACGAGGCGUGCACCGGACGCUCCUUCGACAGAGGAUGCGGACGGGCUGUUUGCCACCAAUUCCGAGGUGGAGAGUUCCAUGAACCACAGGCGUCGUCGGACGAUUCUUCGUGACGCUUGUUUCUCCCAAGAGGCAUUGGAUGCCUUUAAUACAAGAGAUGCGUACCUCCGUGCCACUCAAAAUGGUCUAGCCAGAGCCACAGAGCAGUAUGUAAAAGACAUACGGGUGAGAAAAUUUGAUGGUUAUAUAUGCCAGUAGCCCCAGAGACUUGAAAUAGUUAGAACAACUGAUUUUAAGGAUCAUUUGUUAUGCAGGAUCUUACAGAAAAGAAUAUCCAACUGUCCCAGGAGCUGGAAGAAUGCAAGGCCCAACUUGAGGCCGCACUAGCCGCGCCAGGGGAGGCCAAGGAGACCCCCUCUAGUAAUAUAUGCUUCGAAAGCUAAGUAUGUUGAAGAGUGUGGCGUGCUUGCAAAGCUGACAAUAACAUUGCAGAUGGCGCCGGAGUGGAUCCGGACAAGCAACAACUCUUGCGCUGGUUAAAGGCCGGCGAGAGGGUGCUUACGAGGGUGAGGCAAGAGAAGAAUAAGCUCCAAGAUGCCAACACCCAGCUGGGCGAGGAACUAAAGGAUGUUCGUGCUCAGCUGUCGGACUCCGUGAAGGAGAAUCAGCGACUUCGACGCGGCAUUUUUAGUAAGUGCUUGAAUGAACUACGAAAGGAAGAGUUCGGCGAGGAAGUCGAUUGACAGAGUUAUGUCUGUAGGUAUGCUGACAGGUCGACCUGCGAAGGAAAUGCCCAGUUCUACGGGUGACCUUCUUCCCGAGCUCUCACAACUGCACGAACAAGUUCGACAGGUGAUUCAAGGCGUCGCCCAGGCCUUGUGGCUGUCCGUCUCCAUGCCCGAAUGCCUUGGAGAGCUUGCAGAGAAGCUGAAGGGAGCGCAGCAGCGCUUCCGAUUAUGGAAGAUAUCGGCCUGCCGUCAAGGCGCCAGGGAGGCCUGGGCCAUGGUGAAGACGCGGUACACGAAGGCUGACCCAAACCACAUGGCCGAGGUCGGACCUGUAGGGCCCGAUGGGAAGGAGAUCCCUGCCAGUUUAGUGUACGGCCAGGUAGAGUUGGCCGCCAAAUAUUCCCAACAAGACUGUAAACUAGACAGCAUGUUGAAUGGUAUUGAAGAGGAAUAUACCUAGUCAAAUUGACUAUGUAAUUUAAAAUGACAUGUAAAAUGCCUUCUAGCCGGAUUGUAGAUCGUUUGUCAUGGCGGACCUUUUCGCUUCAACCUCGGGACCCGAUAGUCCGGAGUGUGUCCGAAUACCCUCUCGAUUAUGUAAGAACCGGGGCAUGCGUGGAGACCAGGCGUAGGGGUCAUUAGUGCUUUAUCAGACAAGUGCCCAACUAGUUAUGUUAUAUUACAUGGUUAGUAAGAAACAUCUUCCAAGGAGAAUAGUUCCAUUAGGGGUUCCUUUCCCUAGCAGGCAUGCCCUAAAGUGCAUGUCCGGACUACUAAAAAAGCAGAAAAGCAUCUGGGGGCAGAUAAAUAAACGUGUGGGAGAUCAUUUUUUAGUUCACCUACCGAAUAUUCCCUUAAGAAACACUAGCUUUCGGCUUCACCCAGUCUGAGGUACACAUCCGGCUGACCCAACAGUAACAAUCGCAGAGGUGCUCCCUUUACCGCCUAGCCGAACAAUCGGGAACAUAGGGGUAAGCACAGGAGCCAGGCAACCCAGCUUGGCCAAAACUUAAGGCAUAUCGAUGCAUAUAAUGGUGAAUAAAAGGUACAUGCGGAAGUGUGACACAUGUGUUGGGCAUGAGGCCCAUAUAAACAAGCUUCUGUUAAAGAAGGCCCCAGGUAUAAUGAGCACGGAUAGCGCAUCGAUUGUGUCCGAACGAGGCACAAGCGAGCCCUUAAAAGGAUGUAAGAGAAAAGGAGGGAGAAGGAGAGAAAUAUAAGACAGCUAAUGUGUAAAAUAUGGAUAGAGGAAGGAGACGAACACAGAGUCCGGCGCUAGGCGUAGAAUCUUCGUAGACGGGCUGCGUUCCAUGGGUUCGGCUCGAGUUGAUUAUCCGAUGUGUUUCGCAGACGGUACGCUCCGCCAGUCAGGACUUGGUCGAUUAUGAAGGGACCUUCCCAUUUGGGCUUAAGUUUGUCCUUUUUCUUGUCCGGCAGGCGUAGAACUAGUUCGCCAACAUUGUAAGUUUUGGCCCGUACUUCUCUGCUUUGAUAUCUUCGAGCUUGCUGUUGAUAGAAUGUGGAACGGGCUUUUGCCAUGUCGCGCUCCUCUUCCAAGGCAUCCAAAUUGUCCUGCCGAUCGAGCUCGGCUUCCCUUUCUUCGUACAUGCGCACACGAGGUGAGUUAUGAAUUAUGUCGCAGGGCAGAACUGCCUUUGCGCCGUAUACCAUAAAGAAUGGUGUAAAUCCGGUAGUGCGAUUUGGCGUGGUCUGCAGCCCCCAGAGUACGAAGUCGAGCUCCUCUACCCAGUGCAUGUUAGAUUCCUUGAGGGAUCGCACUAGUCUGGGUUGGAUGCCGCUCAUGAUUAGACCAUUUGCUCGCUUGAAUUGACCGUUAGUUUGUGGGUGAUAGACUGAAGCGUAGUUGAGUUUGAUGCCCAUGUUUUUGCACCAGAGUUUUACCUCGUCAGCCGUAAAGUUCAUGCCGUUAUCAGUGAUGAUGCUGUGGGGGACGCCGUAACGGUGUACGACCCCUGAUAUGAAGUCUAUCACCAGUCCGGAUUCGGCCAUCUUAACAGGCUUGGCCUCUAUCCAUUUGGUGAAUUUGUCAACCAUGACCAAUAGGUAUUUUUGCUUGUUGGUUCCUCCUUUAAGGGGUCCAACCAUGUGAAGCCCCCAGACCGCAAAGGGUCAGGUGAUGGUUAUAGUUUGGAGGGCGGUGGAUGGCAUAUGGCUUUGGUUAGCGAAUAAUUGGCAACCAACGCAUCGUUGGACUAAGUCCUGAGCAUCUACCCGGGACGUCGGGCAAUAAAAUCCAGUACGGAAGGCCUUGCUUACAAGAUCCCGGGCUGCGGCAUGGUGCCCGCCGAGUCCGGCAUGACUUUCAGCCAGAAGGUUCCGCCCUUCCUCUUCGGAGAUGCACCUUUGAAGGACUCAGGUGGUGCUUUUCAUAUAAAGCUCUCCUUCAUGGACUUUAUAGGCUUUAGAUCGCCGCACUAUGCAGCGUGCCUCGUUUUGGUCCUCAGGAAGUUCAUGCCUAGUUAAGUAGGCUAAGAAUGGUUCUGUCCACGGGGCAAUGACUGCCAUUAUUACGUGGGCUAAGGAUGUUACCUCGUUGGCGGAGCCUCUCGUUGUGUCAGAAUGUUUGGUGUCAGGUGGUGCGGCUGGGUCCGGUUGUUAUUUCCGGAUUCCCCUUCCCACUGACGGAUGGCUUGAAUAGCCUCUCCAAGAAAAUGUUGGGGGGACUGCAUCGUGCUUUGCGGCGAUGUGUGCCAAGACGUCUGCUACCUGAUUGUUUUCCCAGGCUAUAUGGCGAAAUUCGAGCCCCUCAAACCGAGCUGACAUUUUUAGGACGGCGUUGCGAUAAGCUGCCAUUUUCGGAUCCUUGGCGUCAAAAUCUCCAUUUAUUUGGGAUAUCGUGAGGUUCGAAUCCCCACGCACCUCUAGGCGUUGGAUGCCCAUGGAUACUGCCAUCCGGAGACCAUGUAGAAGGGCCUCGUAUUCGGCUGCAUUGUUAGAGUCCGUAUACAUUAUCUGGAGUACAUAUUGAACUGUAUCUCCUGUUGGGGACGUCAGAACGACACCAGCCCCCAGACCCGCUAACAUUUUGGAGUCGUCGAAGUGCAUGAUCCAGUUGGAAUAUGUGCCGUACUCUUUAGGGAGUUCGGCUUCAGUCCAUUCGGCGACAAAAUCGCCAAAACUUGCGAUUUGAUAGCUCGCGGUGGCUUAUAGGUUAUGUCGAAAGGGAGGAGCUCAAUGGCCCAUUUGGCAAUCCGGCCCGUUGCAUCGCGGUUGUUUAUAAUAUUGUUAAGAGAUACUUCGGAGGCUACUGUUAUUGAACACUCUUGAAAGUAGUGUCGUAGCUUCCGGGAUGCCAUGAACACCGCGUACGCUAUCUUUUGAUAAUGCGGGUACCGUGACUUCCAUGGAGUGAGGGAGUGGACACGUAGUAAACUGGUUUUUGAAGGGGGAAUUUGUGUCCGUCCGUUUCUCGUUCGACGACGAGCACUGCGCUCACAACUUGAUGAGUUGCCGCAAUGUAUAAUAGCAUUGGUUCGCCGGUGUUAGGCGCGGCCAGGACCGGGUUUGUUGCCAAUAUGGCUUUUAUUUCUUCGAGUCCGGCCGUGGCGGCAUCCGUCCACUCGAAGUGUUCGAUGCGCCGGAGGAGGCGAUAAAGGGGUAAUGCCUUUUCUCCCAAGCGGGAGAUGAAGCGGCUUAGAGCCGCCACGUAUCCAGUCGAUUUUUGUAUUUGCUUGAGGUCCUUUGGAAUAUCCAAUUGUGACAGAGCUCGGAUCUUGGUUGGUUUGCUUCAAUUCCUUUACCGGAUACAAUGAAGCCCAAGAGCUUUCCGGCUGGUACGUCGAAAACGCAUUUUUCUGGGUUAAGCUUGAUGUCAUAUGCUCGGAGGUUAUCGAAUGUGAGCCUCAAGUCGUCUACUAGAGUUUCGACAUGCCACGUCAUCUACGUAUGCUUCAACUGUUUUGCCGAUCUGGUUUGCCAGACAUGUCUGAAUCAUGCGCUGAUAUGUUGCGCCGGCGUUUUUGAGCCCGAAGAGCAUUGUGUUGAAGCGGAAUGGGCCGUAUGAGGUGAUGAAUGCCGUUGCGGCUUGGUCUGGUUCUGCCAUCUUAAUUUGAUGAUAGCCAGAGUAUGCAUCGAGGAAACACAAUAAAUCGUGUCCUGCGGUAGCGUCGAUGAUUUGAUCGAUGCGGGGGAGGGGGAAGGGAUCCUUUGGGCAAGCCUUGUUGAGGUCCUUGAAAUCGAUGCAUAGGCGCUAGGAUUUGUCCUUCUUUGGUACCAUCACCAGCUUUGCUAGUCAGUCCGGAUGUUUUAUAUCUCUGAUGAAUCCGGCCUCCAGUAGUUUGGCUAACUCCUCUCCCAUGGCUUGUCUCUUAGGUUCAGAGAAACGCCGAAGAGCCUGCUUAACAGGCUUAAAUCUUUUUAGGAUGUCUGAAGGGUGCCAGGCAAAAAUGUCCCAAUUUUCGCGUAGGAAUUCUCGUAGUGCGGCGUCUACAUCAGGGUUUAAUUGUGCCCCGAUGGAGGCCGUUUUUGUAGGGUGCGUUGGAUGGACUUGGAAUUUGACUAUUUCGUCUGCUGGUUUAAAGGAGGUGGACUUGGAUUUUUUAUCGAGUAUCACGUCGUCCUUGUUCACCGUGGAGCGCAGCGCAGUCAGUUCUUCGGCCACUAAGGCUUCGGAUAGUGCCUCAAGGGCCAGUGCAGCUGUCUUGUUUUCGGCGUGGAGUGCUAUGUCCGGGUCACUAGCAAGAGUGAUGAUUUCAUUGGGUCCGGGCAUUUUGAGCUUCAUGUACCCGUAAUGGGGUAUAGCUUGAAAAAUUAUGAAUGUCUCUCGCCCUAACAGAGCGUGGUAUCCGCUGCUGAAGGGGGCCACUUGAAAUGUGACCUCCUCGGACCUGUAAUUAUCCGGCGUGCCGAACACCAGAUCCAGUGUGAUUUUUCCUGUACAUCACGCUUCCCGACUGGGGAUUAUUCCUCUGAAGGUUGUGUUGCUUCGCUCAAUGCGGCUCCAGUCUACUUCCAUUUUUCGAAGGGUUUCCUCAUAAAUAAGGUUCAAUCCGCUGCCACCGUUCAUGAGUACCUUGGUAAGUCGAAAGUCGUCCACUAUUGGACUGAGGACCAGUGCGGCUGGUGCUCGGGCUGUUCGGAAUUUAGGUUCAUCACUGGCAUUAAAGGUAAUAUCCGUGUCACUCCAUGGGUUUAUUGUUGCUACUUGGUAGACUUCUGCAAGGCUGCGGAGUGUUCGUUUCCGUAUGUUAUUUGAUGCAAAAGUCUCGAAGACUGUUAAUACCGUACUGGUAUCCUUGGGCUGGUGCUUUGUGAAUUCUGGAGUUAAAAGCUCCUCGCCACUCCUGACCACCUGCCGAAGUAUCCAACAUGCUCUAAGGCUAUGAGUUGGUGUGGCGUCCUCUGUACUAUGGAUUUUACAGGGUCCAUUGAGCCAUCCCUCCAGUACGGUUCCAUGCCCUAUAGAGGGUUUUGCUUUUUGGUGUUUAACCCAGGUGCCUGGUGAUAAUGCACCCUUUUAUUUCGGACUAGGGUUGUAUUUAGGGCCGGAUCGUCCCAGAAUUUUAUUUCGGUUUUCUGGACGCUUUCCAUCACACAAUAUUUUUGUACUAUGGAUGCCAAGUCAGCGAAGCGUGUAAUUUCACGACGACUUAUGGCGUUGAGGAUUCCGACGUCCGUGCAAUUAUUGCAGAAGAAUGAAAUUGCAUCCUCCUCGCGGCAGUCCUCUAUCAUGUUCAUAACCAGGAGGAAUCUGGACCAGUAAUGGUGUACUGUUUCUAUGGGCUCUUGCCGAAUUUGGGAUAGAUCCCUUAUAUUUGGGUGGGCGGGUGGAGUUAAAUCUGGAACCUCGCCCAAUCUGAGACUCAGGGGCCAAGGAGUUUCCGAAUUCGGAAGCUUGGGUUCUUGAAUGUUGUCCAAUGAAUCUAGCCCGCUGCCUGACUUUAGGUUCAGGGCUCGAGUGACGUCCUCCCCUCCGAGGGUAUCCGGCUUGGAGGGGUCGGGAAUCCGGACAUAACUAGUCCUUGAGAUAGAUGAAGACUUGCCGCAUUGUUCCUCCACCACUGCGACAUGGUGGGUGACCUGGGGAGAGUUAAUCUCUCUCGGAUCGGGUUUAAGCCCAAUCUGAUCGUAGUCUGUAUCGACUCCCAGGGCGGCGAUGCGAUCCAAUAGCUCGUUUACGGAAGAGAGCUCCAUCGGAUCUAACUGCUCGGCGAGUUUUGAGUUGACGUGGAGGUUGCUUUCGAUGACCCGAGAAGUCAUCAUCGGCGCGGCGGUCGAACAGGCGGUCAUAAGAAAACCGCCUAGCCGGAGAGUUUGGCCGAUAGCCAAAGCUCUUUAGCGACAGCGCCGUCUUUAAAGACGGGAUGAGGCAUCCUUCCUGAUGGCGACUGCACAGCGGAACUCUCAAUGAAAGCACCAAUGUCAGUGUCAAAACCGGUGGAUCUCGGGUAGGGGGUCCCAAACUGUGCGUCUAGGCGGAUGGUAACAGGAGACAAGGGACACGAUGUUUUUAACCAGGUUCGGGCCCUCUCGAUGGAGGUAAAACCCUACUCCUUCUUGAUUAAUAUUGAUGAUAUGGGUAGUACAAGAGUAGAUCUACCACGAGAUCAGAGAGGCUAAACCCUAGAAGCUAGCCUAUGGUAUGAUUGUUGUUCGUCCUACGGACUAAAACCCUCGGGUUUAUAUAGACACCGGAGAGGGCUAGGGUUACACAGAGUCGGUUACAAUGGGAGGAGAUCUACAUAUCCGUAUCGCCAAGCUUGCCUUCCACGCCAAGGAAAGUCCCAUCCGGACACGGGACGAAGUCUUCAAUCUUGUAUCUUCAUAGUCUAGGAGUCCGGCCAAAAUGUCAUAGUCCGGUCAUCCGGACACCCCCUAAUCCGGGACUCCCUCAGUAUACUUCUACCUAUCAUCCACCAGGUUGAGAAGAGAUUAUCAGGCUGGCUUGCUACCUUUCUAUCAAUGGAUGGCCGUUUGACCCUCAUUCAGUCAAUGCUGGCUAGCAUUCCAAGCUACUAAAUGACAUGUUUUCUUUGGCCUAAGGAAUCCAUCAGCAAGUUGGAAAAAUUGUUGAGGGCUUUCUUUUGGCAAGGCAAGAUACAGUUAAAGGUGGCCAAUGCCUAGUUGCUUGGCACUUCGCCACUCUACCACGAUCUUCCGGUGGUCUGGGUAUCAGGGAUCUUUCCCCUCAUAACCAAGCGCUGCUCAGCAAGUUCACAACUAGGGUUUUGCAAUCCUCGGAUGUCCCAUGCUUUCAAUGGUUUGCUCAACAGUACUGCAAGCAUAAUAUACCUCUGAAAAACUACAACCGAGACACGGAAAUCCGGAAGAAUUUCAAGCAGUUUAUUCCUGUUGUUCUAGCGUCCUCUCAAUGCUCGUUCGGUAUCGGCGCACAUACGUCCUUCUGGCAGGACAAUUGGUUACCGGUCGGGCAACUCUGCUUCGCUUUGCCGACCCUCUUCUCUUAUGCCAAGGAUGUCAGUUGCACAGUGGCUUCUCAGUUCUCCCACGGUACCUGGCGCAUUCAGCUCCAUCUUAACCUAUCAGCUACUGCCAUUCGGGAAUUGCAGCCGCUGCACUCUUUUCUUGCAGUUGCACCAGCAGCAUCCGAUUAUGACAUCAAAACUUCUGCUAUACAUCAUAAGCCCAUCACUACAUCCCAGGUUUACCAACUUCUUACUUUCAGAGGUGUGCGCUACGAGUUUAGCUCCUGGAUUUGGGACCAGAUCAUCCCUCUGAGGUACCGCGUUUUUCUGUGGCUGGCCUUCUGGGGGAGGCUCAAUACGAGAGAGAACAUGUUAAGGAAACAAUGGUCAUCGAUCACCACGCAUCCAGACUGCGACAUCUGCCCCGCCAAAGAGUCUGCUAGUCACCUUAUUCUGCACUGCUACCCGGCGUCGGUCAUAUGGGACGCACUCCAUAUUAACAACCUUGCGUCCAACUCCGCGGACCUGAUCACAUUCAUGCAAAGAGCACAGCUGACUUGGGCCACUUCCAGCGAAGUACACAUUCUAUUCGCGGUGGUUGCUGUCACACUUUGGCACGCUAGAAAUGAUCGAGUGUUUACUGCUAAACGAUGGUCAGCCACAUAUCUCAGGCAAUAUGCGUCGUAGCUCCUCUGACACAUGGCAGCACUGGGCCACAAAACAGGUUGACAAGGAUGCUCUUACAUGCUGGAUACAUCUACUAGGCUAAUCUAGCUUUUAUAGCUUGUGACCCGCUUACAGCCAUGGCACCACGGUGCUCAAUGUAAGCUUCAUGUAAUCGACCUCUUGGUCCCCAGGCCCAGGCCUGUUUUGAAAUAUAUAAGGUAGAACCUCGUCUACCUUUCAUUUUAAAAAAAAUGGCACCUCUCUGAAAGACUUGGCACACAAAUCCUUUAGGUUUGCCUCUAAGCACUCUGAAGAAUUCUACCACUUCACUUAUGUGGAAGUUUUGCUCCUGCUGUCCUGGAACGUGUGGCGAGGGUUGCGUUUUGCUUCAGUUCUGCUUCGAGCCACAAGAUGGCCAUUCCACAGCUCCAGAGAGCAGUGCUUACCAUACCAACUUUCUUACCGAAGACAUCAUGAGCUUGAAUUGACUUAUCAGAACUUCUAUCAGGAAGUGGCGAGUGGAAGCAUCAAUAUCAUGGUUGUUGCACCAUACAUUAUUUCUGACAUUAACGUAAUGGCGGUCCUACUAAUUUAAGGGUGAGACGAGAGAUAGAACAUGCUCUUGCAACUUGUGCGGGCAAGGAGUGGAGCUCGGCCGUUGCUAGGUGAAACAUGCUCAUACAUAGUUUGUGAAGAAGCCAUCUGUGCGGGCAAGGAGUAGAGCUUGGUCUUCGCUUGGUUCACACCAAUGAUACCACAGACGUAAUGUACACAAGUUCUAUACUUAGUUAGAACUGGAAUUGCACUUGCAGAUGCCACUAAAACCCACUAACAUCCUAGGACUAGGAAGCAUCAGGAUUUGUGACUACACCUGUCUAGAUUUCUACACACGAGGUAACAAGAUCAGUGUGAUUUCCGGCUGGAGGUGUAUUGCUUCCAAGGGCUAGAGAUGUAUAGGUUCAGAGGAUUUACAGCAAACAUUGGAAGCAGACGAAGCAACUCAGAAGAUUCAGAGAGUUUAUUCAUUCUCUCACAAUAGGCCGAAUUAUAGGAACCAUGAUUACUAUCUACUAGUUCAGUAUCUCCCAUUUCAGAAGACAUAUCUUUUUAGGUGCGGCGAAACUAGGGGCUUCAAAAGAAGUCAACAGAAAAAGGCGCUCGAAGCAAAACAGAGGCGACAACAGCAUGAGAAGACAUUUCUUUAUUCCAAACACAAAUUAACUAGUUUGAACAAGACAUACUGACGGGUUAAAAUAUCUGCAAAAUUGGAUCAUCCGCUUCAGAAACGUUCAAAAGAAAACAUUUGGGUGCUGGCAAAACCGAAAACAGGGGACUUAUUUUUAGUGUAUGCUUUGUACACAGUAGCUUAUUCUUGAUCUAUCAUUGACACAAGGGAGUACAGUAAGGAAGAAACUAGGUGCAGAAAUUGAUAGACAAUAGACCAAGAAACAAGGUCCAGAAACUGAGAGACCACAGACCACGGUCAGGUAACCUACUAACCUUUGCUAAACUGUCUGAAACUCCACACCUGCUCACAGCGCCUCUAUGAAAGAAUUGGCGCCCAGAUCCUCAGAUUUGCCACUAUGAACUACGAACAACUUCAUUACUUC
Molecule: long non-coding RNA, 285811 nt
Filed under: Triticum aestivum (bread wheat)
Lineage: Eukaryota; Viridiplantae; Streptophyta; Magnoliopsida; Poales; Poaceae
Description: long non-coding RNA (TAES_LNC002225)
Rfam family: MIR1120/MIR1122 microRNA precursor family (bases 103138-103224)
Source: RNAcentral